RNAcentral lists this long non-coding RNA (240428 nucleotides) under Malus domestica (apple). RNAcentral's name for it is "long non-coding RNA (MDOM_LNC011745)". The record is from RNAcentral. Lineage: Eukaryota; Viridiplantae; Streptophyta; Magnoliopsida; Rosales; Rosaceae.
UUUUUUUUUUUUUUUUUUUUUUUUUUUUUGUAUUUAUAGUUAGAUGUUUUAAAUUUAAAUUUUGUAAAUAACGAGUUCAAUAAUAAUUUAUUUCACUGCCUCAUGAGGUUGAGUUUUGGGAGGUUGUGGAGGCCGAAUCAUGGCCAUUUCUCUCCACAGCUUGCAAAGGCACAUUUCAAACUAACUACUAACUUAUCUUGCAGCACACAAAGCAGCAAGAAUGUGCCAUCUUCUCGUAAAGCUGUGCGAGGGAGCGGACCUAGAAAUUCAGGGCCCUUCCAUCCAUUUCCUUGAUCACAAUUUGUUAUAAAGAAACCAGGCUUAUUAACUUAACCAGAUUCGAACGUAAAUAAAACUCUUAAGUAGAAAAUAGUUGAAAAUGACUUAAAUAUAUGAAGCAAAGUACGUUAAACUACAGAUCUACUACAUAUAAAUAUAAACAAACGAAACUUGGGCAAGGUACAACUUCUUGCAGCCACUUCUCUUUUGAGCUUACAAAGAUUUAUAUGUGGUGUGGGAUGAAAAGUAAAUAGGUUUUACAUGAGGAAAUCAAUACUACAAUACUAAGGGAAGGUAGCAGAGCUAACAUCAUUCUCCCAGCAGCCGACCCCAAAGAGGCAGGCAGCAGCAGAAUUACAACAACAACAACAACAAAGCCUUUUCCUACUAAGUGGGGUCGGCUAUAUGAAUCCUAGAACGCCAUUGCGCUCGGUUUUGUGUCAUGUCCUCCGUUCGAUCCAAGUACUCUAAGUCUUUUCUUAGAGUCUCUUCUAAAGUUUUCCUAGGUCUUCCUCUACCCCUUCGGCCCUGAACCUCUGUCCCGUAGUCACAUCUUCGAACCGGAGCGUCAGUCGGCCUUCUUUGCCCAUGUCCAAAUCACCGGAACCGAUUUUCUCUCAUCUUUCCUUCAAUUUCGGCUACUCCUACUUUACCUCGGAUAUCCUCAUGCCCAAUCUUAUCCUUUCUCGUGUGCCCACACAUCCCACGAAGCAUCCUCAUCUCCGCUACACCCAUUUUGUGUACGUGUUGAUGCUUCACCGUCCACAUGCUUCACCGUCCAACAUUCUGUGCCAUACAACAUCGUUGGCCUUAUUGUCGUCCUAUAAAAAUUUUCCCUUGAGCUUCAGUGGCCUACGACGGUCACAUAACACGCCGGAUGCACUCUUACACUUCAUCCGUCCAGGUCGUAUUCUAUGGUUGAGAUCUCCAUCUAAUUCUCCGUUCUCUUGCAAGAUAGAUCCUAGGCAGCAAAAACGGUCGCUUUUUUGUGAUCUUCGCUAGAUUGCUCCGGUCAUUAGUGUGGAUAAGUAUAUAAAUGAAUAGAGAUAGGAAAGCAAACACAAGAUGUACGUGGUUCACCCAGAUUGGCUACGUCCACGGAAUAGAAGAGUUCUCAUUAAUUGUGAAGGGUUUACACAAGUACAUAGGUUCAAGCUCUCCUUUAGUGAGUACAAGUGAAUGAUUUAGUACAAAUGACAUUAGGAGAUAUUGUGAGAGAAUGAUCUCGUAAUCACGAAACUUCUAAGUAUCGGAGUGUGGUAUCGUCUUGACUUGCCUUAUCUGUCUCAUAGGUAGAUGUGGCAUCUUCUCUGGAAGUACUCUUCCUCCAUCCAGGGGUGGUAUCUUUAACUGGUAGAGAUGCACAAGGUAAUGUAUCAAUUUCACUUGAAGCUUACUUGUAGUUUCAAGCUUGGUCAAGCGCGAUACAAACCAUGUAGUAGGAGUCUCCCAAGUCGCCGAGCUAGGGGAUCUGCUGAAAGAGGUGACAGACAAGGUAAGCAAUCAGAGCUCCGGCUGAUUGUUCACCUUCUCCCCAUCUUGCAGCAGCAUGAAGGAUAAAGAGAAGAAAGAUGAGAAGAGAUGAUAUGGGAUACUUUUGCUUUUGAAGAAGUAACUUUCCACAGGCUUAUUCUUGAACUGAGCUGGAGGGUUUUCUGGUUUCCUCCAGAGCCGACUGAAGAAUUUGAGGGUCAAAAACAAGUCCAUCAAAUCUAGAGUACGUUCGACCCUGCUGAUAUGGGAUACUUUUGCUUUUUGACAGAGUAAUGGAUGUAUCGGCACGUGUGCUGUUACGCUUGUCUCCACAUGCUUCCUUGUAUCCUUCGCACUUGCCCUAUCUGUUCCUCAAGCAGAUGCGGUAUCUUCCCUGGAAACAUAAGAUGUUGAAGAUGAGUACUCGAGAGCAAUGCCAGGUAAGUAAUCAGGUAAGGGGUUCCAGGCAGUCAGUUCCUGGCUGGAAGCUUGAUUCCAAGUGCUGACUGAUUGCUCUCUUUCUCCUUGUCUUGCAGGGAACAACAAGGCCAAAGGAAAAGACAGGGAAAAAGCAUGAUAUGGGAUACUCUUGCUUUUAACCCUGAUGAUAUGAGAUAUUCUUGCUCUAGUAUAGCUUGUUUGCAAAGGUAUUAUCGGGGGGAAAGAAAGCUGAAUAUUUCGAAAGGGUUCGUUGGGAGUGCCCUCUCAAAUAUGAGGAAGGGUUGAACAUUUUUGCAGGUCUGCCUGUCCGUUGGGGAUGGAGGUCGACAUAUAUAGGAGUCUCCCUAACAACAAGUAGUAAUGCUAUUCCUUUACCCUGCUUGGUCAUAGCACAGUAGUGGGAGCUGCCAGCUUCACAUGUUUUAACUCUGUCAGAGCACUUUGAAAAAGUGGUAUGUGCUCUCGAGAAGUCUUCGACAGAAUGCCCAUAAUUUCCGCAAAGCUGAGUGUGCGUGUGACAGGUGCUGACAAGGCUGGAAAAGUAGGUGCCUCUUCGAUUUCUGAGAUCGGCCCUCGUGGUCUCUGAGGAGCCCAACUUUUGAGAAAGCGAGCGCCUCUUCGAUUUCUGAGAUCGGCCUUCGUGGUCUUUGAGCAGCCUAAUUUUUGAGAAAGCAAACGCCUCUUCGAUUUCUGAGAUCAACCCUCGUGGUCUCUAAGCAGCCCAGCUUUUGAGAAAGCAAACGCCUCUUCGAUUUCUGAGCAGGCGCCUCUUCGAUUUCUGAAGAUCCGUCGAGUGCAGAUUUUUAUAGGGGCUGGCAUUAAGUUCCAAAGCACACUUGAAUCUCCACCAGUAGAAGCUCCAUUCUUGCACUUCUAAGAUCUUGAUUUGUCCAACCUCUUCUCUCUUCAACACCUUUGAAAAUGUCUGGCCCCUCCGACCGUCGUUUUGACUUGAACCUUGUUGAAGAGGCAGCCCCGCCUUCUCCAGACAACAUAUGGCGCCCAUCCUUCGUCUCCCCUACUGGUCCUCUUACCGUUGGGGAUUCCGUGAUGAAGAAUGAUAUGACUGCUGCGGUGGUGGCCAGGAACCUUCUCACUCCCAAAGAUAACAGACUACUUUCCAAACGGUCUGAUGAGUUAGCUGUUAAGGAUUCGCUGGCUCUCAGUGUUCAGUGUGCAGGUUCUGUGUCUAAUAUGGCCCAACGCCUAUUUGCUCGAACCCGCCAAGUUGAAUCAUUGGCGGCUGAGGUGAUGAGUCUCAAACAGGAGAUUAGAGGGCUCAAGCAUGAGAAUAAACAGUUGCACCGGCUCGCACAUGACUAUGCUACAAACAUGAAGAGGAAGCUUGACCAGAUGAAGGAAACUGAUGGUCAGGUUUUACUUGAUCAUCAGAGAUUUGUGGGUUUGUUCCAAAGGCAUUUAUUGCCUUCGUCUUCUGGGGCUGUACCGCGUAAUGAAGCUCCAAAUAAUCAACCUCUGAUGCCUCCUCCUUCUAGGGUUCUGUCCAGUACUGAGGUUCCGAAUGAUCCCCCUCCGGUGCCUUCUCUUUCUGGGGCUCUACCGACUGCUGAGACUUCUCCUAAGCAACCCUUGUGAAGGCUCCCUCUUGUUUGUUUAUUUUGACUCAUGUAUAUGUACACAUUUGUAGCUUAUCGGGGAUAUCAAUAAAUAAGUUUUCCUUCAUUUCAACGUAUUGUGUUAAAUACACCAAAACCUUCUUCGCUAAGUUCUUUGAAUUUUCUUUUGUUGAAGCUUGUAUGUUGAAGCUUUCUGAGUGGAGCAUGUAGGUUGGGGUAGUGUUCCCUUAAUUUCCCGAGUGAGGAAAACUUCUCGAUUGGAGACUUGGAAAAUCCAAGUCACUGAGUGGGAUCGGCUAUAUGAAUCUUAGAACGCCAUUGUGCUCGGUCCUGUGUCAUGUCCUUCGUUAGAUCCAAGUACUCUAAGUCUUUUCUUAGAGUCUCUUCCAAAGUUUUCCUAGGUCUUCCUCUACCCCUUCGGCCCUGAACCUCUGUCCCAUAGUCGCAUCUUCUAAUCGGAGCGUCAGUAGGCCUUCGUUGCACAUGUCCAAACCACCGUAACCGAUUUUCUCUCAUCUUGCCUUCAAUUUCGGCUACUCCUACUUUACCCCGGAUAUCCUCAUUCUUAAUCUUAUCCUUUCUCGUGUGCCCACACAUCCAACGAAGCAUCCUCAUCUCCGCUACACCCAUUUUGUGUAUGUGUUGAUGCUUCACCGCCCAACAUUCUGUGCCAUACACAGCAUCGCUGGCCUUAUUGCCGUCCUAUAAAAUUUUCCCUUGAGCUUCAGUGGCACACGGCGGUCACACAACACGCCGGAUGCACUCUUCCACUUCAUCCAUCCAGCUUGUAUUCUAUGGUUGAGAUCUCCAUCUAAUUCUCCGUUCUUUUGCAAGAUAGAUCCUAGGUAACGAAAACGGUCGCUCUUUGGUAUUUCUUGAUCUCCGAUCCUCACCCCUAACUCGUUUUGGCCUCCAUUUGCACUGAACUUGCACUCCAUAUAUUCUGUCUUUGAUCGGCUUAGGCGAAGACCUUUAGAUUCCAACACUUCUCUCCAAAGGUUAAGCUUUGCAUUUUACCCCUUCCUGAGUUUCAUCUAUCAACACUAUAUCGUCUGCGAAAAGCAUACACCAAGGAAUAUCAUCUUGAAUAUGUCCUGUUAACUCAUCCAUUACCAACGCAAAAAGGUAAGGACUUAAGGAUGAGCCUUGAUGUAAUCCUACAAUUAUGGGAAAGCUUUCGGUUUGUCCUUCAUGAGUUCUUACGGCAGUCUUUGCUCCUUCAUACAUAUCCUUUAUAGCUUGGAUAUAUGCUACUCGUACUCCUUUCUUCUCUAAAAUCCUCCAAAGAAUGUCUCUUGGGACCCUAUCAUACGCUUUUUCCAAAUCUAUAAAGACCAUGUGUAAAUCCUUUUUCCCAUCUCUAUAUCUUUCCAUCAAUCUUCAUAAGAGAUAGAUUGCCUCCAUGGUUGAGCGCCCUGGCAUGAACCCGAAUUGGUUGUCCGAAACCCGUGUCUCUUGCCUCAAUCUAUGCUCAAUGACUCUCUCCCAGAGCUUCAUUGUAUGACUCAUUAGCUUAAUACCCCUAUAGUUCAUGCAAUUUUGUACGUCACCCUUAUUCUUGUAGAUAGGCACCAAAGUGCUCGUUCGCCACUCAUUUGGCAUCUUCUUCGUUUUCAAAAUCCUAUUGAAAAGGUCAGUGAGCCAUGUUAUACCUGUCUCUCCCAAAACUUUCCACACUUCGAUUGGUAUAUCGUCUGGGCCUACUGCUUUUCUAUGCUUCAUCUUCUUCAAAGCUACAACCACUUCUUCCUUCCGGAUUCUACGAUAAAAAGAGUAGUUUCUACACUCUUCUGAGUUACUCAACUCCCCUAAAGAAGCACUCCUUUCAUGUCCUUCAUUGAAAAGAUUAUGAAAAUAACCUUUCCAUCUGUCUUACAAAGAUAAAAUUCAUUGGGAUUUCGGCAAGGGAAAUCAACAUCACAAAAAAAUACGCUUCAUCUCAUGCGUGGUCUAUUGUGUAUGUAAGGCGAAAAAAUGAACAUCCAAAGGAUUAUUUGGCUCAACAAUUACAACAUGAAUGGGAGAAGCAAAUGCAGCAAGAUACCGACGGCUAAAAGCUUAUACAGGAGCAACAGCUGAACCGCUCGUAAGUGGUUCACUUAUUUCGAGGAGUUCGUUACACAGCCCUGUGAAAACAACCGAAUCUGUUUCGAUGGGCUUGAACUUGACAAGAGCCGAGGGCAUCAAAUCCUCAUCAGCUAGUGUUGCGGCUUUCUCUCCUGCUGCUGGAAAAUGAGGGAUCACCCGCCGUUUGAUAGCUACAGGAUUUAACAGCUCGAAUUCCAAACUAGGCUCCUUCAAUGCUGAGCUCACAUACUGGUUCAUCAAGACCAAAAAAAAAGAAAAUUAAAAAACGUUGAACUCUUAACUUGAAACAAAUGCACAAGGAACAAAUACACUCGAACACAAAUUGUGUAUAUGUAUCACGGUUUAGAUUCGUUUUCAUUUCCCUCAUUUGGGCUGGCUACAUAAUAAUUUUCCAAGCAAAACUUGUUUUAGACAUCAAAGACUACAUCUUUAUUCAAACUUAAAAAACGAAACAUACUAUGCAGGAUGAUACACGAAAUACUAAAAAGUUGGAGAAAAUGCAGAUUUCUAUAGUUGUUUGCUUGGAAAAUUAGUAUGAGAGCUGAAAAAUGAAGCAGAAACUUGUUCCAACAUAUCUAUACAUAUUACAUAUACGUGCACACUCCUUAGUGAAUAUUUAUCACACCCUGUUAUACCACAUGAAACUGGCUAAACUAGACUCUAGAAUGACAAUUGAUUAAAGGAUUAGGAGGAUGGUAAAAGACUAACCUCGUAUAAUGAGCUAGUUGGCUCCAAAGGAGAAAAAACGCCCUGGAGCACCACUCCAUCGGGAAACUGGAUCCGGAUAACAGUUUUUCUGUAUCUCCUUUUAGCAGCUUUCGCCUGCUUUUCCCUGAACGACUUUGGGAUCAACAUCUGUGAAUCUUCAAUCUUUUUCUUUCUCAUUUCAGCUUCUCUUUUCAGCUCCGUAGCUGUGAGGUUGUAGAAAGAUGCUGGUACUUCAAUUCUUGCUGCCAUACUUUCAGAGACCGAAAAGAAGACCCUCGUCUGCACAAGAAACAAAUUUCAGUAAACCACAAGUAGUUAAUUGAAAGAAAAUGAAUGAGACAUAAAUCUGAAACAGGAAGCACUAUUUACAAAACGAAGGAAUCCCACAAUAACAAAUACGGGUAUGUGUUUAACUUUAAUAGUACCAAAAAAACAAUGGUAAACAAAAUGAAGGAAGCACUCAGAUUAUUAGAUAGAAUACACUUAAAAUAAGCACUGAUCUGUAACCAGCUUGAUCAUUUCAAUGGUUGCCAGAAAUCCAGAACAUUUUAUCUGAUUUCCAACUACUUAAACGUCAAGAUGAACCUUAAUAUUGCAAAUUUUCUCUAUAAUUCACAUCAUUUUCACUGGAAUUUUGGGCUGCAGUGCUUUUACCAUCAUUUAACUGGAUUCUACUAAUAAACUUUUGGUUUAAAAUUUAACAUACAAUGCAACAUCGAAUUCUUCAAGAGUGUGUACCUGAUUUUCUUGUGAAUAAAUGGAAUGGGACAAACUAUAUUAUCAUACAAUAAGAAGUCACUUCUUUAUAUUCUGCCUAACAGCCUACUUUGAAACCAGCCUAGUUGACCAAUAUCAAUGCCCAUUUAAAGAGUUCGUUGAAAACCAAUGCAAGUCUCAAGACGAGCAAUUAACUCAGGGAUCCCAUGUCAAUUUAGAAGUAGCUACCGAAGUUUUUGGUCACUUUCGAGUUAUAGUAUUGCUUUCCAAUCAUCGACACUGAAAUUCUAUAAUCCUAUCAUAACAUACAUUUAUAACUUUCGGGAAGGAUAUUCCAAGAUAUAAUAAGUUAAUGAUCAAUGAUUAUUAGCAUGCUACGACUGCCAUAAAAGAUGAAACAAGAAUGAACAAGCAACCAACCACAGACUGACACUUAAUACGCUAAACAGCAUAAAGAGUUAACAUACCUGCCGGUCGACCUUCUUUGGUUCAACUGGUUCAUCCACGUUCAGUGAAGCAAUGGAUGGCAAAAUGUCUACUUCUUGUACCUUCGGCGGUUCCAGUAAUGCUAUUGCCUUUUUCAUUAAACUAAUUUGUUCCUCCUUAGGAACCCCCAUCAAUGCCCACAUCUCCCCAUCCUCCUCUUUCAAUUCAAACCCCACAAACUCCAGCAACUCAAUGCCUCCCACAACCUCACCAAUGGCCUCCCGUAUCUUCGGAUUGCUCAUCCGAAUCUUUCUAAACUUCACGUUCUCCGGUUCCUUAACUAUAUUCCUCAACAGCCUAAGAACAACCUCAACCGACCCUGCAGCUGGAUUUCCCGAAGCAAAGGUACCAAUGCAAGCUUCCAAAUCACUCCUCGACGAAUCAGACCCGUUAUCCGGCGACCCCGAAACGCCAACACCCUCUACACUUUUGUGUUCCACAGGAGCAUUAACACAGCUGUCUACAUGCACGGAUACCUCGUCUUCCGACCUAAACGAUUGCCCGCAAAUCGGACAUUCGAAUACAUUUAGCGUAAACCCGUUUUGGGAUCUCUUCCCCGGCGUGAUCAGAGAGUCAAACGGAUCAAACCCAGAAUCCGUUUUCCGAUCAGGCUUCGAAUUGCCCGACGGCUCCGCCUUGCUCUGGUCAGGAAUUUGCGUUUUCUUCUGAUCAAGAAUCUGCGCUUUCUGAGGCGAAGGCCUGGGAUUUGGGGAGGCGACCGAAGAAUUCGAAUUCGAAUUGGGAAGGGGUUUGGGAUUGGAUUGGGGAGUCUGCUUAGGGCGAGUGAGGACCGAAUCGGCGGUGCCGGAGGAAGAAGACGAUCCCAAGACUCGGCCUUGGCCCUUGAAUUUAGCGGAGGAGGAAGACGAGAAGGUGGUCUUCAUGAAGCCCUUGAACUUGUCUUUCAUGUCGUCCAUGUCGGUUAAUGAAAGAAGAAGAGGAGCUCAAUCAAGUCAACGAUUGAUGCGAAGCGGAAUCGGGAGAGGAAAUUAGGGUUAGAAAGGGGGAUUCUUGAUCAAGAGAAUGGGGGAGUGGAUUAAGGAAAAGCGUGGCGGUUUGGAUUGGAUUGGACUGGAACUGGUUGACUUUCGCUCGCUUGGCCCGGGGUUCGUUGGAUAAUUUUCCCCGCCAAAGGAUAGCUUUCCCCGCCAAAUGGCCCUGCGACCUUGUUGACAGGAGGGUUUCUUUCCCUGUCAAUUUAUUUAAUACUUCUUCCUUUUAUGGAAUUUAUUUACAAAGUAAACUAUCGAUUUGCCCCUGAACUGUCACCCAACUUUCGAUUUCCUCUCUGAACUUUUUAAUUGGAAAAUUAAGAACUUAAACUAAUUUUUUUCGCUGAUUCGCCCCCUGCUGUUAAAUUUUCAUUCAUUCCAUCCAAAUUUCUGUUAAAUGGAAGCAUGUGCACAACAUGUGUGGGUAGUUCGGUUGCUUCAUUCUUUAAAAUAAUUGAAAACCUUAGAUUUCUAUAAUAUAAACCUAUGCAAAUAUGUGUGAUUCUAUAGAUUUUGUGUCUGAAUGUCUAGUGAAGUAACGCUUUUGUCCACAAAUGAGAGUUAUGUGGUUUGCACAUGAUAAGAGUUAACGUUAAUUUGGAUGAAAUCUAUGAAAAACUAACGGUAGGGGGGAAAUCGGCCAAAAAAAUUAGUUUAAGUCCUUAAUUUUCCAAUUAAAAAGUUCAAGGGGAAAAUCGAAAGUUGGGUGAUAGUUCAUGGGGCAAAUCGGCAGUUUACUCUUUAUUUAUACUUAUAUUUGAGUUAAGUCUUCUUCACCGCAAAUACUCUAUUAUAUAUUUUAGUUAGUCUCCUUCACCGAAAAUACUCCCAACAGGAUUAUCUCCGGAUUCUUUGGUGAGGAUUCUAAGGAUCCGUAAAUUGUAUCCUUCAUCAUAUAUCGUGCAAUCAGUUUUUAUCAAGUACUAUUUGUGCUUAAUUUUAAAUAAAAAUGUUUAAAAUAAUUAUUAACCGCACAAUAUAUGAUGGCCAGACAAACAGAAAAGAUUGACGAAUCUCCAAUUGUAUUUGUAAAUUUUUAUUUUAUUUUUUAUGAUAGUAGUCUAUAAUGGCGUAUUGACGUGCAUAUCAAUGGCAUAUGUAUGAUGGCGUAUUGAAAUCAAUGGCAUGUUUAAAAUAAUUAUUAACCGCACGAUAUAUGAUGCAACACAAAUUUCUUCUCUGUAAACUUGUUCAUGUCCAAUAAACCACUGCCCCAAAUCCAGAAGAUAAAAGAUUAAAUCAAUGUAAGCAUGAGGUGCAGCCACACUAAUUCGAAUCGUCACAAAAUAACUCGGUGACGUUUUUUUCUUAUAGGUUGGGUUCACAUAGCAUCCCCAUACCAGGUCAGAAGCUAAGUUGAGCUUGAGAAGAUACUUCUUCCUCCUCUAGACAAUUUCUUUCCGUUCAACACCAAAAUCGACGGCAACGGCCUUAUGCGCAUUGUUUGUUCUUCUGGCAUUGAACACCUGGAACCGUAGCGUUUUCGUGUAGUAGUGUUCCAAGUGUCCAUCUCAGGCCAUUCCGGCAAUGAAUUCCUCUGCUAAUGUCAAGGCCAAUGGAACAUACUUCUUCGGCCAACGUAUUUAUCCAUGCAUCUUCCCACAGAUUAUCACGAGCAAUCGUUCAGACAAGCACGACGAUAAGCCUGACGUAAAUUGGAACGCAAUGAUCCUGUUGUGAAAGCUCGUAAUGCGUAUCUUUGCAAUAACUACUCCUGACAGGCAAGCGAAUAUCCUCCUACUAUAGGUACUAAUUAUAACUUAUAACAAGAACAAGGAUUAGAUUACAAAUCCACAAUCUUACAUAGACUUCCUAUGAACUCAUGGCCAACUCCGGGCCCUGUUUGCUAAGAACAGAACCCCCCCCCCCCCCCCAAAACCAACAACCUCCAACCCGAUACCUAUGAGUAAGAAAGCAACUGAAUUCCAAUGUUCUUCUGAAAGAAAAUGGCUUUCCACUAUUCAGACAAGCAGAAGCCAGUUCUUACAAAUGGAGAGGGUCAUGACUGAUACAUGCCGUGUGGGGGACAACUCGGUCCGGUAGCUUGCCUCGAAGCUAGGUUUACUAGAACACUACAAAUGCAGACAACGGCAAUGUGUGAUCGACACAACCAACCCCUGUCCUAGACUGCGAACAACCCUUUUCUUUUCUCCUAAGCAGCCAGCAAGAUUAGAUGGUUGGCUCUUUGCUUAGCAGUAGGCCAAGUUCCAGUUUUGUGGCCUCCUAGAUCCAUACCACCAAGCCUUGUAUGGUUAUCAUACAACUCUAAUAGAACAUACUAUGUGUUCCUUCCGUCAGCAAUAAAUUAACGAGUGAAGGGAAACUAAGUUGAGGCUAAGAACAAAAGGAAGAGACACAGAGAGAGUGACAUAGCCAAUCCCCAAUAAUGAAAAAGGCAUAGUAAGUCGUUACACAAGCCUACCGGAAAAUUGUAACAGGCUACACGAAUCGCGCUUAUUGUUAUUCUAUGGCACCUUAAUCUCUAGUCCAUCUAGAUCAACAAUUGAACAGAAAACGGACAGUCCAAGUUUGUUCACGAUCGACGCCUAAAUGGGGUGUUUACAUCCAUAAUCACUCAUUCAACCUCACAAAUCUAAAUGCAUAUUAAUCUAAAGUUGUAAAUAAUCAAUACCUACAUUACAAGUUAUCUCCAAGUAAUCUAAACCCAGUCUCCAAAAACACAAACAAACAAAAAAUAUAUGUAGAUGAAGAAGAUCAAAUAUUGAUAUCACAUAAUCGCAGUAGUAACAUUCCCAGAAAUUCAGACGGAUUAGUAACAUCCAUGUGCCAGAUUAAAACAAAACCCUAAUUGCUAAUGCCACGAUAUUAUAGCAUCACAUAACACAGAAAUUCCAAAAUCCGAUAUAAACGAAGUGCAAUUAACCCAAUAAUCUCUCCGUCGAAACACAAAAUAAAGCUAAAAGCUUGGAAAUCGAUAUGCAAACCGAGUGGAAUCAGUCGCGAUUCUUCAAGCGCUCCACGCGCUGGUUCAGCUGCUCGAUGCGGACGACGAGGUGGGUGACGGUGUAGAGGAGCCAGUAGAAGAUCAAGGCGGCGGCGAUCAAGAGCGCAUUGCGCUGGCUCUUCAUGAUUGACUUCUGGUGGCGGAGGUGCUCCGAGGGAGUGCAGGAGUCUCCAUGGCAGCUCGGGCGAGUCUCGUACUUCCAGUAGAUGUCCAUGAGCAAGAAGAGGCAGAACGGCACCACCGACAGAAACGGUUUGAGGAGGUUGCGGGUGACGGUGACGAGGCCCUUGCGGAGGCCGUCGAGGCCGGGGAUCGUGAGAAGGAGCACCAUGAUCGCCUCCGCGGCGGCGGCGUAGCCGAGGACAACCCACUCCAAUGCCAUCGGAUCUCUGUGCUGCUCGCUUUCCGGUUCUGGUUUUUGGGGAGAUUUCAGAAAUAUGCUUUGCUUCGCGAGUAAGGACUUCUCUCGAUUUCCCUCAGCGCCUUAAACUGGACCGACGAAAUUGGAAGCUGGAGGAAAUCCGACACGUGGCAGCUUGUUGCUUGAACCGGUGGACGUUCGUCAUACGGUUGGAAACGAUUUGCAUUUGGGCCCCAAUUUUUGUUUUCUUUACUUUUUGAGUCAAUUCGACCCAGCCCAAGUUUAUAUGGUCAGUUAGGCCCGACCCAAGUUUUGGGUUAGUUGGAUACAUGGGCCUAGUUUAGCAUACCGCAUUAGUCAUCGGAUUAGGCCCUUUAUACAAAGAGAUUCCCUUUUUUUUUAAUGGGGAUUAGGUGUGGGGUUCACUUCAUAUCGAAUUUCAAUUAUCCGAACCGUUUAUUUUGUUAGUCUCGAUUCAUAGAUCAUCUUGGUAAAAAUUCAAUUCAAUCCGAAACUAUUUGCCUAUUUAAUUAUCAAGAUCAAAUUUCAUUGUUUCUUAUAUAACAAAGUAUUCGUUCAUUUCUUUGAACCCAAUUAGAUGACUUAAAUAUUUCCGAUUUGGCUAAUAUUUUGUAAGGAUGAUCUAUGAGAUACAACUUGAAAAAUAGAAGUUUCGGAUUGUUAAAAUUUAAUGUGGUGUGGACCCCACAACUAAUCCUUAUUUUAUAAAAGAAACGAAUAGGAAUCUCUUCCUUUAAAGACUUCCGUCAUCAGAUACUGCUAUGUAAUACGAAUCUAGUGUUUGGUGUUGUCUGUAUUACAUAAGAACCGGACAAAUUACAGGCUCACCUGUUUUAUACGACUGUUACCCACAAACUUAUACACCCCAAAAUCUAUGUAUAAUGAGUCGGUCGAUAACAAAAACACGCUCGUUGCUUUCUCGAUCCCUCUAUUGCGAAUCUUCUUCCCUUUGCUUGCGUUUGCCAUGGUCUACCCCAACAAUCUCUCAUCUUCUUCUUCUCUAUCUUAUUUUAUUUAGGGGUGUGAUAUCCACACACCCGAUUUUACUUCUCACACACCUUUUUAAUUUUUUGCUGUCGGAUCGGCUGAAUUGAAAAAGAUUAACGGACAAAAAUUAUCAAGGGGUAUGUGAGAAGUGUUAGAAAUUAUAUAUUAUAAUAUGAAAUAUUGUAUUAUAUAAUUUUAAUAAUUGAAUGAAAAAUAGUGUUAAUCAAUUUCUUAGAAAGGUUAUGUUGUUAAGGUGAUUUUCCCUUGAUAAGUGAUGUAUACUUAUAGAUGAAAAGUUACAUCUCUUUAAUAAGUAGAAGUUGGAUUCUAUAUAAACACAUGAAACCAUUGGUAUUAGAUAUAGAAAAUUAGAGUUAAUUUUUACUCUUGAGAAAUAGGGUUUUCCCACUUGUUUCUCAAAUGAUUCGUAUGUCAAAUUCCAAGGCCUGUUUUGAGAGUAUGGAAUAUAUAAAGUUCGCUUGAGUCCGAAGAUUGAAGUGCUUUGACUUCGGAUUAUAGAUUGUUGAAUCCUAGGAGAUGGACGCCUACCGAACUACAAGCACAAGAGUAGGGGUGAAAUUCUAUCUUUAGGACACUGCAUUUAUGCAAGCCUCAAUUUUUAAGUUUGUUAGGUUUUCUAACUUUAUCUCUAGUUGUUUAUAUUAAUCUCAUAUAUAAUCUAAAGAUAGAAAUUUCUUUAUGCAAUAAUUAGAAAAAUAUGGAUUUAAGAAAUAAUUAUAUUGAGAAAGUAGGAAAGAAUGAUUUGAAUAUAUGUUAUUGAAACUGCCAUUUAAAAUUUAGACUUUGAAAUGGAUGCAUAUUGCUGUGAAGAUAUUGUUCUUGAAUUUCAUUAAGAACGAAAUGGGCAGUUUGUUAAAGGAUUGUUUAUUUAAUGCUUUUGCCAUUUAACGUUAUUGUUGUUAGUUCAAUACUCUAAAAAUUAGACAUUGAGAAUGGCGAUCAGUUCUUGUGUAUUGUGAUUGGUUUUGCCAAUUAAUUCUAAAUCUCGCCAACCAUUGUGCCUGUUAAAUGGUUUCUCAACGAUGUUGUUAUGGAGUGAUUCCUCUAAGAGAAUCAAAUUGAUAUGCAGUAUUACGAAUCCCAUUAUUUAACAUGGAAGAUGGUGGCUUCAUGAUCCAAACAAAUCUUGUCUUGAUAGGGAAGAUGCAAACCACUGCAUAUGUUUUAACGAAGCCAUAUAUGGGCUUGGUAUAUCAGGCUGAUGCUUGGUUGGUGCUUAAACUUAUCAAACGAAAAUUUCUUGAAAAAGGCAUUCGGUGCUUUUAACCAACACAAUCAGUUAUGAUAGGUGAGGUUCGUGGUGGGCUGAAACCAGACAUGAUUUUCUAUUUGAAUGGAUUUAUCUGUUCAAAUAACAAACAGAUGCCAAACAAGAUGCGAAGGUCUCCAAGUUUUCUCAAACGAUACGAACACAAGGAUAAGGAAACGAAUUAGUGAACCAUUCGGUCACUGGUUACGGAUAGAGAUGAUGUGGUCACUAGUUUGGUACUUUUCAGCCUAUAACCAUAUCGAUUAUAGUGUUAGUGCCGUUUGGGAUAUAGAAAAGCUGGAGAUUCUGGUUACGUGAAAGAAACGGUGAUAACGAUCAUCUUGUGGUUAAUUGCUGCAAUUAAUAUGAGAUCCGUUUAAAGGUCAUGUUCAGUAUAUGUCUCCUUUAUGAGAAGAAAGGCGUCGGUUAAGGCCAAGCGAACGCCAAAGUGGUGUACUGGAUUCAUACCAAUUUAUGAAAUGGAUCUUUUUCCUACAAAGGCGAUCAAUAUUUGAUUGGGCACGAGGAUGAUUAGUAGGUUUUUGUUGAGAAAACCCUUAUAUUCAUAAAGAUGUCAGCGAAAGCUCUUGAUGAAGAGUGAAUACCCAAAUAAAAUGGGGUUGUUUUAAAUUUGUAUUGAAACAGUUGGAAAACUCCCGUACAAGAUAUGAACCCAACUUCCAUGGUAUCAUGGAAUAUAAGAUGAGUGCAAACUACUCAUAUGUAAGUGUCUAUUCAUGGAAAGAAUGGAAUACGUAUGAAGAAAAUUGAACAAUUACUCAGGCAUAUGUGUGCAUAUGCAAAAUUGGGUCUAGCGUUCAGUCAUGAUGAGAACCCAGAAAGUGGAUGAUUUUGGCUUUGAAAAGCAACAAAAAUAAAACUGAUAAACUGAACUCAUUUUAGAUGAGUUAUCUAUCAACAUCGAAAGAUGCUUAUUUAAUUAUGGGGUCAAGGUCCAAGACUUAUAUUGAACCAUGUGGAGGUUAAGUUGCAGAAAGAUGCAACUAUUUAACAAAUGGAUGGUUUUGUAAUGUGGUGGAAUUGAAAAUUGAAAUCUGCCAUGAAAUUCAAAGGAAAAGCAUGCCAUUUGAAGUGUUGCUUUUGAUAGUGAAAGGGUAUGACCUUUCCAACUAGUCAUUGACAUAUUCAAAUGUGUUCAUGGGCUGGUAUGUAAACUUCUACAUACCAACUGGAUGUAUUAUCAUAUAGUGAUAAUAAUGUUGCAAAAUCAUUUAUGCUUUCUUCGAAGUGAUAUAUUUAUAAAUUACAAGAGGCCCAGGAUGAUACUGGUGUCAUUUAAAGUGAUAUUAAUAUAAAGAAAUAAUCAUGAAAGUGUGGGGGUCUUUCAAAAAAGGACAAGACCAUACUGGAAAUGUAAAAGACAUUUCACAUAUUGAAUUCGACAUAAUGAUGCUUAUUAAGUAAGCAUAUGAUUGGACAUGGCCAUUGAGUCAUGCAUGUUAGUCAUAGUAAGGAAAGAAUGAAAGCCAAGAAGUGAUUUUCUCAUAAUUUCUAGUGAGGCAUGAAGGCCUAAAAAGAUGGAUAAAGUCUAUCUUAAUUGUUCAUUACUUCUUAAAGUGGAAAAUGUGAUUGAUUUAAUGAUAGCAUUACAAGAAACUACAAUUAUGAGAGAAUUGUGGAGGUUGGUUAAAAGUAAUUUGCUAAUUGAACGACAUUUAAGAUGUCAUCUCCUGUAAUGAGUAAUUGUUUAAGGUAUGACAAGGUUAGAGACCUUCUUACAACUACCUUAAAUGUGGGGGAGUAUGCCCAAGUAUUAGCAAAUUACUAACUAAAGUCCCAACAUGUACGGUUGAGGACUUGACGUUUUAAGUCAACUACUCUCGUAUGAAAUAUAAUUUCAUAAGAUGGAUUGUGCACACCAUUAAAGAUAUAGUCAACCUAGUAGUGGAUCCAAUUAUUAAAGGUUUGACUAGAGAGUAAGUUGAUCAUCGAGAGGAAUGAGGCUAAAGCCAACAUAACUAAUGAAUCAGCCGAGCGGAAACCUAACUUAGUUGAUUGGAGAUCCAAUGGUCUAAGUUCAAUAGGCAAACUGGUUGGGCAUGAUUCAAAGAAGUUAACACACUAUAUACCUCAUUCCUAUGAUGGAAGAAGUGUGUUGUUUGCAUACGUUUUAGGUUGUAUAUUUAUACUUAAUGAUAGUGAUAUCUUAUAAAUACGAGGAAUAGAGCAGACUAUUCUUAAUCAGUGGUCACCUAUGUGAAAGUAGAAGUGGGUCGCUUCUAUGAGAAUGAGAUGGCUAAAUUCUCUAAAGCUCUCAUGAAUCCGGGAUUUGUUCAGGACCAAAAUGAACACAACCGUAUGAACCGUAAUAUAUUAGGAUUAGUGAUGUGUGUUGCUUAUUGUCUCGGUUUACUACUGCGGUGAACAGUUCAAGAUUUUAUAUUCACUGCGUCACCAAGUAAAUCCGAUAAGUAUUCACUAGGGUAGGUUCAAGUCCAAAAGACACUUCUCCCGAUACAUCUCUUGUUCGUCUGUACUCUCAAAUUCUUCCUGAUUUUUCAUUCAUGUGGGGGAUUGUUAAAUUAUAUAUUAUAAUAUGAAAUAUUGUAAUAUAUAAUUUUAAUAAUUGAAUGAAAAAUAGUGUUAACCAAUUUCUUAGAAAGGUUAUGUUGUUUAGGUGAUUUUCCCUGAUAAGUGAUGUAUACUUAUAAAUGAAAAGUUACAUCUCUUUAAUAAGUAGAAGUUGGAUUCUAUAUAACCCAGGAAACCAUUGGUAUUAGAUAUAGAAAAUUAGAGUUAAUUUUUACUCUUGAGAAAUAGGGUUUCCCCACUUUGUUUCUCAAAUGAUUCGUAUGUCAAAUUCCAAGGCGUGUCUUGAGAGUAUGGAAUAUAUAAAGUUCGCCUGAGUCCGAAGAUUGAAGUGCUUUGACUUCGGAUUAUAAAUUGUUGAAUCCUAGGAGAUUGACGCCUACCGAACUACAAGCACAACAGUAGGGGCGAAAUUAUAUCUUUAGGACACUACAUUUAUGCAAGCCUCAAUCUUUAAGUUUGUCAGGUUUUCUAACUUUAUUUCUAGUUGUUUAUAUUAAUCUCAUAUAUAAUUAAUGUUGUGAAUUUCUUUAUAAUUAUUAUCAUUGGAAUUAUAUUGUUAUUUUUUAUAUUUUCUAAUAUUGCUCGAACAAAAAAUAAAAUAAGAUGUGUGAAUAGCACAUCCCUUUAUUUAUCAUCGUGUGGGCAGCUUCUUUGUCAUUUUCAUAUCUUGGACAUCCACUUAAAACAGUGGGCAGUUGCGUAGUACCCUUUUGUCCCUUCCAUGACACGUCACUUUGAUUUUGCACAUAAUAUUAGUCUAAACCUUUUGAUCACACAACUAAACUCUUCUAACUUAAUGAUUAGUCUAAAGUUUACUUUUACUGAUCUUCUAACUUAAUGAUUAGUCUAAAGUUUACUUUUACUGAUAUUGGAUUAAUUAAAUCUUAAUCCACCGCUUAAUCUUAUCAAUCAAAAUAAUUAUAAUCUGCCACCUUAAUUUGUCACCACUAUUGUCCCCUCCGUGAUCCCCUUUAUUUGUUAAGCAGACGUAGGACACAGUUUCAAAUAUUUGACUUUUCUUUUGUCAAUAAAUACAUUUAAAACGUGUAAAUCACGCGUAGCAUGCCGUGAUUCAACGUGCUUGCAUGAAGGCUAGUAGUUUAUUAAAUGUAUUGGAAUUUCUCUUACAUAUUAUUAUAAAGAACGAAAAAACAGUUUAUUCAUCUUGUUAGUAUGUGAAGUUAUGGUUUUGAAUAUCGUGAAUAAUAAGUUCGAUACUUAAUUAUUUUUUCAUUUUAUUUUUUAAUAGAAUUAUAGUAUUAAUGGGUUAAAUAGUUAGUAAUUAUUUCUCCACCUUUUAAUUAUAUAAUACCAUUGUAUAAAAAAUAUCUAAAUAAAUAAACACCGGAAAACAAGACUGAUCAGAGAAUCAAAUUUGCAUCACUCAGUCAUUUACCUGGAAUCCACUUGCUACUUAAUUAUAUAUUAAACAUCAUUGAGCAUGUGAGGGAGACUUUGAUUUGUUUUGGUGUUCGUCCCUUAUCUCCAAAAGUUGCUCACCACCACUGAUUUUGUUUGCCCAUUGAAUUUUCUAGGGAAGAAAAGGGCACUGGAGGGAGACUUGAGGUGACUGCUUUAGUGGAGAACGCCAUAGCUAAGGACAUCCCGCGAUAGAUCCAAAGGAAAAGACAAAUUAAAACUAAGUGAUGGUGAUACUUAUCAUUCUAUUUAUUAUUUUUAGAUGAGUUCAAAUUUUAAGAUAUGUGUAGUAUACAAAUACAAAUGUCCAAAUUUAAAUACAUUCAAAAUAAUAAAUAAGAUGGUGAGCAUUACCAACCUUUAGUAGUGACGAGAAAAAUGCACUCAAUAAAUUGGGUUGGGUAAUUGACUUACAUGCAUAUUCAUGUUAUCGUCAACUCACAGAGACUAAAAGAAGGAGUUAAAGUUAUAAGGUAUAUACACGCAUACAUUCAUAUAUACAUGGAUUAAUUAGAUUGGACAUUUCGAUGGCAAUUGUUGAGAUAAAGAUCAUAGGAAGCUUCAUAAAAUUCUGUCAAAGUAGAUUAGGACAGAAAAGAAAAUUCCUAUAGCCAAUUAGGGGCUAAAAGCAACAUCAGAAGGACAAACCAUGUAAUUUGUCCAAAAAAAAGGACAAACCAUGUGAGAGAGAGAGAGAGAGAGAGAGAGAGAGAGAGGCUAAAAGCAACAUCAGAAGGACACAAACCAUGUAAGAGAGAGAGAGAUAGAGAGAAGGUUCUGCACGGUUGAAGAACAUAUAUUCUACUUAGUCUAGUGGCAUCCUAAUCUUACUCUUAAUUUCUUAAUUAUUGGCCAAUUGAAUUUGAAUCCACGCCUAAUUGUGCUUUUAAAAUAUUAGUUGGUCGUUUGUACUGAAAGCAUUUUAUAUCAGACAACUUUGAGUUAAUCAUUGUUGCUUUGGAUCAUCAUUAAAUAUUUCUUAUAUCCAAUAUUAAUUUUAUUGGGUAAGUUUUUUAGCGUAAUUGCAUGACACUCUAUCGGUAUCACUAAUUCAAUCAUGUUAUAACACAUAUAUUAAUAUGUUAAUAUUAUACAACUUAAGUUCAAGACAUAUCAAACUUGUCUAUGUACUCAUAUUAUGAUAUGUGGAUGAGUAGUAACACCGAGUCAUGAUCUCACCUUCACGGUAAACAAUUUCCUCAUUUUCUUGACCAAUUCUUUGUCCUUGAAUGUUAGGCAGAGCAACGCAGAAUCAAAUAUGAGUUGAAAUAUGAGAAGUUGCCCACUGUAUAAAAAGUCACCAAAAGUCCCAUAACGCCCAACAAAAGUAAUAAAGAAAAGCAUCACAAAAGAACACUUUUCCCGUAAGUUUACUUUGUUUAACGAACUUUGACGCAAUAAAAAUAUUACUCAUUUAUAAUAGAAAUGUUACGUGUUCGAAUUGUGAAAAUAACUUUUUUACAAAGCAAGAUUAAGACUAUAUACAAUCGACAUCCUCCUUCAGACGAUCCUCGUACAGUCGACAGCUUUAUUAGCUCAAGAUUGCCCUUUUAAGAGUAGUCAAGUGGGAUUAGUAGAGGAAUCUUCGUGCCUUUUUUUAUUCUUAUUGAUCAAAGUUUGCAUUUCACUUGUUUCAAGGUUGCCCUUUAUACAUCUUUCUUCCUUUCUAUCUACCCUCACUGUUCUUUUGCAAAAGGCAUUAUGCCAUAAACUAUUACAUCAAAGAGAGAGAGCAAUGGAGGGAGAGAGAAGAAGUUGAAUUUUGAAGCAAAAAAAAAAAAAAAAAAAAAAAAAACGAGACACCAAAAGACAACUAAAUUACCAGGCUUAGCUAGGAACACUUGCUCUGCUUUCAUCCAGAACUAUCCACAAUCUGCAUUUUAUUUAUUUACAACCUGCACAGUUUGUAAAAGAGUUUAAUAAGAAUUAUGAUCUUGUAUCGUAUUAUCUGGGAAAGGCUUACAUAAAUUUCUCUGGAUGUCACCAUGAUUUUUCAAACUUAAUAUUUAAUGUCACAUACAGAGCUAAAAUAAAUAACAUUGUAUUAUUGAUCUGAAACAUCGUAGUGCAUGUAAGUCUCUUUCAUAUACCCAGGCUUAGGGCAAAGUGGGGUCAGAUAGCAGAGAAAGAGCUUUGAUUUGUACCUUUUUCAUCGCGGUCCAAUUUUUUCCAGAAGUGGUGAAUAAAUACGGUGAGCAGUGCAGCGGCUGCUACGAUUCCGAUGAGUAUUGCAAGUGUCUUGUCAAGAUCGUCAUUGUUAUCGUCAUCAUCAUGAUCUAAAGCAGAACAAAAAUAAAAAAAAAGCAAAUAAGAACAUCAAACACUAUAUAAACAGUUCACCUUUAUGCACGUACGGCAAACAGAUUAAAGUACCAAUCAUGCAAUAAAAUCAAUGAUUAAUAUGGUGAUUUGAUGCAAUUAAGCUUGGUUGGAUGAGAUAUACGUGUGUUGGUGGACUCUACCUUUAUAAAAAAAAAUGAUACAAAUAUAGUAUAAAAGAUGUAGUUAAAGUAACAUUACUCGGAUUUGUUUCAAGUAAUCUGAAUAUCACUACUUUCAUGCUAAAGUAGUAAAAUGGGUCUCAUUUAUCCCAUUGACAUGCAAAUUAAAAAGGAAACUAUGAGCUUUUUGAAACACGAGAAAGUCCUAUUAUUUACUAUAUAACAUAAUCUUAGGCAUCUUUACGUUUUGUGUUUUUUUACAAAGUUCAUUUAGCGAGAAAUGCUAUUGACAUUAAAUGCUGCCCAACAAAUAAUCCUCAUGCACUCAUCUUCUAUGUAAAAAAAAAAAAAAAAAAACAUGACAAUUAAGAAUGUCGAUAACAAUUUCCCCAUCCAACAUCCCAUCAUGAAAAGAAAAGAAGAACAUAUUCAUGCGUAAUGUUUAUGCAAUAAGAGCCAAAGUGUCAAUACUUGGUCUUCUAACUGCAAAUCCAUCAUCAAUCAAACUGAACGUAACAACCACUCUGAAAAACAAAGUACUUGGAUAUUCCUAAUCACCACCAAACACCUCCCUUAGCAACACAUACACAACACGAAACCAAACCUACUCACUAAUUAAAUACACUAAUACAUAAAAACGAAAAAAAGGAGAGAACAAUCAGAAGAAAAGUGAAUUUACCAAAACAACCAUUUAAAGAGUAAAUAACCAAAAACCAGAAAGAGGAAACCACCAUCCAGGGUGGCGAACCAUCUUACCAUGACCGUCGUUCGAGUUAUAUCCCCCUUCCAAGUAGCGCGCGUAGCACUUAGCCAAGAAUAUGUCGCCCCACGAGCUGGUCCCGCACCCGGACCUGAGCUGUCCGACGGCUCCCGACAGACAAUCCUGGCAUUCGCUCGGACUCAAAUCCCCGACACACUGCGCCACGCCCCGAACAUUCCCUGAGCCGCUAACCCUGUAUGGCUUGUAGGUCCCAUCUCCGGUCCCCAGAUUCGCCAGCACGGCUUCCAGGUCGGUCAACGCAUCCGAGUCAAACCCAUUCGACGGCCCACAUUUCUUAACCACCAGUGUCUUGUCCUCCACCCCUAAGAACUUCGAGUUGUCGUACUUCACCAAGCAGCCCUCGAGCUGCAACGCGCCGCCACAGGAGUUGACGCAUAGGGUGCCGAGUUGACUCGCCGCGCGAGCGACGCACUGGGAGCAGUCAUUGCUGCUGAGGUCGCCGCGGCAUUGGAAGAGGCCGUAAAGGGUGUCCUGGGAGCCGGCGGAGCUGCUGCCGGGGAAGGUGAAGUUGUUGUAGGUGGAGAACAUGGCUGAGUUGCCCAGGGAAGUGAGGACCGAGUUGACUUUCGACUCGUAGGGUGAACCCGGGAGGUAUUUUUGCUGAGAACAGCCGCCGAAGACGAAGGAGGUGGUUGCGGAGGAUGAUGGAGUUGCGAGGAAGGAAACAGUAAGUAGGAAAACAAAUACAGAAGACAUCAUGAUUUGAGUUGUGAGGUGGUGGCUGCAGCAAGUUAGAAGAGAGAGAGAGAAGUGGGAAGAAAUAUAGGGUUUUUUAAUUAUGAAGUGUGAAGAUUCAAGGGAUUGUCAAUGGAGUGCCUUCAAGUAACAAAUAUGAAUAUUUGAAAAGGCAUAAACUGCAGGACCUCUUUUAGUGUGUGUGUGUGUGUGUGUGUGUGUGUGUGUGUGAGAGAGAGAGAGAGAGAGAGAGGAUGUAGGUGUGUGUGAGAUAGAUAGAGGAAGAGAGAAAGAGGGGUAAGGUUGCUUUGGGGGGAAUUUACGUAAGGGAGUGAGAAACUCGAUGGUUUGGUGCAUAUAUGAAUAAUGAUGGAUUAUUUUGAAGCCAAAAUGCUAUGGUUUGGAUGAGCGUGACUCACUAACGAGUAAUCUUUUCCAAUGUAACAAUCCAGCGUUCUCUUUACGUUAUGUUACUCAUUCAUACAUCAUACAUAUUAUUUAUUAAUACAAAAAAUUAUUUAUGUACAUUUAUUUUCUCUUUAUGUAAUCCUCCAGUUGUUUGUUCAUUGAUUUUUUUUUUUACAAGUUUAAAAAUGACCAUAUAAAGAAAAAAUUGUGGUGCAAAAAUUAUUUUCCUUAUUGAUAUUAUACUAUAGCAAUUUAGGAUUCGUUUAAAAAUGCUUUUAAAAUGAUUGAAACUGCUUUGGUCAUAUUGAUUUUAGAUUCCAAAAGCAUUUAAAGUGCUUUUUAGAAUAAGUGACAGACAUGUACUUCUUGCAUGAAGCAUCAAGUGCUUUUUAAAGAUCAACUUAUAUUUUUACUAAGGAUUAAUUUCAAUAACAUUUUCUUCAAAAGAACUUUCAAUCAUCUUAAAAACACUUCUACACUAACUCUUAAAUUAAUCUUUUAAGACUUGAAUAGCACCAUAUAUGACUAUGAUCGUCACUAAAAAAUUCUUUUCAAUCAAACUCGUACGAAAGUAUAGUAAUUGAUGGUUAUGAAGCAUGUGGGUGUUAGUUAAAAGCUUAGUUGGCUUCAAAUUAGUGAGUUUAAAAGUCAAUUAUAGUUGAGGAGACUGGUUACGGUUGACCACGUCAUCAUAAAAAAGUAGUCUGCAGGAUGACUUUGACAACUUCUACCGGUUGGCAGUUGGUCCUCUUUGAAUAACACGCAACUUAAUUGAUUUGUUUAUACGAAUCAUCGAGAGAUUUUUCAGUGUAAUAGUCACACGAGAUAAUAUAUUACGUGUUCUUAUAUAAAUGUUGGGUUAUGUGUGUUAAAAGAUUAAUAACUUAAAAAUAAAAAAAUUUCAUCACUUACAUAAAAACACGUGAUGUAUCAUCCGUAUUUUCGUCACAACUAAAAAUUUCUUCAAAUCAUCAGCUAAUGAUACUUUUAAAGUUUAAAUAAUUUCAAAGAAGGAUGCUUUUAACAUUAAAAUUAUUAUUAAAUUAUGAGUGUGAGUGAAAAUGGAAGCUUUUAGGAACAUUAACAUAACGUGAGUAAAUAUUUUGUGGUUUGAAAAGUAGCUAAUUAAGUUAGUCCAUACUCCAAGGGAACCAGAUCCUCCCCUGAGCAUGGGGACCGGAGCGUGCUGAGCAGUCCAUCUGAACUUUUGAAAUUUGAUCUAAUGACUGUAAUUAUUAUAACUUUUGGAAGGACUCCCUGUUUAUAGCUGUUAAAUCAAAUUUCAAGCGCCCAGAUGGACUGCUCAGCUGGCUUUGGUCCCUGUGGUCAGGAGGGGAUCCGGUUCCUACUCCAGGGUCCACAAUAAUUCAACUGAUUUUUUACUUAAAGCUAGCUAAGGCUUAAUUAAUGUGACUUCCAUGGCCUCCUAAGUUAGGUGUAGCUUUGAAUUUACAUCUACGCAGACAUCUCAUCUUAUUCGUAAUAAGAUAACAAUCAAUCCUAAACGAGUUCAAUUGAAAUAGAUCACAAAGAGGCCAAAUUAGGAACUCCGCCUACAAGUGAUAAGUCAUUAACUACAUAUACACAUCCGGUCAUAUAUGUAUUACAAAUUACAAUAACGAAUACAUAAAGAGGAGAACUUUAACGAAAAGCUCCCGGUACUAUUCAUUUUAACGAAAAAUCACAUUUUUACACUAAAAAGUCAAUAUUGAUACUAUUCACUUUACCCUUUAUUUUGUCCUUACCGUUAAAACUCAAACUUUUCAAGCCAUUUUCAUUAGUUUUCAUUUUUUAAAAAUGCUAGAUCUAAAAACAUCUCUCCCUGGCACUGGUAGUAAGUACUCUAUGGUUCAGAUCUUUAGCAGGUUUAUUGAUAGAGAUCAAUCGUUUUUUUCCGGAUGCGUUGAUAUUCUCCAUUUUUUCCUUCUAACUAUUGAUAUGGGGAGGGGAAGAAGACUAGAGAUACAAUCAAAUAUCUGUAACUAAUCCCUACCCCUCCCUUCUUUUUUUCUUUUUUUACUUCUUUUUCUGAAGAAAAAAAUAGAGUUUUAAUUGCAGAAGAUUUGAUGUCAAAAAAAAAAAAAUCGUUUGGCAAACAAAACUGCAGAAAGAAAAUUUGAAUUCAUUGCAAGGGGCGGCCACACUUUCCUGUCCAAUCGAACUAAGUGAAAAUCAGCAAAUUAAUUACGGAAAAAUGAAUCUUACGAGGAGGAGAAGAAACGUAUUAUUUGUUCAACGUCUAGCGUGACAAGUUUAUUAGUCAGUGAUUACAUAAUUAACUAAGAGGUGAUUAAUCCGUCACAAGAAUUAGAUUCAAUUUUUUUAGUCAGUAAGAUGCAAAAAGAAGGAUCAUGGAUAAAGAAACGAGCAUUAAACAAACCGUAGGUAGCGUAUAUACUUUAUUAGUUUACACCAUAUGAUCUUAUCCUUAUAUUCAGGCUCUUGCACGUCUCUUUUACACAAAAUUAUAAUUAAAAAGAUAUAAUUAUUGAUAUGAUAGAAAAUGAAGUUUAUGUACAUUUUUCAAUAUUUUUAAUGAUAGAAACAUAAGACCUACACAUUUCUAAAAUUGAAAUUCAACUAUCUACUUCAUGUUCAUGAUGAGUUGCAUUUGCACCACACGAAACAAAAACAUUUUUUUUUUUUUUUUUUUUUAUUUUGUUUUUUUUUGAAUUUGUACCAAAAUGUUUUUUCCAUCACAAUAAUUUUUUAUUUUCAUGAUAAGUAAUUUCAAUAUAUUAGGUUAUAUCUGAUAUCACACAUUUGAUAUAUUUUUUGCACUUUAUAUUAUUUUUAUGUUUCAAUGAUUUAAUUUUUUUAUAAUUCAUUCAUAUAUCAUUACUUGUAUAGAGUUAACUAAUUAUUAAAAUAUUUUGUUAUUACACACAUUUUUGAUAUUUUCCAUUUUUGUACAUUUUUUUCAUUUUCUAUUUUGUAAUGUAUUUUAACGAUUUAAACGAACAUCUAUUGAUAUAUUUAGUACAUCAUUCAUAUAUAAUAUCAUUACUUUAUACAAAAGACAAUUUAAUUUAAAUUGUCUUUGAGAGUACAAAACUUAAAAUUUAUUAAAUUAUUUACGUAUUAAUCAUUUGAAUGUUUAAAUUUAAAAGAAAUAUGAGGAUAAUGGUUGAUUUAUUUUGAUAAAAGAAAUUACUUAAAUCUAAUUAUGAAUACCAUAAAGAGUUAUAUAAUCCAUUCAAUAUUCGAAAUGAUAUGAAAGACAUACACAAUGACAUAUUUUUUUAAAUAAAUUUGCAUUUCACCAUACAAAAGACUAAUGUGUUAAAAACAAGUGGCAAAUUUGGAAGAAAGGUUCAAAUUAAUCAAGAAGGAGCAUGGUAAAUACUUCAUGUUCAUGCAAAAGUUUGCACACAAGUUUCAUUAUGAAACAAAAAAUUUUAAUGUUUAUUUACCUUCUAUGUUCAAGGGGAGUAAGCCAACACCCAAAAUUUGUGAUGGUCCUGGUAAUAUUUUUAAAUCAUUUUAAUUUGUUCAAAUAACAAAAUAAAACAGAGUCAUACAACUGUAUAUUUAAAAUUUCCAAAUCCUAAUCAUGGUAAGGCUCAAUGUUUUAAUUUUUUAAUAUUUAUUUAUUGGUAAUAUUCCACUCAAAUUUGUGUUUUUUGCAAGGUACUUUUUUUUAAAAAAGGGAACGAACCAUCUAAUAUUUUUAAUUCAAUUAGGUUCCUUUACAAAGUAGGUAUGUUAAUCAAAAACUCCCAUGGCCUAAAAUAUUGAUGUUGAGAUUUGUUCUUUUGUACAAAGAAAAAAUAAAUCUUAAUAAAUCAUCCAUGCUUACCGCUAUUACCAAAAAAUGUGAGUAUAAAAAUCAAAAUGUGAAUGGAGAUUUCCAAUUGUGUAAAGAAAAGAAAAGGUAAAAGAUAGAACUUUUGGACAUCUCAAAUUCCAUCUUUCGAAAGGUAUAAUUGCAGUGCGGAUUGUCCUUGCAAAUUUAGGAAAUUUGGGGACAAUGUUUGGAUUCAAUGUCAAAUAAAAAUGUAAAUAGUGAUGUUUCGUAUUAUAAAUGCAAGUGAUGGACUUUUGAAAUUGGGUUUGAUUAAUAAGCAAUAAGUCGGUCUCUUUACUAGUCAAAAAUUGUUAAAGUCUGCGGUUUUGUAGCCAAUAGGAUUCCUAUGAGUGAAUCUCUUUAUAAAAAACAAAAAAAAUUUAUCCUUGGUGCAAUAUUCUCAAGAGCUUUGCAACCUUUAACUCAGAAUCGACUAGCCACCCCUUAUCCUAAACUUUUGUUAUCCAAAAAAAAAAGUGAGGGGUUUUGUCUUCCAUCGAUGCUUUUGAAUUUUGAUGUGGCCACAAUACAUAAGAUUAUUAAAUUGUCUCCAUGGAUUGUAGGCCUCCAUGCACCAACGCUUGCAUAAUUUUGAAUUAAACAAAUUAUCAGUAAAAGUGGGUGUAGGAUGUUUGCUUCCAGAAUUUGAUUUUUAACACUCAAAUCUUUUAUAUUCUUUGUUUUCUUCGACUGGUAAAAGAGCUAGACUUUUUUGGUACACAUAACGGAAUUGAAUCCUAAACUCAUCGUACUCGUGAUUCGUUUCCCGUCAUUCACGCCACUUGGGCAACCCCCAAGGCUGAAAUUUGUUACUUACAUGAGUUAGAUUGCUUGAGUUUGUACCAUUCAUUACAUAAGAGCAAGUACAUCCGUUUUAGAGAGCAAGCGCAAGCAAGAGUACUAACUCACUCAAAGGGUACCAUGUAAGUUCUAUUUGAGAGCAAACACUUUGUGAUUUGUACAAAGUCUUUUGGGACGAUAAGGAGAUUAACUUUAUCACAUGUAUGCGCAGACUUAUAAGGAGUUGUAUUACUUAGGUAUUUAGGUAGUACAGUCAGAAACAUUCUUAGAUAAACUAGAACUCUUUCUAGCUGAUUUAUGCACAAGUAAUACGGUGAUAAAGUUCAUCUUUGAUAGGGUUUACUUAAUGGAGGACUCCUAAUCAAAGACUCACCUAUAGUAUAUAACUGAGGUCCCUUGCUCUCACAAAAUACCUGCAAGUAUACAGAAAUCCUCAAGCCCCAUUGAGUGAGCCUUGCUUCCGGACAGUGCAGAGACACAGAAGAGCCUCAGUUCUUUACCCUAUUUCUGAGACGAUGUCUUCCUCAGGUUAGUGGUUAAAUUGGUAUAUGAGUCAGUCGUUAUAUAUGUAUAUAACUUAAAAGAAUUAACUUACAUUUGGUAUCAGAGCCCUCACAUAUCAUCUGACCCUAUGUGAAAGGUAUCAAGAAAUUUCAUUCUGUUUUGCAGGUUAUGGAACUGGAAUUGUAUCAUCAAGGAAAAAAUAUAUAACAACACGUUCAAGGAUGACUAAAGUUAUCCUUGAUCAUAAGGAUAUUAUGUUUUUUUCAAUCGAUACAUGUACCAGUGAUGGUGCUUAAAAUUCAAGACAUGAUUAUUGAUCAUCUAAAGAUGAUUUUUCUUUCAUGCUUCGAAUUUGAGCAGCAUAUCAUUUUAUAUAUAUAUUUGAAUCAAAUUAAUAUUGUCAAACCACAAAGGCUUGUGAUUUUAAUUACAGAAAUUCGAAUGUUGACUAUAAAAGUGAUAUGAUUAAAGAAAGUUUUCACAUAUUCAUCAAUCUAAAGAUGUUGAAGAUGUGAUUUAUGGUUUGGGGUUAAAGAUUAAUACUCUUUACAUCAUGAACGUUUCCUUUUCAGUGAAUCCCGGCUCUUUGAAUCUCAAUACAGUUGAGAGCCUCUUACUGGUGUCAAACUACAGAAAAGUGGAAACAAGAUCUCGAAAUCGUUUUGGGAGUUAUGGACUGGGAUUUGGCACUGAGAACUGAAGAACCUCCGGCACUCACUGAUGACAGCACUGCAAAUCAGAAAUGCAAGUAUGAAAAAUGGCACAAAUCCAACAGAAUUGCCCUAUUGAUCAUCAAAAGGAGCAUGACAGAUGUGGUGAGAGGUGGCUUUCCUGAUGAAGCAAAUGCAAAAGAUUUUUUGAAGUCCAUUGAGGCAAAGUAUAGGGAAUCACCAAAAACUGAGACAGGUAAUCUCAUGAAUGCUCUCACUACCAUGAGAUAUGAUGGGGUUCAAAGUGUGCGAGAAUACAUAUUGAAAAUGGUGGACGUUGCUGGAAAACUCAAUGCACUCGAGGUACCAAUUUCUGAUACUUUUCUGGUACAUGUCAUUAUGAAUUCUCUGCCUGAAAGUUAUACACAACUCAAAGUUUAUUAUAAUGGUCUACGUGAGAAAUGGGAUGUGAAUGAAUUGAUAGCUAUUUGUGUGAGUGAAGAAGAAAGGAUGAAGAAAGAAAGGUUUGAGAAAGAGAGAAUUGAGUCUGUGAACCUUGUCCAAAGUGUCACUAGGGCCACUAAAUCUCAUGUUCCCGAUACUGCCAAAAAGGAUUCUACCAAGUCAGUUCCCUCUCCUAAAAGAAACUUCAAGCUUAAUAAACUUUCAGUUUUCAAGUGCUAUUUUUGCAAAAAGGCAGGCCACAUGAAGAAAAACUGUCCCAAAUAUAAGGCUUGGCUUGCCAAACAAGAAGCAAAGAAAGGUAAAAAUGUUUUUGCUUGUUUUGAAUCAAAUUUAAUUAACAUACCUAGCACUGAAUGGUGGCUUGACUCGGGCUCUUCUAUACAUGUUACAACUUCAUUACAGGACUUCACAACAAGGAGAACACCAAAUAAGGAUGAAGUCAAAGUUUCGGUUGGCAAUGGAAGAAGAGUUGAAGUCAAAGCCCUAGGAAGUGUUAGACUAAAGCUAGAAUUUGGUUUUUAUUUAGAGUUAGAUAACAUUGUUUAUGUGCCUUCCAUGAAAAGGAAGUUGAUUUCUAUUUCAAAGCUAGUGUUAUUGGGUUUUUAUUUUACUAUUAAUAAAAGGGGCUUUAACGUUUUUUAUGAAUCUUCUCAAGUAGGACAUGGUUUCAUGAGUGAUGGUAUGUUUCAACUUAAAUUGAAUCAAACUGAAUAUGUUUUCAACGUACAAGAUGAUAAAAUCAAAACUCAACAGUCUUCAAUAUUAUGGCAUAAGAGACUCGGCCAUAUUUCUAAACAAAGAAUGGAGCUGCUUGUCAAAAACGAAAUUUCUACCUCCAUUAAACUUCAAUGACUUUGAAUUUUGUGUGGAUUGCAUUAAAGGGAAAAUGACAAAACACUAGAAAGGAAGGCUCAACUAGGAGUAAGCAACCCUUAGAGAUCAUUCACACGGACAUUUGUGGUCCUUUUCCCACACAAAACCUUAGAAGGAAACAAAUAUUUCAUUACUUAUAUUGAUGAUUUCUCAAGAUUUUGCUUCAUUUAUUUGAUUUCAGAAAAGUCUAAAGCACUUGAAACUUUUAAAAUUUAUAAAAGUGAAGUCGAAAAUCAAUUGGAAAGGAACAUUAAGGUUGUAAGAUGUGAUAGGGGAGGGGAGUACUAUGGUAGAUAUACUGAAAUUGGUAGAAAUCCUGGACCUUUUGCGUUAUUUCUGCAAGAACAUGGAAUUGUAGCCCAAUAUACCACACCAGGUACUCCGGAGCAAAACGGAGUAGCCGAGAGGAGGAAUAGAACUCUCAUGGACAUGGUAAGGAGCAUGAUUUGUAGAACUAAUCUGCCAAGUUGUUUGUGGGGAGAAGCAGUGAAAACUGCAAAUUAUAUAUUAAAUAGGGUACCUUCUAAAUCUGUGGAAGGGACACCUUUCGAACUAUGGACAGGCAGAAAACCGAGUUUAAACCACUUGCAUGUAUGGGGCUGUAGAGCAGAGGCAAAGAUAUAUAAUCCAGGUUACAAGAAACUUGAUUCAAAGACUGUCAGUUGUCAUUUUAUUGGAUAUGCUGAAAGGUCGAAGGGUUUUAGAUUUUAUUGCCCUAACCAAAAUACAAGAAUUGUCGAAACUGGAAAAGCAGUUUUCAUGGAGUCUGAUGCAAGCGUCGAUUCUGGGACAAGGGUUGAAGGGUUUGUAUUUGAAGAAGAAAUAAACAAUCAAGAAGCAGCAGUUGAAGACGUUGAUCGUAACACAGCGAUUAUGGCACCAAUAGUUGUAGUAACCGAGAUAAUGGGAAGCAAUGAUUCUGAUGAACCAAGUCACGAGAUAGAGGUUGCACAUGACAUCGAACUGCACGAUAACACUGUUGUACAAGACGUGUUUGAAGAGGUUGUGAUAGAAAAUCAACAACAACAACACCAUGCACAUGAAGACAACAUCACGGCUGCGGGUGCUGCAAAUAUAAGAAAGUCAUCUAGGGUUAGAAAACCUACAACCCUAAAUGAUUUCGUAUAUUUGACACAGGUUGACACUGAUCUUUCAGAGUUUAAUGAUCCGAUGAGUUACAAAGAAGCAAUUGCAGGACCAGAUGCUGAUAAAUGGAUAGAAGCCAUGAAGAGUGAACUGAGUUCGAUGGCAAACAAUCAAGUGUGGGAUCUAGUGGAACAGGCAGAAGGAUCAAAACCCAUAGGAUGCAAAUGGGUUUUCAAAACAAAAAAGGAUUCAAACGGAAACAUAGAAAGGCACAAAGCCAGGCUUGUUGCGAAAGGCUUCACGCAAAAGGAGGGUGUGGACUACAAAGAAACAUUCAGCCCCGUGUCGACAAAGGAUGCGUUUAGGGUUAUCAUGUCUAUGGUGGCUCAUUUUGAUUUGAUUUUACAUCAAAUGGAUGUAAAAACGGCGUUCUUGAAUGGGGACCUGGAAGAAUGCAUUUACAUGCGUCAACCAGAAGGUUUCAAGGAGGGAGAAGGAAGAAACCUAGUGUGCAAACUCAACAAAUCCAUAUAUGGAUUGAAGCAAGCAUCACAGCAGUGGUACUUGAAAUUUCAUAGAAUUGUGAAAGAACAUGGCUUCACCGAGAAUCCUUCAGACAAUUGCAUUUAUCUGAAGUUCAGUGGGAGCAACUUUAUCAUCCUAGUUCUCUAUGUGGAUGAUAUAUUACUUGCCACGAAUUCUCACAGUUUGUUGGAUGAUACAAAAACUUUUUUGCAGAAGCAUUUUGAAAUGAAAGACAUGGGAGAAGCGACAUAUGUUUUGGGCAUUGAGAUCAAAAGGGAUAGAAGGAGAGGUUUGCUAGGCUUGUCACAGAAAGCAUACAUAGAGAAAAUGUUAAGAAGGUUUAAUAUGUCUUCGUGUGGAACUACUGAGAUGCCUAUAUCGAAGGGUGAUAAAUUAAGUAAGCAGCAGUGUCCACAAACAGACUUAGAGAGGAAGGCUAUGGACGACAAACCAUACGCCUCCCUGGUGGGAAGUUUAAUGUAUGCACAGGUGUGCACAAGGCCUGACUUGGCUUUCACCAUUUCCGUGCUUGGGAGGUUUCAAUCCAAUGCAGGUGAAGCUCACUGGAAUGCUGCCAAAAGAGUUUUUGAGAUACCUUCAGAGAACCAAGGACCAUAUGUUGGUGUAUAAAAGAACCGAGAGUUUGGUUUUGGAAGGGUAUAGUGAUUCUGAUUUUGCCGGUUGUCCAGAUGAUAUGAAGUCAACUACAGGUUAUGUUUUUUCUUAAUGGCAUGUGGUGCGGUAUCUUGGAAGUCUGUCAAACAAGGAACUGUGGCAGCGUCAACAAUGGUUGCAGAGUAUUUAUCAGUCUGUGAAACAGUGAAUCAAGCUGUUUGGUUUAAGAAUUUCAUAGUUGGGCUUCAAGUAGUGGACUCUAUAUCGAGACCUAUACAGAUUUUCUGUGAUAAUAAUGCAGCCAUAUUCUUUACUAAGAAUAAUAAGAGAUCUAAUGCAACAAGGAAUUUGGAUAUAAAAUAUCUCAUUGCUCGAGAGAAGGUGAUGGCCGGUUUAGUUAAGGUUGAUUAUUUGGAGACUGGAUCCAUGAUCGCUGAUCCGUUAAAUAAAGCAGUUCCCACCAUCGUUUUCAAGAAGCAUGUCACUAGCAUGGGAGUCUUGGCUGGUUUUGAUGCAGCGAAUUAGUGGGAGCUAUGCAACAGGUUUCAACUUUUAUGCUAGUUUUCAUUCAAUAGCAAUUUAUGUUAUGGAGGAUAAGUUUGAGUAUUAACAAUGAAGUUUUCUUAGCUAAUAAAGAAUAAAGCUGAAAGGUUGUUCAAGUUUCCUUAAAGGGUUCAGUUUUUAGCUAUGAUAAUGCAUGAAUAUUUUGCAUGCUGUUUAUGAUUUUUAUUCAUUAUACAGUGUCGGACAACCUGAGGGCUUUAUAUAGAAGCACAUGGAUCGUUUUUCGAUUCUGAAAGGGACCAAAUGUUAGACAUAAUUAAUACAUGUUCGGUUGUGUCUUGCAUGCUAUAUAUCUUGUUGGAAUCUUAUGUGUUGAUAAGCUUUACUUUAAGUAAUUAUGGGGACGGUACUCUUCAGUGUAAUGAGUGUGUGCCCUAUAAUUCUCAUGAAUGCUUAACAAUGACGAAGACUGUAAAACUAAGAAGUGUCGAAAGUUAAUCUCAUGGCCAAUUCAGAUCCUUCCCAACUCCAGUAUGAUUAUACAACUUUACAAAGUAUUUGCUCUAGUGGGAGAAUGUAAGUUCUAUUUGAGAGCAAACACUUUGUGAUUUGUACAAAGUCUUUUGGGACGAUAAGGAGAUUAACUUUAUCACAUGUGGCAGACUUAUAAUGAGUUGUAUUACUUAGGUAUACAAGUCAGAAACAUUCUUAGAUAAACUAGAACUCUUCUAGCUGAUUUAUGCACAAGUAAUCUACGGUGAUAAAGUUCAUCUUUGAUAGGGUUUACUUAAUGGGAGGACUCCUAAUCAAAGACCAUCACCUAUAGUAUAUAACUGAGGUCCCUGUGCUCUCACAAAAUACCUGCAAGUAUACAGAAAUCCUCAAGCCCCAUUGAGUGAGCCUUGCUUCCGGACAGUGCAGAGACACAGAAGAGCCUCAGUUCUUUACCCUAUUUCUGAGACGAUGUCUUCCUCAGGUUAGUGGUUAAAUUGGUAUAUGAGUCAGUCGUUAUAUAUGUAUAUAACUUAAAAGAAUUAACUUACAUACCAUAUAUUAUAUAAGAGCAAAGCCACGUCGACUAGUUAUUGGCAUGUCUGCAGUCGGACUGCUGCAGACGGGGCUCGCUAUUGUAGUUGUUGUUGGCCACUUGUCCAUAAUCGCAUGUGUGUUACACUCUCCUGACACAAAGCCUUGCCCACAAGCACAAGACCGAGCUUCAGAUGCUCGGGUAUUUGGACUUGCUUGGCACACUACUUGCCCUUGCAUUUUUGGAGGGCAAAUUUUGAGCCCUUACUCUUGUCUUGCACCAACUGAAGCUGCUCUAAUGAAUUCAUAUUUGUAUACACCUUUAUAAAUUACCUCUUAUAUAUAUAUAUGCGCAAGUCCCACAUACAUCAAUGGUUCAUUUCUACAAAGAGAAAUGGUCAACAAAGUGCGUGGUCAUUAAACAGAAUAAAUGGUAUUAUUUAGUGUCCAAAAAUAAAAUUAGCAUUAUUGAUUGGUGAUAGAUGAAUGAGACCUCAAUGGAGCAUUCGAACAAAUAGGGGAAAACCCACAAUCCAUAUUUUAUAGGGAAUAUAAGGCCCAAGAGACCAGUUAGACCUACGUUUCACAACCCAUAUUUUGUGUCAUCCGUGAACCAACGGAAUUGGCAACUCUUGUGGUCCUUGGUUGAGCAACGUUUGUUUGAAUAAAUUAAGGAACCUUGGUUGAGCAACAUUGGUUUGAAUAAAUUAAGGAAUUGAAACACAAAUAGCAUAGGUGGGUUAUUUUUGACUGUUGAUGUACCAAGACACCAACGGUUAUGUUUAACCCACAUGCAUAGCUGCAGAUUAUAAUAUUUAACUGCAUAUAAAAAUCUUGAAUUACUCCGCCUUCAACAUUCAUGCUCGCUCAAUGACCCCUCAAUUAAACACAUAAUUAAACAUGCAACGUCUAACUCGAGCCACUGCCAUGCAAACAUAGAUGAUUAAACGGAGGAGAGCAAUCGAAUCAUUCAUGUGCAAUAUACUAUUUCACUGUAUCAAUACAAAUAUCAAACACUACAGAUCUCCCCCACGGGAACAACUAGUUGCGAGGUCUUCCGUGUGAUGUCUAUGCAACAAACAACUCAAGCCGUAGAGGAAAUUGUGUGGAUGGUAUGGAAAUCGAAAAAUAAAUAAACGAUAACUUAUUUACACACAUGAAUGGAUGAACUAACAAACAACUUCCACAAUCUCUGAACAAUAUCAACACACAGCGCACAAUAUAAACACCGGCAUACUUUCGAUCAUCCACCGGGCAGGGCCAAAUGGACAACAGCAGCCUAUACAAUCUGCCAAACUUUUUUCAGACAACACUGCAUCAAGAAAAAUUAAAAAAAUAAAAACUCCCAAUAUAUAAUUCGUCUUGCUUGCUUCACAAGGUUCAUUUACAUGUAGCCAGUAAUUAUUAACUCGUUAAAAUGUUUAGGAACAUAUUAAUAAAUCCAGUAUGGUUGAAUAAUUAGAACUAAUUACUCUUUCUUUUUGUCUCCGUCGGAUUUUUCCUUCUCCAUGCGUUCGAACAAGGUUCCGUCGUAAACAGCUCUAACGGUAUCUUUGUGCAGCAAACCAUUCUUGUCCUUGCAGAGAACGUAUAAGAUCUUCCAUUCUGUAUAGGCAGCAACCCUGCAUUUUAUAUUCCAUCGUUAAUUUAGUUAUGUUCUCUCUUUUAUAUUUCAGCAGGACAUGAAAUAUAUAUGAGAAACUUACCAUCCUGCAUAAUCCUUGGGAACCCUAUUAGUCUUUAGCAUGCCCAUCAGUUCAUCUGAUGUCAACGAAUUUGGAUGCGUAUGGGCAUGCUUUGCAAAGAUUUCUUCAAAUUUCAACGGAACAAACCUGAAAAAUUGUAAUUGGAGAAAAAUAAUUAAAUACAAAAAAGCUGAAAACAUAAUCCAAAUUCCAAAAGGAAGGGGAUUGGAGAGAGGUAAAAAAAAAGUAAGAACAAGAGUAGUUAAAAAAGGGUAAUGCUUGUGUCUCCUAGAGGACUUGUCUUCCCACUUACGAUUAACGAACUUUUAUCAUCCGAACAUUAUAAUCGAAACCGUUUAUUUUUUUUAUCAUUAUCUUGAUCAUAUGUGCAAAAAAAUUAUUCAAUUUGAAGAUCUUUUAGCCAUUCAUAUACAUAAAACAUAUGAACAUUUAAUCAUAAGAUUGCUCAUUGUAACCAAAAUUAUUGGUUGGUAUAACACGUAAGAAUAAUUUAGUUGUUCAUGUUCUUGUGCAAGCAAUAACAAUUAAAGCUAUUUAAUACAGCAUCCAUCAGACUAUAUAUAAUAAGAAGAUUAUAUUAUACAGAAAAUUGAUAUCAAUUAAUUAAUUAAUAAUUAUACGGUUAUACCUUCCUUCAGUAUCAUAGACACCAGAGUCACUGCCAUGUUUUGCUUUAUGGAUAUUUUUAACUUCAAUUGGGAAAAGUAGAGAAGGAAACUUUCCCUGCACCAAACACAGAAGCAAAAGCCACGUCACUUCUACUCAACGUAAUAGCAGCAAACGCGUCGAAAUAGACAGAAUUUAUUCCCCCCUAUAACACAUGUUCUUUCUUCUUUGUUUGGUUAAUGCGUCACAAUAUUCUUACAACAGCGCACAUUCAACCAAAUAUUCAAUAAUAUUGUAAAACAAUUUUUUUUUUAAGUUGCAACGUACAAUAAUUUUACAAUUUUGUAAACAAACGAGAAUUUUUUCUAAUAUGAACUAUUUUAAUCUAUAAGAAAAAGAAUAGAAUUCUUUUGAAAGUACUUUUAACAUAUUUUUUAGUUUUAAAAGCGUUUGAAGUGUUUUUUUCAAGAUUCAUUUGCAUUUUUACCAAAUAUUAAUUUCAAAACAUUUUUAUCAAAAAUAGUUUCAAUCAUUUUAAAAAUACUUCCAAACGAUCAUUUAAAAUAAUAAUAUAUUGUUCUAACCAACUUGUCUAGAAUCAAUAAGAUAACAACAAUUUAGUCCGGAUUUUCUGGUAAAGGUCAAGCUAAGUUGCUUUAGUGCUACUUAUCAAAUCAACAUUUGUCACGAACACUAUACAACCCUACUGGAUAUUUUCCUCCAUCUAUAAACAUGUGGACGUGAGUUUUUGACACAUGUCCUAAAUAUAAUAUUUCACAAAGAAAAAGUUGGUAACUCAGAAAACAAAUAUUCUAAUCUGGGAAUGAAAUUUUACUCUUUGCCGUCGCAACAUAGUCUAAAGCUUUGUACUUGUAAAAUUUUCCUUAUAAAAAGUUUUGUUACGAAGUGAGUCAAUCUCGGGACUUCCGAUGCUUGAGAGUUUGUUUGUUUUUUAUUUUUUAUUUAUUUUAUAUUUUUUUAAAAUACAAGAGGAGCGAAUCGAACUCAUAAUUUCCGAUGCAUACGCGAAUGAUAACCCUAGUGAGCGGAGUAUGAGAGUGAGAGAGAUACCUGGCGAGUCUUUUGACUGAGGGCAGCGUUGAUGAGAAAGGCACUGGUUGUGGACAACAAAAUGCCACACCCGAUCGCACGAAAACCUGUUAAUCACAGAGAUUAUCACUUUUAAUUAAAUUCUACAAAUUAUGAUAGACCGGUUUUAAAGAAGGAGAAAGGCAACAAAUAAUUGACAAAAACCUUGAAAAGUUUCCCAAGGAUAAACAAUGCCAUCGCGGUUCCUGUCAAAGAAGGCUACAUGUCUCUGCAGAACGUCCUGUUCGUUGGGUACAAAUUUCCCACCAUUAUUCCCUGCAUGCAUCACAAUUUAUGCCGAUAUUAAUUAGCAUAUAAUUCACUUCAAUACAUAUAUAAACCCUUUAUUUAACUCUAAGCAAAACGACCGGAAAGUUCAUGAAAACCUAGAGAGAAAGAGAGAGAGAGAGGAACUGCAUACCUUGCUGCUUAUUGUUUUCUGACAGAGAAGAGGAACCCAUAUUUUUCAGAAGGAUUGAAAGCUUGAGAGGGGAGAAGAAGGUAAAUCUGAUAAAGUGGAAUGGCAGUGAAGGAGAGUUAUGAAAAGAACCGAUCGACAAAUCCAACCUAAUAACGAGCGGAGCAACUUUAGAGGGUUGUGUGGGUUUUCUUUCCUGAAAUGUCUGGUUUUCAAACACACAAACUAAUUUAUUUAUAAAGGGCCAAAAGGAAGUACAAAAUUUAAUUUAAAUAUCUGGAAAGGCAUGGUGAUAGAUAUUCUACAAUUAUUGGAAAUUAUUGUGUUGUGGAAGCUUAGCGGUGCAAUAACGUCCUAAAUGGCAAGUCCCCACGCUGGCCCUACACGUUGACGAUCAAUUAGCCUAUUGCCACCCGUUAAUGCGCGUGACACCUCGUUCUUCUGUAUUUUAUUUAUUUAUUUUUAGAAUUUUAAUUCUUAAAAAUAAAUUCUAAAAAAUACUCUACGUGAACGAGGUUGUUUCUUUUGAAUUUUUAUUUAUUUUUUACUAUUUUACACUUAUUUAAUUAAAUUUCUCUUUAAGGGGAAUUUUGGGCAUUUAUCAAUAUAUCUCUUGUAUGUAUAAAGGAGUACCUCAAAAUAUGAACCUUCGGCCAUAAAUUGCUCCUCAAAAUGUCCAAAAAUACAAUUUAAUUGACCAUAUUUUAACUUUUUAAUGAAUUUGAAAUUUAAAACUUUAGGAAAAAAUAAUAAUAAAAACAAACCCCAUACGUUAGCAAGUGACAUUUUACCACAGUGGUGUAAAAGUGUUGAGCCCUUGCAUGACGGUGUAGGCUCUACUCUGACUGUGGCUAAUCUAACAAAAUAUAUAAAUAAAAAACUUGAUUUCUAAAGCGUAAAGUUAAAGAGACUAAAGUUAUAGACAAAAUUUAUAAACUAAAUGACUUGUCACCAAUAUGAAUAAACAUGUUUACUAACGCUUAAGUGAUAACUCAAUAAUCAACUUUCAUAUUCUUUAGUUUACAAAAUUUUAUCUACAAUAUUACUCUUUUCUAAAUCUUCUUUUUUUGUAAAAUUCCAUAAAAAAUUAAUUUUACAUAAAAAAGUCAAUUGCCACACCGUCUCACUAAAUUUGGUUUCUUCCUUUAUUUAAUGUCUUUUUUUAUUAUUAAUUAGGAAUAUUUAUUUACUAUUCUUUUGAUAGCAGAGUCAUAGACAUAGGGAAGCGAUCUCUCUCUUCUCUUAGACUCUCGCCUUCUUCAGAGCGAGGAGGGCAUCUUCCCAACGGCACUUCAACAAUUUUUCAAAAUUUUCUUUUCUUUAUCUCUUUUUUAUUUCAUUUUGUUCAGCCAUCAAGCUAUCUACUUCGGAGAAUCCUGAAAGUUUUUGCUAUGAUAUCUUAAUUAUUGUUCUUAUAGGAUAGCAUGCCUUUUUGAAACCCUUCAUGUUAUUUUCAUUUUUCUUUUAUUGACACCGCAUUGAACACACAUCCAAUUGUGUAUACUCAACAUACAUUAUUAUCUUAUAAUUAUAUGUUAGAGUGCGUUGUUUAAUUACGAAAAGCAAUGUAUAAUAAUUAUUAGCUGCAUAUUUAACGUACGUACGCAACCCUACCUCAAAACGAUGCUGCGGAAACCAAAGACAUUAAACUAACACACGAAUAAUAUACUUUGAUCUUAAGAAUUAAACAAAUAAUUAAACAAAAAGGAAAACAGCAAACAAGGAAAGGCAAAGAGGCGUGAUUGGUUAAGUGUGGGGGCAGAUUGUCUGCCCUCCUAGUUGUGAUGCUAUUCUAUGCCUUUUUAUUUAUACGGUCAAGGUUAAGUUACGUUAAUAUUUUAUAUUAAUUUUUUAAUAAUAUAAAAUAUUAACGUGACUUAACCGUAAUCGCAUAAAAUAUGAAGACAAAAAAUAGCACAACAACUAGGAGAGCAGGCAAUCUGCCUCCUUUUGCUUUUGCUUUACAGAAACAGAUAACAGAUAAAUGAUGCUGCUGUUAGCUUUUACGUCACUUCCGAAUAGUCUCAACUCGUACGUAUCAGCUCUGAGCUCACCAGGUGUGAAUGCUCCCUCUUCAAUGUUGGUCACACGCACAUAACACGCAGUCAGUCAUGCGAAAAAGAUGGCCAUCGAUUCGAGCCCACCACCUGCAGAAGCUUCCCUUCCCUCCCAACAAGUUCAAAACAAAUGUCCAAUCCAAAUGACUGAAGCUGCGCCAUUCGCAUCUUUCAUUGUGUUUUUUUUUUGUUUCUUCACUUUCCUCUUUCAGAAAUCUGAAGCUUCCCUCCCAACAAGUUCAAAACCACAAAUGUCCAAAUGACUGAAGCUUCUCCAUUUGCAUCAAAAUUACCUACCUACUGUUUUUUACUCUUCUUGUCCUUUGCAAUAGGAUAUCUUACACUAAAUUUAUUUAAACUACAGUCGAACCUUUCCGUAAAAAAAACCAUAGCCAAACUUUUUUUUUUUUGAACAAAUAAUAUUAUUUAUACCAAGGUGAUGAGGGAGUGAGCUAGGCUUUACAAUUGAUUAGUAAUGAUAUGGUUCAAAUUCGUCUUAGACGAAAAUCGAACUUAAAAUCUCUCAUUUUUAAGUAAAAAGAAAUAUUAUUAGACCGCAGUACCGUGCUCAAACUAGUUCAACUAAAUCCAUGUUCGUCUUUAUUUCUAUUUUAUUCAAUUUGCUAAUGAUAUAUUAUUACCGGGUGCAACUUUUUACCCUCUUUUUAAGUCUUUUCCAUCCACAAUGUCUCCAUAAAUGGAGGAGUUGGUGAUUCUCCUUUUUGGCUGCUUCCUGCUUAACAGCUAAGAUAAAGUAAUAUAUUGUUGGAAAGUCUUAUUUACACACUUAAUUUUAUUUCGCAAUGAAAAAAAAAAAUUUACCUCUCAAGCAUUUUUGUUAAUUUUUUUAUUAUUGAUCUUUAAUUAUUUAUUCGAUUCGACAAUCGAAAAUUGAGAGGAGCGUAUGAAAAAUUAAAAUAUGUGUGUGAAUAACACUUCCCUAUACUAUUUUGGGCCAUGAAACUUUACUUUAAUAUGUUUUCAUGGUAAAGUAGACGUAAAAACUGACUUAGUAAGUAAACACUACUAAAAGAAUCCAGGAAUAUCGUGCGUGUAGAGAUAGAUACUUGUUCUAGAAGGCCAUAGAUAAUGACAUAGAUGACCAAAACAACCAAUUAGUCGACAUGGAUCAUGACUUUUAGUUGACAGCCGAUUUUAUGGAGAAUCACAUUCUCAAUAAUGCACGUGAAAUUGGAGGUGUUCUUCCAUAUUUUCAAACGACUUUAUAGAAAAGCACAUUCUCGUGAGUGUAGAAGUGAUUAUGGCCUUAUCAGAAUCAUGAGUGAUUGUGGCCCUCUCAGUUUCUCAGUUUCAUUCUCGAACAAGCAGCGAUAAGCUGAAAUAGAUACGUACCACAGAUCUCUUAAACGAGUUCACACACACACAACACCAAUUAAUUAAGAAAUGACGGUGUCACAAAUUUAACUUACAUCACAACACGUAAUUGAGUACGACGUCGGCUGCUUCCAUAACGAGUCUCCAGUUAAACAAAUUUGAUCACUGUUUCUCUUUAUUUUUUAUUUCAAGAUUUCCCUUAACUUAUACGGUUAAGCAAAAUAGAAACAUAUUUUUUAGGAUAUUUAAAGGAAGAGGGAACAAAUGUUGGUCUACCAAGCAGUUCUUUAAACCUCAAAAGAAAUAUUUUGAAACCGUCUUUUUCCAGUACGUGAUGCGUAGAACACAAGAAAACGUUUGCUUUGCUGGAAUUCUGAGCACACCUAUACAAUCUAUAUAUAUCCUUCAAAAUUAUACGUAACAUAACAUAUACUAAUAUAAUAGGGCAGCAUUCGAAACGUUCAGGCGAACAAAGAUUCUGUUUAAUUGUAAGUUAAUCGUUUUUCGACCUUUAAAUCCUCCCGGGAUUUGCGGGUUCUAGGCACCUACCCUUCGCUGCGAUGACGACUUCUGUAAAUAUGCUGUACCAAAUAUUGAUCUUCAUCCAUAACAAACAUCAGUCUUGAUUAGAAUUCGAAUUCAAACUACAGGGCUUCAGACAUGAGAUGGAAAACAAAAGGUAUUGAAGAAUCGGUACUUCGUAAUCCAUCGAUUCAUAUAAUUACAUAUCAUUUACGCGCUUAACAAACUCGGUAUUUGGAGUGGUUUCAAGUGUUUUCGCGACAGAAAAUCUACGGAACAGCCAGCCAAAUAUAUCAUCCUCGUAAAGCUAAAGAGCCGUCCGCCCAAUUCUGCAAAUAGCACAAUGCUGUCACGUUCUAAAACCACAAGGUAAAUAUUCAGUAUGCAAUGGACUUAUGUACAAGUCCUCGGAACACAACACGUUGAAGCUACUAUAAAAUAAGGUGGUUCGUGCGCAAAGUACAAACAACGUGUGUGUAAUGUCCCCUAUUAUGUCUGUAGGAAAACAUCACAUAUAUGUCUUUCCACCAAAGGCAUAUGUGAUGGCAGAACAGAGAUUACAGCGCAUCGCUACAGAUGGAGCGAUCCUUAAUUACAUUAGACAUGACUAGCACAUUGACGCUCCUUAACAAGUAUCAUUCAACGUAUAUAAUAUAUAAAGUAUCGUAUAUUUAUUCAAGUCUGACCUUAGAUAAUGCAACAUUUCACCACAAGCCCUUUUUGAUCGACCCUUCCCUCUUCAUUCCCUGAAAAUACAUAUUCAUAUAUUAACUCUCCAUUUCUCUAGAUGAUAUGAACAGAAGGAAAACAGAAGCAAUGCAGUCCUGUUAAUAAAACUUAAAUACAUAAAAAGGUAAAGCAUGUUCAGCAAGAAACAGCUGAAACUAACAGACCUUCGGGUGGCUGAGCUAGCCUUCGGUUCUGUGGCGACAUCAUCUCUUUCUUCAAUUGUGUCAAUACGUCCUCCAUCGUAUAUUCCCUUUGCCAAUUGGCAAGCAUGGGGAAAAGACUGGGUUCAACCUGGUAAUUUGGCCACCCAUCAGCUUGUUUCAACAAUAACAAAGGAACAUACUUGAGGGUAAGAAUCACCUACCACUCCAGAAUCAUGAUUGACACAGGUCAUGUUUAUCCGUGUUUGGAACCUAACAGUUGGCGGAUUAUCUGGAUAAUCCUUCCCACAGAACAGUUUCAAUUGGUAAAUGCGCCCUUCAUGCACAGUCUAGCAAGAAGCAAGAUCAGCAAGACAUUAAGUUUCUUUAUUCAAAGAAUGACGUCGUUUCAAUGCAGCUUGCCAUGAUUUUAUUUUUUCUAUUUUAGAAGCGCAUGUAUGAGCAGCAAUUUACCCAAAAAAGGAAACUAAUGAGAAUAAGGAACCUACAUUUGGGGGCCCGAUAAUUGUCCCUGUCCAUGACUGCAUAUAAACAUCAUCAGCAUCAUCCAUUCCAUAGCUAACAGUGCCAUCCCCAAUUCCCUUUUCACCCCUCUCAAGCUCUUCCAGUAAUCUGAAAUUCCUGGGAACUACACACAAAAAAAAAAAAGAAAAACAAGACACAUAAUUACAACUCUUGCAUCAUGUGAUCAUAACAAUUGUCCUACUGUAACAAAUAAUCACAAAAGAACUGGAAAAAGACAAGUGUUUAACAAAAAGGAUUAACAUAUCUACUCGAUGUAACAAAGAAAACCAAAGGCAGCUUCAGUCACAAAUCUCAUCAAAUUCAUGACAAAAUUAGAAGCUAGUUCAACAAAUACCAAUUCAUACAAGAGCAUAGGCUAUCUAAUACAAAAAGGGGAAUACUCCAGUUACUCUCCGUUAUUUUAGUCCCUUAUAUUUUUCCAAUGAAACUCCUCACAGAAAUACUUUCAUCGGCUUCUUAAUAAUAGCAGAGGUUCUAUAAAUUCUUUUCAGGAAAGAAAUAGAACAUUAGCUAAAGAUAGUAGCUAUAAUUUCCAAGCUAAGGAGAGAUGAGAAGUGUUUACAAUAGUACGAUAAAACACUACAAUUUCAGUUCUAAUUCUCACUUGCACUCUCUAUGGAGAACCCAUCUGAGAAUUGGUUAUAGAAAAGCGGAACCACCCUUGUGUUAGGAAAAACAUGGCCACUGUCUCCUGACCAAAAGUAAUGGUAUUUCAAAAUGAUCUUGGUUCCCAGAGUGCUCCUAUCCAGAAGAGAUGUAAAAACUCAUGCUAGCUUGAAAAGUUUGAGAAGUAAAUUGUAAUAUCUGGAUACCCAAUCAGAUACCCUUUUUAGAAUGCCUUACUUAAUGUAACGAUAAAGAUGAAUAAUCCUAUCUCUCGUAUUAGAAAUUACAUUGCAUCCCCUGUAAGAGAAGGAUGCUAAAAAUUUAUGAGGCAUUUAUUUUGGCACUGGUGAAUCUGACCUGAGGUAAGAUUCAACUAUGAGUAUAUGUUCAGCUGGAGGGUUGUGGAGGAACUGACAUACUGGGUUCUUCUAAAGACGGCAGAAUAAUGGGCAGCCCUGUUUAUAGGAGAGAAUGCAGGUUCUUGCAUUUUCAUUGCAAGGAAGUACAUUAUUCAGGCAAACCAUUUACGGAAGACAACACUUUAGAACAAAACAGAAAUAAGGGAGAAAAAAGAAACGGGUGACCAAGGCACAACAUGACUUCUGAAUCUAUAUCUAGUCACGCUACUAAUUGUCUCAAGAAUAUCUGGUUCUGUUAAUCUAUAUCUUAUUUAUCAUAACAAUGAAUUCAGAAACAAAUUAAGAACUCUUUUGACAUCAAAAGUGAAAAUUUCCAAAUCACAAUUUUCGGCCAUGAGGACAGAUCAUCCAAAAUCAUUGGCAUUCACAUAACGUAGCUUCGGUACUCUAGUGAUUUGUGAGGGGUUAAAGAUGAACCUCAAAGGCUCAACCGUAUACAUUAUCGUUACAUUUCCACUACCGAUACAAACUUCAUCAUUCCUUGUCAAAUUAGAUUCGAAUGAUUCGAUCCUUGGAGGACACUUUAGGCUAACAAAUCUAACAUUGAUUUCAUACCAACAACGAUUCGCACGUGGUUCAUAACCCAAAAAAACCAAUCAAGCUUACAACUUACCCUAUAAUUCAGGACAAAGCAACCAAAUUUAUAACAAAUUAAAUUCAAAUUAAUCCACUUUACCAGGUUAACAAACAAAAAUGCAAUUAAGCUCAAACAAAAACAAAACUUUGAUUCAGGAACAAAAUCAACAUACAACAAUUAAUCUGGAUAAGCUUGGACGAAUGUAAAAUGAGCUAGAACACUGAAAAAUCUAGGGUUUUUUUGAAAGCUCACCGACAACGCUUGAUCCUUCGGUUCCCAUUUUUAUGGGGGUUGAAUUUUGCAGAGUCCGGAUUCAGGUGAGUUGGAGAGAGAGAGAGAGAGAGUAGCAGAGAGGUUUUGAUGGUGGAUCCAAGACUGCAGGAAGUCCAACUACGGUUCGCCGAGGGCAAAGUCGCGCAUGGAGGAGGAAAAAAGGAUAAAAAGCAGGAAGAAGAAUAGAGGAGGAGGAGGGUCCGAGUCGAGUAUUCCUUGAACUGAGGGUGUAUUGUUAUUCUUCUGCACCUGCGCAUCUCACACGUUCAUCAAUCACUACAGUAGGAUUUCCAUUAUUCCGUACAUACCGGGAGAGUAAGUAGAAAUCAGAUCGUAGAUCUGGCGGUGGGGAAUAGGGAUCAUUGGCGGACAAUGCAUGCAUAUCGUAGCCUGCACUUUCUCUUUUUUUUUUUGUUGGAUAUUUUUAGUAAACGGCAAGGGACAACAAAACCAAGCCCAAUGGACCAAGGACAGCAAGGCAACAUGUAACGAAGCAGCGAACAAAGUAAGAGGUCCAGAGUCUUGCAAAAUGUAGGCGACCAACACAGGAAAAGGAUUGCGAAAGCGAUUUUCACACUCUCAUUUUGCAUAAUAAAAUAUUUUUUUUGGAAUUUAUAAUCUGCAGUUAAUUUAUCUCUGAAUUCUUAUUUUAUAAUCUGAGGUAGGUCUCGGGACUUGGGAGUAGCCUCUCCAUAAAUAGGGAUAAAGUUAGCCGACAUUCACCUCUCCCAGACCCUGCGUAAAGCGAGAGCCUUAUGCACUGGGUACGAUCUUUGAACUUUUAUUAACAGUUCAAUUUUGAGAUUAUGUUCAAUUUUUGCAGUGUUUUUCAGUCCAAGCAAUAGAGAGGACAUAUAUGGCCCAUUGCCGGAGAAGCCGGCGUUUACCCGUCAGUUUACUCUUGGAGAGGUCAUGCAAAGGUUCUUCAAACUCAAUGUCAUCACUAAGGUUUUUUUUUUUUUGGUUAAAGUGAGAUCCAAAAUGAUCGCCAACAAAGAACUUUUAUUAAAACAAACACACAUUUACAAAACAAACAAAGACUCACUUUAUUCCUAUAGACAAAUAAAGAACGGGCCUAAAAACAAAGAAAACAUAGAAAAUGAGCCCAACAACAGUGAAGUCCAAACACUAGGGGUGAGCACUUAGAACCCAAAACCAAAACCGAAGCACGAACCAAAUCAAACUGCACCGAAUGGUUUGGUUUUGUGGUUUUGAAAUGGUUUCUGUUUUGAAACUGAACCGCAACAUAGAAAGCAGUUUGAUUCUAGUUUUGACUUUUGAAAACCGCAUCGAAACUGAACCGCACAGUAAAUAUUAAUAAACAUUUAAUUAAAUGUCCAUAUUAGACUUCAUGUUUUAAUUGGUUGCUUGUUAGAAUCUAUACACUUAGUAUGGACUCAACCACACUAGAAUAUCAUUAUUCUUCAUCACAUUUUUUCGUUCAUUAACUUGAAGGACCUUUGUUAUUUUAUAUCAUCAUACACACACACACACAUAUGUACAAAGGUGGACUAAUCAUGUUAUCAAGAGUCGAACAAUGAUCUAAUGAAGUCCACUCAUUUGAAGCAUGAUAUCACAUAUUCUAGUAUGAUAGUUUUGCUUACGUUUAAUGAAUUCAAAGUUAUUCAACUUCUUUUAUGUUAUACCUUGUAUGGGACAACCUUUUAUUGCACAAACCAUAUUUUAACAUCACAACUACAUGCAACAUGCUAAUUGUUUACAUAACAAAUGUCUUUUUCCUAUUGCUCCUGGGAAAUGCUUAUUAAUAUGUUAAAUUGCAAAUUGUACAUUUUUUCUUAAAAACCAAACCGAAACCGUUUGAAACCGCACCGAACCGAACCAAACGGUUUGGUUUCAUUUUGAUUUUGGCUUCAAAACCGCACCGAAUUGAACCACAAAAAAUUUCGAUUUCACUCAAACCGUACCCACCCCUACCAAACACAAUAGAACGUCUGAGAACCAUCCACUAUGCUCUCCACCGCCGAUCCAAGAAUCGACCAGCCAUCCGAUUCUGUCCACCGCCGAUCAUCACCUCUACAGACGCCACUUGCGCACAACUAUCAACAAGAGAUGGUCGACGAGAGAGAAGCCAACCAUCAGAAAGAAGUGGGAAAUUCCCAAGCAUCACCGUCUGAAACAGCAGACAAAAAGAAGAACGUGGUGGUCUAGGAAACACCCAAGCCGAAUAAAACACUGGAACUCUACACACGAACUCAACAAAAAACAUGGUUGAAAAGCGAAGCAAGGAAGCCGUGAAAAGGGAUACCCACGGGGGUUGAGGAAUUGGAAAGGCUAGAGAGGAAAAUUGGAAGAACCAUCAGCAGAUGGAAGAGGAGAAGAAAGAAAAGACAAAAACAAAAGACCACCCACCGAUCCCAGCCACAGCUAGGAUCGGCGGCACCAAAUGAAAGCACGAUCGGGAAAUCACCCACAAAAUGGUGAGAAGCACCCACCCUCAAGCAGAGGGAAGGACUGUAGCCGCCUACCGACACCCUGAUUUAUUUAUUAUUGUUCAUCACUAAGCUUUUUAGAACAUGCGUCAAUGACUAAAGCUUACAAAUCGAAAUGAUGUGCGUUCUAAUCUAACCCAAACGAUUUCUGACCUACUGAUGGGAGCCUUGGUGUUUCCAGUUUCCCAUCCCCAAACCACUCUGACAUUUCUUCAUCGUCGGUGGAAUCAGAAAGCUCCAAUCGUUUUGGAAUAUUGACACUGGAUUCGUUAAUGUUUGCCUUAUUCGUCAAGGCGCUUUUGCUCCUCUCUAACAUCUUCAACUUCCACAAGUCCCUUUUUUUCGGAUUCUGAGACAAUUCGGUCUUACCUCCUGCGAUGGGAAAAUCUACCAACCCGGAAGCCUCAUUCCAUGCGUUCGAGCGAUUGCAGUCGUCUUCUUCUUCGUUUACAAAUCUCCACUUGUCUGCACCUCUAGUUCGACUUCGUCCAUAUUGACUCGUCUCAGUAGUGUGAGGAGAACUCAAACUCUUAGUCCUAGGGUAGCUUCCGUCGUCGUGUACGGGUUCAGCAGAAGCCUCUGAAGAAUGUGCUGCCUUAGGCCUUUUAUGAUCGCAUUUUAAGCACACCAUGUUUCUCUUAAAGUUGAUAUAAUUGCACCUGCACAAAAACAGAUCUCUAAUCAUAUACAGGUCAAUUAGAAUUUAGAUAUAUGGAACCACUUCAAAGGGAAGCAUUGAUUUCCAAAACAAAAACAAAUGAAUGCCAAUUGCAUUCGGUAGAGAAACUCACGAGUCGCACUCCCACUCCCCGGGAUUUAUCUGCCGCUUUGGAGGCUUCUCUUUGCAUUGUAAGCAUCUACCGUUCUUCGCAAAAUUUAAGAAACUGCAUCUGUAAAGGAAACUAAAUGUCUUAAUCUCAACAAGAAAUGGAAUUACAGAAGAAAGUUAAGAUCUUAGCAGCCAUUACUUGUCACAUAUCCAGUCCCCCUUCUUCAACGGAAGAUGAUCUUGUUCCUCUCUUAGACGUGUCAGUCUUUCUUGGGAAAAAUCAUCGCAACGAAGGCACUUGAGAUUUCUAGCAAAGUUUAGGAAGUUGCAUCUGCCAAAAGAAAUAUUAAUAAGGAUUAAACAACCAAUCAAGAUUCAAUAAUCGUAAACAACUACGUGAUCAAGCUGCCAAAUUACUUGGGGCAAAGCCAGUCGCCUGGCUUCAUUGGAACAUUUAUUUGGCCCUUUUCUUGUGGAAUUGAAUGGUCCGACACCGAAGCAACCCUCUUUAUGGUUGUACUUGUACUCUUUGGGGGAUUGGAGUCGAUGUUCUGAGUGCUCUCCCCUACCAUCUGUUUCAGUAGCCGUCUCACUGAGUCUUUGACCAUUUUGUUUAGACAUGGCUUGUUCUCCACUGUACCAGUAGUGGGAUCAAGCCCAUACGUUAACAAGAAACGCAUGACAUCCACUGUGCGCCCACCUUCAUCUUCCCGUGCCUUCACGUACGCUCUCUCACAGUCUCCUCUCAAAUUGCAGGAGCUGCAAACCUACUAAAAUGCCUGUUCUUAUUAGAUAUGACAAUUCCUAGUUAUAUCUCAAGCUUUCUUUCUAUUAAAUCAAAAGAAGACUGAAAAUAUAGGCUCAUUCAAAUAAGAGGAAAAUACUCAGAAACUAGGGACAUACAUCUCCUUCAUCAACACCCACAUACGCCCUUAGACGCUUUCCUGAGUUGAUGACUUUCCUAUCGAGGCUCGGGCAUCCACAUCGGGCAAUGAUCUGGAUAUCUUUCCUUGACAACAUCCUGGCAACAAAGGGAUUUAAUGAACAAAGGUCUAGAAUACAACAACAACAACAACAACAACAACAACAAAGCCUUUUCCCACUAAGUGGGGUUGGCUAUAACAAAGGUCUAGAAUACAAAUAUCAUAUUUCAAAUCCAAGUCAGUAAACAACAUCUCGCCUUCAAAAACAAGAUAAUCAUCCAUUCAUCCUUAUCAUGCACACACUUGAAAUGAAAACUGCAAGCUUAAAAGUUAAUAGUAAUGGCGAACCAAAACGAUCUGAGUCAUUUCGAACUCCACAUACAAAUUCCGCUGCCAAAUCUAAACAUGCCGUGCCUCGCAUCCCACAAAGUUCCAAUAUCAAACAGGUUGCAUCACAAAAACUCAUAAAACGUUUCUGGGUCGUAAAAGCACUUUCUGGAUAAGCACUAGGCACCUUUUCCAGGAAGCACUUGGGUGCUUAUGAGCAUAAGUGCUUUCUGCACGAACAGUCCCAACCAGCCACAAAAUACGCAGACGGGAAAACAUUUCAUCACAAGCUUUGUACUCAAUGUAAAUCGUUUUUCAAUCCAAAAUAAUCAAAUUCACAACCUCAAACUUGAAAAGAAUAACACUUUCAAAAUUCAUCCCUUCAUACCAAAACAUCACCAUUACCUUAAAAGACUAGACCGGUCCCGAGCAAAAUUCAGACAAGCGGUUCGAAUACGGUUCGAUUCCUUCGGACCCACUUCACCGUUCCGAAACGGGUUCUCGUCGCCAUCAAAGUAUCCUCUUUUCAACAAGCACUCCAUCAGGUCCACCCACUCCCGCCACGGAUGCGAAAUCUGAACCGCACAACAUUCCCCACUGGUCGAGCCGCCCUGCUCGGGGGGUUCACCAACGUCCGGCGCCAAUUGGGUGAUUAUGUUUGUGGGUUUUGAGUCCUUCGACGAUUGAAUCUCUCUAACUUCGUUGACUAUGAAGUCGAGCUUCGGAUUGGGAGCUAGGGUUUCUCUGAGGCUGUGAAAUUGGGAAAUGGGGGCUAAAAAUUUUGGUGCUUUGAGGUGGGUUCUGAGGAGAGGAUAGAGAGAACCAUGGCCGGCUAUGAGAAGCUUGUUCAUUUGACAAAUAUUUGGUUUAGGGUUUUCUGAUUUUGGCCGCAAAGGGACGGGGUGACCGUUAUAUUUGUUUGAAGUUAUGAACCCUGAUUCAGGGUUUACAUUGCGCAACAGAAAGGCGUAUAAAGAUGGUGAUGAACUGCUUUUGAGAAAUUUUGAAAAAUAGCCAAUUUCAAAGGCACGAAUUGAAUUUUAGCCUAAUCUUCUAACUUCUUAUAAUUUUAAGUCUUAAUUAUCCUUAGUAAUACUAAUCGUCACCGUCUCCUCUUUCCCUCUCAUUUUUUUUUCACAAGACGCGCCGGUCCCAGCCUGCAACCGUUUUCUCAUCCUUUGGGACCAAGUCCCCCAGCGAACUUGAAAAACAUGAGUUUUUGAACCUUAACAUUAUGUUUGGAUGAGAGAAAUAAACUUAAAAUUUGGAUUAAAGAUAAAAUUUAUAAAUUGACAUGCACCAAUUCCCUUGUUUGGAUUCAUAAAUAUAGAAAUUUAGAAUUUCCGCAUAGAAAAAAAACUUGGAAUUUGGAACCUCUAAUUCCCAAGUUUAAAUUUCAUGUAAAUAGAUGUCAUUUUCCAAUUUCUAUGAUUGAGAGUUUAAAAACAACAAAUUCUGUAUUCAAAUCCAUUGUUCUUUUAGGUUGCCCAAACAAGAAAAUUCACAAAUUUUAUAUAAUAAAAUUCCAUCAUUUUAAAAUUCCUUAGUAAUCUUAAAUUUCUUCAUCCAAACUUAGUGUAAGUGUUCAAUAGACAAGAACCAAAUCUUGAAUUUUGUUUAUUGUUUCUUCUCUUCUAGUUUUUGUUUGACAAGUUUCACAAACCCAACUACAACAGCAAUGAUGAAACAUUUUUGGCAUCAAUUUCCUUUGUUUUGGCAAAAAUAUCAAUUCUCAACCCAAAAACAAUGGUAAAUCAUUGAUACUUUCCCGAAGAGUUUUAUCUGUGGGUGUUUCUUGUACUCUACAAGGCAUGUUCUUCCAAACCCACCUUUUCUUUACAAGAAUAUGUUAUUAUUUUUUGUUCAGUUUGUUGGUUUUGCACUUAUAAGGUGUUUGACUGCUGAGAAAAUGGUGGGGAAAAGUCAAGCCAUAAGAAGUUCUCUCUUGUUUUCCCUGGUUUUAAAAUGUUCUUCUUUUAGGAUAAAUGAAAUUUGAGAAAUUUGAUUGUAGUGGGAUUAAACUGAGCACAAGUAUUGAACUUUGCAUUCUACAUUCAAUUUGAAUUGAAAUUUGCUAGGACCAGCGCUUGCUGGCCGACUAUUGCACUAAUUGUAGCAGCUCAAGCUUAUGCGAAAGGAGAGGAGAGGAGGAGACGGAGAAGAUUAGUAUUACUAUAGGGUAAUUAAGACUUUUUACAUGAGUUUUUGGUUAGAAUUAUAAUUAGAAAGUUUGGCUACAAUUUAAUUCGUGCCUAUAAAAUUGGUUAUAUUUCAAACUUUCCCAUUGCUUUUAGAACAAUUUGCAGCAACGUCCUUGUAGUUUAUUUAAAAUUUCACCAUCAUCCUUGCGGACUGUUAAUUUUCAGUUUUGUCCAUGUAGUUUUUUUGUUUUUUGUUUUAAUUUUUAUGCACAUUGAUGUUUGAGAAAAUUUGGACUAAGCGACAUAAUAUAUCAGCUAUAAUUUGGUAUUUAUUAUGCGAGUCAAAUUUAAGAUUUGAGUCUUCUCACUGGCUAAUUAAAAGUUGAACACUUAAUCGAUUCAAGUCAUUGGAUAACAAUUGAUAAAAAUGAAAUCAAUCUACGAACGACGAAACUGAAAACUCAAAUAAACUACCAUCCAAAGUAUAGUCCAGAAAAUUAACAUAAGAAUAUUAAAGCUGUGCGAUGUAAAACAAUGAAAUUUUGUUCAUUCUAUAAAAGUCUGUUCUUUGUUUAAUGGUUUUCUACAAUUGGGAUUUUCUACGGUCUAUUUCAAGUAUUUUAACUGUUAGAUCUUUGUUUAAUGAUAAAAAAAUCAAGAUCUAACAGUUAAAAAGUCUGGAGCACAGAGCACCAUAGAAACUUUGUUGCUGCAAAUGUUGCAGUUCAAAUGGAAAAGUUGUUGCAUUGUCCGCGACAGUUUGGAUUGAUACAAACUGGGUUGUGGAUGAAGGGAAAACCACCAGCACUGUCGGAUUGGAUUGGACUAUAUUGUCCAUGGCUGUUUCUUUGUUCUGGUGCAUACGAAAGGUCAUAAACUGGUUGUUGAAUGAAACCACUACUGGUACUGUUUAGUUGGACUGAACCCGUAGACCAUUGAAGGUUUUUGACCUUAACAACAUGAUCCGUAUUCUUAAUGAUUUCUACGUCGUCGUCACUGUCGUCGGCAUGUGUUGUCAAGGGUGAACUUCUAGAUUGCCGAGGAAAAUCUCGAUGACUUUUCACCAAACAAGCCUGCAUUCAGAGAAGUUUAUCAAUCAAAGGAGCAGCCAUUUUUUGGAUAAGAUCGUUUGUUUUUGUUAUUAAGGACGAAUUAUUGUAUUAAUAAAGUCUUUACAUGUCAAUAAUUCAUUAUAUACUGACAUUAGGGUUAAUUUAGCGGUGAUGGUUGGUGAAAGAUGAUGAAUAUGAGUACGCUAGGUCAAAAAAUAAAUAAAUAAAGGAACUGACAUGUUAUUCAUAUCAACGAUAUCAGUGUUCUACACAGAUAACUACGUUCUGAGCAUUGAAAAAUUGAUGAAGAAGAAUGAUGUACAAACCGUUGAUAAACGCAUUGAGGCAUCGGCGCAGGCGAGUUCUAGUUGUUCCCAAAAAACUUUCUCGUCAAAAUUAGGGUUUCUACAUGAAUAUGAGUCGUUGGAGCAGCACUCAUCUGAUUAUGUGGUGACAAUUCUGCCAACAGAUUCUCUGAAUCCAGAGUUGAUUGACUCUUGGGCAAAUUGUUGACCCCUCUUGAGGAGGAGGAGGAGGAUGAGAUUGACCAAAGAAUGGUUCAAGCUGCUCAUUCUCGGAUAUGAGAGAAUUUUCGGCAUACUGCCACAUGAUGUUACUAUAUUGUGAUACAUAAUUAUUUUUCUUUUGGCAUAAUCUUUGAAUUGUAAGAAGGAAAUUGACGAAAAAAAUUGUGCCAAAUGUAUAGAAUUGGUGUAGUUAGGGUUUCCUUAAUAUAAUGUUUUAGGAAUUAAUUAAGCAGAAAGACAUAAUCUAUUUGGUUUAGGAAACAGUUAUAUAUGUCUGGUACUAAUGAAAUUCCGACUCCUUGAUUGGACACGAAUAUGAGAUAUUUGUAUGACAUACAAAAGCCGGAAUUGGAUACUCUCCAAGGCAAAGCCCUCGAGAUCCUCAUGACUCACUAACACGAGCCGUUGAAUUUUGAUUCAACGACUACAAUUAUUAUAAUUAACUUUUAGAGGAGCCCCCUGUUUGUAACUGUUUGAUCAAAAUACAACGGCCCGUGUUAUUGGGUCCAAUUCCACCAAAGCCUACCCAAAUUUUUACCAAAAUUAAGCAAUUUCAUGGCAACUGGUGUACUAAAGUACCAUGUACGUACCUACCGCAGUAUGGCCACCUAAAAUUUCUUUCACUUGAUUUUUUUUAACGGCGGCAAUCCUAACGGUCUCUGUAGCAGGUAAUAUUUCGUCAAACUUUAAAUCAGUUGGUAAAAUGUCGCAAAAUUAAUUACAUGUUGCAAAACGAACACUACUGAAUUGAAUGCAUUGAAUUCAUAAAAUUAUUAAUUCACAUACAUGCAUGUACAUCAUGUACAUAUAUCCUGCAAAUUUUUCUUCUCUAGUCCUUAUUUUUCAACACAUCAACUUGCUCUCUCUCAUCGGAAGAUGGAGAAUAGCAACUUAGAGACGGGCAACAAUUAAACACUAAAAAUAAAUUAUGAUAAAUACAAACUAAAAAACUAAUUCCCUUUUUACACUUUUUGGUCUGCUUUGGAAGUUUGCCCUAGACCAGUCCAAUUUUCUGGCUGGACGGAAACUUCUUCUAGGCAAUUUAUAUGUACAAUGCGAGGGAAUCUUGAUUUGUUAAUUAAUUGAAAGAACAAGCCAGUACAUUCUCCUCCCCUUGUUUUUGUUCCGAGGUAAGCCGUUCGACCAAAAUGUCCAACGCUUCCUUCAUCCACCAAUGUUGGCAUGCCUCUCUCGCUUUCGCUGCAGUCAUCUGUAUAAAAUAUUUGGAUCACAUAAGAUUUAUUGUUUAAAUCGAAGAAUCAUUGUCUAAUAAUACAAAAAUAAAAAUGUCUGCAUAUAGAUCAAAUUGUAAUUUGCACAAUCAUACCCAUAUUCUUUGUCGUACAUUCUUCUCAGGCCAAAGGUCUAGUUGCUCCUUGACAAACAAGGGAAACAUGUACCCUUCAUAAUAUGUCUCUUGGCUUUUGCUCAUGAAACACCAUUUUCCCAAUUGACACUGCCAUCGUAUAUUACAACAUAAAAUUAGGACAAAUUUUUUGCCAAAAUAGAAUUUAAUUCCGCGGUAGAACAUUAAUCCCAACAUCAACAACAAUAAUUCGACUCUCGCCGGCCCACUUUCGCUCCUCAAUCAAAAGCGAAAAGGGAAGGAAGAAAAAGGAAGAUACCAACCUCAACAUUGCCUAAAACACCUGCUUCUUCUAGUGACUCUCUUGAAGCAGCUUCUUCUACGGAUUCAUCAAGUUCCCAACCCCCCUAAGUAAUAAACAAAUAUAUAGUUGAAUUUGAUGGAUAUAUAGAGGGUAGAAAGCAAUCCGAUACCUCAAGAAAUAAAAUUAGAAAUGAAAGGAAAUUAUAUAAUUUAUACCUUAGGGAACAUAAAUGCAUUGCCUUUCUGUGAAGUGAUCACAAGAACUUCCAAUUCAUCACUGCCAUCUUUGUAUCUAUAAGGUAUGCAUCUGCAACAUUGAAUACUAAGCAAAUUAAACAAACUAUUAAUCGUGAUUACCUUUACAAAAAUCUAAAAUAAGGGAAGUCAAUCGUCGGAGCAAUAAAAAAAUCAUAAACCAAAUGGAACUUAAAUGGGGACAACACAUAUGGAUUUGUUCGACAUGGAUCUAUGAGUCCAUCCCAUGGCGACGAGAGAUUCUCAUGUACACGAGAUGUACAACCAGGUAUACGUAAGAAUUUUUUCUCUCCGCCAUGAAAGAAAAGGAACAUGAAUGGAAGGAGCCAACCACUACUUUUUCAACAUAACAAAACCAUGUCAACAAAAGCUCAACAACAACAAAAACAAGAAGAAGGAAAAGAGCUUCACCCUACGACUUGCCGGCGGCCCAUGUUGUACCUCUGCAAUUCCCUUCCUGUCCGAGAAACUAAACAAGUCAUCAUUUUCAAAUCAAGGCUCGCAAUUCUGAUCAACCAAACUUAUUGAAUGCAGAAAAGGCCUAGAAACAAAAGGGUAAAAGGGUCGUUUGGAAAUAUGAAUUGGCUAGGAUUUGUUGUGUUAUUAUAUCCCAAUUCCAAAAAAGUUGAUCGAGUUAUAUACUUAUUGGAGGUUAAGACAGAAAUGCAAUUGUGCAAUGUAAGUUCAGGUUUUGAGGCAGAGAGAAAAAGGAAGGGCUGGCAAAAACACAUCAACUCGCUAAUCGCUAUAUAUAGAAAAAUGGUUUUGAAGGGCACCGUUUCAAAAAAACAAAGCACGUGUCUCUCUCUCCCUAUCUCUCCAUACUAAUAUAUUACUAUAUUGGGUAGGUCUUCUAUGUAUCUCCUGUAGUUUAUCAUAUGAACGUUAGAAUGUAUUUCCUGUAAUGUAUCCAUAUGAACGUUAAGAAACUUUUUUGUAUGUCGGGAAUUCCUUUUAUGUAGAUGUGAAUAUAGUAUCUUUUUACCUGUUACAUAAUAUGAAUGGACGACAUAAUUGAUAUAUCUCAUUUUUAAUGUAUAUUUAAAAAAUAAUUAUACAUUUUAGAGUUUGAGCGAAAUAAUAAUAUUAUGUAACAAUUAUUCAUUGAACAAUAAUAAUUCUUGUGUCGUGGGUGCGUAUGAGCAUUGUCCCGCUGAAAAACUGUCUCGAAAUAUAGAAAAUAAAAGAGAGAGUCCAAACUAAUGUCGUGGGUGCGUACGACAUUCACAUCGCCUUCUAAGACGCAUCUGUUUUAGAGUUUCUAUGUCGUUUCCCAACAAUCACCCUUUCUCUUGUUAUUAGUUGGAGUCCACCCGGCGAGAAUUCACUGGGCGGCUCGAAGUUGACUUUUUAGAACGAGAAAUGAUCCGAUCUUUAAAAUUUUAUCCAAGCAACAACCCACUAGCUUUGAUUCCUUAAAAAUUAUAAUAAUUUUUUGUUAUUAGAUGAAAUUUCAAAUGUUCAAAUCAAUUAAUCUGGUGGUCUUAGUGGAAGAAAUCCACGGAGAGGAUCUCUUCUCUUUUAGUACAUCCUCACGUGGACGAAUCAUGGUCAUGCCAAUUACUUCUUACUUUUUAAAUUUUUUUCCCUUUCUAAGUUAUUCUAGGGUUUUGCAUUUUUAAUUAGGUACGUGCAUCCAUCUCUAGUGACGAGUAUGCUUUUCUAGCUUAUCACUUUAUUUUUUACAUUAUCAAUAUAUCUAUUUGAUGCAAAUGGCCUUUUAUUAUAGUGGCAAAGAAGAUUGUUGCCCUUACACUACAGCGUAAGUUCAAAUUCCGUCAGUUCCUUAAUCUAACAAAUCUAUCGUUGACAAAAAAAUAAUAAUAAUAUAUCUAUUUGAUUGAUCUGGCAUAAAAAGAGGUGCGAAGAAAAUGGAUUUUUAGUUAAAAUAGUCUCUAAAAUUGUCAUUAACUCUUCUGAAUGGUUAUUGAGAUUUAAAAUUGAUUGAAGUGAUACUAAGAUUGUCCAUUGUCAAUUAUUUUUCUGUGAAAAAUCUCUGUUAAAUUGAAGAAAUCAUAAGUCAAGUGAAUUGCUUGAUUUGACAAAAAUACCUUAAAUGUAACUGAGAUUUUCACGGAAUGACCAAUACGAUUGACGAUAGACAAUCUUAUGAACCAUUCUAUUGAUUUUCAAUCUUAAGGACCAAAAUGAGAAAUUAUGUUAAUUUUAAAGACAAUUUUGGCUAAAAAAAGGAAGAAAACUUACCUGAAAUCAGUUUGCUUCAUACUUCUUUAGAUAUAAGAGAAACAUGUUUCGUUUUAGUUUCUUUCGUAGUCAAAUAUACAAGUCUAAUUCAUAAGUCGAUUAAAAAAAAGACGAAUUCUUUGAAAAAUCCAAUGCAAGUGAAGAAAAUAGGCAACAACUCUAUCCCACUAUGUUAUGCGUAUCUGGUAUGUGCACAUGCAAAGUACGUAUCGAAUGAGUGGUGGAAAUUGCAUGGAAAUGGGAGUAGGUUGAGCCGUAGAGAAGAAGAAUAAUAAAAAUAUAUAAUGGAUAUCAUAGUCACACACAUUGUGCUGCUUUUAUUCCACUUUGAUUAAGACACAAUGCACGCCGUACAAUGAAUGUCACGUCGAAGAAGAAGAGAUUUUGUGGAUUUUUUUUUUUUUUGCAUGUACUUAUAAAUAAUUUGAAUACUUUCAUAUUAUAAAUUAAUUUUAUGGUAAAAUUUUAAUUAUUUUGAUGGUAUUUGAAUCCUCGCUAGUUUACGAUCUAGUAAUAUACAUCUCCAUUAUAACUAAGAGGUUUCAUAUACAACGUGUUUGUACCAUAUUUGAUUAAUCCUGAAACUACUGAGCACCGGUUAACGUUAUACCGUCAAGGACCUAGAAGAGUUUCCCUACAACCAGGAGGCUAAUCACAGCACGACACGUGUCAACAUCAGAAGCCAAUCACAGCGCGACACGUGUCAACAUCAGAAGCAAAUCACAGCGCGACACGUGUCUCACAACACGACACGUGUCAAUGUCAGAAUGAAACUAGAAACUCUCUUCUAUAAAUAGAGAUAAUUCUCUCACGAUAUUUCCUAAUGUCAUUAGUACUAAAUCAUUCACUAGUACUCACUGAAGGAGAGCUUGAACCUAUGUACUUGUGUAAACCCUUCACAAUUAAUGAGAACUCAUCUACUCCGUGGACGUAGCCAAUCUGGGUGAACCACGUACAUCUUGUGUUUGCUUCCCUGUUCCUAUCUAUUUAGAUACUUAUUCACACUAGUGACCGAAGCAAUCUAGCGAAUGUCACAAACUUAACAUUUUCUGUUGUACCAAAGUCCUCACUGAUUUUGUGCAUCAACACAACGAUUUCGAUAUUAAAUUAUGAGUGAUCUAAUAUGCAUUUAAUUUAAAGGAAAGCUAAUGAAAAUGACUUGAAAAUUUUGAAUUUUAAAGAUAAGGAUAAAAUAAAGGAUAAAGUAAAUAGUAUCAGGAUUGACUUUUUAAUGUAAAAAUAUGAUUUUUUGUUAAAAUAACAGUACUACGAAUUUUUCAUUAAAGUAUUUUUAAUUUAAAUCUUCAAUUGUCAUCAUGGUAUCGAUUAAAACAAAAAGAAUAAACGACCCAAGACGAAAGAGACAUACAAAUGAAUUUUAUAAAUAUAAAAGUAUACAUCCAUAAUUAAAAUCCAAAACAGGUCGCCUUCAAAGAGAGAUGAACGAGUUAGAGGUUUGAACUGGUCGGACUCACAUGCAGUGGAAAAAUAGUUGCAUAUCCGCCCACUCCCAAAGAAUUAUAUGGUCCCUAUUUCGUCCCUUUCUAUUAUUUAGUCUUCAAACACAUAAAUUUAAGCCUCACAUAAAACAUAUAUAUAUAUAUAUAUGGAGAGAGAGAGAGAGAGAGAGAGAAAGAAUGGGGCACUUGGGGUGGAGGCUAAAGUUAUCUUAGGUUUUUUUUUUUUUUUUUUUUUUUUUGAGACUUUGUAUAGAGAGAGAGAGAGUAGGGCACUUGGGGGUGGAGGCUAAAGUUAUCUUAGGUUUUUUUUUUUUUUUUUUUUUGACUUUGGAUACGGUCUUUAUUUAUUAACGUUAUUUGAUAGAAAUCUUGUUGGUUUUUAGUUUUUGAUUUAAGUCAUUGAAAUUAAUAUAAUAAUGUAUUUCUAUGUAGGUGUUUGGGCCCAAAAUAAUAGUUUGGGCCGAGUGUAGAAUCAUUCUCGGCCCGGAAGGCCUUGCGACAAGAAGACCAUGGAUCGUUCAGCUUGUGGGCUUCCAAACCUAGGCCGGUUAGGUCAAAAUGCAAUGACAAGCCGAGUCCUGAUACAAUAGGGAGUCUCGGCAGGAUUAACAACCUAGAAGCGGAUAGGGCUCGAAUAAGGACUAGGUUCACAAUCCUAAUGAAAAUAGGACUGGUCGAGGUGAUAUUGAUCCGGAAAGGGAAAACCUAGUCCGAAUAGGAUUCUAUCUCAGAUUCAGGGUCCAGUGCUAUAAAUAGCGGAAGUUGUGCAUCAGGAAAAGCCCCACAAAAUCAACACAAAAUUGCCCUGCGCAAACUCUCACAACUUGAGAUCUUUUUCUUUUCCUUUUUCGCUGACACAUCUUCCGUUGGCAUCAACAGCACUGUGGAAGCAACCGGUGAUAUCUUAAGUCGGCAUAGAUAGCUCUGUCACCGUAGAAUUGGUCGGUCUCGCAGUAUCUUCCGUUGGCAUCAACAGCACUGCGGCGAGAACGGUCAAUUACCUAUCCAAGUCUUGGUCGAGAAGGGUUUUCGAAUCCUUAUUGGUCGAGGUCAUCUCAUUAGCCUUCUCGGCGAAGUGAGGUGUUACAGUUAUUACAUUCGACACAUUGAAAGCCGAAUUCGGUUCGUGAACUUUGUAAGAGUAGCAGCCUUGUCUUCAGGCUCGAGAACCCAAGAGGCCGAGACGUGUUCCUUUCUCGGCCGCAAUCGCAAGACGCAGAAGUCAGUAGCGCGACCCAACGCAACAUCAUCAAAUUUACUCCUCGGCCGAGCCUCGGCCGACGAGUUGGCACGCCCCGCAAUCACCGAAGGACGUAGUUAGCUUAGAAUAUACUCGGCAUGCGCGCCACGUAGGCUUUGUAAUUUCUAGGGUCAACAUUUUGGCAUGCCCAGUGGGACCCAGUGCUAAAACUACGAAGUUCAUGCCAAUUGAAACGCGAUCGGUAAAAAAGAAAAAACAGCUAUGGGAAAAUCAACAGCCGAUUUACCGAUUCAGAACGUAGGACAAAGUGUGCCACAGGCGCAGAAUCCCCUUAGCGCCGGGACACCUGAGUCCACAAGUGCGACUCGCCGAGAGAGGGAAGUUAAUCUCGGCGGUCAACACCGCAGUCUAGAAAUCCCUAACAGGAACACCUGUGUUCUCAAUGAAGGGAUAGUGGAGGAUAGCGACGAGGAUGGCGGUGAAGGAUCUGACCCACCAACAAGGUCGUUUCUUCGAAAGCGACUCGACGAGCAGUCUCGGUCAGUCGAGCAGACGUUUAGCCGAGGUAUUGACAAGCUACAUGACGUGAUACUCAAUUCCACUAAGCAGCAAACCAGAUUGCUCGAAAUGCUGGUUAGUAAAUUCAGUGACGGCAGGCCUUUCGAUCCUUUCCAGCGCUUGCCACCAAGAAAUAAUCCGUUACCAAUGGUACAGGCCGAGCCAAUUCCUGCUCGGCCCAAACCAAUUGACUUGGAAAAGGUCGGAGGGUUAAAUAGUAGGUCGGACGGAAUCGACCAGAGGGUCGAAGCAACACCUGUUGAUAUGACCGAGGUUCAGCGGAUGAUCGACUCGGCCAUGAAGAAAGGGCCGAAGUUUCCUAAGUUUAUCCAUCGGUACCCGGCCUACAUAGAAACGUUCGGAUAUCCGAAAGGUUUCAAGAUUCCAGAUUUUAGCCUUUUUGCCGGUGAAUCGUCCUUGUCUUCGUUGGAGCACGUGGCUCGUUUCACCGCGCAAUGCGGCGAUGUUCAUAGUGAUUUCCAUAAAUUACGGCUGUUCAACUUCUCGUUGACCGGCUCGGCAUUUGCUUGGUAUAUCAAUCUCCCUCCUAAUUCCAUCCAAAACUGGGAGGAGUUGGUCGAGAAAUUCCACGAACAGUUUUAUCGACCAGGGUUGGAGGUGUCGGUUUCUUCAUUAGCAAGGAUGGCUCAGGCAUCAGAUGAGUCCCUAAUGGAUUAUCUUACCAGGUUCAAAUCAGCCAGGAAUUGGUGCCGAGUACCCUUGCCCGAAGUCGAGUUCGUCCGGCUUGCUUUGAACGGCCUCGACGUCGAAUACAAAAAGAAAUUCUUGGGGGCAAAUGUUCGGGAUAUGUAUGAAUUAGCCCAACAUGUCGAACAGUAUGAUUAUUUGCUCCGCGAGGAAAAGAUUUCGAAAAACUCCGUCUCGGGGGACGAUUUACAAGAAUCCUACUGUCAGUUAUGCGUCAACCGAGGAUGAAUGCGUUAGUGUGGAUGCGGCUGAGAUAGUAAUAGAUAAGCCAUACGUUUGCAAGGCCUUGACUCAAGUUGACUCCAGGGAAGUUAAAAGCCGCUCGGCCACUGAAGGAACAUUGAAACCGUCAAAAGUGUAUACUUUUGAUAUUACAAAGGCUGACGCAAUUUUUGAUCAACUGUUGUCAGCAAGGAUUAUCAAACUUCGGCCUGGUCACAACAUUCCCAAGGCCGAAGAGCUUAAAGGAAAGGUGUAUUGCAAAUACCAUAAUUCAAGUAAACAUACGACAAACAAUUGUGUCGUAUUUCGAGACAACGUCCAGAGCUGGAUUGAUAAUGGAAAACUGAAAUUUCCAGAGAAGAAGAUGAGUAUUGAUGCUUGAUCCUUUCCCCACAGCAACCGUGAAUAUGGUCGAUGCAUACCUACCUAAGGACAAAGGAAAAGGGAAGGCCGAAGUUGUUGCGACGCAAGGCUUUCGGACUCAGAAUUCUCGGCCACGUUUCAUGGCCAAUUUUCGUUCGAACAAACCACCUACAGCUUUAACAGGACCCGCUAUUUGUUAAACCUAUGAGGGAUUAUAGCACCGAUGAAGAUAGUGGGACGGCGGUUUUUUGCAGUAAAUGUAGAGCGAAGGUCGGCAGUGAGCCAGAGGAGAAACCAUUUUCGCCUAUCACAGAACGACCCACGGCCGCAAUUCAGCAAAAAGCAGCCGGCGUCGGCCGACCUCAAGGGGUUUUUGAUAGGCUCGGCCCAAAAGUGAAGAUGGAAGAGACAUCCUCAGUCAGGCGGCGCCUCGAUUUUGGCGCUUCAUUUUAUGACGAGGACUAUUAUACACGUAAUUCUAGUAGUUCGGAAUCGUCGCGGAGUCAAAAAAACCUUCAAACCUCCCGAGCCUAAAGAUCAACGUUGGUACACAUAUAUCAUUCUUCGAAAGGCGUCUACACCGCGUUGUCCAAAUCCCAGAAACGCCGGCACCAGAGGAUAGAUUGCAUGGCCCGUCGACAGGCAGCCCAAGAAACUUCGGUCCCUAAAUGGCGGCCGAAUGACACAGUUGCUACUGGUGAUGAACGACCAUCUCCAGCUAUUAUGACAGAGUUGGGUCAGGGGAAACGGUGGUUGGUCGACCGAGAUAUCGAGACCACGUUCGAAGAAGCCGAUAAACGGAUCAAACUUCUUCUUCGCCCAGGGGAGAUGAAGGCACGCCUCGAGCAUUUCAAGCAAGAGGCCGAGAGCAAAUUAGCCCCGCCAGCUAUACAAGAACCGUUGAUUAAAAUUCGACGGAAUUUGCAUCCACCAUUCCUUGGGGAGGCUUUGGAAUAUAUGCGCGAAUUCCAUAAGAAAAACAUUCGGCCAACGAUCUUGUAUGGUUUGCCGAAAGUAUGCCAGGACACCAUUGAUCUAGUCCUGACUUGUCCGGNNNNNNNNNNNNNNNNNNNNNNNNNNNNNNNNNNNNNNNNNNNNNNNNNNNNNNNNNNNNNNNNNNNNNNNNNNNNNNNNNNNNNNNNNNNNNNNNNNNNNNNNNNNNNNNNNNNNNNNNNNNNNNNNNNNNNNNNNNNNNNNNNNNNNNNNNNNNNNNNNNNNNNNNNNNNNNNNNNNNNNNNNNNNNNNNNNNNNNNNNNNNNNNNNNNNNNNNNNNNNNNNNNNNNNNNNNNNNNNNNNNNNNNNNNNNNNNNNNNNNNNNNNNNNNNNNNNNNNNNNNNNNNNNNNNNNNNNNNNNNNNNNNNNNNNNNNNNNNNNNNNNNNNNNNNNNNNNNNNNNNNNNNNNNNNNNNNNNNNNNNNNNNNNNNNNNNNNNNNNNNNNNNNNNNNNNNNNNNNNNNNNNNNNNNNNNNNNNNNNNNNNNNNNNNNNNNNNNNNNNNNNNNNNNNNNNNNNNNNNNNNNNNNNNNNNNNNNNNNNNNNNNNNNNNNNNNNNNNNNNNNNNNNNNNNNNNNNNNNNNNNNNNNNNNNNNNNNNNNNNNNNNNNNNNNNNNNNNNNNNNNNNNNNNNNNNNNNNNNNNNNNNNNNNNNNNNNNNNNNNNNNNNNNNNNNNNNNNNNNNNNNNNNNNNNNNNNNNNNNNNNNNNNNNNNNNNNNNNNNNNNNNNNNNNNNNNNNNNNNNNNNNNNNNNNNNNNNNNNNNNNNNNNNNNNNNNNNNNNNNNNNNNNNNNNNNNNNNNNNNNNNNNNNNNNNNNNNNNNNNNNNNNNNNNNNNNNNNNNNNNNNNNNNNNNNNNNNNNNNNNNNNNNNNNNNNNNNNNNNNNNNNNNNNNNNNNNNNNNNNNNNNNNNNNNNNNNNNNNNNNNNNNNNNNNNNNNNNNNNNNNNNNNNNNNNNNNNNNNNNNNNNNNNNNNNNNNNNNNNNNNNNNNNNNNNNNNNNNNNNNNNNNNNNNNNNNNNNNNNNNNNNNNNNNNNNNNNNNNNNNNNNNNNNNNNNNNNNNNNNNNNNNNNNNNNNNNNNNNNNNNNNNNNNNNNNNNNNNNNNNNNNNNNNNNNNNNNNNNNNNNNNNNNNNNNNNNNNNNNNNNNNNNNNNNNNNNNNNNNNNNNNNNNNNNNNNNNNNNNNNNNNNNNNNNNNNNNNNNNNNNNNNNNNNNNNNNNNNNNNNNNNNNNNNNNNNNNNNNNNNNNNNNNNNNNNNNNNNNNNNNNNNNNNNNNNNNNNNNNNNNNNNNNNNNNNNNNNNNNNNNNNNNNNNNNNNNNNNNNNNNNNNNNNNNNNNNNNNNNNNNNNNNNNNNNNNNNNNNNNNNNNNNNNNNNNNNNNNNNNNNNNNNNNNNNNNNNNNNNNNNNNNNNNNNNNNNNNNNNNNNNNNNNNNNNNNNNNNNNNNNNNNNNNNNNNNNNNNNNNNNNNNNNNNNNNNNNNNNNNNNNNNNNNNNNNNNNNNNNNNNNNNNNNNNNNNNNNNNNNNNNNNNNNNNNNNNNNNNNNNNNNNNNNNNNNNNNNNNNNNNNNNNNNNNNNNNNNNNNNNNNNNNNNNNNNNNNNNNNNNNNNNNNNNNNNNNNNNNNNNNNNNNNNNNNNNNNNNNNNNNNNNNNNNNNNNNNNNNNNNNNNNNNNNNNNNNNNNNNNNNNNNNNNNNNNNNNNNNNNNNNNNNNNNNNNNNNNNNNNNNNNNNNNNNNNNNNNNNNNNNNNNNNNNNNNNNNNNNNNNNNNNNNNNNNNNNNNNNNNNNNNNNNNNNNNNNNNNNNNNNNNNNNNNNNNNNNNNNNNNNNNNNNNNNNNNNNNNNNNNNNNNNNNNNNNNNNNNNNNNNNNNNNNNNNNNNNNNNNNNNNNNNNNNNNNNNNNNNNNNNNNNNNNNNNNNNNNNNNNNNNNNNNNNNNNNNNNNNNNNNNNNNNNNNNNNNNNNNNNNNNNNNNNNNNNNNNNNNNNNNNNNNNNNNNNNNNNNNNNNNNNNNNNNNNNNNNNNNNNNNNNNNNNNNNNNNNNNNNNNNNNNNNNNNNNNNNNNNNNNNNNNNNNNNNNNNNNNNNNNNNNNNNNNNNNNNNNNNNNNNNNNNNNNNNNNNNNNNNNNNNNNNNNNNNNNNNNNNNNNNNNNNNNNNNNNNNNNNNNNNNNNNNNNNNNNNNNNNNNNNNNNNNNNNNNNNNNNNNNNNNNNNNNNNNNNNNNNNNNNNNNNNNNNNNNNNNNNNNNNNNNNNNNNNNNNNNNNNNNNNNNNNNNNNNNNNNNNNNNNNNNNNNNNNNNNNNNNNNNNNNNNNNNNNNNNNNNNNNNNNNNNNNNNNNNNNNNNNNNNNNNNNNNNNNNNNNNNNNNNNNNNNNNNNNNNNNNNNNNNNNNNNNNNNNNNNNNNNNNNNNNNNNNNNNNNNNNNNNNNNNNNNNNNNNNNNNNNNNNNNNNNNNNNNNNNNNNNNNNNNNNNNNNNNNNNNNNNNNNNNNNNNNNNNNNNNNNNNNNNNNNNNNNNNNNNNNNNNNNNNNNNNNNNNNNNNNNNNNNNNNNNNNNNNNNNNNNNNNNNNNNNNNNNNNNNNNNNNNNNNNNNNNNNNNNNNNNNNNNNNNNNNNNNNNNNNNNNNNNNNNNNNNNNNNNNNNNNNNNNNNNNNNNNNNNNNNNNNNNNNNNNNNNNNNNNNNNNNNNNNNNNNNNNNNNNNNNNNNNNNNNNNNNNNNNNNNNNNNNNNNNNNNNNNNNNNNNNNNNNNNNNNNNNNNNNNNNNNNNNNNNNNNNNNNNNNNNNNNNNNNNNNNNNNNNNNNNNNNNNNNNNNNNNNNNNNNNNNNNNNNNNNNNNNNNNNNNNNNNNNNNNNNNNNNNNNNNNNNNNNNNNNNNNNNNNNNNNNNNNNNNNNNNNNNNNNNNNNNNNNNNNNNNNNNNNNNNNNNNNNNNNNNNNNNNNNNNNNNNNNNNNNNNNNNNNNNNNNNNNNNNNNNNNNNNNNNNNNNNNNNNNNNNNNNNNNNNNNNNNNNNNNNNNNNNNNNNNNNNNNNNNNNNNNNNNNNNNNNNNNNNNNNNNNNNNNNNNNNNNNNNNNNNNNNNNNNNNNNNNNNNNNNNNNNNNNNNNNNNNNNNNNNNNNNNNNNNNNNNNNNNNNNNNNNNNNNNNNNNNNNNNNNNNNNNNNNNNNNNNNNNNNNNNNNNNNNNNNNNNNNNNNNNNNNNNNNNNNNNNNNNNNNNNNNNNNNNNNNNNNNNNNNNNNNNNNNNNNNNNNNNNNNNNNNNNNNNNNNNNNNNNNNNNNNNNNNNNNNNNNNNNNNNNNNNNNNNNNNNNNNNNNNNNNNNNNNNNNNNNNNNNNNNNNNNNNNNNNNNNNNNNNNNNNNNNNNNNNNNNNNNNNNNNNNNNNNNNNNNNNNNNNNNNNNNNNNNNNNNNNNNNNNNNNNNNNNNNNNNNNNNNNNNNNNNNNNNNNNNNNNNNNNNNNNNNNNNNNNNNNNNNNNNNNNNNNNNNNNNNNNNNNNNNNNNNNNNNNNNNNNNNNNNNNNNNNNNNNNNNNNNNNNNNNNNNNNNNNNNNNNNNNNNNNNNNNNNNNNNNNNNNNNNNNNNNNNNNNNNNNNNNNNNNNNNNNNNNNNNNNNNNNNNNNNNNNNNNNNNNNNNNNNNNNNNNNNNNNNNNNNNNNNNNNNNNNNNNNNNNNNNNNNNNNNNNNNNNNNNNNNNNNNNNNNNNNNNNNNNNNNNNNNNNNNNNNNNNNNNNNNNNNNNNNNNNNNNNNNNNNNNNNNNNNNNNNNNNNNNNNNNNNNNNNNNNNNNNNNNNNNNNNNNNNNNNNNNNNNNNNNNNNNNNNNNNNNNNNNNNNNNNNNNNNNNNNNNNNNNNNNNNNNNNNNNNNNNNNNNNNNNNNNNNNNNNNNNNNNNNNNNNNNNNNNNNNNNNNNNNNNNNNNNNNNNNNNNNNNNNNNNNNNNNNNNNNNNNNNNNNNNNNNNNNNNNNNNNNNNNNNNNNNNNNNNNNNNNNNNNNNNNNNNNNNNNNNNNNNNNNNNNNNNNNNNNNNNNNNNNNNNNNNNNNNNNNNNNNNNNNNNNNNNNNNNNNNNNNNNNNNNNNNNNNNNNNNNNNNNNNNNNNNNNNNNNNNNNNNNNNNNNNNNNNNNNNNNNNNNNNNNNNNNNNNNNNNNNNNNNNNNNNNNNNNNNNNNNNNNNNNNNNNNNNNNNNNNNNNNNNNNNNNNNNNNNNNNNNNNNNNNNNNNNNNNNNNNNNNNNNNNNNNNNNNNNNNNNNNNNNNNNNNNNNNNNNNNNNNNNNNNNNNNNNNNNNNNNNNNNNNNNNNNNNNNNNNNNNNNNNNNNNNNNNNNNNNNNNNNNNNNNNNNNNNNNNNNNNNNNNNNNNNNNNNNNNNNNNNNNNNNNNNNNNNNNNNNNNNNNNNNNNNNNNNNNNNNNNNNNNNNNNNNNNNNNNNNNNNNNNNNNNNNNNNNNNNNNNNNNNNNNNNNNNNNNNNNNNNNNNNNNNNNNNNNNNNNNNNNNNNNNNNNNNNNNNNNNNNNNNNNNNNNNNNNNNNNNNNNNNNNNNNNNNNNNNNNNNNNNNNNNNNNNNNNNNNNNNNNNNNNNNNNNNNNNNNNNNNNNNNNNNNNNNNNNNNNNNNNNNNNNNNNNNNNNNNNNNNNNNNNNNNNNNNNNNNNNNNNNNNNNNNNNNNNNNNNNNNNNNNNNNNNNNNNNNNNNNNNNNNNNNNNNNNNNNNNNNNNNNNNNNNNNNNNNNNNNNNNNNNNNNNNNNNNNNNNNNNNNNNNNNNNNNNNNNNNNNNNNNNNNNNNNNNNNNNNNNNNNNNNNNNNNNNNNNNNNNNNNNNNNNNNNNNNNNNNNNNNNNNNNNNNNNNNNNNNNNNNNNNNNNNNNNNNNNNNNNNNNNNNNNNNNNNNNNNNNNNNNNNNNNNNNNNNNNNNNNNNNNNNNNNNNNNNNNNNNNNNNNNNNNNNNNNNNNNNNNNNNNNNNNNNNNNNNNNNNNNNNNNNNNNNNNNNNNNNNNNNNNNNNNNNNNNNNNNNNNNNNNNNNNNNNNNNNNNNNNNNNNNNNNNNNNNNNNNNNNNNNNNNNNNNNNNNNNNNNNNNNNNNNNNNNNNNNNNNNNNNNNNNNNNNNNNNNNNNNNNNNNNNNNNNNNNNNNNNNNNNNNNNNNNNNNNNNNNNNNNNNNNNNNNNNNNNNNNNNNNNNNNNNNNNNNNNNNNNNNNNNNNNNNNNNNNNNNNNNNNNNNNNNNNNNNNNNNNNNNNNNNNNNNNNNNNNNNNNNNNNNNNNNNNNNNNNNNNNNNNNNNNNNNNNNNNNNNNNNNNNNNNNNNNNNNNNNNNNNNNNNNNNNNNNNNNNNNNNNNNNNNNNNNNNNNNNNNNNNNNNNNNNNNNNNNNNNNNNNNNNNNNNNNNNNNNNNNNNNNNNNNNNNNNNNNNNNNNNNNNNNNNNNNNNNNNNNNNNNNNNNNNNNNNNNNNNNNNNNNNNNNNNNNNNNNNNNNNNNNNNNNNNNNNNNNNNNNNNNNNNNNNNNNNNNNNNNNNNNNNNNNNNNNNNNNNNNNNNNNNNNNNNNNNNNNNNNNNNNNNNNNNNNNNNNNNNNNNNNNNNNNNNNNNNNNNNNNNNNNNNNNNNNNNNNNNNNNNNNNNNNNNNNNNNNNNNNNNNNNNNNNNNNNNNNNNNNNNNNNNNNNNNNNNNNNNNNNNNNNNNNNNNNNNNNNNNNNNNNNNNNNNNNNNNNNNNNNNNNNNNNNNNNNNNNNNNNNNNNNNNNNNNNNNNNNNNNNNNNNNNNNNNNNNNNNNNNNNNNNNNNNNNNNNNNNNNNNNNNNNNNNNNNNNNNNNNNNNNNNNNNNNNNNNNNNNNNNNNNNNNNNNNNNNNNNNNNNNNNNNNNNNNNNNNNNNNNNNNNNNNNNNNNNNNNNNNNNNNNNNNNNNNNNNNNNNNNNNNNNNNNNNNNNNNNNNNNNNNNNNNNNNNNNNNNNNNNNNNNNNNNNNNNNNNNNNNNNNNNNNNNNNNNNNNNNNNNNNNNNNNNNNNNNNNNNNNNNNNNNNNNNNNNNNNNNNNNNNNNNNNNNNNNNNNNNNNNNNNNNNNNNNNNNNNNNNNNNNNNNNNNNNNNNNNNNNNNNNNNNNNNNNNNNNNNNNNNNNNNNNNNNNNNNNNNNNNNNNNNNNNNNNNNNNNNNNNNNNNNNNNNNNNNNNNNNNNNNNNNNNNNNNNNNNNNNNNNNNNNNNNNNNNNNNNNNNNNNNNNNNNNNNNNNNNNNNNNNNNNNNNNNNNNNNNNNNNNNNNNNNNNNNNNNNNNNNNNNNNNNNNNNNNNNNNNNNNNNNNNNNNNNNNNNNNNNNNNNNNNNNNNNNNNNNNNNNNNNNNNNNNNNNNNNNNNNNNNNNNNNNNNNNNNNNNNNNNNNNNNNNNNNNNNNNNNNNNNNNNNNNNNNNNNNNNNNNNNNNNNNNNNNNNNNNNNNNNNNNNNNNNNNNNNNNNNNNNNNNNNNNNNNNNNNNNNNNNNNNNNNNNNNNNNNNNNNNNNNNNNNNNNNNNNNNNNNNNNNNNNNNNNNNNNNNNNNNNNNNNNNNNNNNNNNNNNNNNNNNNNNNNNNNNNNNNNNNNNNNNNNNNNNNNNNNNNNNNNNNNNNNNNNNNNNNNNNNNNNNNNNNNNNNNNNNNNNNNNNNNNNNNNNNNNNNNNNNNNNNNNNNNNNNNNNNNNNNNNNNNNNNNNNNNNNNNNNNNNNNNNNNNNNNNNNNNNNNNNNNNNNNNNNNNNNNNNNNNNNNNNNNNNNNNNNNNNNNNNNNNNNNNNNNNNNNNNNNNNNNNNNNNNNNNNNNNNNNNNNNNNNNNNNNNNNNNNNNNNNNNNNNNNNNNNNNNNNNNNNNNNNNNNNNNNNNNNNNNNNNNNNNNNNNNNNNNNNNNNNNNNNNNNNNNNNNNNNNNNNNNNNNNNNNNNNNNNNNNNNNNNNNNNNNNNNNNNNNNNNNNNNNNNNNNNNNNNNNNNNNNNNNNNNNNNNNNNNNNNNNNNNNNNNNNNNNNNNNNNNNNNNNNNNNNNNNNNNNNNNNNNNNNNNNNNNNNNNNNNNNNNNNNNNNNNNNNNNNNNNNNNNNNNNNNNNNNNNNNNNNNNNNNNNNNNNNNNNNNNNNNNNNNNNNNNNNNNNNNNNNNNNNNNNNNNNNNNNNNNNNNNNNNNNNNNNNNNNNNNNNNNNNNNNNNNNNNNNNNNNNNNNNNNNNNNNNNNNNNNNNNNNNNNNNNNNNNNNNNNNNNNNNNNNNNNNNNNNNNNNNNNNNNNNNNNNNNNNNNNNNNNNNNNNNNNNNNNNNNNNNNNNNNNNNNNNNNNNNNNNNNNNNNNNNNNNNNNNNNNNNNNNNNNNNNNNNNNNNNNNNNNNNNNNNNNNNNNNNNNNNNNNNNNNNNNNNNNNNNNNNNNNNNNNNNNNNNNNNNNNNNNNNNNNNNNNNNNNNNNNNNNNNNNNNNNNNNNNNNNNNNNNNNNNNNNNNNNNNNNNNNNNNNNNNNNNNNNNNNNNNNNNNNNNNNNNNNNNNNNNNNNNNNNNNNNNNNNNNNNNNNNNNNNNNNNNNNNNNNNNNNNNNNNNNNNNNNNNNNNNNNNNNNNNNNNNNNNNNNNNNNNNNNNNNNNNNNNNNNNNNNNNNNNNNNNNNNNNNNNNNNNNNNNNNNNNNNNNNNNNNNNNNNNNNNNNNNNNNNNNNNNNNNNNNNNNNNNNNNNNNNNNNNNNNNNNNNNNNNNNNNNNNNNNNNNNNNNNNNNNNNNNNNNNNNNNNNNNNNNNNNNNNNNNNNNNNNNNNNNNNNNNNNNNNNNNNNNNNNNNNNNNNNNNNNNNNNNNNNNNNNNNNNNNNNNNNNNNNNNNNNNNNNNNNNNNNNNNNNNNNNNNNNNNNNNNNNNNNNNNNNNNNNNNNNNNNNNNNNNNNNNNNNNNNNNNNNNNNNNNNNNNNNNNNNNNNNNNNNNNNNNNNNNNNNNNNNNNNNNNNNNNNNNNNNNNNNNNNNNNNNNNNNNNNNNNNNNNNNNNNNNNNNNNNNNNNNNNNNNNNNNNNNNNNNNNNNNNNNNNNNNNNNNNNNNNNNNNNNNNNNNNNNNNNNNNNNNNNNNNNNNNNNNNNNNNNNNNNNNNNNNNNNNNNNNNNNNNNNNNNNNNNNNNNNNNNNNNNNNNNNNNNNNNNNNNNNNNNNNNNNNNNNNNNNNNNNNNNNNNNNNNNNNNNNNNNNNNNNNNNNNNNNNNNNNNNNNNNNNNNNNNNNNNNNNNNNNNNNNNNNNNNNNNNNNNNNNNNNNNNNNNNNNNNNNNNNNNNNNNNNNNNNNNNNNNNNNNNNNNNNNNNNNNNNNNNNNNNNNNNNNNNNNNNNNNNNNNNNNNNNNNNNNNNNNNNNNNNNNNNNNNNNNNNNNNNNNNNNNNNNNNNNNNNNNNNNNNNNNNNNNNNNNNNNNNNNNNNNNNNNNNNNNNNNNNNNNNNNNNNNNNNNNNNNNNNNNNNNNNNNNNNNNNNNNNNNNNNNNNNNNNNNNNNNNNNNNNNNNNNNNNNNNNNNNNNNNNNNNNNNNNNNNNNNNNNNNNNNNNNNNNNNNNNNNNNNNNNNNNNNNNNNNNNNNNNNNNNNNNNNNNNNNNNNNNNNNNNNNNNNNNNNNNNNNNNNNNNNNNNNNNNNNNNNNNNNNNNNNNNNNNNNNNNNNNNNNNNNNNNNNNNNNNNNNNNNNNNNNNNNNNNNNNNNNNNNNNNNNNNNNNNNNNNNNNNNNNNNNNNNNNNNNNNNNNNNNNNNNNNNNNNNNNNNNNNNNNNNNNNNNNNNNNNNNNNNNNNNNNNNNNNNNNNNNNNNNNNNNNNNNNNNNNNNNNNNNNNNNNNNNNNNNNNNNNNNNNNNNNNNNNNNNNNNNNNNNNNNNNNNNNNNNNNNNNNNNNNNNNNNNNNNNNNNNNNNNNNNNNNNNNNNNNNNNNNNNNNNNNNNNNNNNNNNNNNNNNNNNNNNNNNNNNNNNNNNNNNNNNNNNNNNNNNNNNNNNNNNNNNNNNNNNNNNNNNNNNNNNNNNNNNNNNNNNNNNNNNNNNNNNNNNNNNNNNNNNNNNNNNNNNNNNNNNNNNNNNNNNNNNNNNNNNNNNNNNNNNNNNNNNNNNNNNNNNNNNNNNNNNNNNNNNNNNNNNNNNNNNNNNNNNNNNNNNNNNNNNNNNNNNNNNNNNNNNNNNNNNNNNNNNNNNNNNNNNNNNNNNNNNNNNNNNNNNNNNNNNNNNNNNNNNNNNNNNNNNNNNNNNNNNNNNNNNNNNNNNNNNNNNNNNNNNNNNNNNNNNNNNNNNNNNNNNNNNNNNNNNNNNNNNNNNNNNNNNNNNNNNNNNNNNNNNNNNNNNNNNNNNNNNNNNNNNNNNNNNNNNNNNNNNNNNNNNNNNNNNNNNNNNNNNNNNNNNNNNNNNNNNNNNNNNNNNNNNNNNNNNNNNNNNNNNNNNNNNNNNNNNNNNNNNNNNNNNNNNNNNNNNNNNNNNNNNNNNNNNNNNNNNNNNNNNNNNNNNNNNNNNNNNNNNNNNNNNNNNNNNNNNNNNNNNNNNNNNNNNNNNNNNNNNNNNNNNNNNNNNNNNNNNNNNNNNNNNNNNNNNNNNNNNNNNNNNNNNNNNNNNNNNNNNNNNNNNNNNNNNNNNNNNNNNNNNNNNNNNNNNNNNNNNNNNNNNNNNNNNNNNNNNNNNNNNNNNNNNNNNNNNNNNNNNNNNNNNNNNNNNNNNNNNNNNNNNNNNNNNNNNNNNNNNNNNNNNNNNNNNNNNNNNNNNNNNNNNNNNNNNNNNNNNNNNNNNNNNNNNNNNNNNNNNNNNNNNNNNNNNNNNNNNNNNNNNNNNNNNNNNNNNNNNNNNNNNNNNNNNNNNNNNNNNNNNNNNNNNNNNNNNNNNNNNNNNNNNNNNNNNNNNNNNNNNNNNNNNNNNNNNNNNNNNNNNNNNNNNNNNNNNNNNNNNNNNNNNNNNNNNNNNNNNNNNNNNNNNNNNNNNNNNNNNNNNNNNNNNNNNNNNNNNNNNNNNNNNNNNNNNNNNNNNNNNNNNNNNNNNNNNNNNNNNNNNNNNNNNNNNNNNNNNNNNNNNNNNNNNNNNNNNNNNNNNNNNNNNNNNNNNNNNNNNNNNNNNNNNNNNNNNNNNNNNNNNNNNNNNNNNNNNNNNNNGGAGAGAGGGCGCUGAAACUACAAGCAUUUCAAACCGUCUUGACGACGUCGUGCUCUUGUGAUUAUUUAUCAACGCAUCUCUCAUCAAAUCCUGGAUGGUUGGAAGAUUGGAAGGAACUAGUACGUAAACGUCGUAGUGCCACAGAUGCACUAACAUUACUAAAGCUGAUGAUAUUUGGAUACACAAAAUUAACACACUUGUUGACUCACUUUCUAAUAUGGGCUCUGCUUCUAUUAGGUAGUGCGUCUACAAUUGCAUCUAAUUUUGUGCGUCUAAAAUAGUUUUACCGUUGGGGCAAAAAUGUGAAUGCCUUCUUCUGGAACUGGAUUCAGACCACCUGCAAUCUUGCUGUUUGGAUUUAUUACUUCCCACUUGUAUUUUAUGACAAUGUGAUGGAGGCAAACACAUAAGUCGGAGUUUAGUAUAUGUUGAGUCCAAUUUUAUUCUCUAUGAUCCAUCACUCCAAUCACUUGCUAAUAAGGACAAAGCCUUAUAAAGUGAAGGAACAUUUUAGUAGUGACCAAUGUAAGACAAUGUAGAAUGAUAUAUCUACUAAAAUUUUUCCAACAAUAUGGUUACAAACUGAAUUGGGAGCAUAUGUAAAUUUGAUACCUCGUUAUGAUCGGCUCUUUCUAUUGUUUAAGCUCCUAAUUGCCAUCCCCUUAUGUUUUAUAGUAGAAUAUUGUUGUAUUAAAAAUGAACCGUUGAAAUAUAAUAAAAUAGUUUUCAUAAUUUAUUCUUUUAAUUUCCAAGCUAUGGUAGUUGUUGUUUGUGAAAUAUUGAUAUAUAAUUUAUUCCUUCAAUUUUCAACCUUUGCUAGUUCUUGUAUUUCAUAUUUGGAGAUGAGCUCUUUUUUUUUUCAUUUGCAAAUAAUGUAUUUUCAUCAUAAAAACUUUAUAAUUGGAAUCAUUAUUUUCUUAGUUUCUAUUUGAGGAUUAUCUCUACAAAAAAAUCAUCCGAAUCGGAUACCGUUUAAUCAUACAAAUGUAUCAAAAUAAAUCAACUGUGUAAGUAGCAAGUAACAUAUUCAUCAUGAUGAGUCAUUGAUUUGUUUGAUAUUUGGAUGACUAAAGGAUUUCUGAUUCAAAUGAUUUUUUACGGAUUCCGUAUGACUGAAAAUCUAAAAUUUUGGUUUGCUUGUUUUUGGGCUAGGUUUUUUGGUAUUUGAGCUUUUGCCUUUCCUUAAAAUGAUUCAAAACUAGUGGAGUUCUAUGAAAUAUAUGUGUUUUUGUCUGUAUAGGUUGUGCAAGAAAUUGAAGCUAAGCUGGUAAUUAAACUAGUAAUUUGAUUACAGAAUGUUAGAUAAAGCGGAUUAGAAGUGCAAUUCAUUAACAUUGCAACUUUUUCAUCCUCCGUAAAUGUGAUUUAUGACAAAUAAGCGUAAGAAAAAAGAAAAUAGGACAUGGUUGAUAUUUUAAAAUCGGAUGGCAAGUCUUUAUUAUCAUAAUAUUAGCAUAGAAUAGCUAUGGAAAGGAUUAAUAUAAAAUACUUGCCUUGCAUUGGACUUUAAAAGAAAUGAAAUUAUAAGUGGUGGAUUGUCUUUAUGAUUAGGGCUUGUUUUUUUAAUUUACUAUGCCUUGAGUUCAAACUUCAAACCCUCCUUCAUACCAAUUAGCGUACAAUACUGUUCUCCAUCCCUAUUAGCGUACAAUAUUUAUUGAUUAAAAAAAAACGAAAGUUAGAGAUCUGAGAUCGAAUGAAUUGUAAGCAUAAACAAACAUGAAAGCAUGUAUUAUUACUGAUGCACUAACAUUAGACGAAGGAUGGUGAUAAUUGGACAUAUAAUACUAACACACUGAUCGACUCACUUUCUAAUUCAGGUGAGAUCCACAUACAAUGACAGGUUCCACUCUAUUAGGAAGUGCGUCUAAUUUUUGUGCGUCCAAAUAGUUUACUGUUGGGGCAAAUAUGGUUGGAUGCGAAUGUGAAUGCCUUCUUCUGGAACUGGAUUCAAACCACCUGCAAUCUUGCUGUUUGGAUUUAUUACUUCCCACUUGUAUUUUGUGACAAUGUGAUGAAGGGAGCACAUAAGUUGGAGUCUAGCAUAUUUCUUUUCCCGGGCAAAUUCGAGGGCCGCUGCCAAAUGGGAUGUUAGAGUAAGUCGGAGGAGUUUUUCCAUUCUCAAAACCUAGUCGGAUCAAACUCUUCCGGAUCCGGAAAGUAUUCAGGGAUUUUAUUCGUGCUGCUUGCCGACCAAAACACCUAAAAAAGGGUAAUCAACACAAACUAAUUAAGACACACAAAUUAAAUGGUGAAGUAACUAGACUGUAAUUAUAUUACUAAUUAACUGAUUGUUAAAUACCUUCCACCCUUUUGGAAUUGUGUAACCUUCAUACGUGAAUUCAGUAGCAACCUCCCUAAAUGUUCCUUGGAGAGGUGGUACCAGCCUCAUAACUUCAAGUGCCACACCCCAGGAAUAUUUCAUCUUGUGUAUAUCUUCCCAGAUCAGUGCCUCGCCAGACUUUUUUGAACUUGCGAUCUCCAAUUGUUCUAGAACAAGAACAAAAAUUUUCAUCAUGCAAUUAAUAUAUAUAUACCAAUUUCCAAUUUAAAGAAGAUCUCUAUCAAUUUUAAUUAAUUACCUGUACGAACUUUGUCACAUAUUUCAGGUCUUUCUCCAAGAUAUUUGAAGAGGAAACCUGUAACCAUGGAAGGUGAGUGAAACGCAGCCACCAUCGAACCCAUAAAUUUAUCAGCAACUUCAUUCUCCGAUGAGAACCUUCCAGUGGGGUCCGGGUUAAAUAGCAUGAAAGACAAGAUGUCGUGUGCGUUUGGACUCCACUGGCAGCAGCCGCUUUCUUCUCCUCAAUCAACAACAAAACCUCCUUCCUCAAUGCCUUCGCCGCCUUCAUUGCUCGAUGAAACGUGGUUCCGGGAAUGUUGAUGUGAAUAGUAUGCAGCCCUGAAGUGAGAACAUCCAUCAACUGGGCAUACUUUUCCGUGCGCUCAUUGUCAUGCAGUCCAGUGAAGAAGCGAGCGGACAAACUCGUGUGACAAGUAGCUGAGCAAGUUUAUAUACCUCAACCGUGGUUUUGCCUUCCCAGUGAAGCUUCAAAUGUUCUUGAACCAAAGAGUCCAUAGUUUCUAUGUACUUCACCAGAGCCUCGGGCUUCAAAAAGCCCGGGGCACGGUAGAUUUGGAUUACGUCUGCUUGCGGUACGAUGGCUGUGGCAGCGGCUUUUAGGUAGGAAGAGCGGAAGAGCUUCUGCAUGGAUAGUGGUCGCCAUGCAAGAAAAAGCUUUUCCUCGUUGGUGGCGAUGAACUUGUGACCGGCAGUGCCGCAUAAAACAACCAUCCGCUCGCCGAAUAUGCUGGUUUUAAAGAGCUUUGUGGAGUGUUUUUUCAUUCUUUCGCCCACAAAGUGUUGUUGCUGCUCUUUCAUGAAGGCGAUCGUUUCGCCAAUGAUUGGCCAUCCGAAACUUCCCGGUGGAAGGUUGGUUUUGGAAGAUUUGAAUGCAUAAAUGAUGAGAGCAAGAGCACUCAGUAAUAACAACAAUAAUAAUUGAGUCUCCAUUCGAAGAGUAAGAAUGUUGUUAGUUAAGAGAAUGAUUCUUAUAGAUUGUUGGUUGCUAAGUGCUAAGCUACCCUUUAUAUAUAUAGGCGCUGUAUUUACCCAUCUGUAUGCACCAAUUAAUAAUUAGUAAUUCUAAAAAAAAUACAAAAAUGUUGUCUUGAAAGCAGGCACCGCUGCAACAGAAGAAAAGAAGGAUCGAUCAAAUCCCGACGGACCGGUUAUAUACUUAUUAUAAUAGAUGUAUAUAUAGAUAUAUCUUAUAAUAAGUAUAAGAGUUGAAUGAAUUUUUUUAUUUAUUUGUACUACAUCUCUAAUAAAUAUAUGACUCGCAUGUAUUAGUGAGCCCUACAUAGUACAAAUAUCUCUACUAUACUAAUAGAACUUUCAUUAUCAACCAAAUCUCUAUGAAAUUACUACUCUAACCCUCUAAUUAAAAUUAAACAAAAAUAAAAAAUAUGGGCAAUUUAGUAAUUUCAAAACUACAAAUUUUACUUUUUUUUUUUUGGAACCUCACAACUAGGUAAUAGUAACAUAUUCUAUUUAAAAAUUCAAAAUUAAAUUAAAAAAUUGGCACACAUUCAUCUCUCUCAUCAACUCUCUUCAGCUUCUCUUUACAUCUUUCUUGCCAAAAUCCUCCUCAACCGCUCUAACCACCCCACCUCCGUUACCCCCUUUCUCCCACCCCGCCUGCCUCUAACCCACUUGCAAAUUAUGUAGGCUCUUCCUCUCCUCCAACGGUCCAACCCUAAUAGCCCUCUGCCAGACCCACCACCCAACAACUUCUCCGACAUCCUCUGUGUUUUCCCCCAUGACCCCUCUUUCAUCGCCCCCUGCCUCUUUGACCCAUGAAUCCUAGACUGGAGCCCCUCCCACCAUGAAUGGGCAUCCAAUGUUCUGAAGGUAUGAGCCUCAUUAUUUAGUUUCUGCAUCUUAUGCGAGGUUGGAGGAAGAAAUUUUUAAGCAUUAAAACUCCCUUGCAAUAUGUUUGAUGUGUCGUUGAAAUACAUAUAUUAAUCAUGAUUUAUCACUCCUCAAUUACUUAUUUUAUUGCAUUCGAUGGUUUUUACUUUGUUACAUGGCUUGUUUUCAUCCAAGUAUAGUUCCACAUUAUACAACUUUUGGGAGAUGUACUGAAGUUAGUGAUGAUUUUAGUGUUUUCAUGCUAUAAUAUCUUUACAAAUUAUUAUAAAAUUCUGAAAGUAUUGCCUAACUCAUAAGUUUGGUUUUAUUUCACUAAUGUUAGUAAUUGUUUUCAUAAGUUCAUGUAACUCAUACCACAGUGAAAAGAUUUUUUUUUUUCUUCAGAAUGACGUAUACAUUGCACAUUGAUAACUCAUACCACAACAAAAAAAAAUUGAGUUGCACACGUAUAGCGUGUGUGCCGAUUGCUAGUAUAAAUAGAUGAUAAGUGUAACACUACAUCAAAAAAAAAAAAGUUAUGUGUGCUCAAGUUAGUAGGAGAAGUGCCAAGGGCUAGGAUUCUCUCCCUUCCUCUUUCCAUCCAUUUCCAUCCCCUCCUCUCACAUUUUCUAUUUUGUCUUUCUCCUUCUAUAAAAAAUUAAUAUAAGAUGUUGAUAUGGCUUAACCGUGACCAUUCAAAUAGGAGGAGAGAAAAUCCUAGUACCUGUCACAAAUGUCUACAUUCUAACUCAAGUGUGCUAUAGAGAAUGCCAAUAAGAAAAGGGUCCAGAAUACCAGACUGUCGGACCUUUCCUUGGCACCAAGUAUUUACCUGAAACACGAGUGUAUGAUUGUCAGAAUUAGCUUGGCUCCUCAACAAUUCACUAUACGAUGGAUUUACAAAUUUUUUUUGUUUAUAAUUGAAAUUAUUCAUAUUAUAAAUUAAUUUGUAAAGAUUAUUUUUGCAAAAAAAAAUAUAUAUUGAAAAUAUAAAAAAUGCUACUCUUACUACAUUUGUACUAUCUCUCUAAUAAAAAUGAGACUCAUAUAUGUUGAUGAACCAUACUUUUAUUAAAAGAUAGUACAAAUGUAGUAUGAAAAAUAUGGUAAGUGUAGCUUGUACUCUUUAAAUAUGAGAGCGUUUUAGUUAUCGAACUAUACAAAAAUAGGACGAAUUCAAUAAACAAAUCAUGAAUUGUCUAUAACUAUGUUAUAAUUGAUUGAUUAAACAACCGUACUUCAGCCACUUAGUACUACGGUCUAGUGAUAUUCCUUUUCACUUGUAAGUGAGAGAUUCUAGGUUUGAUUUUCGCCAAAAGUGAAUUUGAACCACAUUAUUACUAACUCAUUAUGAGGCUUAAUCUACCUUUUUUUCAUUAGCAUAAAUAAUAUCGUUUGUUAAAAAAACAACCGUACUUGAUCAAUUGAUAUUAUUGACAGGCAGUACACAUAUUUGCAAUAAUUUAUCAACAGACGUUGAUAUUAAAAUUGACAUGCAGUACACGCAUUGGCAAUAAUUUAUAAAAAGACCAUUUGUUUUUCUAAAAAAAAAAAAAAACAUUUGUCACUAUCUUUGAGAAUCGUCUAAUGGAAGCACAAUCUUGACUCUUGAGUUCCCCCAAAUGCAUGCGCUCCAUCACAUGUAUCCAUCACAUGUAUAACAUGAAAAGGAAAAAGGUAUAUGAUUGGCUUUUAUUAAUAGGUAAUGUUGGGAAAAUUGAUUUUUAAAUUUUUUAUUUUUUAUUUUUUUUAAAUGAAUCACUUUUUAAAAUUAAAUUUGAUAAAUUAUAUGACGUGAUUAUUGAUAAUUUAAUUUUUAAUUAAUAACACAUUAUAUAAUUUACAAAUUGAACUUCAUCAUCCAUGCAUAACGAAUCUUCUCUUAGAAGACUUCUAUGCCACUACGCUAUAAUACAAGUUGGACGUCAAUUGUUGUAACACAUGACGCAGGCAGCAGCAAUGCUUAAAAAUAUGUCCAACAUAAAUAAACAGAUAAUAACAAAAUAUGGCUAAUGCACAUAAUAAAUACGGUUAUAAUAAUUAGUUAUAGUCUUUAAAUAAGAAGUAUUUUAUUUAAAUACCACAACUAAUUCUUCUAACCAUAUCUUAUUGUCACAUCCCAACUCAACCAUAGCAUGAUAUUAUCCGUUUUGGGUCAGACCCUCACGGAUUUGUUCCUGGGCAAGAGAACCUCACUACCUAAAACGCAUCAUGCUAGGAAGAGAGGAGCAUGUACAUAUAAGGUCAGGGACCAAUCCCCACCCUGAUGAUGUGGGAUACUACAUUAUUGUGUGAAUUAGUCAUAUUUUGUUGUUAUCUGUUUUUUGUUUGAAGUGAUGUUAAUAUUUUUUAUCCGUAUUGAAGGAAAAUAUGAUAAUAUUACAAUAUGUUUUCAAUAAUAAUAAUAAUAUUAUUAUUACAAUACGGUGAUAACCUUUUAUAUCCAUAUUCAAGUGUAAAUAAAGUUUAAUAAGCUCGAUUGCCAAUUAUAUCUUUUGCAGCUUCUGGACGGUGGCGUUAUUCACUAAAAACAAAUCCAAUUAUUUUUAUAAUUCAAAUUAAUAAAAAAAUGUUUAUUAAAAUAUAAUAAUAUUUCUUUUUAUUUAUAAUAGAGAAAAUCUCAAGAUCUGCUCAAAUAGAUAACGACGAUCCGUAUGUAUAUUUAAUACCUCGUUAUAAACGGCACUUUCUAUUAUUUAAGUCCUAAUUCCAGCCCCCUUGUCUUUAUCGUAGAAUAUUGUGUAUUAAAAAUGGAGGCAGAUUCUCUGCUCUCUCAUUUUCGAUGUCUUCCCGUGACCUUCUGUUUUAUGUGGUCACAGUUAAGCCACGUCAAUAUUUUAAAUUAUUUUUUAUAGGAAUAAUAAGACAAAAAUAAAUAGUAAUAUAAAAUGUUGACGUGAGUUAACCGUGAUCAAAAAACAAAAGGGCACAGAAGGACACCGAAAGUGAGAGGGCAUUCUCCAUUAAAAAUAACAACUGAAAUAUAAUUUAUUCCUUCAUACCUAGGCAGCUGUUGUUUGUUGAAUCUUGGAAAAUAAUACAAUAGUUUCAUAAUUUAUUCUUUCAAUUUUCAACCAAUGGUAGCCGUUGUUUGUUGAAUAUUGAUAUAUAAUUUAUUCCUUCAAUUUUCAACCUUCGCUAGUUCUUGUAUUUCUUUUUUUUUUGGAGAUGAGCUCAUUCUUUUAUUUGCAAUUAAAGUAUUUACACCAUAAAAACUUUAUAAUUGGAAUUGCUAUUCUUUUAGUCUCCAUUUGAGGAUCAUCUCUGUAAAAAAUCAUUCAAAUCAGAGAUCAUUUAAUCAUCAAAAUGCAUCAAAAUAAAUCACCCAUGUAGGUAACAAGUAGCAUAUUUAUGAUGAGCCAUUGAUUUGUUUGAUAUAUUUGGAUGACUAAAGGAUAUUUGAUUCAAAUGAUUUUUAACGGAUCUAAAAUCAGUUUGAAGUUCUUAUAGAUGAUGUUCGUUUGUAGUUUUGGCUUGGUUAAGUAACAAGUCUUUUUUUUUUCUUUUUUUUUUCAAAAAAAAAAAAAGGGGACCCGAUUGUGGUUUCGCCUUAGCAGUCCACCCUUAAUGGGCCGGGAAGACUCACAGAGGCAUUUUAUUCUCUUCUUGACCAUCAUCGUGCGAUUCACUAAUACCAUGAAUCAAUCUCAGGACUUGCUGUGUGGAAUACGAGCCUAAAAUUCAUCUCCAACUACUAAGCCACCUCAUGAUGGUUUGUUGGGGUAUGGCUGAAAUUCUAAAUUUAGUUUGCUUGGUUUUGAGCUAGGUUUGUUGGGAUUUGAACUUUUAUCUCCCCUUGAAACGAUUCAGCUAGUGAAGUUGUAAGAUGUAUAAUGUGUUUUUGUCUCUAUAGGUACCGUUGUGAGGGGGAUUGAAACUAAGCUAGCAAUUAAACUAGUAAUUAUGUGAUAACAGAAUAUUAGAUGUGCUCUAGAUUAGUGGGAGAGGUGUCCCUGUCACAAAUAUCUAGACUCUAAAAGUUUGAUUGUUGAUGGCUACCUCAAGUGCGCUAGAGAAUGCCAAUAAGAGCAUCUGCAGCAGUCCCUAAUUUGCCUCGGAAUUGAGUUGAACUGCCUUGUUGCCUAAAGAAAAUGGAUUUGAAUCCUCUCCUGAGCUUAGAAGGCUGAGCCUCCUGAGCAAAUCACAAAAACCGUUGGAUUUUAAUUCAACGGCUAAAAUUAUUAUAACUUUUAGAGGGACUCCUUAUUUGUAACCGUUAGAUCAAAAUCUAAUGAUCCGUAUGAUUUGCUCAGGAGGCUCAGCCUCCGAAGCUCAAGUGAGGAUCCAAAUCCAAAGAAAAUGGCUCCACCUCUGAAAUAAAAAGAGGGGCAAUUGGGUGAAGGGCAGAGCCCUUGCGGCUGCCCUGCCGACUGAAACUGGGGUCCGCGUAAGACCAGAUCGAAAGUCUCCUUUGAAAAAAAAGAGAGUUAGAGAUCUAAGUUCGAAAGAAUUGCAAGCAUAAACACCAUGACACAAGUUAUAAUUAUUACAUUAUUGUUUCAGUACAAAAGAGGGAGAGAGGCGCUGAACUGCAAGCAUUUCAAACUGUCUCGACGAGGUCGAGUUCUUGUGAUUAUUUAUCAACACAUCUCAUCAAAUCCAGGAAAGGUUGGAAGAUUGGAACGAACUAGUACGUAAACUUCGUAGUCCGUACAACGUUGUGACGAGGGAAUAAAUCAGCCUCAUGCCACUGAUGCACUAACAUUAGGCUAAUGGUGAUGAUAUUUUAACACACAAAACUAAUAUACUUGUUGACAUACUUUUUAAUAUAGGUGAGAUCCAGUCCGCCUCUGGUGACUGCCUAACUUUAGUGCAAUUUCGCUUAUGAUUCAUUAUCUUAGGGAUUCGACGUGAAAAUGAAGUGCCGGCUAUCGACUACCUAACGCCCUCCUCCUCCUCCUCCUCCUCUAUUUGGGCUUGGAAUCAGCAACGUAAGAUAAACUUACACAAGCAUAGUUAUUAAAAAAACAAAAUCAAUGGAAAAAGUUGAUUUAGAUCAAAAUGGCGAAAUUGAUUGAAAAUCAAUUUGAAAUGUGCAAAUCGAGCAGUAAGAAUAAAGCUUUGCAUAUUUAGACUUCAGUGUCUAAUUUGAGCUUGUGAGUACCGUUCUGAACAUAAUGAUUAUGUGCAUCAAACACACCACUUUACUUUGACGUAUGAGCUUUUCUGCCAAAAUAUUUUUAAAGACGUUUUAGGAUUUUGUUAUUUUGUUUAGUUUUAAUUUUAUUUGUCACAUAAUAAUACGGUUUAAUAGUAUUCAUCUUCAAUUAAAAGUGAAUAUCUUAAGUUCGAAUCGCUUAGAUAGCAAGUUUGAUACCGAUUUAUCCCCGCCUUUUAGUGUAAAUAAUAUCGAUGUAUCCAAACAAAAAAAUAUAAAUAGGAUAUUUAUUAAGUGUUAGGUUUCAAUUAACUUUGAGAUUUCUUCGUACUUUCCGGUGGAUUCUAACUUUCUUUUUCUUUAAGAUUAUUGUUGAAUAAUCUUCUUAUUUUCAUGUUGCGUCACGAGUGCCAAAAAAAGAAAACAAGUGUGAAAAUAAUUGUUCCAUAAUUAAUAGCUUUGUUGUCCUACUAUUAAUUAUUAUUAUUAUUAUUAUUAUUAUUAUUAUUAUUAUUACUAUUAUAUUGAAUUUCUUAAAGUAUUAUUAUUUUUUGGUUGACAAUGGGGCAUAAGCGCGAAUGAAAAUGAAGAUUAAUAAGGAUAUCACGAAAUCACGAGACCCAAAUUAUAUUUGUAACUAACAACCGACGACAAAAAAGAAUAGCUUGCCAAAAAAGACUGCACUCAAACUGCAUGACAAACUCAAACGAGUCAAAUUAUCAGCAACAAAGUUCUUUUCACGAUAGAUAUGAUGAAUUUCACAAGACCAACUUUGGUGCAUGAGCUCACGACAAGUCGGUUACUAAACUUCCCAGAGGGUGACUAUCCACUUUUGCAUUUGAAAUCAAUUGUAUUGCAAGUGUAGAAUCCAAUUCCACCAUAAUCUUAUUAACUCCAUUAUUCCAUGCAAGUUGCAGCUCAACCGAUACACCUCAAACUUCAACACAUAGAAUCUCACAUCGACCAAGAUUAGCACAAAAGCAAGAAGGGAGGUGCAACACAAGAACUUCCAGGAGCUCACCCGUUCUAAUGCUACUCUCGCCCAAACUCGCUUAAAAUAUUAUUUUGUUCUCUAUAAAAGUACUGAUUCAUUGACAAAAGAAAUGGUGGAAUGGAUCAAUUAUGAUAUAUUAGUUUGUUUUAGAUAUGGUAGUAUUAUCCACACAUCUCUUUUUAACUUCUUAUACCUUCUUAAUUUUUUAUUGUUAAAUCAAAUGAAUUAGAGAAGAUUAAUUGACAACAAUUAACAAUAAGUGUAUAAAUAACACCACCUUUACAUAUUGAUUAAUUUCUAUAUUAUAUGCUUAUCGUGAAGUCAGAGACUAACAACUGAUUGCAUUUAAGUCUUUGUCACACCAAACUAUAUAAAAAGCACUGCCAGCUUCUUUGGUCUAGUUUCUUAACUUGCAGGCAAAAAUCUUAUUAUAAACAAUUAAAUUUUAGACCCUAGAUGACGGAAAAUGGAAUUUGAAAAUCGCUACUCUAUUAAAUUUUAGACCAUAAAAUUAAUGUAAACGGUUUAUGAUUGAUAUUAGUAUAAUAUAUAUGUCUAAGGGGUACUACUAGUUCUCACUCUUUGAUGACUUGCAUAUCCUGAUGAUGGUUUGCUCCAUAAUCUUUGAAGAUUUGCUGGAUAAUGGUGUUGAUUUAAUUGGAUUCUUAGUUAGUAUUAAAAUUGACAUGCAAUACGUACUUGUUUCUUUGUUGAGAAAUGCGCUGAGGAAACUCUUUCAAAGUGACUCUCUAUAAGCUCUCUCAAAGUGAGACUCUUUAUAAACUCUUCGUCAGACUCUCUAUCACCUCAUACUUUUGGCACAAUAAAGUCAUUUCUUUGUUGAGAAAUGCUAAGGAGAUUUUCCUCCAGACUCUUCGUCACCUCAUAUUUUUUGCACAAUAGAGUCUAUAAAAAGUCUUACUUUUAAGAUGUCUUAGCAUUCUCUUCUUUGUUUAGAAAAGAAAUUUAAAAUUAAUAUGGACUACACACAUUUGCAAUAAUUAUUAAAAAGACUAUUUAUCACGAUGGUCUGAAAACACAAUCUUGAGUCCCCCCAAAUGCAUGUGCUUCUAUUCCAUCUACAAUAGAAUCACAUGUAUCCCAACUAGAUCCUCUUCAGAUUAUCUUUGCGAGGAUUCUAGGAAUUCGUGAAUCGUGUAUGUUUAUCAUACAUCCUGCGGUCAGUUUUUGUACAGUAUUGUUUGUGUUCAAUUUUAAUUAAAAGAAUUUAAAAUGGUUUCUGACCGCACAAUGUACGAUGAAGGAACAUGAUUCACGAAUUCUCGAAAUUCUCACGAAGAGGAUCCGGAUUCACCUGUAUCACACGAAAAGGGAAAAGGUCUAUGAUUAGCUUUUAUUAAUGAGUAAUGCUAUAGAGAUUAAUUUUUAAUUAAAUUUUAUAAAUUAUAUGAUGUGGUUGUAUUUCUUAAGUUUUGAAGAACGUGUUUAUUUCUUAUAAUUUAAAAUUUUGGUCGAAAAAGUUAGUCUGCAUAACAUUAUUCUUUUAUCAAAAGAUUAUAGUAAUCCCAGCAGUAGUGAAGCCACAAAGAUGCAAGGAGGUGCGGCUAUAUUAUAUGCUUAUCAUGAAGUCAGAGACUAAUAACCGAUUGCAUUUAAGUCUUUGUGAUACCAAACUACAUAAAAAGCACUGCCAGCUUCUUUGGUCUAUUUUCUUAACUUGCAAGCAAAAAACUUCUUAUAAACUAUUAAAUUUUAGACCGUAGAUGACUGAAAAUGGAAUUUGAAAAUCACUACUCUAUUAAAUUUUAGACCAUAAAAUUAAAGGAAAACUAAUGAAAAUGGUUUGAAAAUUUUGAGUUUUAAUGAUAAGGACAAAAUAAAGGGUAAAGUGAAUAGUAUCAGGUUUGACUUUUUAGUGUAAAAAUGUGGUUUUUCGUUAAAGUGAACAAUAUCGUGGGCUUUUCGUUAAAGCUCCCUAAAAUUAAUGUAAACGGGUUAUGAUUGAUAUUGGUAUAAUAUAUCUGUGUAAGGGGUACUACUUGUCACAUCCUAGCCUAGGCCCCCACCACAUCCCAGGCUAGACUCCACCGUAGCACGAUAUUGUCGUUUUGGGCUCCGACCACGUCCUCACGGUUUUGUUUCUGGGAACUUACACGAGAACUUCCUAGUGGGUCACCUAUCCUGGGAUUGCUCUUCGCGAACUCGCUUAACUUCGGAGUUCCUACGGAACCCGAAGUCAGUGAGCUCCCAAAAGGCCUCGUGCUAGGUAGAGAUGAGAAUAUACAUAUAAGACUUACAGGAUUCACUUCCAUGGGCGAUGUGGGAUGUUACAAUCCACCCCCCUUAGGGGCCCGACAUCUUCGUCGGCACAUUUCCGGCCAGGGAUUGGCUCUGAUACAAAAUUGUCACAUCCUGGCUCAGGCCCCCACCACAUCUCGGCCUAGACUCCACUGUAGCACGAUAUUGUCCGCUUUAGGCCCCGACUACGCACUCACGGUUUUAUUUCUGGGAACUCACAUGAGAACUUCCCAGUGGAUCACCUAUCCUGGGAUUGCUCUCGCGCGAACUCGCUUAACUUCGGAGUUCCUAUGGAACCCGAAGCCAAUGAGCUCUCAAAAGGCCUCGUGUUAGGUAGAGAUGAUAAUAUACAUAUAAGGCUUACAUGAUUCACUUCCCUGGACGAUAUGAGAUGUUACACUACUAGUUCUAACUCUUUGAAUAUUUGCAUAUCCUGAUGGUGGUUUGCUCCAUAAUCUUUGAAGAUUUGCUAGAUAAUGGUGUUGAUUUAAUAUUGGAUUCUCAGUUAGUAUUAAAAUUGACAUGCAAUACAUAAUUGUUUCUUUGUUAAGAAAUGCUAAGGAAACUCUCUCAAAGUGAGACUCCCUAUAAACCCUUCGUCAGACUCUCUGUCACCUCAUACUUUUGGCACAAUAGAGUAAUUUCUUUGUUCAUAAAUGCUAAAAAGACUCUCUAUAGACUUUCCUCCAGGCUUUCCGCAACCUCAUAUUUUUGCACAAUAAAGUCUAUAAAAAGUCCUACUUUUAAGAUGUCUUCGCAUUUCUCUUCUUUGUUUAGAAAAGAAAUUUAAAAUUAGGAUAAAUUUCAUAAAACUACCUCAACUAUUGGGUCAGUCACAAUUUCAUACCCCAUCUUUAAAAAAUUUCAAUGUCAUACCUCAUCUACGAAUUUUUUACAAUUUCAUACAUUCCGUCAGUUUUCUAUCAAUUUUUCAGUUAAAAUAGUGACAUGGCUUAAAAAAAUUAAAAAAUUAAUCAAAUAUUAAAAAACAAAAAAAAAAUCAUUUUGAAUUUUUUUUUUUGCACAGGGACCCACCCUAUGCCCUUUUUUCCCUCUCCUUUUCCUCCCCCACUUCUCUCUCUCGCCGUGCCCAUAACCCCCUUCCUUCCCCCACCUGUCUUCCCCAAACCCAGAUCCCACUCCCAACUACCAUACCAUCCCAAACCCAGAUCCCACUUCCUGUUACCAUUCUUCGGCACAAACCCAAAAUCAACCAGAUACCAUCCCAAACCCAGAUCCCACUCCCCGCUACCAUACCAUCCCAAACCCAUAUCCCACUUCCUACUACCAUUCUUCGGCACAUCCUUUAGCGCAACUACUCCUCCCUCACCUCCCUUACCUUUUUCAACGCCCUCAUCCGCAGCCACUCUCCUCCACAUACAGCAAAUUUGCCAAAACCCUUACCCCGGAAACCCUAUGAAACUCUUCCUUGCUCUCCUUGUACCCAGCCACCUGCGCAAUCACCAUCAUGGCGUCUUCUACGUCAUACUGCAGCAGAGAGAUUUGAGGGUUUGAAGGGGCAGAGGAAGAGGGCAUAAAUGGUACUAGAGCAUAGAGAGGGCCGGUUGACCCGAUUUGGUAAAGGCGAAGUCUGAAUCAAAGAGCGAGUCGGUCGAUGGCUGUAUAGACGAAGGGAAGGCGGGACGGAGUCGAGCGAUGGCGUGUGCAGGUGAGGUGGGUGAUAGGCAUGAAGGGGAGAGAUGGAUGUAGUGAUCAGUGCAGAGGAUACGAGAUGGGUGGGAUCUGGUGAGGGAGGGUGCAGACGGGGUCGACGAGGUCGGGUUAAAGGGUGAAGGUGAUGAGAUGGUGAAGGGCCAAGGUCAAGGUCGGGGCCGACAAGGCUACUGUUGCAGCGUGAAAGGGAGAAAGAGAGAAAAAAUACUAGAGGAAAGGGGAUGGCAAAUGAAAAACCUAGGUGGCUUAGGGGGUUCUGGGCACGGCGAGAGAAAGAAAUGGGGGAAGAAAGGGUACGGGGUGGGUCCCCAUGCAAAAAAUAAAAAUAAAAAUGAUUUUUUUUUUAAGUUUUUUAAUAUUUAAUUAUUUUUUUAAGCCACGUCACUAUUUAACGGAAAAAUUGGCAUAAAACUAACGGAAUGUAUGAAAUUGUAAAUAAUUCGUAGAUGAGGUAUGACAUUGAAAUUUUUUAAAGACGGGGUAUGAAACUGUGACUGACCCAAUAGUUGAGAGAGUUUUAUGUAAUUUACCCUUAAAAUUAAUAUGCACUACACACAUUUGCAAUAAUUAUAUAUAUAAAAAAGACAAUUUAUCACGAUGGUCUGAAAACACAAUUAUCACGAUGGUUUGAAAACACAAUCUUGAGUUCCCCCAAAUGCAUGCGCUUCUAUUCCAUCUACAACAGAAUCACAUGUAUCCCAACAAGAUCCUAUCCGGAUCCUCUUUGUGAGGAUUUUAAGGAUUCGUGAAUUGUGUAUGUUCAUCUAGGUAUAUGAUUAGCUUUUAUUAAUGAGUAAUGCUAUGAAGAUUAAUUUUUAAUUAAAUUUUAUAAAUUAUAUGAUGUGGUUGUAUUACUUAAGUUUUAAAGAACGUGUUUAUUUCUUAUAAUUUAAAAUUUUGGUCGAAAAAAGUUGGUCUAUAUAACAUUAUUCUUUUUCAAAAGGUUAUAGUUUCACAACAGCGGUGAAGCCAUAAAGAUGCAAGGAGGUGCGGCUAAUAUUAUUGAGAAAUUUUUAUUAUAUAAAAAAGUGAUCUUCCUAAAAUUACUCUUUUUAUUUAUUAAAAAAAAAUUAAAAUCGUCUACGGUGAAGAAAGACUUCCAUGAAAUCAUCUUUGUAUAUUUAUUGAGAAAUUUUUAUGGGCAUUGAGAAUACAAUAUCAUGCUAUGUCUUAUUCACAUAUUAUAUAAUAAGAGUCGACAAUAACGUUAAUUCUACUUUUAACUUUUAAGUAUAUUAAGAAAAAAAUCAUUUAUUAUAAAUUGAGUGAAAUGGUAAUAUUAAGUGUUAUGUGAUCGUGUUCUAGAGACUCGGCAGUGACCCACUUAAUCUUUUUCCCUCCGUUGAUGCCUAUAGCAACAAGGACCCAAGUAGGGAACCAUUAUUGGUCUCCCUCUCAAGUAUUAUCACGUCUUCGGUUGGACCUAUCAUUGAGGAUUCCAAAUUUUUUAGUUGUCCAACAAUCACUGGAGGCCAAACUAGCCAGGUAUGUAGAUUGGCUUGAGAAGAAUCCUCCGGAUCUCAUUGCUGAUCUUUUGGUUGAGGACAGCUUGUGUUGAUUCCGGAACCAUUUUUGUACUGCUACUGCUUCUAUCAAUGAAAAUAUACAUCGUUAUUUUCGGAAAAAAUAAAAAAAUAAAAAAAUAAAUAUCACGUCGGAAGUGAUCACGUGAGGUAGUGUCCCAGUCCACUAUUGUUCUCUUAUUUCUCUCCCUCUAUCUCCCUCUCUCUCCCUCUUUAAAUCUUGAAAAUAUCAUUGCAACAUGUUCGAAUUGCGAACCGUUUUCUGUUAUGAAUCUUAGUAAAUAACAGAGAGCCGCGUUGAGUACGAUCGUUCCAAGUUCAUGAGUUGACAAUUUGAGAGACUCGAUUGAGACAUUGAGAGGCAAAGGUCUAAUCGCUUGUGUGUUGAAAAUCCUAAUUAUAUAUACAUAUAUUUACGUUUAUAUAUGUGUUUGGACCCAAUUUUACACUAUCAGCCCAAGCAAUCGAGGCUGUAGAAUGAGUAGAAUUUUGAGCCCAUUGGAUUUGAUAUUUAAGAUUAUUGUUAUCUUGGUUGAAUUACCAUGAUGAUAUUGAAGAAUUAUCUGUUGCAUGGCGGGUUAGCAAGGAGUCCAAGAGCUGCAAUGAGUGUUAAUAUACAUUUUUAUGUGUAUUAUUUAAACUGAGUCUUGAUUGCUCUCCAGAUUACAUAGGAUAAAGAUGGGAAGUCCAACUUGGUACGUGAUUGCAAUUGGGAUGAUAACCACGACAUCAGAGGGAUGCUAAGUUGAUUAGACUUUUUUUUGUGGGAAUUAAUUAAAAGAUUUGGAAUCCAUCUAAUUGUGAAGUAAUCAGCUGCGUGUGGUCUCUUGUUUGGAUAAGGAUCAGGAUGUGGUCAGUAAGAUAAAAGACUUGGUAGAAAGAUCAAGAUGCCUUGGUUGAGAUGCAUGGCUAGAAGAUAAAAUUGCAUGCUAAUUAUUUGCAUGCCUUGGUACCAGCACGUGGAGGCUAUCAAAUACUUGGAUUAGGAUUGAUUUGCACAAAAUAAGGAGCUAAGGAUGGAUUCCGCGUGGAUAUGGUCGCUUUCAAAUACAAUAUUCUCAGGAAUAUUAUAGUGAAUGUGGAUUUACGGCAAUAGUUUGUUAUGUGGUCAUCGAACUUUUGCGUUCCUAUAAAUACAGAGGCAGUGGCAACGAAAAAAAGGAUCUCCAACUCAACACAUAAACUGCCUUGCGCAAACUUUUGCUCUACGUGAAAUUUCUCAACAACCUUGAGAUUUUUGUUUUCUUUUUCGCCGACACACCUUGAGAUUUUUAUUUUCUUUUUCGCUGACACACCUUCAGUUUGGAUAAACAGCACUAUGAAGGCAACCGGCAAACACCUUUAGUUUGGAUAAACAACACUGUUGCCGUAGAAUCAGCCUACUGCGAAGCAUCUUCUGUUUAGUUUGGAUAAACAGCACUGCAAUGAGGCCGACUGGUUAUCUAUCCAAGUCUCGGUCAAGAAGGAUUUUCAAAUCCUUAUUGGCAGAGGUCAUCUCAUCAGCCUUCUCGGCGAAGUGAGGGUGUUACGAGGUUACUAUGCACCUUGAGAGCCGAAUUUGAUAUUGAACUUCGCAUAACUAGCAGCCUUGUCUUCAGACUCUAGAACUCGAAGGUCGAGACGUGUUCCUUCUUUGGCCGCAAUCGCGAUAUUCAGAAGUUAGCAGCGCGCCCAUUGCAACAUCAACAAAUUUUACUCAGCUCGGUGGUCGAGUUGGCACGCCCCACACACAACCGAAGGACGUAGUUAACUUAUUAAUUACUCGUCCUGCGCACAGGUAGGCUUGGUAGUUUUUAGGAUCAAUAAUAUGUCAUCGAAGUGCAGGAAAGUUAAAUAGCUCUCGGACGGUCGAGAACCUGUAGCCAAGGAGAAAAUGAUGAGCUGGUUAAGAAAGCCAGAAAUCACUUCACCAAUUAGGUUUCUGUGUCUGUUGAGUAGUCUGUUCGUUCUCCUAGCUCUCAUCAGGCUUUUUCACAAUAUAUGGUGGAUUCCGACUCGCAUACAGAAGCUGAUGGCUUUGCAGGGGAUCAAAGGUCCUUCUUACAAACUUGUUCAUGGAAACACCAAAGAAAUCUCCAGCAUGAAACAAGAAUCUAUGAGCAGGCCCAAGAGUUUCUCACAUGACAUAGUUUCUCAAGUUCACCCUCACAUUCACUCCUGGACCAAGACAUAUGGUAACAAAUUAAUUACUCUAGAUACUAUUAAUUAAAGGGCUAAUUACACUUAGUUCCCCGUGGUUCAGUACCAUAACAGGAUCAAACGGUUAAUUUUUGCAUGCAACGUGCAGGGAACGUUUUUCUUCAAUGGUAUGGUUCAAGCUCAGUUGAUUGUAAAGGAACCUGAGUUAUGCAAAGAGAUACUGAAUAACAAACAUGGAGCUUUUGUAAAACAAAAGGCUCAAGGGAUGGUAAAGAGGCUAUCGGGAGAUGGCCUCCCAAGAUCGAAGGGUGCAAAAUGGUUUAAAAUGCGCAAGCUGGCCAACCAUGCCUUCCAUGGAGAGAGCCUGAAAGUAAUUUCUUAUAGAAACUAUUGUGUCUGAAUAUUUUUGAAAGGGCAAAAAACAAAUUAAACAUGCUAUAAAUUGAAAACUUUCUUAAUUUUCAUGAUGUUAUCGUGUUUUUUCAGAGUAUGACUCCAGCAAUAAUAGCAAGUGCUGAGACGAUGCUAGAGAAAUGGAAAAGUCACGAAGGCAAAGAGAUUGAGGUGUUUGAAGAAUUUACGUUGUUGACAUCAGAAGUAAUUGCUAGGACUGCAUUUGGGAGCAACUACUUAGAAGGGAAGAAUAUUUUUGAGAUGGUGAGGAAAUUAGGCGACUUAAUAUCCAUAAAUCAUCUCAAACUCCGGUUUCCUUGGAUGAGGUUAAUUUAUACGUUUUUCCUUUUAACUGAAUUACAAAUUUCAGACGCAUUAUUCUCUUAUAUAUAUAUGUAUGUAUGUAUGUAUGUUGAUCAUAUACAGACAGUGUUAGAACUAGCUAUAAAUGUAUAAUUAGCUUUAACUUUUGAAUCUCUUAGCAGAAUAUAUCUAUGAUAGUUACUUAAUUAGAAUCAAUAUUGCAGUAAGUUCUCCCCAACCCGCGAUGAUAUCGAAUCAGAGAAGCUUGAGAAAGGAAUACGCCAGAGCAUAAUAGAGAUUGCUAUUAAGCGAGUAGAACAGGCACGACUGACUGGAGAAUUUGGGACUGAUUUCUAGGGUUACUUGUAAAGGCUCACCAUGACAGCGAUGAUAAGCUGAGGAUUUCGGAGGAUGAAGUGUUGGACAAGUGCAAAGCAUUUUACCUUGCUGGAGAAGUAACAACAAAAUGUUUGCUCACUUGGACUAUCUUUCUUCUCGGACUUCAUACAGAUUGGCAAGACAUAGCAAGGAGGGAGAUCUUUAAAUUGUUCGGAAAACAAAUUCCGAAUCAUGAUGCUCUUGGCAAACUGAAAACUGUAAGAUUGAUUAAUAUUAUCUCAUCGAUGAAUGAAAUAAUAUGCCUCGUGAUGCAUGCUUAGCUUGUUGAUCUAUUUAAGUUUUCAUUUUGUGAUAUUCAAUUAUAUGCAGAUGAGCAUGAUCAUCAAUGGGUCUCUGAGGUUAUAUCCAACUAUUGCUCGUAUUGUAAGGAACGUGGAUAGGGACGUUAAGCUGGGAAAGCUCAAAGUUCCUGCAAGUUAUCGUUCCAAAUCUAGCACUUCAUCAUGACCCUGAAUUAUGGGGAGAAGAUGUACAGCUUUUCAAGCCAGACCGGUUCUCAGAAGGAGUUGCUAAAGCUACUAAAAAUAACAUAGCUGCAUUCUUACCCUUUGGACUGGGACCUCGAAUUUGUGUAGGCAUGGACCUUGCGACCACUUAAACAAAGAUUGUUCUGUCGAUGAUUCUGCAUCGCUACCACUUCACUCUUUCCCCGGGUUAUGUGCACUCGCGCUGUCAUAAGCUUACAGUUUGUCCACAACAUGGAGUUCAAGUAAUCCUACAACCACUGUGAAGCGUGAUCAAACUAUUUUAGAGAUGGAGACUAAGUUGCCAAUAAAUCUUUUUACCACGUGAAACGCGACUUCAUUAUUGACGGAAUGUGGCUUCUCAAUAAUUCGCUACGGGCCAAUUUACAAAACUUUACACUUACGAUCAGAGAUUCAGAAUCAUUCAUAUUAUAAAUGAUUUUGUAAAGAUCAUUUAGUUAUCAAAAUGUAUAAAAACAAAUAGACAUAUUCGGUAAAAGAAUUAUAAAACAUUUAUCUAUUUGUUACAAUUGAUUGAUUAAACAGCUUUAGUUUUAAUUAAUUUUGUCUGGAGAUGAUCUUUACGUAGUGAUUUAUAAUAUAAACAAUUCCAAACAUAAACACAAAACGUGAAUGACAGCAUGUAAACGUGAUGUCGCCCAGGAACCCCAAUAUAAGACGCACCCGAGUAAUUGGAGUGACCGUCAUAAUAAGCUACACAUCUUUAGUGCCAAUUCAUGCCAGGCAGCCAGCAAGAAGCCAUCGGACUCUUCAAUCCGAGCCCCAUAAAAUUGAACGUAUUACAAGACAACGUGACAAAAUCUGGUCCAUAAAUACUUCAAAUACACGAAUUCGUUAUUUUCUGUACGUCUACAUAUAUCAAAAUAUGCUCAAGAUAUACACUGAAAAAAACAACGUCUGAACGAGAUGUGCCCUUCACCAAAGGCAUCAAGUAAAACAACCAGUCACCCCGAAAUAUUCCAGAGAUAUAGACUAUACAAUCUCAAACACUACAUCUUCAUUCUACCGGGAAUUCAUCCAAACGACAAAAUUCACAACACUUCGUAAACAAUAAGAUCACACAACGCAAAGUACCCAGGUCUAUGCUAUUGUUGCUUAUAGUAGCCACCCUGUUGCGGAGGGCGGUAUUGACCUGGAAUGGUGUAAGGAGGCCGAGGGUGCGAUCCAGGUUGUUGUGCAUGGGCAUUAUAGUAUGGGCCACGCCACCCUGGAUAAGCAGGUUGACCAUAGUCAUGGUUUGCAGGUGGCUGUUGCUGGGUCUGUGGAGGUGGGUAUGGACUACCAGCUUGAGGAGGUGGGUAUGGACUACCAGCUUGAGGAGGUGCAUAUGGACUACCAGCUUGAGGAGGUGCAUAUGGACUUGUAGGUUGUGGUGGCACAUGGUAAGGAGAUGGCAUCUGCUGCGUUGAGCUAUAGGGGGGAGGGUGAGUAUAUCCAGCAAUUGCUGGCUGCUCAGGAGGAUGGUAGUAUGGUGGGGUUUGAGGACGAGGAUCUGUUGGCUGUUGUGAACCAGGUUGUCCCACAGAACGAUAGUUGUUGUCGUACGCACCUGUGGUUUUCGUAUCCUGGAAACUGAGGCCUGCCAUUUUUUUGUGAACAUCUUCAAUCAUUUCCUUGCACUGAAUGUUUCUAGUCAUCACAAAGUCAUUGCACUGCUGCUUUACAUUCGUUAUUGCAUCCUGUCGAAGACGGACAAAUCAAUCAACCACCAGAACACGAAGUCAUGGAAAUUUCAAACACAACUAGGUGAAGAUUGAUAGCAUGCUGUCACAGCAGACACCAGAAGAGAUCCAACUAUAACAAAGAAAAUAGUGAUCUCAAAUAGCUAUAAAGUAAAGUGCACAUUAUUCAAAAUUACCUGAAGAGUAACAUAGAACUUUAAGCCCUCAUUUAUGUUCUCCUUAAUUUCGCGGAACUUUGCUAUGGCAGCUUGAAUCUGCUUGUAACAUUUCUCACGAGAUGCUGGAACAAAAUGAGAAGGAAACAAACAGGAAAAAUAUAAGAAUACACUCCACCUUAAUUAUAAUAUGCAAACAGAUAGCAUGACAGAAGCAAGGAAAUAGAUUCCAUGUCGUAAGAUAAUCAGAGGACUUCCCUACAAACAUAUUCAAUAUAUGACAAUGAAAACAGCCAACAGAGAAAAAGGCACUUGAAAUAAUAGAUUGUAAGAUAUCAUCAUGGCCAGCAGAACGGGUAAGAGCAAAUAAAAACUUGAGAAACAACAUUUAAUAAACAUGUAAAACACCCAUGUUACACAUGGGUCAGAAUAAUCAAUAUUCCAGAUUGUUUGCAGGCAUAAAUCUGUCUUUUAUCCAACGAAGUGAACAAGGGACAACGUUUCUAAAUUGCCAUAUAUUCAUUUACUAGUUAAUAUGAUAAUCAGUUACGGGGUCAAUAACAUGAUUGAGAUCUCAUUCUGGACAUUUUAUAUUACACCGUCUCUCUUCCCAUGGUAAAGGAAACAAUUUUUUCCAGAUUGAGAUAUAAGUGAACUCCAAAAGGUAGACGUGCACCCUCACCCAACCCACAGGCCCAAGCAUUUAACAAGGUCAUCAAGGGUAGAAUAAUACAACCAAUGAACAUCUACGACUAAAUAAUGCAUCAAUAGGUGUUACCUUAAAGCAUACAAACCAUUUAAAGCAUAAAAGACCUACCUUUAUAAUCUUCUAGAUUGAAGAUUGCAGCAAACUCAGCAUUUUGGGCCUGCAGAUGACAAACACACAUUUUGAUCAUGAGAUAUUUGAGAGCUUAAAUCCAUUUCCAUUUAUUUAGGAAUAUUAUACAAGGAAAGGAAUUUUCAAAACCCAUAGCAAAUACUACAGAUGAAUCUACAAAACAUGAAAUGACAGACAGCUCCUUGGUAAGCAAAUGAUAAUAUGGCAAGUGGCAACUGACUUGAUUUGACAAAGGCAUUUCAUUUCUUUUAACAAAAAAGAAUAAUAGGGUAGUACCACUAUAGCAUAUAUUUUCUCAUCAGACCUCUUCCAAGAUGAUAAAGAGAAUUAAGCCACAGAGUCUGCCACACCGCAUAUUAUUUAACCUUAUCCCUCUACCCACAAUAUAUCCAAUUGGGUCUUUUGAAAGUUACCAAUAAGUAGAACAACAAUGUGCAAAACGAAAGGUGUUGAUUCCAUCAGAAUGUUUUCUAUUCAGUUAUAUCUUAAACCACAAUAUACUGAUUUGGUCUUUGCAAAGUUAAAAAUAAGUAGCACAAAAAUGUACAAAACUAAAGGUUUUGAUACGACAAGAAUAUCGUCCAGUCAAUCUAGUUGCAUAUUAAAAUGAUAGGUACUGCUCAAUGUACGACAUUACCAAUUGCACACUCAAAACAGAUGUGGGAAAAAAAUGAAGAAAUAUGCAUAAAGAAAGUCCAACAACAAUAAAAAGGAAACAGACCUGGAUUUGCUGCAAUAAUUGUUCUUGUGCCUCAAUAUUAUGGGCAAUGUCUUCACUUAUGAGAUCAUACUUAGAUAUCUCCUUCCUGAAAAGAUCCUCAUAGGAGACAGUUGAUGUCAUCAACUUAGGGAGUAUAUCAUCCUGAGGCCACAUAAAAAUAAUAAGCACACAAAGCACUAAACUAAAGAACGAAGGCAUCAUUAACAAUUGACAAAGCUCAUCAUGAAGUGUUGCUUGAACAAAAAAAUAUUCUCAAAAAGUUGCAUCCAACAAUUAAAUAAUCAACACACCUUUCUUUUCAUCUCUUUAAGCAUGUCUUCAAGACCAGCUCGUUGAGCACCAAGGGUUUCCAGUUGCCUCUGCAUUGAGCAUAGACAGUUAAAAAUGUAAAAGUAACAAAACUAGCAAUGACCAAACCACUCAUGUUAGAAGUUUAGAAAAGAAGUUUAAUCUUUUCUCCGGUACAAUGCAACAGGAAAACUACGUAUGAGUUUAUAUAAAUAUGUGUUUGUGUAUGUUUUAUUGUUUUUUUUUUUUUUUUUGGGGGGGGGGGGGGGGCUUCAUAUGAGUAAUCAAAUUCACACACACACAUGAAAGGUCGUACCCAGUGCACAAGGCUCCCGCUUUACGCAGGGUCUGGGAGAGGUGAAACAUAUAAAAAAAUUGAUACAGCAUGCCUACACAGAUGCCAGUCAUGGGAUUAUAAUCGUUUUUAUUCAAAUCUUAUACUGAUCCAAAAGCAGUACAUCACUUGCAUCAACAAAGACAAAUUUCACCACAAUCAGACCUUAAGAAGAGAAAAGGCGUUUUAACAAUAAAUCCAUUAAAACUUGCAGACAGGAAAAUAUAAACAAUAGUUAUCCAUGAAACCCUAUAUAACAGAGAGUUUAUUAACCAGUAACCCUUAUACAGAGGAUGUAAAAAGGGGUAAAACAGUUACCAAGCUCUGCUUCAGGGCCCCCAAAAUAGCAUCUUCAUUGGCAUCCAAAGACAUUAUUGGCCUAGCCAGAGUUGGGAGGGCAGAUUCAAUCUGCGAGAAGAAAGAACAUAAAACCAUUUAGAAAGGCGUGACACCGACACACAUGAGAUAAAUAAUUCAAAUAUACUAAGCCUGAUUAAUUUAUGAACUUUCAGAGAGAGGGAGAGGAGGAAGAGAAUCAGGAGAAAUAAGGAGUGUGUCAAUAUGAAAAACUAAACAUAUUAUAAUGAGAGGAGAAGAAUAAAUCGAUGAAAUCAAUUGUUGGUAAAUUGGGAUGUAUUAUUAACAUCGGUUAAGAAACAAGGACAGAUGAAAAACAAAGACACUUCUGCCUAUCGAAUGGACAAAAGUUCCAUGUGCAAUAUAAAUUUUAUUAAAAUGAACAAUAAUACAAAAGUCAAAAUGAAAUAAAUGAAUUAAGACGUAUAAGAAGGCACUUGAGAAACAUGAACAAGAAUUCCAAGAGAAUUACCGGACGACGAUCAAGGAUGGACAUGAGAGCUAAAUGUUCUCUGACCGAGCGCUCAAUUCGAGCAUCACUAUCUGCAGCUUGCUUCAUGUUCCCUGCAAACCUAUUUAGCCUAUCCUGUAAGUUCUUUGUCAAAGUACUUGACUGCGGCCUCGUCCACCGGGUUCCAAAUUGGCUCUAAACUGAGCAUCUUCUCUGGCCUCUUUCUGCAAGAGUUCCUCAAUCUGUACCAGAAUUUCCUGGUUUACCCUUUUCAAAUCCUUAAGCUGCUGUAACUCAGCUUCCAAACCAGCAGGGCCUCCACAUAUCUGCACUGCCUCCACAUCUUCUUUAAGAUCUGUAGGAAGAGUAAAAUUCCCUUCCAAUGCAAGAAUAGACUCUGGAAGGUCCAUUUCCUUGAGCCUUACUCUGGUCAGUUCACUGGCUUGUUGUAAUUUUUCUGCUUGUGUUCUGAUAAUGUCAUCAACCAUUUCAGUGUACCUGGAAAGAGCUUUUGCACUACUGUCUGGAACAAGACUAGCAAACAUCUUCUCCUUGCUCGCAUCCAGGACCUCACUCAUUGCCAAAGGCUUCACCAUGGAAAAUGCCGGAAGAGGUGGUAAGGAACCAGGGGAAGGAACCCUCAUGAGAUAAACUCUAUCAUUCUCCUUUACAGCCCUCUCCAGGUUACGGUUCAAAUGGACAUCUAACUUACUAAUUGCGUCCAGAAUCUGUGCAGCAGCCCCUUUUGUGUUUUUCUUAGCCUCAGACAAAGCACUAAUCCCACUCUUUAACCGUGCAAUUUCUUCUGCAAUCUCUUCUUUCUCAUGGAGCUCUAGACCAUACCUAUAGCAAGUUUCUGCAUAAAAGAGAGCUGCCUUUAACUGCAUGUGUGAUAUCCAGCCCCUGUCAAAAUGCUGGUUCAAGGGCGGAGCAUUACAUGUCGCUAAAGCUUCCUCGUAAUACAGCCCAACCUGUAACCACAUCCGUCUCAAAUCAAUUCACAACAAAACCAAGUGAGUCACCAAAACUGGUAUGGAAUCAUUAUUUCUCUACCAUUUAGGAUUCAAGGGAAACCCAAAAAACACAGUAGACCAGAGGCAACUAAAUGUGCAAUUCCGUGAGUAUUAAUAUACUCUUUUGUGCAAUAUAGUUUAUAUGGUAUUUGUUGAAAGUCGGGUAAAAUCCCCGACUUGCGAACAGAAUACCGAAAGCAAUCACUUUACUCAAACACACCCACAGCUGCAAUUCAAUCAAUCAAGCAAUAUGAAGUUCUAGCUACACUAUUAACACCCAAUAUGUAAUCAAUCAAACAAGCAAAAUACAACCCUCACCUGCCUCGAGAUCUUGGGCACAAACACCUGGCGUGCUCCCUUUGGCAAUAGUAUUCUCAAAGACGCACUCUUGGGCCUGCGCCAGCAUCAGCCUCUCCAGCAUCCCAGCGCACUCCACCGACAAAUCCACCGUCGUCGAGCUCCCAAUCGACGCCUUGGUCGCCGCAUUGUCCCGCAGAAACGCGAACGCCCCAGCCGCCGCAAUGAACGCGUGCGACGCCUGCCGGCGACCGUCGACGGUAGCGCGAUCGUAGGAGAGCCCAAUCUGACUGUACACGGCGCCCAAAUUGAACAAAACGGCAGCCUUUUCCAGGUGGAUGUUCUGCUGGGAAGCCUUCUGCUUGUUCUUGAAAGCGUCGUGCCAGACGAAGGUGACGGUGUUGAUGUGAUCCUUGUCCGGCGAGAUGGGGAAGCGGGUCUCGACGAGGCAGAGGGCUUUGAAGUAAUUUUGAAGGAGGUCGCGGCGGGUGGUGAGCGACGGGUCGGGUUGGCGCUCGACGUCGGAGCGGAGCUGUUUGACGGUUUGGAGGUCGUCUUCUAGGUUCUGGGCUUCGCGCUCGGAGUAGUUGAAGGCUAUGUAGUUGCGAAGAGGGCGGUAGAGGUCGAUUUGGGUCGUUUUCUUCUCGAAGAUGGCGAGCAUGACAUUAGUAGCGGUGCCGGAGGCGGAAGACGCCAUUUUAGGGGGGUUUUGGGUUUGAUCGGAAUCGAAUCGAUGAAUUCAAAGAGAAAAUUGAAGAAGAAGAAGAGAGAGUUGAAGAGUUUUAACGAGUGAAAUUGACCAAUCAAUCUGCCUUGUACGGAGUGGUUUUUCUUUUCCUUCCUCACAAAGCAAACGAGAAAAAACCAAAUUUCCUUAACGUAUAAAAUUUAAGAUUACUAAAUAAUUUUAAAAUGCCGGAAAUUUAAAUGAUAAAAUUUUAUUUUAUAGAAUUUAUGAAUUUUUUUAUUUGAGUAACUUAAAAGAACAAUAGAAUUGAAUACGAAAUUUGUUGUUUUUUAACUUUUAAUCAUAGAAAUUAGAAAAUGAUAUCUAUUUACUUGGAAUUUAAACUUGGGAACCAGAGGUGCCAAAUUCCAAGUUUUUUUUUCAUACGAAAAUUUUAAUUUCUAUAUUUAUGAAUCCAAACAAGUGAAUUGGUGUAUGUUAAUUUAUAAAUUAUGUCUUUAAUUCAAGGUCCAAGUUCAUUUCUCUCAUUUAAACAUAGUGUUAUUUUCUUGUUGAAAUAUAUUUAAAAAAAAAUUUCAGUGUUUUACUCAUAAUGAUAUUUCAAAUUGGCAUAACUCUUAACUUUGAUCGAGUUUGUUCACAAUCAAUCAUUUUGAUCAUUUAACAAAAUUUCUACGUAAUAACAAAAAUGAUUGAUAGUAAUAAACUCAGAACCACUUGCAUUUGAUUUCAAAUCUCAAAAACUAAAAUAAAGAGUUACACUAAUAUUAGAGAACAUUUAAAAAAAAAUUCUAAAAAAUUUUACCAAAAUAAAUUACGUUCCUUUUAUUUCAGCAAUUUAGAUAUUAAAAUUAAUUUUCAUUUUAUUUGCUGAAAAAUAUAGGAACAGACUUUCUCUAAAAGGAAAAUUGGGGAAUUUUCCCCGGUAAGAAAGAGGGGGCAUUAUAGUCUUUUCAUCCGAGUAAUUAGAGUGGGUGUGCCCUGUGCCGUGUGCCGUGUUCCGUGUACGUUCCUCUCUAUUUAUGCACCCACCAACUAACAGCCCUCAACGCGUAGACGUUUCUGGAAGGCCAAAAGUCAAGCCCUAGCUCUCUCUCUCCCCCUCUCUCUCUCUCUCUCUCUCUCUUCUGAGUCGACCAAUUCGAUCUUCCUCUCCCUCUCUCUCUCGCUUCUUACUGGUACGUAACUGCUGCUAAUCCUGUUAACUCGUUCAAUUAUUGUCAAUUUAGGGUUUUCCUUUGUUUCAUUGACUACUUUGAACUGUUAUUUAUCGUAAAAUUUGGGGUUUUGAUCCUAAAGUUUCUGUCUUUGAAUGUUCAGCGGGUCUCUGGGUUUGAUAUUAUGUGCUUAAACUGAUAUUCGAAUUAAUUAAUGAUUAGGGGAUUUAUUAUAUGUAUGUUCAUUCGGAGUUUUUGUUUGGUUACUGAGAAAAUGAAGAUAACUAGUUAUAGAAAGUAAAUUGCGUGCUCGUAAAUAUUUUAAUUCAUUGUGAUGCAAAGAAUUGAAUUUUUUAUUUGGGUUUUUUGAUAUCUGACAAAAAAGCAUUAACUUGCAGGCUUGUUUGGAAGGAGAGUUGUAGCUUUGAGCUGUUUGAGGCUGGACUUUUGGUCUGUAGAGCUGUGGUUUGCUCCAGAUAAGGUAAGAAAUCCGAAUUGAAUUGCCAGAUUUUUGUUCCGUUUCUUUAUUGAUGUGAGAAUUUUCAUACUUCAUGUUGCGGAUAUUAUUCUUGGCUGAAUGGAUUUGCAGUCUUUUGUUUUGGUUGUAAACUUCUGUUGUUUUAACUUCUUAGUCGGGGGAACGAUUGUCAGAUACUUGGAGGCAAAUGAGUUACAGAUUAGCCUAGUAUAGGACUGAUUUGGAAUGUUUAGUUUACGAUGCUUAAAAACAACAGAUCAUAAGACGUGUGGAAGGAAGAGGGCAGAUAUGACCGGCUUGUGAUACCUGGAACUUUGUAUGGAAAGAGAACAUUAUGAUUAGGGUUCUGUUUUGUAAACUCGUAAGGCGAUCUUAAAUAUCUGAUUGAUGUGUAUUUAGUAUUUGUCUUCUGUAUAUGCGAUGCUAACAUAAAAAUGUUAAGGAACUAACAUUUUUGUUUCUCUUCUUUGAGAUGCACUUCCGGUCAUCAUCGUACCAACAUGCAGAUAUUGUGCUGGUUUUUAUAUCUAAAUGGACACCAGGAGGUUCAUGCAGCUGGUUGAGGAGAAAAAGAAAAGAGCUUUGGAGAAGAAAGAAGCCCCGUUGAAAUGGGAGCAGAAACUAGAAGCUGCUGCUAAGGCAAAAGCUGAUGCCGAAGCCAAAGAGAAGAAGCCGAAAUCUUCAAAGCAUAAGAGAAGAUCUGCGUCGGAGUCUGAUAGCGAUAGCGACACUGACAGAAGUGAUGGGAGAAGAAAGUCAAAUAAAAGAACUCACAAGAAGCACAAGAAGCGAACUCACUCUGAUGCAAGUGACAGUGAAAUGAGGAAGGAGAAGAAAUCCAAGCGAAAGUCAAAGAAACAUUCCUCAGGCUCGAGUGAUGAUAGCAGUGAUGAGUAUGAGAGUGAUUACGAAGAAGAAAGGAAGAGGAAGAAGGGAAGCCACAAAAAGCACAGGCAUCAUGAUUCUAGAUCAGAUUCGGGUCCCGAUUCUUCCAGUGACGAUGAUAGUGAUACGGUGAAGAGAAGUCAUUCGAGGCACCACAAACACCACCCCAGGUCAGACUCAGAAUCAUCUGGUUCUUAUAGUGAUGAGGACGAGAGAAGAAUCCGAAGGGGUCAUGCUAAGCACCACAAACGCCACAGACAUUUGAGAUCUGUUUCCCCUGAGUCAAGUUAUGAGGAUGGUGAGGUUAGAAGGAAAAGGCACGCAAGGCACCAUAAACGUCAUAGGCAAUCACGAUCGCAUAGUGUUGAUUCAAGAUCAUCAGAUCCUGAUUCCCACAAACGCAGCAGAAGGAGCAAAUCUCUAGGAAAGUCAUCAGAUGACAACCGCGACGAGGCUGAUAAACAGUUGAAGCACAAGAGGAGUGGUCACCAUAGCCAUCAUCAUCACAAGCAUCGUCACCACCACUCAGAAGAGGAAAAAGAUCACCAUCCUCGGGGUUCAGGUGAGCCCAACGGAAAGCAGACAGAAGAUGUUAGAGCAAAUGCAACCGAUAAUAACAGUUGGUAGACGUCCCUCUAAUUUGCGGUUAUUGCUUUCACUGGAUUGGACUUUAUUUACUUUCCGUCAAAUUUUGACUGCAGAGAGGGAACCUCCCUUAACUACUGCAUUCUCGGUUGCCUGCAUCUGUGCUUAUACUUGCUACAUAAAUUCAGUUGCCUUUCCCUUGCUUAACUUGUUCCGUUUACAAAUUAGGUUUUGGUGCAAGAUUUUCUGGACGCCAACGAGACUGAUCUCAAACCAAAUUUAACAUACAAAACCGCAUAAGAUGCUUACAAGUCAGAAUCUCCCAAAAUUGUUUUUAUUUUCUUUUUUCCAAGCUGGACGCCAACGAGACUGAUCUCAAACCAAAUUUAACAUACAAAACCGCAUAAGAUGCUUACAAGUCAGAAUCUCCCAAAAUUGUUUUUAUUUUCUUUUUUCCAAGCUGGGAAAAUGUAUCCUCAGCCGUGGGGAACAAAUCGGUAGUGUCACUCAAUAACGAUACAACAAUUUUACUAUGAUAGGUUAGUUAGAAAUUCUUCAGUAUGUUUUCAGUUGAUACACCGUCUGCUACAAGAAUUGAGGUAACCUCCUGCAAAGAAAAACAAUUCAAAAUGUUACCUCCGCGUAGAAGUAUGAUCGUUAGCAUUCAAUAUUUACCACACGGACAGACAUCACAACUAAAUGACGCGGCAUUUAUUUGAAACACGAGACCCCUCACUCGCUGGGGUUAGUCUUUUUAUCCAACGUUUCUCUUUGGAUUAGGAUUCUCUCUCCUCCUCUUUACGUGUAAUCGACCAAGGUACGAAAAUUCACUAGGUGAUGGAUUCAGUAUGCCUAACUCAGAUAAAGGCAGGCCGUUUUGGGUAGGUGGAAACAACCUAACCCUACUCGUUAUAACGCAACUUACAAACACCAAGGACAUCAACCAUUAGAGCUAUCCCAAUCCAGGUAGGUGGAAAAUUGAACAAAUAGCAACCAGGCCAUUUAAUAUCAUAAACAGGGACUAUUACGGCCCGGAAGAUAAACCUUUAUUGGGUAAAGAAACAAUAGACAAGAAAAUUAGCAGAUGCCAAGAGAACUUGAUAAGUUUUAAAUGAUAGCAAUAAGCGACAUUCGAUAAGCAAAAUAUCAUGGAAAUGUCAACAGAGGUAUGUUAAUAGAGUUAGUAUUCCAUCUUAAGCAUUGGCUUCGUAUGGAUGUAGUGAAGGUUAACAAUCCCACAGAAACUAAGGACAAGAUUGGUUUCAAAUCAACAGAUUCUUCUAAGCAGAUGAUAUAUAGUAAGAUUAAGGACAAACUCAUAUUUUUUUUUCUUUGUUAAAACGCGUCACGCAAGUAAGAAUACGUCACCUUUUUCACACAAAAAAAGGUGUCACAUACGUUCAUUAAUAGAUAGUGACCUCAACAUCAUCUACUGCAGAAACCUUCCCUCCUUCCCUUAAGUAAAAUGGCUUGGUCCAAGACCAUUCAAGCGUGCAGCAUUUUCAGAUUUCUUUACUACUUACACCUAGAAGUUAGAACCCUAGAGCAAAAUUCUUAUUGAAGAGGAGCCCUAGAGGCCAAAUAAAAUUUGCCUCGGGGGGGGGGGGGGGGGGAAGACUACAUUUGGUGGUGUUGCAACAAAUUAUUUACACCUAAACUGUGGGUUCAACUAGUAAACAAGGCAAUGGUAGCACCUUGUCUGGUGCAGAUCAAGACUCAAGAACGGUUCUUGUCUGACUUCAAAGUUAUAUAUUCACAGAACAAUAUCUAUCUUCAAGCCCAUGUUCGACUUUGAAAUAUAACGAUAAUAACGAUAACAAAUGUAACAAAAGCAAACUAAGAAAUGUGAACGAGAACAGUAAGGAUACCUCAGUCAUUUGCUUCUGCCCGCAUAACACAGCAGCUGUGGAGAGAGGAUUAUAAAUUUGCUUGGCUCUGGAAAAAGCAGCCUGAAAAUGUAUAACCACAGAAAGCAUUAAUUCCGUGCUUAGAAGCGGAACCACUUUGAAUUUGCAUGGGGUGAAGGUCUACCUGCACAUAACCACUCUGUCCCGUCCAACCGCCAUGUGGUUGUGAUAAUACCGGCACAAUCUCAACACCUGAAGAUUCCCAGUCCUUAAAUCUAUCCUGUAAGAUUACAGGUAAUCACAGUCGUAAAUUGAAUUGGGGAAAUUAAAAUAAAUAAAUAAAUAAACAGAAUUUCAUGGUUUAUAAGUACCUGAUACGCCAUUCUGUCAAGGUUUCUAGCGCCAUAAAAGAGCUUCACAGCGGAUCUCUUAUCGGCGCUAAACCCCGAUUCGACCAGAGACCGGAUUGGACUGCACAUAUUCAAGAGCUGGGUCAUGCCAAAUUGCUUUUAAAAACUCGAAGAAUUCAAGUCCAAUGCAUCUGAAAUCAAAUAAAUUCGAUUUUUUUUUUUUGCUAACCUGAUUCCAGAUCCUGUGGCGAAUAUGAGAACCGUAGGGUAAUUCUCCGGCGGUUCGAUCCGAUCAAUGUCGAAGCCUUUCCCCAUAACCUGGCUGAGCUCCACCACGUCCCCUCUCUUGAGCCUGCACAGAAGCUCCGCCGUGGACCCUGCCACGCUCUUCACCAAAAACUCAAACACGCCUUUUGCGGACGCCAACGAUGGAGGCGACGCGAUGGCCAGAAACGAGGGCUUCGAUUCGUCAGGGACCCGAAGCUGGAGGUACUGGCCGGCUCGCGUGUGGGACGAAGCGAGGUCGGGGGCGUCGGACAGGUCGACGCGGACGUGGAAGAGCGACUCUGCUGCCGGUUCUAUCUCGGAGAGAGGGGCCGGGGACCAGAGAGCGGUGUCUUGGCGUACGGCUGCGGCAACGCUGGCGAAGCGGUGGCGGCGAAGUUUUAGGUGGUGGGGGUUGAGGCGGCGUAGGAUAGACAUGGGAGGGAGGGGGGAGCUAAGGUGCGCAUGGGAGCGGAGGGGCACCGAUGCGGGUUGGAAGAUUGCAAGUGACAUGGCUGUGGGAUUCGGGUGUGCGAGGAUUUUAUGUUGUGGCCGGGUCCGUACAAUGCCGGCGCCAAAGCUGGUGAGGAAUCAAGAGUCAAUCGUCUCGAAGACUCGAGGAAGGGAUUGAGGGUAGACUGGUAAUUGGGAGAGAUUUUUCAACGUAACCCAUACAAAGAAUGCACCACAUGUCACUAUUUAAAUGGUGGAAUAUGUGUGCUAAAAAGUUAAUAACUUAAAAAAUAAAAUUUCUCACCACUCUUAUCAAAACACGUGGUGUACCACUUAUAUUCCCGUUACAACUACAAAUUUCUCGAUAAUUGGAUAGUCCUAAGUCCACGUGGCAUGAUUUUGUUACAUCCUGGACUUGAGGAGGAUAACUGAUUGAGCAGGUGAUCGCAACCACUAGAUGAAUGAAUUGCUAAUUAUUUAUUUCUUUUGUUCAUUUCAAUUCUGAGUCGAGAAGGGAAGUGAAUUUCGCAGAUCCUUAAAUUCAUCGAGUUUGCGAAGACGAAAGCAUUGUCUUCGAGCUGCGCUUAUACGCACAAUAAUCUUUCGUUUGAAAGCAUUCCACAAACGAACAAGCUUGAACAAGAGUGAACAACACGAAAGACGAAAGACGGGGUUUAUAACUUAAACAAUCAUAGUUGCAUCGAAAUUCAAAUGUUUUAAAUAUGAAAAGGAACAAACAAACAAAAAAACAAUAUACACGCGUCGUCCUCUUUCUUUUCCUUCCCCUUCCCCUUAUUGAACAAGAAGAAAAAGAAGGGGAUAGGCUCAUUGGCACCAUUUCUCUCUCACACCCCGCUGCAAUAUGCUUAAAUCUGAAACGGGAAAUGCUCAUACAGUUUUGCCUCAAAAAUGAAAAUCCUGUUUGCUUGGCAAUGCCAGCGGCAUCUAAAUUAUUUCGGGUUUUCGCAGUUAUCAAGAUAAAACAACAGAAAAGAUGAUUAAGCAGCGGACUCCUUGGAAAUCUUCUCUGCCUUGGCAAUGACCUCCUCAAUACCUCCAACCAUGUAGAACGACUGUUCUGGAAGGUCAUCGUACUUUCCGUCCAACACUCCCUGUCAAAACAAAAUUACAAAAAACAAAUAUAUGAAUUUUGAGCCCACAAGUCCUUGUAUCAUUAGUCUAAAACCACUGUUUUUAAGCGUUGGUAUUACUUGUGUGUUAUGACUUAUGAAAAGACAUAGGAAGAACUAAAUUGAAGAUAGAAGCAUUCGUGUAACCAAAUUACCCACUUCGAAUUGAUCACGAAUGGAUAGCCAAAAGAACCAAGAAUAUAUCACUUUUUCUAGUCAUGAAUAAAAGGAUUAUCAAGUUAACAAAUUAUUAUAGUGAAUUUCAUUAACCUUACCUACUCUUUCAGGUUAAUUCUCAUGUUAAUACUCAAACAUUUGGCUCGUAAAAUUCAUUGUUUCAAAAAAUUGGACAAAAACGAGCACACAUUUUUGGAAUCAGAUAUAUAUGCUUCAGGCUAUGAGGUAAUUUAGAUGAUAAUAUGGAGACAUCUAGACUGGAGAGAGUGAAGGAUAGAAAGAGGGAUACCUGGAAGGAAGUAAUGCUUUCUUUCAACUCCACGUAUUUUCCAGGGGCACCAGUGAAAACUUCUGCCACAUGGAACGGCUGGCUCAAGAACCGUUGGAUCUUACGAGCACGGGCAACAGUCAACUUAUCAUCUUCACUAAGCUCAUCCAUCCCCAAAAUAGCAAUAAUAUCUUGCAAAUUCUUGUAGUUCUGAAGAACCUUCUGGACACCACGAGCAGUGUUGUAGUGUUCCUCACCCAAAAUAUGAGGGGAGAGCAUACGAGAAGUUGAAUCAAGAGGAUCCACUGCAGGGUAGAUUCCAAGCUCAGAGAUCUGUUCAAUUCAAAACGUCACCAAAGUUAGUAAAAGAUGGCAUCACAAGAUUGCUUUACUAUUAGUCCUUAUAGAUGCGACAGACCUGUCGUGACAGCACAGUUGUGGCAUCCAAGUGAGCAAAGGUAGUGGCAGGAGCAGGAUCUGUCAAGUCAUCAGCAGGCACAUAAAUAGCUUGGACAGAAGUGAUGGAACCCUUCUUGGUAGUUGUGAUACGCUCCUGAAGACCUCCAAGAUCAGUAGCUAAAGUAGGUUGAUAUCCGACAGCAGAUGGGAUACGACCAAGCAAAGCAGACACCUCUGAGUUUGCCUACAGGAUGGAUCAGAGAAAAACUUAGAUCAUUAACAAUAUGCAACUCUAAUCUCUGAUGACAUAUAAUCUUCAAUGGUUCCCAAACAAGAAUUCUUACUUGGGUAAAUCGGAAAAUGUUGUCAAUAAAUAGAAGCACAUCUUGCCCUUCAGCAUCACGGAAGUGUUCAGCCACAGUGAGCCCAGUCAAACCAACACGAGCACGAGCACCAGGAGGCUCAUUCAUUUGGCCGUACACUAGAGCACAUUUGCUGUCAGCCUGACAUAAAACAAAAAAGGAGAAUGGCAAAUAAGGAACAACCUCCAGAAAACAGUAACAGUAACAAAUGCAUAUAAAUGGGGUGGCAUGCGAAUGCAGUCUCUACCUGCUUUUCACCUAGCUUAAUGACACCACUCUCAAUCAUUUCCCUGUACAAGUCAUUACCCUCGCGAGUACGUUCUCCGACACCAGCAAACACAGAGAAACCACCUGACUCAAGAAACAAGUAUAUGUAAACCAACGGGAAAAACAACAAAACGAGUUCGUUAGCAUGCAGCUCUUUAAAUAAAAUAAAUAAAUAAACUGACCGUGAGCUUUAGCAACGUUGUUGAUAAGUUCCAUAAUAAGCACAGUUUUUCCAACACCGGCACCACCGAACAAACCAAUCUUUCCUCCUCUUUGGUAGGGAGCAAGAAGGUCGACAACCUGUAUAUGAAGUAGAUAACAUAAGUAUACUAAACAUACACAGCACCACAUAUAAUCCAAACGCAGUGGAGAAGCAAAGCAAUAAGAGGAUCGAAUUCUAUUACAUUAGAUAUGACAGUAAAGGUUCAUGUUAAUACCUUGAUUCCAGUAACAAGGAUCUGCUGCUCAGUUGCUUGCUCAACAAAGGCAGGAGCUUCUCUGUGAAUGGGCAGAAAGUGAUCGGUGCCUGUUGGAGCAUUCAUACAGAAAUUGUCAGAAGGCUUGAGAGCAAUGCAUUAACAUAUUGCAACAGAAUAAGCACACAACACCAUCAAGUGAUUAUUUAUUUUAAGGUUUACAAAUUUCUUACUGAUAUCGCCUCUAUGGUCAAUGGGCUCUCCAAUGACGUUCAUGAUACGACCAAGGGUAGCCCUUCCAACAGGAACCUAAAAAUAGCAAAUAAAAACCAAAAUCCAAGUCAGAAUCCAGGAAAAUGUAAACGCUAUAAUCAACACCAAAACAAUAAGCACAUUAACAACACCAAAACAGAAUGCUAUAUGAUAAAAACUAAAAUGGAUAAACAGGAAAACUCCGACAAAAAUAUCACAAUUUGUCCACAUAAAAUCUGAAGAAAAUCUAGUUGUUGAGGACGCGUGUAAUUCUAAUGGCUAACACUGAAUGCACUACUUGAAGUUUUGAAAGAUCAAAGCUUUAAACAGCAGAAUCCCUAAGUGUAAAUCAAUCAACGACAAUUACACUAAAAAAAAUGUGUACCAUAAAUCAACCAACAGUAGUAACACCCAGAUCUGAAAACCCCAGCGCCAAUUCACAAAUCAAUCAAAACCCAUCUCAUUUCUAUCAAUACAAUCACCAAAGUCAACACUUUACCAUUCGAACACUAAAACCCUAACAUUUCUCAUCAAACCAGUAAGCAUAGACCGGAUAACAAGAACAUAUAGCUUACAGUGAUCGGAGAACCGGUGUUGAGCACGCGCUGCCCUCUCACAAGCCCCUCAGUCCCAUCCAUAGCAAUGGUCCUGACCAUGUUCUCACCCAAGUGCUGAGCCACCUCGAGCACCAACCGGAUCGAGUUGUCCAGCACCUCAAGCGCGGUCAAAAUCGGGGGAAGCCCCUCCUCGAACCUCACAUCGACGACGGCUCCGAUCACCUGGCACACCUGCCCGAUCGAGCCCUUCCCGGUGAAUUCGUCGGUGAUUUUUCCCUUCCCGGAAUCCUUGCUCUUCGGAGACGCUGAAACCGUCUGGGGCUCGGCGGCGGCGGCGGUCGCGUACUGAGCGACGCGGUUGAGGAGAUAGCCGCAGGGAGAAGCGGAUCGGGAAGACGGAGAUGGGGAUGCGACCCUCGGGUUAGGCGUUGAGAUCGAAGAUUUGGACGGCGCCCGGCGGACGGAGGACCGGGCGAGAGAUGAUAAAAGCCUUCGCGAGGCCAUUUUGUUGGGGAUUCAGAUGGAGAAAGCAGAGAGUGUGGAAGAAAAUACUAGGGUUUGUUGAGUCGAGGUGCCAAUGCUAUAUGUACAGACCGCUCAGCCCCAAAAUUGGAAUAUCAUUUUUUUUUUUUUUUUUCAAUUUUGUUUUUCGUUUUUAACUUUUGACCUUUUCGGCAAUUCUCCGCAAGGAUGGGUGGUGGAGGCUAAAGGAUCGUUGCCAAACACUCCCUAAUGUUUCACUUUUCUCUUUUUUCUCUUUUUUAUCUUUUUUUUUUUUUUUUUUUGGUAAAUUGUAGCAAUGCUCUCUUAAUUUUAACUCAAUUAGAGGAAUAGUAUCUUAACUAAAAAUUAAUUACCAUUAGUCCCUCAGCUCAUCAAAACAUGCAGUUAUGAUCCCUCAACUAAAAAUUCAUUAUCAUUGGUCCAUCAACUUUAAUCCAACUAGAGAAAUUGUCCUUCAACUUUAAUUUAAUUCGAGCAAUGGUCCAUCAACUUUAACCCAAUUGUAGCAAUGGUCAUUCCAACAUAAUUCGUUUUGACAAAAUUCUAACGAAAUUGAUGAAAAUGACAAUAGCUACACAUUUUGAUGUGUUAAGAGACCCUAAUUGUAACAAUGAUCAUUCCAACUUAACUCAUUUUGACAAAAUUUUGACGAAAUUGAUGAAAAUGACCAUGGCUACACAUUUUGAUGAGUUGAGGGACCAAUGGUAAUGGAUUUUUAGUUAAUAGACCAUUGCUCAAAUUUGAUUAAAGUUGAGGGACCAUUACUACAAUUUACUCCUAUUUUUAGUAUUUAAUUUCUUAAUUUUAUUAAUCUUAUGAGCUUUGUGUGCCCUCUUGUACGGUGAUUCCACGUUUCCAAUAAACCAGGUAACAAACAAGAAGUCAAAACAUGUUUUUAGAUUUGUCACUUAGUAUUAUGGUUUAAUGAUAUUCCUCUUCAUCUGUAAGUGGGAGGUUUUAGGUUCGAUUUUCGCCAAAGGCGAAUUUGAACCACAUUAUUAUUAGCCCAUUUCGAGGUUAAGCUCACAUCAUCCCCUUAGUGUAGAUAAUAUCGUUUGUAAAAAAAAAAAUGUUUUUAGAUUUUGCUUGACACAAUUGUUUUCUCGCAUUUGAAAAAUAAUAUUGAAGAAAAAGUGAAUAUUAAGUUGAAAUAUGAAAUGUCGAAAUAACGUAAUUUGAACUAUAAAAGUUAAUUGUAACAUCAUACAUCGUCCAGGGGAGUAGAUAUUGUAAAUCUUAUAUGUAUAUUCUCAUCUCUACUUAGCACGAUGUCUUUUGGGAGCUCACUGGCUUCAUGUUCCAUAGAAACUCCAAAGUUAAGCGAUAAAGGGGCCAGAGCAUUCCCUUGAUGGGUGAUCCACUGGGAAGUUCUGCUCGCGUAAGUUCCUAAAAACAAAACCGUGAGGGUGUGGUCAGAGCCCAAAGCGGACAAUAUCGUGCUACGGCGAAGUCGAGCUCGGGAUGUGAUGAGGGCUUGGACCUGGAUGUGACAUUAACCGAUUAAUUUUUAGUCUAGUGAUAUUUGUCUUCUUAAUAUUAAAACAAGUCGCAAGUUCGAAAUUUAAUGUAAUUACAAUACUAACGCAGUUUAAUAGCAAUUUCACCAUUUUUAAUUUAAGGUCAUACAUGAGUAAGAGUUGAGAGACCAAAUUUUAGCAAUGCUCCUUAAACUCUAGACAUUGCGUCUACUUUGUCUAGUGAACAUUCAAUUUUAUUUUAAGCCCUCAAAAUUUUGUAAGUUGUGCUUAUAUCCACGUGAUCAAUUUUGUCACAGCUUAAUUUCCUGAUGUGCAAUGCACAUAACCAACUAUUAGAGUAUUUUAUGUCAAUAAAUAUUAUGAGCUCGUAUGUAAAUACUUUUAAAAUAAUAGAAAACGUUUUUAAUGAAAAUAAUUUUGAAAUCAAUCCUUAAUAAAAAUUAAGGCUGGAAUUUUUUGCCAUGUACCGACUUACCGACCGAACCAAAUCGGUGGGGCUCCUAUUGGUACGGUAGUAUUUCGGUAUAUCUUCAAAAUUGGUUGGCAUGGAACCGAACUGAUCAUUAAUAGUACAGCUUUGGUUUUGUUAUACCGGCAGUAUACCAUAUCGACCGAUAUAUAUUUUUUUUAAAUACUUAAAAACUAUCUUAGAUAUUGUUUUGCAUGCAAAAGUCAUUUAAUAGUCUUUAGCCUUUAGGGUUUCGAAAAUUAAAACCCACACACAACUCUCAGUUUCUUUCUACUUAACACUUCCCGAUGAUCUCCCGUAGCGCAGCCUCGCUUGCAGUUUUCCUCUUCAUUUUGACGAAUCAACAGCCAUCGCGCCGGUGACCUGCUCUCCGAUAACAGAUUGCACAAAUGAUUUGAUUGCUGACAUUGUUGUUGCCUUAUGAAGCAAUGAUUUGAUUUCGAUUCUAUUUUUAGUUAGUUUAGUUGCUUUUUGCUGUCCUAUGAUGUAAUCUCAUAUGAAUGAUGCUUACAAGGUUCGAAUUAAUGUGAUUUGAAUUAAAUCAUAAUAGUUUGUGUAUAUAUGAUAUGAUAUCAGUUUCUGCUUGUUACCUUGUGCUUGCUGCCUUAUUAGAAUUGCAAGUAUAUACGAUAUUAGGUGAUACUGCCAGUUAUGCUAUUUACCACCCAAACCAGCCAGCGGUCUCGGCUAAACCAAUUUUCGACAAUCGCAAGAUAACAGUUGGUUGGCAAUAGAUGAUUUUCGAUAAUUGUGUAUAUAUGGCUGCCUGGUGGCACAAGGAAUUUGACACGGUUUGCCUACCGAACCCAGCCCUAGUAAAAAUGCAAAUAAAUCAUUGAAAAGCUGAAGUUUCUUUCAUGAACCACUUUAAGUGUUUUUGGAACUCCAAAACAUGUUCUCUAAAAGUUAUUUCAAUCAUUUUAAAAGCACUUAUAUCCUCGUGUUCAAUUUUAUCACAGUUUAAUUUCCUGAUGUGCUAUGCACAUAACUAUUAAGUCAUUUUAUGUCAACAAAUAAUAUAUAUUUGCAAAAAUAAUUGACCAAUACUUGAAAUUUGAUAUUUUGAGCUGUAAGAAAAAAUUACGAGGAAUUGAAACUUAACAAAGAUAUAAUGAGCUUAAAAGAUUAUAUUACACAAAAUUAAACCUCAAUUUGACAGAAUAGUUGACAAAUCUAAGGACGGAGAGACAAUAUUCAGAAAAAGGUUAAUUAAUUUUAAUUUAGAACAGAUGAGCUAUAAUUCAAUGUUAACGCUAAAUUUUCCUAUCAUAUUUGAGCCGGUCCCGUAUCGAGUAUAAGUCCAAAUAAUUUUACCCGAUAAAUCUAAAUUCAAUUUGGACCUAUACUCGAUACGUGGUCACACGACCCACUGGUGGAUUUGGGCUCGUCAUCAGGUAAAAAGCUUAACGGGCCGGGUAAACUGAGGCCCGAACAAUGACCCCACAUCCCAAAUUCCGAAUCGGCAAAAAUCCUGACAAAGUUGAAAACUCCCGCCAAAGUCCUGUGCCAAUUUUCCCUCCAAAGUCCUGUACUAAAGUAUGUUUACUGGAAAAUGCGAAUUCCAAUUCCCAAUUCUUCACAUCUCACAAUCUCCGCCUCCUCCUCCUUUCCCUUCUCCUCCUUCCGCCGCCAGGCCCCCGGGUCAUCGCCAUCGCCCAAAAUCCGUUCUAGGGUCGUUUAAUUUUGGAUUUAGGAUAUCCAAUCGACGGCUAGGAUUGGUCCAUUCAAGGAAGCAACGGAGUCUUGAUUCACUCCGAGAAUAUGAGUGCCGUCAACCUUACGAACGUCGCCGUUUUGGACAAUCCGGCCGCUUUCCUCAGCCCUUUUCAGUUUGAAAUCUCGUACGAGUGCUUGACUCCCCUCAAAGACGGUAAUUUUAUCGAACCCAUGAUUCUUCAAUUUAAUUUUUUUAAUGCAUUAGCUGAAUUUAUAGGAAAUUUUAUUGGGUUUUGUUUUGCUUGAGAUUUAGCUAGGGUUCUUAACAUAAUCUGCCCAACUAGGGUUUCAAAGAUUGGGUUUUUUAAAUUAAAGGACUGAUUGAAAAUUAGACGUGACGUUAGUAGAUCUAACCCAUAGAUUAGUGAUUAGGAUCAUUAAUUUUACUGAUUAAUGACCCUAAUUUUAUUUUCAACGUCAAUGAUUUUGGCAUGUGAUACUAUCCAAUUUAUUACAGACUUGGAAUGGAAGCUGAUAUAUGUGGGAUCUGCUGAAGACGAAACUUAUGACCAAAUGUUGGAGAGUGUGCUUGUUGGUCCUGUCAAUGUUGGCAACUACCGUUUCGUCUUUCAGGUAAUUACCUCGAUUCCUUGUUCCGAGUUCUUGAGUUUGUUUCGGGAUCCAAAAUCGAUGUGAAACCAAAUCCUUUCUGUUUAUGUGUGUGCGUGUACAUGUCUUGGUCUCAUGGCAGGCAGACCCUCCAGAUCCAUCAAAAAUACGCGAGGAAGAUAUCAUCGGUGUCACGGUACUGCUAUUGACAUGUUCAUAUCUGGGGCAGGAGUUUGUUAGAGUGGGGUACUAUGUGAACAAUGAUUAUGAUGAUGAGCAGCUGAGGGAGGAACCUCCCUCUAAGGUGUUGGUCGAUAGGGUUCAGAGAAACAUUUUAGCGGACAAGCCGAGGGUCACAAAGUUCCCUAUUAAUUUUCAUCCCGAGAACAGUGAGACCGCGGAGCAGCAGCCCCCACAUUCACCUGAUCACGUAACUGAAACAAAGCAGCCCCUUCCUUCUCCCGAUUGUGCAGCUGGAGAAAACAUCAAGGGAAAAGAACCACCCGCCUCACCUGUACCAUCUGUCUGUGUGCAGUAGUAAAGUUGAAUUGGCUUCAUGAUCUCCACGUUGCUACGAGAAAUUUGGGUCCGGCGGCGAGCAUUUCAGUUGACAUAACUACGCUAAAUUUUAAACAACCCCAAUUUUUUGAAACAGAUUGUGUACCAUAUACACUAGUGUUAUUGCAUGUUUUGUGUCACCAUUUUCUUUUUGGUGUGAUAAGAUGUGGUACAUGGAGGUUAAACGAUUUCUAUGUGUCUCGCAUGAUCGUCUUGUAAUCGAAACUCAAGAGUUUCGUAAUUCAGAUUUGUAGUGCAGUUCUACAUGUUGUGUUCUUUGGAUGUUAAAUAGGAAAAUAGAAUGCAAUUAUUUCAAGUCCAGGAAUCCAUGGAACAAGAAAAAUUUGUGUAGGGCUUCGCUUGUCAUUGGACUUUGUUGAGUAUCAUUACAAGUCCACAAAUGAAGUUCUUUCCUUUCUAACUGGUUUUCUAAUUGUUUUUUUCUUUUCAUGACAAUACAUUUCUAUCGAAAACAGAAGAAAAUAGUUGUUUUGAUCUGCCUCGUAAAAUUACCUAUGUCGCACUGUCGAUGGCUGACGUGGUAUUCCGAACAGAAUUGGCAGCCUUCGCUGCCUGAAAUGGAGAUCUGUAUUAAACACGGACAAAAUGUAUUAGCACGGUGAAACGAAGGGAGUGUCCUGAACUUACCCCUUAUUCCAAUCAGCGCGCAAGUUUACCACCACAAGUGCUGUUAGUUGAACAACAAGUCCACAAAUGAUUCCCAUCCAAGGCUCCUAUACACACAAAUUUAAACUUAAAUGGCUGAUCAAUGUUCUAAAAGACGCUAGGCGCUAAUUGGGCGGCGGGCUAGAAUCUAGCGCCUAGGCAGCUAGGCGGGCACCUAGGAAGAUUUAAGUAAAUCUGUUAUAUUUUGUGUAAAUAAGUGUCUGUUUAUACUUAAAAUAUAUAUAAUUACAUCAUAAAUUAUAAAAUAGAAUGACGUAUAUCAUGAAGUAUUGAAACAUAAUGAAAACAUGGGGAACAAACAUAUCAUGUGUGUUCAUUUAAGUAUUCAACAAGUCUCUUACAAUUUAUUAAAAAAAAUAAUGCAAAAUGAAAGUUGUCUAUUUUAUGUCUAAAUGAGUCUCAACCUAGGUGGAUGUCUAGAUGGGUCUGGUCGAGCUAAGCAGGUGUCAAGGCGGUCUAGACGCCCUUUCUAAAUUUUCAAACGCCUAGGCAUUAAUCAGACCGGUAAUCACCUGCUUAGAUGAUAUGCGGAAAUUUUUAGAACAGUGCUAACAAGUGGCCCACGAAGCAAAAUAAAUUGACAAUCAACGUCUUUUUUUUUUUUCUUUAACGUCUAGGCCCACAGAUUUUGGGCGUUUUAGCUAUGUGCUUUAUUAAUUUUUUUAAUUGCCUUUGGUUUUUCCCAAAGGUUUAAGGUUGUAUUUGAUUAGCACUUUGGCACACCAAUCAUGGGGCCGAUCGCUGAUUAUAUAAAGCAAUGCUAGUUGAGAAAUGCUAAGGACUCUUUAUAGACCAUCUGUCAUUUUUUACAGUUUAACGUUAAUUCUGGUUUUAACAUUAUACAAUAUUAUGUCAAAAACAUGAGGUGACAGAAUUUAUAAAAUGCCCUACUUUUGAGAGUUGCUUAGUGUUCUCAUGGUAGUUUAAUUGGAGUCUGCUGCUGAUAGUGCAUAUUAGCCGAUUUCAUUGUAUGACAACAAUGUAGAGUCAGAUUUUUUUUUAUUUUUCAUAAUUAUUUUGAGCUUGUUUGGAACUAGUUCUAUUUAAAAGUGCAUUCGGUAAAGCCAAUUAUUUUAAUUUUUUUAGGCCGCGAAGUCAUAAUUUCAAGACUGCCAAGGCCAACUGAUAUCAUAUAAACCAUCCAACUGAUAACACAGAUGUUUCUAGCUUUGGGUUCGGCAGAAGACGGAUAAUGGAACAACCAUUUCGAAGUACGAAUAUUCGAAGCUGCAAUUCGAAAGAGUAUAGUUAGUGCUGAUUCAAAUAAAAAACAUGAUCCAACAGUUCUGCUGCAUAUGUAUCCUCAAAGAAGAGAACAAGUCACUUGGAGAAGAAGAAACUUACCAUAUUCUUACAGCUGAUGGAAUGGCAAGUUUGACAGGGGGAUGAUAACUGCGCGUAACUUGCCAACAACAAGAAGUUAACUCAAUUCGAAAUGCUAAUUGCCAACGCCGCACCAUUGUUUCCUAGUCCAAAUUUAAAACACAGGGUCCAACAAACACGUGAAGAAAAGCUGUGACUCCAGAGCUGAUCAUCAUUGGAAACACAUUGUUUUGCGUCUGUAAAAAAUCUGUUGAGGCAUUGGAGGAGGCUGAAGGCGAACAGGCUCGGAAUUAUCCACCUGUUGAAGGUUCCUGCUUCGGCGGACAUCUCGUGGUUUUGGCCAGGAGCCAUGAGAAUGGUGCUUGUGUAAAACCAGAUGAGAGCUAAGGGAAUGCUUACUGCUAAUAAUGUUUGCAUUGCUCUUUGCAUGUGGAGUCCAAGCAUGUGGUACUGUUUGGCUCCAUAGGCUUGCCCAAUUAGGGUUUCUAAUGCACUUCCCAUUCCCAACCGUGAGACAUGUGUGAUAUUUUUUAUUGAAAUUGAAUGAAAAUUAUCAAAUUUAAAAAAUGCGAGAAAAUUUAUUUAGAAUAAGAAUUACUUUAUCAGUUUCAUUCCUUCCACAACUGAUAAUGUUAGUGAACAAUAUUUAGAGUUUGUUUGGAAGUGUUUGGAAUAAUUAAUGUCGGUUUCAAAUAAUUAAAAGCGUUUCUGAUCAUGUUUAACAUAAAAAUUUAAAGUGCUCAUAUGUUUUAAAUGUACCAUGAAUCACUUAUAUUUUCAUCAAGUAUUUUGUCGUGAUUUCUACAUAAACACUUGAAAAUUAUCAGCAGAAGUGUUUUUUUUUUUUAGAAAUAUUUUUAAACGGGCCCUUAAAAAUAAAAGUAUUGAAAGAAGCUUGUUGUGUAUUAUCAUCCUAAACAUAAUGGCUUACAUAAAUUUCCGUCAACCAUCUAAUUGGAGUUUCAUAAGUUUCCGUCAACCAAUUAGACAGCAGGACAAAGUAUGAACAAGUGGUGCGGAAGAGAAACCCAACUGACCAAAAUACAAUGAAUCCAGUGACAUUAGCUAAGGAAGUGGCCAUGGAUCCUGGAAAGAGCGAACUCUCCAAGAUAUUGGCCGACAAACAUGACUGAUGUGACUUGUAAGCUGUACUGCAACAGGCUUACUGCAAUAUUCACGGACUUGAUUGUCUGCCCUUCCAUUUCGGUGUUCUCUCUGUUUCCUUCUGUUUUGUGUGUUUACGGUUUAUUUUUUUUAUAAAAAUAAUAAAAUAAAAAAAUAGUAAUAUAAAAUGUUGACAUGACUUAACCGUGACCGUACAAACAAGAGAGCACGAGAAGGAUACCGAAAUGGAAGGGCAGACAAUCCAAGUCCAUAUUCACAGGCCCUGCCAGCCAUGGCUGCAAUUUUGCUUCUUCAAUAACAUCCCCACCUCUACAAAUUGUUUGCUGAGAUGAUAUUUGCUUCAUCAUCAAAUUCUUGAUGGUUUGGAAUUAGAGGACUUCUUUCACAAAAAUUAUCAACUUUGCCACUUAAAUCCUAUUGUAUUUGUUUAUUGAUAAUCACAGGAGAAUCCAUCCAGAAAUAAUAAAAAAUAGAGAAAAUGUCAAACAAUACAUAAAAUAUGAGGUAUAAUACGAUAGAACAACUUCCAAAACUUUCAUCGUCACUUGUUAAUUUAUCUGUCAUAAUAUGUCAUUUUUAUUAGUGAAUGACGAUUGGCCCACAGAAGCAGCAUUUUUAAAAUUGCUGUUUUUUCAAGUUCGGUAAAAACAUGAUUUCUAGAUGGCUAAUUAUAUUAACACCCUAUAAAUUAUUGAAUAAACUUCACAUACUUAAUACACCCCAUAUUUGCUUUUUCACUUAAAAAUUAUCUUAAUACACCCCACAUACUUUCUCAUAAUACCCCCACACCCCACAUUCUCAAUAUACAUCUUAUAAUACCCCCACACCCCAUAUUUGCUUCGAUCCUUAAAGUCUGCUAAUGAUCCAGGUGUAGAAGUUAAUUAAUAAAUCAAAACUGAAUCGGUCUCAGAUUUCUUUAAAUAUAGGUCAUGUCUCUCCUCAUUUUCCACUGAUCAUCUCCCAAUGACAAGAAAAGAAGAAGAAAAAAGAAAGAAAAACUCAUGAUGAGAAACGUACGUCAAUCAAACGGCUAAAGAUUGAGAAUAGGAGUUCAUGUGGAGAAUGGCUAUCCUCAAUUUGUAAAAGUAGUAUAGGACUCUAGCACUAAUACGACUCAUGUUACUGGGUACGCAUGAUUAAUAUGAACACUAAAAGAUGAAUAUGAAUAUAGAAGUUUAAAUAAUGCAGCAAACGCAAGAUUAAAUAAUUAUUGAUGUCAUCGAAAUCACUAAAACAAUAAAAAAUGUGAAGUCUUAUCUCAUGUAAAGCUUCAGAAACAUCGAUUUUGUAUUCCAUUCGUCAAAAACAUUUUUUCUCAAUCAACAUGUUUGUAGUUUCAUUGGUUAGAGUUUUAUUCAACAAUGGAAAAUGAGAGGGUUUUGAUAGUUGAGAAAAUAAAUAAUACGCUAAAAGUGAUUUGGGAUGUAUUUAUAAAUUUUUAUUUUUUUUAAAACCUAAUAAGGUCAAAAUUGUCAUUGCAUAGUGGAGUAAAUAAGUAAUUUAAUAUUAAAUUUUAAUAUGAGGUGCAUUCAACAUGUUGUGAGGUGCUAGGAUAAAAAGCCUUUCUAGAUAUGCCAAACUUAAAAAAGCAAGAUGAGUGCUACUGAAAGAAUUUGUCGACAUUGAUGCAAUUUAUCGACAUAUGCUUGACAUACGUUACAUCAAAUAUUAGUAGGCACAAAAAAUAUCCGUAUUAAACAUUCAAAUGAUCCUCAAAAGACAUUUGCAUGUAUAUUUUCCGGACACAAUAGUCGUCGGACCACUUCGUCCCUGCUUCCAUCGCCCCCACUGCCCCCGACCCUCCACCCCCACCACUGCAAGUCAGCCAUAAACACACCAAACCUAAAAAGCAAGUCAACGUUCAUAACAUCCCGAGAAAAAUGAACCAAUCCGACGUUAUCAGUCUUUUAUCAGAACAAAAAGUAACAUUUUUUUUCAAAACUGGUUUCAACCACAAUGAACAUAGUAAUGCAGACAGCCCCUGUCUCGAAUUGAGAACGCGAAAGCAAUGUUCCUACGAUGGCAGCGUCCUAUACGUGCGUCAUUGAUUUCCGGCGUCGUUUUCUAGUCGUCUGGUUCUCCAGUUACCGCCGCUGUCAAGAGCCAUUCGUGACUGCUGCCUGCCUGCUCUUUUUCAAUGCGGCGUAAAUUUAAAUCUGGGUCCAAAAAAAAUCAACAUGAUUAUGGCUAGUAUUAUCUUUUCUCCACUUUUAUUUUUUUUAAUAUUAGAGAGAAAUUAAAAUUUUCUAACUUCAUGCAUCUUCUAAUUUCAAAAAAUCAGCUUAAUAUCUUAUAAUAAAAAAUUAAUAUUCAAACAUAAAUCUAUCUGCAAAACAUAUGACUUAAGUAACACAUUUUUUUUAAGGGAGACAACUGGUGGCAAACCACAAUUAUCCACCCCUUCAGGGGGCCGGGAAGACUCACAACCAUUCUGGGGGCCUCACAACCCUUCCAGGGGCCGAGAAGAUUCAUAGAGGCAUUUUAGCCUUCAUCUAGCCACAAGUCCAACUUCCACACCAACAUCGACUUUCGGACCUGAGACUUCCAAUUUUUAGUUUUAAGGAAAUCUCGCAAUCCGUCAUUUACUAUUGGACCACCGGCUCGUGUUUAAGUAACAUAUAUUUGAAUCUAUAUUAUAUUUGUAAGCAAGAUAUGAAUGGGGUUUAGAGCAAGAAAUAACAAAAAGAAAAAUAAAUAAGAAAUAAUAAUUAAAGAGAUAUUAGGAAGAAAUUUAAUUUUUUGUGUGCUUCUUAAAAAAACACUGCUUAUGCUGUUAUGUGAGAAUAAAGUCGUGUUUGGUAACUUUUUUAUGUAAAAGUGUUUUUACCAAAAAAAACUGUGUCUGAGUGUUUGAGGGUGUACUUGUCAUUUCAAAAUUUCAUUAAAUGAGCACUGAUUACUUUGGAAAAAAAACAUUUUUUUUAGAAGCUAGACCAUGCUUAUACUUUUUUAAUGUCAUUGACAACAAUUUUUAUAAAACACACUUUUUUUUUUGUUUUACUAAACAUAUUUAAUGUUCUAGAUUUUUAAUAAACUAUUUUUUUUUAAACACCACCAUCUCAAACCAGCUCUAAAACUUAUUAGUAUAGAGAUAAUUAUUGAUAAUAAAAUAAUACUAAAUUCAAUGGAUAGACUAAAUUUAAUAAACUGAACUAUUCAUAAUAUAUUAUGUAAAAAAGUAGACAUAUAUCAAGUUCGUUUUUGUGUGUAAUAUCUUCUUCUUCUUCUUUUUUGUUGUAUUUAAACCCUAAUCUUUGCCUCUUUGGUGGCCAAGCAAAUAAGAUAAGGAUUCACAAAACCGCUCUGUUUUUCCUGCUGUCAUAUUGGCUGUAUAUACGCAGAGUCAUAUAAAAAUGUGAACUUUUGGUCAAUUUCCGUGAAAUCUCAUAACUUUCUCCCUCCGUCUUCUACGUUCCAAUAUCCAAACCUCCAAAGUCAAUACGUCUCACCGGCUAGUGAGGCAGGCGGCCCCCGACGAUCCAGCUCCACGCUUCCGCUGCAGACUCCGCCAUGGAAGAGAGCUUGCUGUUACCGAAAUACGGAGAAGAAAGAAGUAACACUAGUAUUCUGACGUGGAGUUCUUUCUUCGAAGAAGUGAAGAGGUUGGGAUGCAUAGCGGGUCCCAUGGUUGCCGUGGUUUUAUCUCAGUACUUGUUGCAGGUCAUUUCGAUGAUGAUGGUCGGCCACCUGGGCGAGCUCGCUCUCUCCAGCACCGCUAUCGCCAUCUCCCUCUCCGGGGUCACCGGCUUCAGUCUUUUCGUAAGUCUUUCUUUCUUCCUUUGUAUCUUUUGGAAUUAACGUCCAACUGUUUUUGUUGCUCGUGAAUCAAGAUUGCAUUGUUUUCCAAACUGCGUUAUUCUAAAAUACUAUAAUUUGUCGGGGUGAGAGACUCGAACUCGGGUGCAGAAGGACCAUAAUCAACUGGCCUAACAGACGUCUGCCAUAUUCUACACCACCAUUGUAGAUUAUCCUUCUUAUUGCAUGAUUGUCCUUGAAUUUUUGCUCUAAUCUUUACCCAGUAGCAUUUGCAUCUGGCUAGUUUUUAUCACUUGGUCUGAUACUAUCUGAUGAAUACGAAUACGACACCCAAGACUGCAUUUCGGAUUCUAUAACUACAUAAUCAAAGACGUGUUGAAAUGAAUGACUCAAUUCCACUGCACCACAAGAGACAGAGUCACAGAGCACGAAGAGAUUGACCAGUUGGAGAAAUUUUUUAUUGUGACCGGAACACGAGUUUUUAUAUAAGUGUUAGAAAAUUUUAAUAUUUAAGUUAUUAACUUUUUAACACCAAUAUAUCAUAAUUUGUAUAAUAACAUGUGGUGUACCAUCUUGUGUUUUGAUCAUACUGAAAAAUCUCUCGACCGGUUGACGUCUAUGUCGUUUUUGGCUGUAAUAUAUUUGGUUUCUUUCGCUUUGGCCAAAGAUUUCAGGUUUUAUUGAUUAAUUAAUCACAAGUGGUUCAUUAGCACUUUGUCAUCAAUCAUGGGGCCGGCUAAUAAUGGGUUAUAUAAAUUAAUGCGAGUGUUGCUGGGGCAUCUUUUGCUAAUAUUCACUGGCACUGCUGCAGGACAAUAGUUGCACAUUCAUAUUAAUUUGUCUUCUCAUAAAUAUUUUAUCCACUAAAAUGUUUCCUGUCUACUAUGCUUGGACACAACGGCAUACCCUACUAUUCCCAUAUCAUGUUGUAUCUCCAUAACUAUGUCCGUGUCCAUGCAUCAUAGUUUCUUGUAUAAACAUUGUCCACAAACCAUGUAGAAGUUGAAUCUGUGUGCACCGUCGGUUUGUAAAAAUACUAAAGAUGUGAGGAUGCUAUGAUGUAUAUCAUGAAACUACUUGAAGAUAAUCUUAUAAGCACCAAAUUGAUGAUGAUUAAGUACGAAUUUCGGCGUAGAUGACAAGUUUCAGUGUAUUAAUGCAAGAUUGAAACCAUUAGCCGUGCAUUGGUAAAGGGUUGAUCAUGUACUGGGUUUUAUAUAGAUUUGUGUCUAAUAACUAAGUGGAUUUUGUAACUUGCUGUUUGAACAGUUGGGAAUGGCUAGUGCGUUGGAGACUCUGUGUGGUCAGGCAUAUGGAGCAGAACAAUAUCAGAAACUUGGACUCCAAACUUACACUGCUAUAUUUUCUCUCAACUUGGUCUGCCUUCCUUUAUCUUUGAUAUGGAUUUAUAUGGAGAAGUUACUGAUUUUCAUGGGUCAAGACCCUGUAAUUUCUCGUGAAGCCGGCAAGUUCACAAUCUGGCUUCUUCCCGCACUUUUCGCUUAUGCCACUCUUCAGCCACUCAUUAGAUACUUUCAGACACAAAGUUUAGUAACUCCUAUGCUCAUAAGCUCGUGUGCGACCCUUCUGUUCCAUAUUCCUCUGUGUUGGCUUCUAGUAUUCAAGUCUGGAAUGAACAACCUUGGAGGAGCAUUAGCAAUCAGUAUUUCAUAUUGGGUGAAUGUGAUUCUACUUGCAUUGUACAUGAAGUUUUCUGAUGCUUGUUCCAAAACCCGAGUUCCAAUUUCUGUGGAGAUCUUCCAUGGAAUUGGAGAGUUCUUCCGCUUUGCCAUCCCUUCUGCAAUAAUGAUAUGGUAGUCAAUUUCUUCCUUGCAUUCUAGUCUCAAGAAGACGUUUUACUAUGCUUGAUUCUUACAAUAUGUUCUUUCCAACGUCAGUUCUUUUCUUUUUUCUCCAUUGAUUUUCGUUGAUGGUUGCAGCCUUGAGUGGUGGUCAUUUGAGCUGCUUAUUUUGCUGUCUGGACUUUUACCAAAUCCGGCUCUUGAAACUUCAGUUCUGUCUGUAUGGUAUAUAGUCUGUAUAAUAAAAAUCAGUUUGUCAAUUUGAUGACCAUGUAGAAAAUAUGUGAUUAUUCUCAACUGAUUGUUCUGGACAGUCUGCAGACGAUUUCUACACUCUAUGCAAUACCAUAUGGGUUUGGUGCUGCAGCAAGGUAUGUUCAUGCACAUUUAUACCGUCAGAUUACAUUUACACCAUCAGCUUAUCUUUUUCUUUCUUUGCUUAUUGUGCAGUACUAGAGUUUCAAAUGAACUAGGAGCUGGUAACCCACAAGGUGCUCGAAUAGCUACUUUUGCUGCAAUGUUUCUUGCAGUCGCAGAGACAAGUAUAAUCACCACGACCCUCUUUGCCUGCCGCAAUGUAUUUGGUUACACUUUUAGCAAUGAGAAAGAAGUCAUCGAUUACGUCAAAAUCAUGGCUCCUCUAGUUUGCCUGUCUGUUACCCUAGACAGUUUUCAAGGGGUCCUUUCGGGUUUAUUUCUUUAUCUUCUCCUGUUAGCAGUAAAUAAUUGAGUUCUUUCAUGUUUCAGUCUAAUGUUAUGUGUUUUGUGAAUGGUUAAAUCAGGUAUUGCUAGAGGAACUGGGUGGCAGCAUAUAGGGGCUUACAUAAACCUCGGAGCGUUUUAUCUUUGUGGGAUUCCAGUUGCAGCCACAUUGGCUUUCUGGGUACAACUGAGAGGAAGGGGCCUUUGGAUUGGAAUACAAGUCGGUGCUUUUGUGCAAACCAUGAUGCUCUCUUUAGUAACAAGUUGUACAAAUUGGGAAAAGCAGGUCUGUUUCUCAACCUUAACUCUCUUUAUAAAGUUAAUCUUCUCCAGUUGCUUCGACUAUUCCACUAUUUUCUGUUUGGUUGCCAAGAAUCUGGGAGGGAAGACGAAGAACAUUUCGUAUCUUAUGACCACCAUUCUAAUCCAUUCUCUUAAACUGUCUCAAGAUGUGUUCUUUUUCUUCAAACUCCCCACUGCUUUGGUAUUUCCUUGUUUCUUCUUGGCACUUAAACAGAGCACCUAUCCAAAACUAAUGGGAGUUGCCAGCCAUCCGCAGACACAACGUUUGGUUAAACAUGGCCUCCGAGAGGAUUUUGAUGUUGGUCUUUUGAUGUUUCAGGCAAGUAAGGCAAGGGAGAGGAUAUUUGAGGGAAGGCCCCAACAAGUCAAUGGCUUGUGUGACAAGGCAGAGAGUAAUGAGUUUUGACGAGCACAAUUCUCUCUAUCGCGGGAUUAAGGAAGAAGUAUUAGCUUGAUCCAUACUUUUGUCAACAAUAGUUGCUAGACAUUAUUGGUAUAGACAAUAAACUUGUAAUUAUUCCUGUAGUUAGCCCUCAUUACUUUACUUUAUAGCUAGCCAUCAUUACUUUACUUUAUAGCUAGCCAUCAUUACUUUGCUUUGCUUUCAUUUUCUCCUUAUUUUCCUCUUCGGUGUUUUCCUCAUGUAAUCAUCAUUUGGCUUGUCCACUUGUUAGGACUAGUUUUUGGCCCUGUAUAAGAGAGGACUUCCCUAUUGUAAACAAAGAAUAAUGAACUAUAUUUCAAUUUCUGAGAUGGUAUCAGACCAGUCGAUCAUGACUGACUCUUGAACCUCAAAAACAGAAAAAAGCUUCCGCCAUAUCAUAUCUCAAUCAUCAUAUCAGUUUUAUUUUUAUUUCAACUUCACUGAUCUUAAGCCUAUACAAUGGCUAGUGAUGAUGAAGUAUCAGACCCACCAAUUCAGUCAUUCACACCAGGUGAAUCAAACUCCACCACACAAGUGGUCACCAUUCAAAAUGAUAAUUCCUAUUUCUCUGCAGGAAUUAAAUUUGAUGAGAACAACUAUUCUCUAUGGCAUCAAGUCAUAGAGAUGAAAAUUGCUGGUCGUGAAAAACAUGGGCAUCUUUCCGGUGAUACCAAACAACCUGCAAUCACAGACCCACUGUAUAACAAGGGGCGAGCUGAAAAUUGACAAGUCAAAAGUUGGUUAUUUGAUGCUAUGACACCCAAUCAGAUGAAGCAGUUCAUCCGUUACGACACAGCCAUGCAGGUAUGGGAUGCCAUAAAAAAGACUUACUCAGAUGGCUCUGAUGAAGCCAAAAUUUAUGAUCUUCAUAAAAGGUCAUUUACCAUGAAGCAAAAAGGAGCUCCUAUUGCUAACUAUUACAGCAAUCUCACCGAGAUUUUUCAAGAACUUGAUCAACUUAGUCCUACUAACAUGAAGCACCCAAAUGAUAUCUCAUCAAGGCAGCAAGAAAUUGAGCGACUUCGAGUCUAUAUUUUUCUUGCAGGAUUAGACAACAAGUUUGAUCAAAUUCGUGGUGAGAUUUUAAGGAUGGAGCCCAAACCUGGUCUUGAAAUAGCAUACUCUCAUGUCAAACAUGAAAGCAAUCGACAAGGAACCGUGUCAGAAAGUGCCACCAUGCCUGAAGCUACUGUGCUCUUUACCAUAAAUUCUCGAUCUCUACAAUGACCUCGACUUCAAAACAUAAACUCCUCAACAGUUGAUCGAUUUCGUAAUCAACCACCUAUGCAGUGCACCAAAUGCGGAUUGAAAAAUCAUACUAUUCAAGGCUGUUAUGAGAUUAUUGGCUAUCCAGAAUGAUAGGUUUACAAAGGACGAAAGAAGGAAUCUAGCAGAGCAUCAUUCACCACCUCUGAGUCUUUUCAAGAUGUUAGCUCAUCUGACCAUGUCCCAAAAGCCUUGAACACCUCAAGUAUAUCUAAUUCUACAUCCGCUAAUACUUGUAAUAAAUCGUGGAUUAUUGAUAUAGGUGCCACAGAUCACAUGACAUCUGAUGCUAGCAUUCUUCACUCACUAAAAACAGCCAACCAGACAUUCAUUACCAGUGCCAAUGGUUCAAUCUCUCCGGUUACUGGAGAAGACUCUCUUUCACUAACUUCCUCACUCAAUCUUGAUCAUGUCCUAGUUGUACCAUCUCUAGAUUAUGAUCUUUUAUCUGUUUCUCAAAUUAUUGACUCCCUUAAUUGUUUUGUUUCCUUUUGGCCACUAUAUUGUCUUUUCCAGGAUUUGCUCACAAGGGCCGUGAUUGGUUGUGGUACUAGAAGGGGCAAACUAUAUUAUUUGGACUUAACGGAAGAAUGCAACAAUAGAUUGAGUCAAGUACAUCAUGUAAGCAAAGACGAAUCAACCCGAAUGAAGAAGAUUUGGUUAUGGCACAGGCGAUUAGGACAUCCCUCAUUUGGUUAUCUUAAACUUUUAUUCCCUCAACUUUUUCCCCAAUUCAAAGAAUCUGAUUUCCAUUGUGAAAUUUGUAUUUUGGCCAAAAGUUAUCGUGUUUCCUAUCCAUUAAGAUUAAAUAAAAGUUUUGUGCCAUUCAUGGUCGUUCAUUCUGAUGUUUGGGGUCCUGCCAGAAUUCUUACCAUUUCUGGAUUUAGAUGGUUUGUGACAUUUAUAGAUGACUGUACUAGAAUGACCUGGGUGUUUCCAAUGAAGCAUAAGAGUGAAGUUCCUACCAAGUUCAAUAUUUUUCAUCAAUAUAUUGCAACUCAGUUUGACAAGAAAAUUCAGACACUCAGGUCUGAUAAUGGAGGAGAAUAUGUCAAUCAUGCUCCGCAUAACUAUUUGCAAGAGCAUGAUAUUGUUCAUCAAACCACAUGUGCCUAUACACCUCAGCAAAACGGUGUAGCAGAGAAGAAGAAUCGACAUCUCUUAGAAGUGGUUCGUGCAUCUUUAUAUGGUGCCAAUAUGCAUUAUAAGUUUUGGGGGGAGGCACUGUGUUCUACAACAUAUCUCAUAAAUCCAACACCAUCCAGUACUCUCCAAUAUCAAACACCACUCCAAACACUUAACCACCUUCUCACCAUUCCAUCUAUCUCAAACUUAGAAUCACGUGUCUUUGGUUGUGUGGCUUAUGUACAGGUUUAUCCACAUCAAUGGGGGAAGUUUGAUCCAUGUGCCUUCCGGUGUGUAUUCUUGGGUUAUUCUGAUACAAAAAAAGGAUACAAAUGUUUUCAUCCUCCUACCCAAACUCUAUACAUCAUUGCAGAUGUCCAGUUUCAAGAAGGAGAAACAUAUUUUGCAAAGGGAGACAUUGAGUAUCCCCUUCAGGAGGACAAUAGUAUGUUUGAAAAGGAUACCCAAGACAUUAGCAACAUUAAAAUUGUUGCAGAAAUUUCAGAAACUGAGAUAAAUGUUGAUAAGUUGGCAGACGACUGUAAUCAAACAAUACAUGCAGAAACAGAAUCAUUGACUCCAACAUACACAUAAGUACAUCCAGCAACGUUAAGUCCAGAUGGCUUGGGAUUGCCUUAUUCGAUAGUACCACAUGAUCAAUCAGCCCUUGAACACAAUCAACAGGUAACUAAUCAAUCUAAUUCUAUUGAGAUCGUAUCUGAGUCAAGUCAAAUUGAGUCCACUAAUUAUCAACUUCCCCCUCGAAAAUCUCGAGGGAUUCCUAAACAGUUAUAUGAUCCUGAUCCUAGAGCCAAGGUUAAAUACCCAAUUGCUAACCAUGUGUCCCUUCAUAGGCUAUCUACAUCAUGUGAGGCAUUUAUAAAUCAAUUAUCCACUGUAUCUAUUCCUUGUAGUGUAGAGGAUGCUAUGAAAGAUGCUAGGUGGACUUGUGCAAUGAAUGAAGAAAUGGAGGCACUCCAGAAAUAUUUCACUUGGGAGUUAACUAACCUACCCAAGGGGAAGAAAUCAGUUGGUUGCAGGUGGAUAUACACAGUAAAAUUCAAUGCAGAUGGCAUUAUGGAGCAAUACAAAGCAAGAUUAGUGGCAAAAGGCUACACCCAGACCUAUGACAUUGACUACAGAGAGACUUUUGCCCCUGUACCUAAGAUAAGCACUAUUCGUGUACUUUUAUCCCUAACAGCAAACCUUGACUGGCCUUUGCAACAAUUCGAUGUCAAAAAUGCUUUCCUGCAUGGAGAUUUAGAAAAAUAAGUUUAUAUGGAGCUUCCCCUAGGAUGCAAGCUGGAUCCCAAUCAGACCAACAACAUUUGUAAACUAAAAAAGUCUUUGUAUGGUUUAAAGCAAUCACCAAGAGCUUGGUUUGGGAGAUUUACCAAAUCGAUGAAAUUUUUCGGAUACAAGCAAAGCAACUCAGAUCAUACUCUUUUCUUAAAGCAUAAGAAAGGUAAAAUCAUUGCUCUUAUUGUAUAUGUGGAUGGCAUGGUGGUUACAGGAAAUGAUCCAGAAGAGAAGGCAGCACUGCAAAAGUAUCUAGCAAGUGAAUUUGAGAUGAAAGAUCUCAGUGCUUUAAAGUAUUUCUUGGGCAUUGAGGUGGCCCGCUCAUAACAAGGAAUAUUUCUAUCACAACGGAAAUAUGUUCUUGAUAUUUUGACGGAAACUGGGAUGCUAGCAUGCAAACCAGCAGAUACCCCAAUUGAGCUGAAUCACAAACUUGGUGAAUAUCCUGAUCAGAUACCUACCAAUAAAGAGAGAUAUCAACGAAUUAUGGGUAAGCUAAUAUAUCUUGCACAUAAUAGACUAGAUAUAGCGUAUGCAGUCAGCAUGGUAAGCCAGUUUAUGCAUGCACCAAGUGAAACACACAUGGACGCUGUAAACCGUAUCUUGAGGUAUUUAAAGUCAACUCUUGGAAAAGGAUUAAUGUUUUCAAAACAUGAUCAUCUAGACAUUAAAGGCUACAUUGAUGCUGAUUGGGCUGGUGAUGUAACUAACAGACGAUCAACAUCAAGAUACUUUGUUAUUGUUGGAGGAAAUCUAGUCUCUUGGCGUAGUAAGAAACAAAAGGUUGUUGCUAGAUUAAGUGCUGAAGCAGAAUAUCGGAGCAUGGCACAUGGAGUAUGUGAACUGCUUUGGGUGAAGAAUUUACUGAGAGAUUUGAGAUUUAGGCCCAAGCAUGCUAUGCGUCUACAUUGUGACAACAAGGCUGCAAUUGACAUUGCUCACAAUCCGGUUCAACAUGAUCAAACCAAACAUGUGGAGGUGGAUAGAUAUUUUAUUAAAGAAAAAAUUUAGGCAAGACUUAUUGAAGUUCCAUUCGUUAAAUCUGAAGAUCAAUUAGCAGACAUGCUCACCAAAGCAGUCACAAGUUCAGUAUUUCACAACUCACUAAGCAAGUUGGGCAUUCAUGACAUCUACGCACCAACUUGAGGGGGAGUGUCAACAAUAGCUGCUAGACAUUAUUGGUAUAGACAAUAGAUUUGUAAUUAUUCCUCUAGUUAGCCAUCAUUACUUUAUUUUAUAGCUAGUCAUCAUUACUUUGCUUUAUAGCUAGCCAUCAUUACUUUGAUUUAUAGCUAGCCAUCAUUACUUUGCUUUGCUUUCCUUUUCUUCUUAUUUUCCUCUUCGGUGUUUUCCUCAUGUAAUCAUCAUUUGGCUUGUCCACUUGUUAGGACUAGUUUUUGGCCCUGUAUAAGAGAGGACUUCCCUCUUGUAACAAAGAAUAAUGAAGUAUAUUUCAAUUUCUGAGAACUUUUGACACCGAAAUUUUUUGUAAUAACACAUUCGAAUAUGGUUGAUACAUAUAGGCUUGUGGCAUUCGAUCUUGACUACGAUCAAGUGAGAUAGACGUUUUGAAAUGUAACAUGGUGUCCUGAAUCUCCUGAUAGCAUUGCAUUUGCUGCUCAAAAUAUGUAUCAGAAUGUAUGCGGCAAGUCUAUGCAAUAUAUGGCAAGAAAGAGCAACUGAGUUGUGAUGAAUCAGAAAUUUUAUAAAAUGUGUAAAGUUGAUAAAAACUCUGUUGAGUUAGUUUUGUUCUGCAAUUUAUCCAUAAUAAACGAUUCAAUUCACAUGCUUAAUAGAAACAUCACUUCUACUAUAUCAACCCAUAUUUCGAAUAUUAACAUGUAGACUGAAAUGUCAUGGGUUCGAGUUGUAGAAACUACCUCUUUGCAAAUCAAGAGUAAAACUGCGUACGAUAGACGUUCUCCUACCCUUGCAAAACGGAGAAUUUCGUUGGCUCGGGUCGCCUUUUUUAACAUGACAACUUUAUUUUACUGUAAAUCAGCCCUGUAAUAUUUACUCUGUUUUUCUUUAUGUCACAUUGGCUCUGCUUUUGUAGCCUAGCAAAUAAAGAUUUUCCAUAAUUCCUUUGCUUUUAUGCAUACAAUGCCUUUCUCUUUCUCACCAAAAAGGUAAACUUGCCAUGUGCAUUUACUCCUUAGAAUCACCUCUAUCAGUCCAAAUUGGCCACUUCAGUAUAUUUUUUGUUGCUGAUAUAAGCGUUAUUCUACGCUAAAUUCAUCUAAAUUGCAGGACAAGAAAUCAAACAACAUGUGUUUUUUUAAUUGUAAAUAUGCCCUAUAAUCUUGCCUGUUUUGUAGCCCAGCAAAUAAAGAUUUAUAAUUGCUCUGUUUUUCUUGCUGUCGUAUUUGCUAUACACUUGGCAGUGAUUCAUAAGAAACAGGUAAUAAUGUCCCCAUGAAAGGUCAAAACUUUCCAAAUGCCCAACGUCCAUAGGUUAUUAGGCUUAUUGGUUGAUCAUCAGGUCCUGUGGCGACCGCGGAGACUGAAUUCCUCCUGAGUUCCGCCAUGGAAGAGAGCUUGCUAUUGCCAAAAUACAGAGAAGAGCAACGAAGAAGCAGUAGAAAUUCAAGUAGUAGUAGUAGUUGUCUAACAUGGGUUUCUUUUUAUGAAGAAGUAAAGAGGUUGGGAUGCAUAGCAGGACCAAUGGUUGCUGUGGUUCUAUCCCAGUACAUGCUGCGGUUUAUUUCAAUGAUAAUGGUUGGCCACCUGGGUGAACUUGCUCUCUCCAGCUCCUCCAUAGCCAUCUCCCUCGCCGGCGCCACUGGCUUCAGUCUUUUCGUAAGUCUAUCUUCCUUCCAUCUUCUUCUUGUUUGUGGAAAUGGCCACAAACCUUCCAUUCUUUUUGCAAUGCGAUAUUCUAAGCUACUCUCGCCUAUUUCUUACUGGUAAGGAUUUUGAACUCAGGUCACUGUCACGACCAACCGACCUAACCCAUGUAUGCAAGACUUCACCUUUGAAGCUCCCACCCACCAUUGUAGAUUAUGGGCUUUGCCAUCAUAAUUAACGCCUAAUCACGAAUUAUAUGAAGUAAUGUGUGUUUAAUUGGACUCUGCUACUGCAGAUUAAUUUGUCUUUCCAUAACUCCUCUGUCCACUGAAAUGUUUCAUGUACAGAAAAUUGUUCCCAAACCAUGCUGGGAUCAAUGCUGUGAGUGUUGUAUGUAUAUCAUGGAACUUCUUAAUGAUAAUCUUAUAAACUACGAAUGGAAACGGACAAGGAUACGGGGAUACGACCGACAAGGGAAUAGGUCAUAUUAACGAGAAGAAUUGUUGUAUGACUACAAAGGAAUACAACAUGAGGAUACGAGGGAAUACCAUUGUGUCCAUGCAUCUAGAGCAACACAACUUACUGAUAAUAGAGUACGAAUUUUAGCACAGAUGUAGUACUAAUUGUUGGAAAAUUUAAUAUUAAUAUUAUUAUAUUAUAUUUCUUAAUUGAAUGGAAAUUAUAAGUGAUGUCUUUUGGUGGAAAUAUGUGUCUAUCCUAAUGAAAAGUUGCAACUUUUGACUCAUGAAUAGUCACAUGUUUUCCAAAGAGGUAUCUCAAAUUCUAUAAAUAAGGAAGCCCCCAUGUCACUUAACAACUUUUACACUUACAUAUUCAAACAUAUAGUGCACUAUUGUUAAAGAGUUUUGUAAUGUCCCAUUGAGUUUGUUAUACCAUACUUAGAGCCUCUGUAUUUAGACCUCGUAUAAAUAUUCGGGGGACUCAAAUAUAAUUAUGUAAUAAAUGAAGGGACAAAUAUGUAAUAAGUGAGGAGCCUUUAGUCUACAAAAGGGACUCCUCACCCUCACAAUCCUCAAAGGUCACAUCCCCAAAGAGAGGCUCAUAUCCAGCAAUCCCCUCACACUCUCAAACUCUCUUUCUCUGGGGGACUUCCCCUCACCCUUGUAAUCCAUACAUACAGUUAGAGAGAAAUACAAUCAACAUCAGUGUGGAGGUAGCCCAAACAUUGGGGUGAACCACGAUACAUCUUGUGUUCUUACUUUCUUGCAGAUUCACGGUCGGAUUUACGUUGUUCCAAGACCCCUCCGGUUUUGUGUAUCAACAGAGUUCGUAUUGGUGAGUUUUCAACACAAUCGUGGUUCAUUGGAGCCUUGUGAUUUGGAGUGAUACUAUUAUAAGGACGUGGUCGUUGUAUCCUGGGAGACAAGCACUGAACAACCAUAAGCACCAUAGUGGGACGUAAACUUGUCUUAAGGACAGAUUGUACAAAACUUGCUUUAACCGUAUUUUCAAGUUUUUCUAAUCCAUUAUGUCAGGUUCAUUUAAUAUUGGUUAUGUACUCAUGUGCCUGCACCACUUCCAUAUAUAAGUGCAUGAAUUAUUUCUUGAUUUUCUAUGUGAUAGCAAUUGGACCAUAAUUUUUCCAACACUAAUAUCGAAAUAAUGACGAUUUUCGUAGCGUAGAUGUUUAUAAUCUAUCUAAUAAUCUAUAUGAACAGUUGGGAAUGGCAAGUGCACUGGAAACUUUAUGUGGGCAAGCAUAUGGAGCAGAGCAAUAUCAGAAACUUGGACUUCAAACGUACACUGCUAUAUUUUCUCUCAACAUGGUUUGUCUGCCUUUAUCUUUGAUAUGGAUAUAUAUGGAGGAGAUACUGAUUCUCACCGGUCAAGACCCUGCGAUUUCUCGCGAAGCCGGAAAAUACAUAAUCUGGCUUAUUCCUGUUCUAUUUGCUUAUGCAACUCUUCAACCGCUCAUUCGAUACUUUCAAACACAGAGUUUAGUAAUGCCUCUGCUGGUAACCUCUUUCGCCACCUUUUUAUUCCAUAUUCCUCUCUGCUGGAUUCUAAUAUUCAAGUCUGGAUUAGAACACCUUGGAGGAGCAUUAGCAAUCGGCAUUUCCUAUUGGUUGAAUGUGAUUUUUCUUUGGUUAUACAUGAAGUUUUCCCCUGCCUGUUCAAAAACUCGUGCUCCAAUUUCGAAGGACAUAUUCCAUGGAAUCGGAGAAUUCUUUCGUUUUGCCCUGCCUUCUGCAGUAAUGCAAUGGUAGCCAGUUUCUCCCUGUAUUUUAGUUUCAAGAAAAGAUUUCGAUAUGCUUAAUUUCUUAGUCUUACAUUUCUCUCUGUCCUUUGUCUUGGUUCUUGUUGAUGGUUGUAGCCUUGAGGGGUGGUCAUUCGAGCUGCUUAUAUUGCUGUCUGGAUAUUUACCAAAUCCGGCUCUUGAAACCUCAGUUCUGUCCGCAUGGUAAGUUUUCUGUUUUUGUUGCAUUUCAGAUGCCAAUCAGAUAUUCUAAGAACGAUGCAGGAAAAAUUAUAAUUUCAGUUUGAUCUCCAUUUAGAAAGCUCGUGGUUAUUCUAAUUGAUUGGUUUGGACAGUCUUCUGGCGAUUUCAACGGUCUAUGCAAUACCAUAUGGGUUUGGUGCUGCAGUAAGGUAUGCUCAAACAUUAAGCACUUAAGUCUUAACUCUGAAGUUCCAUCAAACUGUACAUAUUUGCGUGCUAAAUCGCAGUGCAGCUAAAUUUGCAUAAAAAGAUCUCUAAUAAGCAAUAACUUGUCUUUUUCUUUCCUUUGGGUGUUGUACAGUACUAGUACUAGAGUUUCAAAUGAACUGGGAGCUGGUAACCCACAACGUGCUCGUAUAGCUACUUUUGCUGCGAUGUUUCUUGCAGUCACAGAGACAAGUAUAACAACCACGACCCUCUAUGCCUGCCGGAAAGUAUUUGGUUACACUUUUAGCAACGAGAAAGAAGUCAUCGAUUACAUCACAGUCAUGGUUCCUCUAGUUUGCCUGUCUGUCAUACUAGACAGUAUACACGGGGUCCUUUCAGGUCAGUUGCCUUAUCUUCUGCGGGUAGUACUACACAAUUAAGCAUUGUUCUAAAGAAUGGUGUUUGGAUCUAAUGUUAUAUGUUUUUUGAACCGCUAAAUCAGGUGUUGCUAGAGGAACUGGGUGGCAGCACAUAGGGGCUUACAUCAACCUUGGAGCAUAUUAUCUUUGUGGAAUCCCCGUUGCUAUCGUGUUGGCUUUCUGGGCACAGCUAAGAGGAAGGGGCCUUUGGAUUGGUAUACAAGUUGGUGCUUUUGUGCAAGUCAGUCUGCUCGCUUUAGUAACAUGUUGUACAAAUUGGGAAAAGCAGGUUAAAUACUCGACCCUAACUCGAUCUUCUCCGCAUUCAUUUCCAAAAUUCUCUGUUUGGUUGCCAAGAAGUCGGGAGGAAAGAUGAAGAACAUUUUCUCUUACGAGUACAACGAUAUGUUCUUUUUGUUCAAACUCCCUACUUGAAAGCCAACCACAGACACAACAUUUCAUUAAGCACGACCUCCUUUUAUGUGGUUUCGAGGAUAUUAAGGUUGGUCUUUUUAAGUUUCAGGCAAGUAAGGCAAGGGAGAGGAUAUUUGACAGGAGCCCCCCUGGAAGUUAAUGCCUUGUGUGACAAGGCAGAGAGUAAUAACACAUUCGCAUAUCAUUGAUACAUAUAGGCUUGUGGCAUUCAGUCUUGACUACGAUCAAGUUGUAUAGACGUUUUGAAAUGCAACAUGGUGUCCCGAGUCUCCUGAUAGCAUUGCAUUUGCUACUCAAAAUCUGUAUGACAAUGAACGCGGGCAACAAAGAGCAGCUGAGUUCUGAUGACCCAUUGUUUGUACCCGAUUUUAAUCUAUCUGCCCACCCGUGCAAUCGUGGCCGUUGAGUGAGACCCUCCGAUAGCUUCGAGAGUAAAUAAAUGUUUUUGAUAACUUCUUUAAGAUUUUAUCAUUGGUUUUUAUCAUGAUAAUCAUCUUGGAGUUUUUAUUUAAAAUGUUUUGACAGCAACAAAGUAAAGAUGAUAGAAUCCUUCUCCCACGCAAUCACGUUUUGAUUUUAUAAGCAGUGUGAUUGCUUUCCAAUUCCACAAAUUCAAAUGAGAUGAAGGAUUGUUAAGGUGAAGAAAUUUUUCAUUGUGAUGGGAACACGGAUGGUACAUCACAUAUUUUUAUGUAAGUAAUGAUAAAUUUUAUUUUUUAAAUUAUUAACUUUUUAACCUACAAAUUCCACAAUUUGUAUAGUGAUACGUGGUGUAUCACCUCGUGUGCCGAUUACACUGAAAAAUCUCUCGUUAAGGUGGGCACGUGUUUGGGAUUUAUGACUUUGCAUGGCAGCAUGGGGAUUAGCUACCCUCCAUGCAAAUUAUGCAUGCACGGGGUGGUUGGUCAAAGCCUAAGAUGCCAAAAAAUAAAAAGAAGAGAUAAACAAUGCAAAUUAUGCAUGCACACCCCGGUUGGUCAAAGCCUAAGAUGCCAAAAAAUAAAAAGAAGAGAUAAAGAUGGAGUUUCAUCCCCACCAAAUGAUGAUGAGGGUGCCAAAUCACAAGAGGGUUUUGAAAUAUCAUGACUCUAUCCUAUUCUAUUGCAUGGUUUGAGUCGAUCUGGUGCACGUGGCUUAAGUGGGUAAUGCCAAGUGAGGAUCAUUUGUCACAAUGAAUAUCUUGUAUUCAUUUUGUUCGCUGAGCAGACUCACCUCAUAAAUGUAAAGCUCCAGACAACAUUCAAGGACCUUCGAGACAACACACAGAUCUAUCAUGUGCAAACUCUUGAACACACAGAUCUAUCAUGUGCAAACUUUUGCUUUAUGUGAAACCCUCUCAUCUUUGAGAAAAGUACGGAUCUUCCUAACUUCGUCAAGCAGACCUUGCAAUUUGUAGAAAUGGCUCUAUACUUGACAAUCGGCGACAUCUUGUAAUUUCUAGAAAUAGUUCUGGAGCCGUAGAAUCAAGUGAUCAAGGAGUACCUUGCAAUUUGUUGAAAUAGCUCUACUCCAAGUUCGGUUGACUAUUUAUCCAAAUCUCUAUCAACAAAAGGUCCUUGCAUCCUUGUUGGAAGAGGUCACUUCAUUAGCUUUCUCAACGAAGUGAGGUGUUACCAGGUUAUGUCAUUCGGCACAUUGAAAGCUGAAUGUUUAUUGAACUUCAUAGAAACUAGCAGUCUUGCCUUUAGGUUAUAGAACCCAAAGGUCGAGACAAGUUCCUUCCUCAGUCGCAGUUGUGAAAAACUGAAGUUAGCACCUCGUUCGACACCACCACCACUCAUUUACUCAUCGACUAAGCUCGAGCUCGGUCACCAAGUUGACAUGCUCCGCAUUCAACCGAAAAACAUAAUUAGCUAUUACCUAUUCGGCCUGGAACGCUUGAUAAUUUUUAGGAUAAACACUCAUAUAUCGAAAUUAACGCGCACAUAAGCCCUAUAGUAUUUGCUCUGUUUUUCUUGCUGUCACAUUGGCUCUGCUUUUGUAGCCUAACAAAUAAAGAUUUCCCAUAACUUCUCUGCUUUUAUGUAUACAAUGCCUUUCUCCUUAUCUCUUCGUAUCAUGUGCACCAAAAAUGGAGAUUUUUGGCAUGUCUACUUAGGCCAUCUCCAAUCGAUCCGGCCAAAGGGUCGUAAGGCUAAAAAUAGCCCGUUUUGACCUAAAAAUCAUCUCCAACCGAAGGUUAGGCCAAAGGGCUCUUAGGCCCCAUCCGGCCAAAAAUAGGAGAACUGACCAAUGGGCUGGCCAAGAGCAGCUAGCCCGCCAGCCUUAUAGCCCAACCCAAGCACAUGUUACCUGACGUCAGGUUAAAGUUUUAUUUUAUUUUUUGAUGAAAUUUAAAAGAAAAAAAAUCUAUUUUUUUUUAAUAAAUACCCAAGUCAUUUCUACCAUAUUUCUCACAUCAUUUUCACCAUUCCAUACUAUAUUACCUCAUUUUAUUUCAAUUAUUCACCAAUUUUUCACAUCCUUUUCAUUUUAUAAAGAUAAGAAAUCUGAAAGCUUAUUAAUUUAGCGACAAGUGGCACUCAAAAUAUAUCCGAAAAUCUUAUUUUAACAUUGUAGUUCAAUUCAAUUAACCAUAUUAAUUCAAUUAAAAUAAUAAAUUAUGUUUGGCCUUGGCCCUUUGGCCCCCUCGGUUAGAUAUGAUUUUUUGUCAAAGGGCUAUGUUUGGCCUAUGACCUUUUGGCUCUCUCGGUUGGAAAUGGUAUAAAAUAUGGCCAAACACUGUUCAUUAAAAUAUAUUUUGUUUUUCAGGGCUAAAGGGAGUCAUUUGGCCUUCUUUUCGGCCAUCUCCAACCGAAAGAGGGCUAAAUGGCCAUGUUCAACCUAUAGUCCUACAAUAAAUUAUAUUUUAAUGAACCGUGCUAGGCUGUAUUUUAUACCAUCUCCAACCGAAUGGGCCAAAAGGUCAUAGGCCAAACAUAGCCAUUUGACAAAAAAUCAUCUCCAACCGAGGGGGCCAAAGGGUCAUAGGCCAAACAUAAUUUAUUUUUUUAAUUAAAUUAAUAUGGUUAAUUAAAUUAAACUACCAUAUUAAAAUAAGGUUUUCAGACAUAUUUUGAGUGUCACUUGUUGCCAAAUGAAUAAGCCUCUGGAUUUCUUAUCGUUAUAUAAUCUCAAUAAUUUUUUUGAAUAGGAUUUCGAGUGACACGUGUCGCUAACGUGAGUAACUCUCCAGAUUUCUUAUCUUUAUGUAAUCUCAAUAAUUUUUUUGAUAGGAUUUCGAGUGACACGUGUCGUUAAAGUGAGUAACUCUCUAAAUUUCUUAUCUUUAUGUAAUCUUAAUAAUUUUUCGGAUAGGAUUUCGAGUGUCACAUGUCAAAAUGUAAUUGGUUGUGCAAAUUUUGGAUAGGAUACGUGAAACUUCUUAUCUUCAACUUUUAAUGUUGUAGGAAUGAUGUAGGUAUUUAUAGAAAAAAAAUUAGAUUUUUUUUUAAAUUCCUCAAAAAUAAAAUAAGAAAUAAAAUUCCAACGAUAAACUGACGGCAUCAAGACGUUAGCUAACCGUUGCUAAUUGGAGUCAUGCUGACGCUAGGUUGCCGUUAGCAUUCAAAUGGAUUGAACUAGAGGGCUUGACAUUUUGGAGCUGGAAGGCUGGCAAAAUGUCAAGCUUGACAUUCUGGCACUGGAGGGCUGGCUGGCUGGCUAGCUGGAAAUGGCCAGCCCACUGGCCUGGGGGUUUGGGCUUGGUGAGGCCCACGAGCCCUUUGGCCUAGCUUUCAAUUAGAGAUGAUUUUCGUGUCAUUCCGAGCUAUUUUUAGCCGUAUGACCUUUUGAUCGGAUCGGUUGGAGAUAACCUUAUUCCUUCAUAUCACCUCAUUAAUCAAAAUUGGUUGCUUCACUUUUUUUUUUUUCUUUUUAAUACGACUUUCUACCCUAAAUUUAUCUAAAUUUCGGAAAGAGGCUCGAAGUAUGGCCUAUAAUCUUGCCUGUCUUGUGGCCUAGCAAAUAAAGACUUAUAAUUGCCCUGUUUUUCUUGCUGUCAUGUUUGCUGUACACCAGGCAGCCUUUAUUCAUAAGCAAAGGUAAACUUUUGGCCUGUGCAUAUACAAUGUCCAUGAAAGGUCAAAACUUUCCAAAUCUCCAGCGUCCAUAGGCUAUUAGGCUUACUGGUUGAUCAUCAGCUCCUGAGGCAGCCUCCGCCUGAGUUCCGCCAUGGAAGAGAGCUUGCUAUUGCCAAAAUACAGAGAAGAGCAACAAAGAAGCAGUAGAAAUUCAAGCAGUAGUAGUAGUUGUCUAACAUGGGUUUCUUUUUUUGAAGAAGUAAAGAGGUUGGGAUGCAUAGCAGGACCAAUGGUUGCUGUGGUUCUAUCCCAGUACAUGCUGCGGUUUAUUUCAAUGAUGAUGGUUGGUCACCUGGGUGAACUUGCACUCUCCAGUUCCUCCAUAGCCAUCUCCCUCGCCGGCGUCACCGGCUUCAGUCUUUUCGUAAGUCUAUCUUCCUUCCAUCUUGUUUUAAUAUCCACUGCUGUUUUUUAUGUUUGGUUUCGGGUUGUGUAAAUGCCAAUUAACCUCACCAUACCUAGAAUGCACAAAACUUCCAUUCUUUUUUUAUGAACAAAACUUCCAUAUCUUUUUGCAAUGCGAUAUUCUAAGCUGCUCCCGCCAUUCGUAAGGAUUUUGAACUCAAGUCACUAUUAUUACCAAUUGGCUUAACCUAUGUAUGCAAAACUUCACCUUUGAUCUGAUCUGUAAUUGCCGGAUACGGUCCGAAUUCCGUAUCAAUACCACCGAAUUGAUUUAGUGUCUUGUUCAACCAUUUUUAAUAAUUAUUAAUUAAUUUCUUGUCUACGUGGCUCAAACAUUCAUGUCAAUAAAAAGGUAAGCUUCAUACAUGUAAUGCCAUCUUUUAACAGUUAAAUUCACAAAACUUAAUAAAGGUUCCAUUUGGCAACGAAUGUUGAUGUACCAAUACAACACAGGUUUUACUAAUGUGAGAAUAUUUUAUAUUAUAAGAAUGAAACAUAGGUUCUAUUAAUUUAAGAAUAUUUUAAUAUUUUAAUAACAUUUUGAUUAAACAAUUAAGAAAAUUAAUUAUUUUGAUGUGUUUUCAUUUUUGAUGAUAAUAACUAUAAAAUAUAAUCGUGAAAUUUAUAAUUAUAAUAUUUUACCAUAAAAUUAAUGUAUAUUUUUUAACUAAUUUAGAACGAAUCAAAUUAAAACUUGUAUUGUCUAUGUCUCUCAAGGACAAAUGACACUAUAGAUUAUAGCGAAUUCCGUAGCGGAACUGAAUAGCAAACUUGAAUCGUCCUUCGUAUUUAGUUUUUCAUUAAUUAAUUUUUUUUUCAUUGGGUUGCAAUUUGGAUCUGGUCUUCUGUGAUGUUAUUGUACACUGUCCGAAAGACUGCCGUUUGGAUUCCACUAGGCAUUGACAAAUGACCAAAGCAUGAAAAACUGAAUGUCUACGGAUCCUUUUGCGAGGAUUCCCCAUAUCCUUUAAUAGUAUUUGUUCAUCGUUAAUUAUGUCCGUUCAUCGUAUAUCGUGUGAUCAUAAAUUAUUUUAAACUUUUUUAUUUAAAAUUGAAUAUAAAUAGUAACUGAUGAAGUCGCACGAUAUAAAAAAUACGAUUAAAUGAUCCUUGAGAUUCUACAAAGAGAAUCCUCAUUCUGAAAAACUGACCUGCUAAUGUUUAGGGUCCCACAGUUUUUGUUUUUGGGUUUGAAGACCUACGUCAUUUUGUGUUCAUUUGAAAAUACUUGUAAAAUGGCUAGUAGUGUUUCUAGUAAAAAUAUAUAUGGAACUAUUCCUUAGUAAAAAUGCAAGAGAAUCCUAAAAAAACACUUAAAUGCUUUCAACAAAAAGCAUCUAAAAACAUUCGUGCUAAAAGCACUUUCUCAUUCAAAAAGCUCUUCUAAACGAGUCCAUAAUUAACGCCUAAUUACGGAAUGUAUGAAGUAUUGUGAGUUUAAUUGGACUCUGCCACUGCAGAUUAAUUUGUCUUUCUCAUAACUUCUUUGCAACAUAUAUUUGCAAAGUAAGGGUAACACUGCGUAAGAUAGACGUUCCCCUGAACCUCGCAAAGCGGAAAACCUUGUUGGCUUGGGUCGCCUAUUAUAACUCCUUUGUCCCCUGAAAUGUUUCAUGUACAGAAAAUUGUUCCCAAACCAUGCUGGAAUCAAUGCUGUGCAUGUUGUGUGUAUAUAGUGUAUAACAUGGACCUUCUUAAAUUUUAAUGAUAAUCUUAUAACACAAACUUACGGAUGAUAUGGUACGAAUUUUAGCGUAGAUGUAGUACUAAUAUCGAAAUAAUGACGAUUUUCGUAGUGUAGAUGUUUAUAAUCUGUCUCUAAUAAUCUGUAUGAACAGUUGGGAAUGGCAAGUGCACUGGAAACUUUAUGUGGGCAAGCAUAUGGAGCUGAGCAAUAUCAGAAACUUGGACUUCUAACGUACACUGCUAUAUUUUCUCUCAACAUGGUUUGUCUUCCUUUAUCUUUGAUAUGGAUAUACACGGAGGAGAUACUGAUUUUCACCGGUCAAGACCCUGCGAUUUCUCGCGAAGCCGGAAAAUACACAAUCUUGCUUAUUCCUGGUUUAUUUGCUUAUGCAACUCUUCAACCGCUCAUUCGAUACUUUCAAACACAAAGUUUAGUAAUGCCUAUGCUCGUAACCUCUUUCGUCACCUUUUUAUUCCAUAUUCCUCUCUGCUGGAUUCUAAUAUUCAAGUCUGGAUUGAAACACCUUGGAGGAGCAUUAGCAAUCGGCAUUUCCUAUUGGUUGAAUGUGAUUUUUCUUUGGUUAUACAUGAAGUUUUCCCCUGCCUGUUCAAAAACUCGUGCUCCAAUUUCGAAGGAUAUAUUCCACGGUAUCGGAGAAUUCUUUCGCUUUGCCCUCCCUUCUGCAGUAAUGCAAUGGUAGCCAGUUUCUCCCUGUAUUUUAGUUUCAAGAAGAGAUUUCGAUAUGCUUAAUUUCUUAGUCUUACAAUUUCUCUUUCCUUUGUCUUGGUUCUUGUUGAUGGUUGUAGCCUUGAGUGGUGGUCGUUCGAGCUGCUUAUAUUUCUGUCUGGACUUUUACCAAAUCCGGCUCUUGAAACUUCAGUUCUGUCUGCAUGGUAAGUUUCUGUUUGUGUUUCAUUUCAGUUACUAAACGAUGCAGGAAAAAAAAUCCAGUUUGAUCUCCAUUUAGAAAGCUUCUUGUUAUUCUAAUUGAUUGGUUUGGAUAGUCUUCUGGCGAUUUCAACGAUCUAUGCAAUACCCUAUGCGUUUGGUGCUGCAGUAAGGUAUGCUCAAACAUUGCGCACUUAAGUCUCAACUCUUUAAGUUCCAUCAAACUAUACGUAUUUGCGUGCUAAAUCGCCAUGCAGUUAAAUUUGCAUAAAAAGAUCUCUAAUAAGCAAUAACUUAUCUUUUUCUUUCCUUUGGGUGUUGUACAGUACUAGAGUUUCAAAUGAACUGGGAGCUGGUAACCCACAACGUGCUCGUAUAGCUACUUUUGCUGCGAUGUUUCUUGCAGUCGCAGAGACAAGUAUAACAACCACGACCCUCUUUGCCUGCCGGAAAGUAUUUGGUUACACUUUUAGCAACGAGAAAGAAGUCAUCGAUUACGUCACAAUCAUGGUUCCUCUAAUUUGCCUGUCUGUCAUACUAGACAGUAUGCACGGGGUCCUUACAGGUCAGUUGCCUUAUCUUCUGCCGAUAGUAUUACAGGAUUAAGCAUUGUUCUAAAGAAUAACUUCAUUCGUGUUUGGAUCUAAUGUUAUAUGUUUUUUGAACCGCUAAAUCAGGUAUUGCUAGAGGAACUGGGUGGCAGCACAUAGGGGCUUACAUCAACCUUGGAGCAUAUUAUCUUUGUGGAAUCCCCGUUGCUAUCGCGUUGGCUUUCUGGGUUCAGCUUAGAGGAAGGGGCCUUUGGAUUGGCAUACAAGUUGGUGCUUUUGUGCAAGUCAGUCUGCUCGCUUUAGUAACAUGUUGUACAAAUUGGGAAAAGCAGGUUAAAUCCUCGACCCUAACUCGAUCUUCUCCGCAUUCAUUUUCAAAAUUCUCUAUUUGGUUGCCAAGAAGUCGGGACGAAAGAUGAAGAACAUUUUCUCUUACGAGUACAACGAUAUGUUCUUUUUCUUCAAACUCCCUACUUGAAAACCAACCACAGACACAACAUUUCAUUAAGCACGACCUCCUUUCAUGUGGUUUCGAGGAUAUUAAUGUUGGUCUUUUUAUGUUUCAGGCAAGUAAGGCAAGGGAGAGGAUAUUUGACAGAAGCCCCCUGGAAGUUAAUGCCUUGUGUGACAAGGCAGAGAGUAAUUAGUUUUGAUUAGCACAUUUCUCUCUAUCGCGGGAUUAAGGAGAAAGCAUUAGCUUUAUCCAUUCUUCAUGCACCGAAAUUUUUUGUAAUAAGACAUUCGAAUAUGUUUGACACAUAUUGGCUUGUGACAUUCUGUCUUGACUACGAUCAAGUGAGAUCUUUCUCGAGUGCAACACAGUGUCCUGAAUCUCAGGAUAGCGUCGCGGUUGCUGCUUAAAAUCUGUAUCAGAAUGCACACGGCAAGUAAGAGCAGCUGAGUUCCGAAUCAGCAAUUUUAUCAUGAUAAAAUAUGUGCGGUUGACAAAAACCCAGCUGAGUUAUGCAAUUUAUCAACAAUAACCGAUACAAAUUCACACAUCCAGUACAAUAUUACUUCUUUCUCAACCCCUAUAUCGAAAGUUAAUGUGUACAACAUGAUUUUUGUCUUUGUAUUUUUUUUCAUUGCAAAUCAGCCUUACAAUAUUUGCUCUGUUUUUCUUGCUGUCAUAUUGGCUGUAUACUACCACUCUUUGCAUACAGAAAUGUAAACUUUGGGCCUCCGAAUGUCAGAACUUUCUCUUCAUCUCUUCAUGUAUAUAUUACCUGUUGUGCCUUGGCCCGUUCGUUAGUGCGGAAACGAGAUUCAAAUUACAACCUCACCAAAAUCACACUCAGUUGAACAGAAUAAAAUACAAGAAAUAAAGACACCGAGAAAUUUACGAGGUUCCCGAAGAGAUAUUGCUCUUCACUAUGAGAAUAACAGUACAAGUACACAUGAGUUAAAUCAACAUAACCCAAUCCCGAAUCCCUUGCACACCCACUCAUAGAAUUUUCCCAAGAGCCUCACUUUACCCCAAGAGUUCUUUCACUAGAAUACUUUUCACUCUAACUCUCUUUUUCUCUCACCCGUGCCCAUGCUUUCCCAUGGGAGAGCCAAAUGCUCUCCCCCUUGGAUGCUCUCUGAUGCUUACCCUCUCACUCGGCAAGCCCUUUCAUCCUUCGGCAAAUCCUUCCACUUAUAACAACAAAAGAAAACCACCUUUGAAAAGGCCACAAAUCAAGGGCUAGACAUGAUGAUGUCUCCCUUUUUCUUUGUCCAUUUCUUUAACCAAAAGUAGAUGUCUCCCUUUUCCUUUGUUCCUUUCUUUAGCCGAAAGUAGCUAGCACUCCACAUGGUUGAGAUGAAAUUGUUGCCAACUCAUAAUUAUAUGAGCCAAUCACAACAUUACCCAAAUCGAAAUCCCCAGUAUCCGUAGGGUGAUCAUCAUCAGCACCUGAGGCGGCCGCGGCUAUUGAGUUCCACAGCAGAAGACACCACCAUGGAAGACAGCCUGCUAUUGCCAAAUACAGUAGAGAAUGCAACAAAGAAGUAGUGGUUGUCUAACAUGGGUUUUUUUUUUUUUUUUUUUUUUUUUUUCAAAGUGAAGAGGUUGGGAUGCAUCGCAGGAUCCAUGGGUGCUCUGGUUCGAUCACUAGACUAGCAAUAUUGAUGCAUUCUAAGAAGAGGGUUUGUUCGAAGCCGGAUGCGACAGGACGAAGAAAAUUAUUAAAUUUGCAUCACCGAGACAAUCCACCGCUUAUAGAAUUAUUUUAUCACCAUUCACCAACCUUUUUGCAAGGCAAUUUACUAAAAUAGUAAGCGUAACCAGCUAUAUACCCGCAUAUGGAUGAGGACGAGGAUCCUAGAAUCCUCACAUUUUAUCUGUUUAUCGUACAUCGUAGAGUCAACUUUCGUUAAAUAUUAUUUGUGUUUAAACUUAAAAAUAAAUUUAAAAAUAAUUUUUAACUGCACAUUAUGCGAUGAACGAAUAGGAUGUGAAACUCUUUAAUAUCCUUACAAAAAAAUCCGGAUGAAAUUCAAAUAUCUGUACACAUUCAUAUGAGUGCCUUGCACGUCAUGUGUUGAUUACACACCAAUCGUUGCAGGAAAGAAUCUCUUUCGUGUAGAGAGCUCACGGCUGAAUCGAACGCGUGGAUUCUCAUCUCGUUGCCCAAAAUACCAUGUGACUCUUGAAACUUCCAAAUCUUCACGUAUCAAAAGACAAUUCGAUACGAAAACGCCCAGUUGCCAACGCGGAGAGAGGAUCCUGAGAUUUUCUAAUUAUAUAUAUUUAUCGUAUAUCGUGCGAUUAAUUUUUAUCAGAUACUAUUUAUAUUUAAUUUUAAAUAAAAAAAUAUACAAUAACUUCUAACGGUAUGAUAUAGGAUAAACGAAUGUGAUUUAAGGAUUCUCAAAAUCCUCAUAAAGAAAUCCGAUGAAAAACCUCUUGGCCAAGGCAAUCAAUUGGACAGUAAUUACAUUGUUUUUUUCGUCAAGGUAAUAAUUAGUCCUUACCAUCAAACAAAUUUUUUCAUCAAAGUAAUAAUUAUGUCCAACCAUCAAAUAAUAAUAACAAAUAAUAUAAUUAGAGAAAGAGAAUGCUACUUUCUGUCAACACCAUUUAACGUCAAUUUUCAUAUUAAUUUUAUAAAAUAAUGUGCUAAAAUAUGAGAAGAUAGAGAGUCCAUGGAAAAUUCCGUUUUUGAGAUAAUUUCUCUAUAUAUUAUGAUUGAGUGGAGAAUGUAUAGAGUUGUAACGUUGUAGUUAGCAUGGAGAAGAUUUUGUUGAUAAAAGAUGAGGGAGGAGAAGGAGAAGGUCUUGUGAGGAGGAGACAAUGCGGUGCGUUUGGAGGGGAAGUGAAGCGGUUGGGGUACAUAGCAGCGCCGAUGGUGGCGGUGAAUUUGUCACAGUACUUUUUGCAAAUAAUUUCAAUUAUGAUGGUCGGUCAUCUGGGCCAGCUCUCUCUUUCGAGCACCGCCAUUGCCAUCUCCUUCUGCGCCGUCUCCGGCUUCAGUCUUCUCGUAAGUCCCCUUCCUUUUUUUUUUUCCCUUUAUUUUAGCCAACUGGAUCAUCUCAUUUAGGGCACGUUUGUUUGACAGGAUUAGCAAGGCUUGGACUGGACAGGACUAUAGUCCUGUGUUUGGUGUGCAACCGGAUUAGCUUUAAUGAGCUUAAGCCGGACUCGGUCGGACUAAAGACCUCCUUAGGUGGUCUUCGCGAGCAACCCCAAAACCCAGCGGAUUCGUAAGCCAGAGCAAACCGAGAGAGUUUCUGCCUUCCCUUCGUCCCUUCGUCCCUUCCUCCUGUCUUCCCUCGUCCUCAUCUCUAGGUUCCCUCUCAUUUUCGUUGCCGUGCUCUCUCAUCUUCUUCCUCCUCAUCCUCCUCUGAGCGCCUUCCUGUCUCUGCAUCUGCUCGCCUCAUCUGAGUUGUACGGUAAACUUCGAUUCUUCUAUUAAUUGCAUGUAUUUGUGUUGUAGAAGGUAAUUUUACUGAGUUUUAUGUGAUUUGAUUGUUUUGGGUUUGAUAAUUUUUGAAUCAUAGAGAUAUGCACUUGAAUAAAUUAGGGUUUUGAUAUUUAGGUGAAAUUGAAAUUAGGAUUUGGGCUUUUCAUAAGAUGAGAUGGAACUUGGGAAUUUAGGAUGUCAAUGUUGUAAAACUUGGAAGUCCUACCCAUAUGUUGUUUUCGAUUUUUAAAAAUUGGGGUUUCAACAAUGGGAGUACUUUGUGCUUGUGUGUGUGUGUCUGCGUGUGUGUGUGUCUCUGUGUGUGUGUAAUGUAUGUAGUGUGUGUGUAGUGUAUGUAGUGUGUGUAUGUAUGUACUGUGUUUGCAGUGUGUAUGUAUGCAGGGUGUAUGCAGUGUGUGUGUACUUGCAGGGUGUGUGUGUAGUGUAUGCAGUGUGUGUGUGUAGUGUAUGUAGUGUAGUGUGUGUGUGUAGUGUAUGUAUGUAUGUACUGUGUUUGCAGUGUGUAUGUAUGCAGUGUGUGUGUGUGUAGUGUAUGUAGUGUGUGUGUAGUGUAUGUAGUGUGUGUGUAGUGUAGUGUUUGCAGUGUGUAUGUAUGCAGUGUGUGUGUGUAGUGUGUUUGCAGUGUGUAUGUAUGCAGGGGUAUGCAGUGUGUGUGUACUUGCAGGGUGUGUGUGUAGUGUAUGCAGUGUGUGUGUGUAGUGUAUGUAGUGUGUGUGUGUGUAGUGUAUGUAGUGUGUGUAUGUAUGUACUGUGUUUGCAGUGUGUAUGUAUGCAGUGUGUGUGUGUAGUGUAUGUAGUGUGUGUGUAUAUGUGUAGUGUUUGCAGUGUGUAUGUAUGCAUAAUGUGUGUGUAGUGUGUUUGCAGUGUGUAUGUAUGCAUAAUGUGUGUGUAGUGUGUUUGCAGUGUGUAUGUAUGCAGGGUGUAUGCAGUGUGUGUGUACUUGCAGGGUGUGUGUGUAGUGUAUGCAGUGUGUGUGUGUAGUGUAUGUAGUGUGUGUAUGUAUGUACUGUGUUUGCAGUGUAUGUAUGCAGUGUGUGUGUGUAGUGUAUGUAGUGUGUGUAUGUAUGUACUGUGUUUGCAGUGUGUAUGUAUGCAGUGUGUGUGUGUAGUGUAUGUAGUGUGUGUAUGUAUGUACUGUGUUUGCAGUGUGUAUGUAUAUGCAGUGUGUGUGUGUAUGCACUGUGUGUGUGCAGUGUGUGCAGUGUGUGUGUGUAUGUGCAGUGUGUGUGUGUGUGUGUGUGUGUGUAUGUAUGUAUAUGCAGUGUGUGUGUGUAUGCACUGUGUGUGUGCAGUGUGUGUGUGCAGUGUGUGUGUGUAUGUGCAGUGUGUGUGUGUGUGUGUAUGUAUGCAGUAUGUAUGCAGUGUGUGUAUGUAUGCAGUGUGCAGUGUGUGUGCAGUGUGUGUGUGUAUGCAGUGUGUGUGUGAGUGUGUAUGCAGUGUGUGUAUGUGUGUAUGUAUGCGGUAUGUAUGCAGUGUGUGUGUGUGUGUGUGCAGUGUGUGUGUGUGUGUGCAGCGUGUGUAUGAGUAUGUAUGCAGUGUGUGUGUGUGUAGUGUAUGUAUGCAGUGUGUGUGUGUGUAGUGUAUGUAUGCAGUGUGUGUGUGUGCAGUGUGUGUAUGAGUAUGAGUAUGUAUGUAUGCAGUGUGUGCAGUGUGUGUAUGAGUAUGAGUAUGUAUGCAGUGUGUGUGUAUGCAGUGUGUGUGUGAGUGUGUAUGCAGUGUGUGUGUGUAUGUAUGCGGUAUGUAUGCAGUGUGUGUGUGUGUGCAGUGUGUGUGUGUGCAGUGUGUGUAUGAGUAUGUAUGCAGUGUGUGUGUGUGUGUGUAGUGUAUGUAUGCAGUGUGUGUGUGUGUGCAGUGUGUGUAUGAGUAUGAGUAUGUAUGUAUGCAGUGUGUGCAGUGUGUGUAUGAGUAUGAGUAUGUAUGCAGUGUGUGUGUGUGUAUGCAGUGUGUGUGUAUGUAUGUAUGCAGUGUGUGUGUGUGUGUGCAGUGUGUGUGUGUGUGUAUGUAUGCAGUAUGUAUGCAGUGUGCAGUGUGUGUGUGCAGUGUGUGUGUGUAUGCAGUGUGUGUGUGUGUGUGCGCGUGUGUGUGUGUGUGAGUAUAAAAACAGAGUGUGUGUGUGAAGGUAAGAGUGUGUUGCACUCUGUCCCCGUGUGUGUGUGUGUGUGACUGUGCAGUGUGUGAGUGUGAGUGUUCAAGGUACUGCAGAUCAUACUGACAUAGCUAAUGAACUUGAAGCAAUGGGUCUCUCUCCUAUGGAUCAAAUUGAUGCAUUGUCUCUUAUUUUGGAUAAACCAAAAAAUGUGGGAGUGUUCAGGGCAAUCAAACCGGAACUCAAGAAAGUGUUCGUCCAAAGGCUUUUAAGCGACAACGCAAGCGGAUGAGGAUUUUGGCUAAUGUUAACAUGGAUGUAUUUUAUUAACGUUAACAUGGAUGUAUUUUAUUAAUCAUACAAUCUUAUGUUAUGACUUAUAACUUAGCUUUGCACUAGUAUUUUGGCUUAUGUUAACUAGCCAUUUUGUAAAUUAUGGAGAUCUAUUUUGGCUAAUGUUAACUAAUGUUAACUAGGAUUUUUCUAAAUUAUGGAGAUCUUAUGUACUUGUAUUUGUUGAAGUUGCAUGUAUUGGCCACUAUUAUUUUUCUUCUGUUGGGUGAUAGAGUUUAAAUCAAGCUACAUUUGCAAAUUAAACCCAAUUCUAUUAGCAGGUAAUAGAAACAAAACAAUUGUCAAUUUUUUUUAAGAUUCAUAAUAUACAUGGUAAAAAUAUGCUCCAAUUAACCCAUAUAAUGAGAUUUGUAGCUUUACUCUAUUACACAAUGGCAAAAAUUUGUAGUCCUAGUCUAAGCAAACACAAAUCUGGUGAACAGUACUGUUUUUCUUAUCCUGCUUCUUAGUCCGAGACUGCACCAAACGCUUCACUAAGUUAGUCCAGCUUAGUCCAGUCUAAGCCAGUCCAGCUUAGUCCCGGCAGCUAGUCCAGUCCGAGACAGUCCGGCGCAACAAACGCACCGUUAGGGUUGUUUGGGAUUGCUUGUAUAGGAAGCACUUAUGGUUAAAAGUGUUUCUGCUAUAAGUGCUUUAUUAUGCAAGUGUCAAAUUUUUUAUAAGUUUCGAGUGGUUUUGUAGAAAAAUUCUAAUAGUUUUUUAAUAAACAUUCGAGUUAUGCUUCUCAGGUUAGUACUUUUACAACCCAUAAACAUAGUUAGAAGUGCUUUUACUUGUCAAAAAACACUUCUAGUAGCAAUCUCAAACAUGCCCUUAUACUCUCGUUUGAUAUAAAAUUUGGCGAGUGUUUGUGUUUAGUGAAGUACGCACAAAAUAAAACCGAUUAUAAACUUUAAUCGAAAAUUGAACUGAACGACACCAAAUAAACAGUAGCGGGGUAUUGAACCAUUGUUUCUAUAUGACUUAUUAUAUAUAGUGGCCUACAAAUUCCCGAUUCUCUUUCAGAAUGCCAACUUUUGCAAGUGUGUGUGUGUAUUAGGAGAAACUUACUGACACAUGGGAGCCAUUGUGGUCGUAUCUCAAGCCAAUAACGCAUUACCAUAUGUGUUAACCUUUCUACAUGGUAAUUUGUGAUUGUCUUAAAAUGCCGUCACGAAAGCAUUAUCCCUGUUGCCUGUAAAUUCUUCUAGUUGUGCAUUACCUCAGGCUGAAAAUGAUCAAAGCUAUACCAGUCUUUAAGAACUCGAUGAAGUUUUCUGAUUUGAACGUGUCAAACAGUUUGGAAUGGCAAGUGCACUGGAAACUCUCUCUGGUCAAGCAUAUGGAGCUCAACAAUAUAAACAACUAGGACUUCAAAUAAACACUGCCAUUUUCUCCCUAUUCCUAGUUUGUCUCCCUCUGUCUCUUGUGUGGAUCUACAUGGGAAACAUACUGGUUUUCUUGGGACAAGACCCUCAAAUAUCCCAUGGAGCCGGUAAGUUUGCGAGGAUGCUCUUACCCGCUCUCUUCGCUUACGCAGCUCUUCAGCCUCUUUGUAAAUACCUUCAGACGCAAAGCUUGAUCAUUCCCUUGCUUGUGAGCUCUUUUGCCUGUCUGUGUUUCCACAUUCCGUUUUGUUGGCUUAUGGUGUUCAAGUCUGGACAAGGACACCUUGGGGCAGCAUUGGCCAUCGGUACGUCCUAUUGGUUAAAUGUGAUUCUACUCUUACUGUACGUUAAGUACUCUGCUGCCUGUGCAAGUACUCGGGUUCCAAUUUCUCUUGAGCUGUUUCGAGGCAUUGGAGAAUUCUUGCGCUUUGCAGUUCCGUCUGCUGUAAUGAUUUGGUAAUAAAACCUCCUUCUUUCUAGUGUGUAAAGAUUUCCUAGUUUUAUUUUCUAGCGUUAGUCCUCAUAAUGUGAUUCGCGUACAAUGAUUACAGCCUCGAAUGGUGGUCGUUUGAGCUCCUUACCUUGCUGGCUGGUUUUCUACCAAAUCCGGAGCUUGAAACUUCGGUUUUAUCUGUCUGGUAUGUUGAUAUUUCAUGCGAAUUUCCUUGAACGAGUGCAGUUUAUUCAUCAAGUAAAUAAAAUGUGUUACAUUUCUGAACAGUUUGGCAACCAUCUCAUCGCUGUAUACAAUACCAGAAUCACUUGGUGCAGCAGUAAGGUUUGUACUUUGUACCAAGGCACAUAUGAAUACUGAAUAGCGAACAUAUACCGAUCUCUUUUGCGAUUCUUAAUUUGGUGUACUGAUAAUUUGUUUCUUAUAUGGGGGGUGUUAUAGCACUAGGGUUUCAAAUGAAUUAGGAGCCGGGAACCCCCAAGCAGCGCGAUUAGCUGUUGGUGCUGUUAUGUUUCUUACAGUCUCCGAGGCCGUUCUUAUAAGCACAACUGUCUUUGCCACCCGCUCUAUUUUUGGCUACAUUUUCAGCAAUGACAAGGAAGUUGUGGACUAUGUCACUUCCAUGGCUCCUCUGAUUUGCCUAGCAGUUAUAUCCAACAGCUUACAUGGCGUUCUUUCUGGUUAGUUCUAUUAAUUUCUUCCACAUUUCUGCUUAUGCAUCUUCAAUGUUGUAAUUUCUAUGCAGCUCAAAGCAUUUUUUUCGUAACGUAUUUAAAUUCAAAUGAUCAGGUAUUGCUAGGGGAUGUGGGUGGCAGGACUUGGCAAUGUAUGUCAACCUUGGCGCGUACUAUCUGUUUGGGAUUCCGGUUGCAGCCACAUUGUGCUUCUGGUUAGAUUUAAGAGGAAAGGGGCUCUGGAUUGGAAUACAAGUCGGUUCAUUUCUGCAGGCAGCUCUUUACUCUGUCAUAACAGGUUGUACAAACUGGGAAGAAAAGGUAAAUUCAAAAGAGAAAAGGAAGACAUUUUGUGAUCUUAAAAAGGACUGUAUCGACGUCGAAUAUUUAAAUUUGGAAUUCACUGUUUGUGAUUUCUUCUUCACAAAUUUAUGUGAUUCUUUUUCUUGAUUUCUCCUUGGUUGUCUUUGAUAUUGCAGGCAAGUAAGGCAAGGGAGAGGAUAUUUUUGGAAAGUUCUUUAGUAGGAUAGCGGCAUUGUCAGGCAUGAUAACACAAUCAUGACGGUUUGACCUAAAUAUGAUUCAUAUGUAAAGACGCAAUUUUGUGAAAUUUGGGUAACAUCGCAAAUAUGGGUGUAGCGACAUUAGUCACAAUUCAUACUUUAAAGUAGAAUAUCCUUUACAUAAAAGAAAUCACAAAUAACUAUGGUUUAGUAUGUUGACAAAUGUAAAGUCUUACGUCAGAAACAUAUAUAAAAGAGCAAACCAAAGAGAUCGACAAAUGAUCUUUCUAACUAUGGGAGGAAAAUUAAGUCUUAAAACACAAAACUGACCCAACUAAAUAGCUCAAAACUUUGACAAAUCGUCUCUCUCUGACUCUACUGAUGCUCUAUCUCAAUCGUUACAUGACUGAUAUUAUACCCUCGCUUGACGUAGUCUAUAACCUUUUUCAGUACCAUUUCAGCAUUAGCAUCCGGCUUAACGAUAAUAUGGCAAGCCAUUAGCACCUUUCCAACAGUUAUCGCCCAGAUGUGCAGUUCUUGGAUGUCAACUACCUCAUCCAUCCCACAGAGAUCUUUCUCAAUCUUCGUGGCAUCAAUCUCUCUGGGAGUGCUCUCCAUCAGAACCUCCAAAAUGUUCCUCAACAUCGGGAUUGUUGUCGAGAAAAUCAUUACUGAAAAUACAAGGGUGCAUAUCAGAUCGACAAUCUUCCACGGGCUUGUACCAUAUAAUUGCUCCAGCAAUCAUUGCUCCGAUACUCUGAAUGGAAUCUCCGAGUACAUGAAGAUAAGCCCCCUGCACAUUGAUGUUUUGUUGCUUCGGUUUCUUUUCACCUUCAGAGCUAUGCUUGAGUAGAGGUACCGUGACAUCAACUAUAUGAUGGUGUUUGUCACCGUGAUUGCAGUGCACCUCAUGAUGAUGAGAGUGAUGCGUAGUCACAGUAGUCCCAUGGUUAUGUGUCUCAUUGUGAUCCUCAUGAUGAUCGUGAUGAUCACCAUGUCCGUGUCCAUGAUCAUGACACAAUAAGUGCCAUGCUAAUGUUAACCACCAAACCAAACGCAGAAUCAAGAAACAUUAGAGGGCCCUGAACUUCACCUGCACUAAUGGAUAAGCCUUGCAAUGGCUUCAUAAACAAAGAAAUUGCAAAUGCUGAUGAGCUGCAUCGGCGAGAAUGGCAAGACUGUUGGCUUUGAAACCCCCAACAACUUCCACGCUCAUGAAAACUAAACAUAGUGCAACCACUAUCAUAAGCCUGCGCAGGGAUGCCGAGCGUUCCUGUGCAUCUUUGGAACUAGUUUUAGCAUCUGAGAAUCCGCACGGUCCAUCCCGACAAAUCAAGCUCCCACUCAACCUCGUUUCUAUAGCCUGAACAUCCACACUUACACGCUCAUGUUCGGAAAUUUGUGGUUCCAUCUCUUGAAUGCACUGCCGUGCUGUGCGGGAAAGCUACAAGAUAGUGGUGGUGGUGCUCAGAUUUCUCUGAAUAUUAUUGUGAGGAAAGCUUGUUGCUUGUAACGUGAUAUAUAUAUAUAUACACACACAUUCAAAGUUCAAAGAUAUAUUAGAGAAAAUCUCUUUCUUCUUGGGAUGGGUUUUAUUUCCUAUUUCCUUUAGGUUUAAGAGGAGAGGGAAUGUUAGGCAGUGAUGAUUAUACCAAAAAGGAAAAGAAAAAAAGAAAAAAAAAAGAGGAAAGGGGAUGUUUUCUUACUUUCCUAUAUUUUGGAAAAUAAAAAUAGAAACAAAAAUGUUGUAAAAUUGUGAGAAUGAAUGCCCACAUGCUUUAAGCGAGAAAGAUUUGAGAAUAGUAGUGUAAUUGUUGUUAUGUGAUGUUUUUAAAAGGGCAAUAGUAGUGCAAACGGUAUGAUAUUUUGCACCAUCUUCUCUCCUGUCCCUAGCAAAAGUUAUCGUUAUCAAUUUAAUUUUUGCCUAUUUAUAACAAAAAAAACAAAAAUAAAAGCUCAUUACCAUAACUUUAUACAAAGAGGAGACGUCGUCGUUUAGCUGAAUUGGCUGUUAAUCGCGUUUACCCAAUUGGCACUUGGCGGCAGAAGAUAUUUCAGCUUCACAAAACCUCGAAAAACCUCUGAAAACUUUGAGAACCCGCUGCCGCAGCUGCAAUUCCUUCCGUCGAACGCCGAGCGAUGGGCCGAGCCGAAAGAGAGCAACUGACUCGAACUCUCAACCACCACCUCAACACCGUCCACGAGACCUUCCAGGUUCAAUCCCACUCUCUCUAGAAAUUCAAUUUUUCCUUUUUUUUUUUUUUUUUUAAUAUUAUUAUUAUUUUAAACAAAAUUUGGAUUGGAUGAAAUCAGGUGUUGGAUCAAACCGCACCUUCAACGCUUGAGAAGGUGAGCUGGGCGGAGGUGAUAAAGAUGGGCGAUCAAGUCUACAAACAAGCUACCAUUUGUAAGCCCCCUUGCUUUUAUUUUAUAUUUUUAUUAAUAAUUUUAGUCAUCUGUGUCCACCACUCAUACCUUGCUAUGUUAAUUCGAAACCGUGUUCAUUCGAAUUGCAAAUCUGGAAAAUUUGUUGAAGGAAUUCUGAUUUGAGCUUUCUGGACUUUACAAAUAUGUUUCUUUUAACUUAACAAAAUUUCCAUUUUCCCCAAUGUGCCUUGGGUGACUGUAUUCGGAGAAAAUGGCGCGACGGAGAUCUUACUUUUAUGGUUUUUUUGUCUAUGUUUCGAUUUGCAAUUCCGUCGUAUAGUUUGUUCUUCUCCUUUGCUGCGCGAUGCCUGAUGCUCAAGUGACUAAGUGUGGCUUGAUAAUGCAGUGGGAAUGCUUUGGACCGGAGGAGAAACGCCGCAAGUUAGAGCACUUGAAGAAAACAUGGUUUCCUACUUCAAUACCCUGCAAGGUUUUCUUCUGCUUUCGCAUGGGAGUACAGUCGGUGCAGGGCCUACGCUGGCUUCUUGUGUCCAUACGUCUGUAAGGCAAGUUGUCGACACCAGUUUUAAGCUGUGGAAGGAAUCUAUCUCUUUGUAUGGUAAUCUCUCUCUCUCUCUCUCUCUCUCUCUCUCUCUACUCCAAACAAGGCAAUAUUUGUGUAGCAUUAUUUCUUGGUCACUCCAUGCCUGUAUUUUUGUUGAACACGUUACACGAACACACAUGGUCCUUGGUGUAUGACUUCGAAAUGACCGUGAACAUCACCUUCUAGAGUUAGCUUUUGUGUAGGACAUUGACAUAAUAUUCCGGAGGCUAAUACUGUUUAAUAACCAUUAGAGCCUAUGUGAUUGCAUAUUAUGAGUUGGAAGUGCAACUAUCUUGGCUAAAGAUUUGACAACUACCAUGGCUAGUAGGAACCUUGUCUUCACUUGGAAUGUACAAUUGCAGGAGCACGGAAUAAUGACGGGAAACUCUCAAUUCCACAAUGGGUCGGUGCAGUAUGGGAAGCCUGUUCUGCUCUUAAAAUGACACCUGCCACAAAUAUUACAGCAAUUGGGCGAGCAAUGACAAAGGUUGCAGUUUCGGUGAAAGAUGUUCUUCGUGAGAUGAAUGAGCUUAAGCCAGCUUCCUCAGACCCGACUGAUGAAUCCUCUAUUGAGCCUUCUACUGAAGCAGAGAUUGAACCCGAUGAUGAUGAAAUUUUAAGUGACGGUGAUCUGGGCAAUGACUUGUCCCCUGAAGAGAUGAGAGUUUCCCAGUUGGCAAUUGCCGUUGUGUCAGAGGCUCUUGUAGUGAUAAAGGAACUAAUUCGCACCAUCAGUGGUUUGCUUAAACUGGAAAACUCCAAUGGCAGCGGUAAUCUUGUGGAAUCCUUGGAGAAAUUGUUGAAAAUGUGUGAAAAAUGAAUGAAAUCGGAAUACAAAUAGAGCGAGAGCUUGGAGCUUGUUUAUACCCCCCGCAAGAGGUUCCCGCUAUCAAGGCAGCAUCAGAGAAAAUCUCCAGUUUUGUUGAUGAUAUACAAUCUGAAUUACAGAAUCUUACAGGAAAUCUGGAAGCUUUUUGUCAAGCAUGCGAUUGUUUGAAGAGUUCACUGAGACAGCUCGAAUCUGCAGCAGCCUCACCUAGUAUUGUUGAUUUAGAAACCAGUGUGCAGAAUAUUGAUAUGAACUGUCAGUCGUGAGAGAGAUGAAAUUGAUUUUGCAGAGCUUUGUAAGUCCUUUUGUUUUCGAGAAGAAAAUGGUUCUUGUUUCAACAUUUGUAUGCAACACUGAACAAAAUUUCAGAUAAAUGGAUAUGGGGGGUUAUUCACCCUCGUUCCGUAGAUAAGAUUUAUGUUACAUCAUGUUGCAAAUGUACAACAUUCUUACAAAUCCUGAGUAUGUACGAUCCUGCGAACAAACUUCAUGCGUUUAAUCGGGUUCACCGGCCAGUAAGCUUAACCACCCAGGCACCCCCCAAGUAAAGACCGAGGAGGGGUGCUGCCAGAAGGACCUGAGUGAGUGGAUCCGUUGACGGUGUAACCACAGCAGCUGCCACAACGGCACCAACCACAACAUACCUCCAAAUUGACAGCAUUUGGUCUCCAGAUACUAGACCGACUUGUCCCAGGAGAAAUUGUAUAACCGGAACCUAGAUAUGAAGGAAAAAUUGUUAAAACCUUAACCUAGAAUAAGAUGAAAGGUAAUUUGUUAACAGAGCUUCUACUGAGAUCCACUUCGAUGUAUGCAUUUUACGCGCACAAACCCACAGUAACUUCCCUGUUAUAUUUGAGAGGAGAGCGUUACCUGGAACGACAAGCCUGUGCUGAACAUGAGAACAAGUACGAACUCAAAGUAUUGAUCAAUGGACCAUAAAGAUUCCACAACACCUUCUGCAUACGUGACAAAGAAGUUCAAGGCUGCGGGUGUCAGCACCAUAUAAGAGAAGGUGAUACCAGCGUAGAAAAGAACCGAUGAGCCUAAAACAAUUGGCCCCAGAAAUUUUCUCUCGUCUCUCGUUAAUCCUGGAAGAACAAAGGCUAUAAGCUCAUACAGAAUGAUGGGGCUCCCUAAGAGAAGGCCGCAAUAUCCUGAUACCUGCAGUAAACAAUCCAAAGAACUUUCUUGUUACAGUGAUUUACUUCCGAAAUAACCAUUCCGACUGAGAUUAUUAUGGGAAACACUAAUCAUAAAGUCCCUACAACGCUCCAUUACACUUCCGCGCUAGCUAGCCAGGCUGAUUUGCAUACUUCCAGAAAACAAAAUCUUAAAAACGGCAAUCAUUUCAAAGACCGGAUAGAUAUUCACCGAGUCUAACCUUUAUGGUAGUAAAGAAAAACUCGCCGGGAGCUAGCUGCAGGAACUUUACACCUUGUUCUUUAACUGGAGCUUCGAGAAAUACUAUAAGGUCUUUCGAAUAUGCAAAGCACCCCACCAUAGAAACUCCAACCGCUACAACUGAUAUAAAAAUUCGCUGACGCAGCUCUUCCAGAUGAUCAAAUAUGGUCAUCUCUUUAUCAUCCGGGAGGAGCUCUUGACUUGGAUACAAAAAAUUGUAAAUUGAACUUCCUCCAUCGUCUUCCUUUGCACCACCAACCAAAUCUAUAUUGUACAUCAAAACCGCGAUGUCAAACUUCUAAACUGAAGACAUUAGCACCUACUUCCUCAAGGCAAGAUCUAAAUUGUGAUUAGAGAAAGUAAAUUCACAUGUAGCUAAAGAAACUCAGCUUCUUUUCUGUAGUAGGAAAAGCAAUUUCUUCCACUCAAUCAAAAGCACUUCUAACUACACAAGGCAGAAAAACUCAAAAGUGAAGCGCUUUCUAGCGGUGCUUCUUCACGAAGCACUUCCAAUUGCUUUUCCAAGAAACACUUGGAUUUUUAAUAAAAUUUCAAUGUGUUUCUAAUAAAAGUGCUUCUAGCAAAAGUGCAUCCUGCCAGUAAAAUGCUCACCGGGAUUAAUUACAAAUUACUUCUUGAAUCAGUAACAAACAAUUAUAUACUUAACGGACAUUACAGAGCUCCCGAAUCAGGUAUAGUUUGCUUCUAAACAUACUAAAAUUAUUCAGAUUAGCAAACAAUCAAAAGCACUAGAAUUACCAGUAGAAGGCCUCUCCUCGACGGCGGACCCAACCCCAACCCCAACCCCAGGCUCAGCGCCAGACUCCUGCUGCUUCUCUCUCAAAUCGUCAUUAACAGCGCAGCAAACGACGUCGCCGCGGAGGCUCCUCCGGCUCCGCAGACCACUGACCUCCGGUCCCGGCCUCCUGGAGUGAUGGACUCGAACGGAACCCCGCUGAUUUCUGAUUGGUCCGCGCCGGUCGAAGCAGCUGUGGGUGUGAUUCCGGAUGAAGUUCAAGUUGGAAAUGGAAGCAAAGGUGGUGCUUCCCAUCUCUCCUCCAACACUUCCAACCGCAAGUUCGCUUCUUCUUCUUCCUCUGGUUCUUCUUGUUUGUACUCGCUUUCCUUUUAUAUCAAAAACUGAACGACGUUUGAAUAUGAAUGACUGGUUCUUCUUUCUUCAGCGCAGAACGAUAUAUUGGAAUCGCAGCCAAUGGCGCAUGGUAGCUAGUUCCCUAUUUGUUUUCUACUGUGCGCCGGUGAAGUAGAAUGGGCCUUAUAAACACUCUCUCGGUUUCAAUUUCAGCCCACCAAAAAGGUCCAGUUCGGCCCAUGGUUAACUUCGGCCUUCGGUUUCCUUCCGCCCUUUCCCUCUCGUAUCACCUCUCUCUGCGACCUCGCUUCGCAAAAUGGCGCGGGAAAAUCCGGCGGAGAAAGCCCUAAGUCUGCUCCGAAGUCGGCUCUGCGGCCCUAAUUUCGUCUUCAGAACUCUCUCUCUCUCACUCCGAUGACUCAAACUACAGGUCCCUAAUUUUCUUCAAAUCACACUCUUCAACCCUAAUUCAUUUUUUUAAGGAAAAAUUAGUAUCCGGUCCCUAGUUCUUACUUCAUUAACUAAGACCUUAUUAGUUUUCAAAUUUUGAUUCAAGUCCCUAACAUUAAUGUGAUAAUAAAUUUACAUGUUUAUUAUAUAAUUUUUUAAUAUAAAAAUUAGUAAUUAAUUUAGAGUUUAAUACUCACACCUCUAUUAAACUUUUAAUUAAUUUUCAAUUCAAACAUUUUCAAAAUAAUAAAAAAUUAAAUUAAAUUAAAUUUGUACCUAUUAGUUAUAUAUAUAUAUAUAUAUAUAUAUAUAUAUAUAAAGAUUCUCAAUUUUUUUAAUCUUAAAUGUACCCAUUCAUAUAAUUUUUCAAUUUUUUUAAUUAUCAAUGUACCCAUUCUCAUAUAUAUCAAUUUGUUAUAUGUAAAAUGUACCCUUUUUAAUAUAAAAUCCAUUCAAAUUUUUUAAUCCAUGUUUAAACUUAUAUGGGUACAUUCUUUUUCAUUGAUUUGAGAAUGUAUCCAUGUUUUGGGUACAAUAACUUUUUUUGUUAAUUUUGGUUAAUGUACCCAUACAUAUAUGUAUACACACAAUAUAAUAGAGAGUAUAAUUUAUAUUUUAUUAUUUUUAAUCCCAUAAAUUAUGGGUUUUAUUUAAAAUCUCAUUAAUAUAAACAAUUACAAAUUUCAAUUUUUAAUUUUUAAUUUAAAAAAUAUAGUAACUUACAUUAUUACAUUAAUGUCAGGGACUUCAAUCAAAAACUAAAAACUAGCAAUUCAAUCAAAGAAUAUUGAUAGCUCCAAAGUAUCCUUUUUUUUUAAAAUCAAAAUUGGGGCUUUUUGUCCUUGAUUUUCUCAUAUUUAUUGUUUUUGCAGCAAGUUGAAAUUUUUAGUUUCGAGUUCGAUCACCGCGGCCUGCAACAGCUCCAUUUUGCUUCUGGGUCCCCGUGGUUCUGGAAAAACUGCUGUAUGCCCCCAAAUUUUCUAUUGUGAUUUCUCUUCAGUCCUCUUAUAAUUGUAGUAUACAGUUGAUUUUCUUACUCUACUCGUGUUUUUAGAUGUUGGAGCUUGUGCUCAGUGAUUUAUUACAAGAAUUUCCUGAUACGGUUUCAGUGGUAUGCUUGCAUUUUUCACUUCCCUUCGUAAUAAUUUCUUUGAUUUUUUUCGAUUUUUUUCUGGGUUUAAUGUUUAUAUGCAGUUUAAUUUGGAAUGGACAUUGUGCUGCAGAUUAGGUUGAGUGGCCUUUUACAUAGCAGUGACAACUGCGCGUUCAAGGUUGAUUCGUGGCGGGGUUUAAAUUGUGAUGAAUCAUUCAGGAAUCUUAGUAACAUUAUUAUGUUUUUCCUUUUAUUUGAUACGGUUGUUGGUUAUUCAGGAAAUCGCUAGGCAGCUAUGCAUGGAGCAUCAGUUGGUGUUCUCAAGAAUGGUAACGUGCAUAGUUUUAUCGGAAACCACUUUUGUAGCAUUGUACUUCAGAAAACUUAUGGUUUCUUGAUGUGGUGAUCAUUUUUGUAGGCAUCGUUUGAUGAUAACUCCCAGUUUAUGAUAGCCAUGUUAAGGUGCGCAUAAAGUUUUCUUGUUGCGAUUCGUAUGCUUUGGAAGUUCUGACAGACUUGUUUCUCUGCUAAUUAGGGAGUGUGGAUUAGCACAUAAAACAAUUAUCUUUGUGCUCGAUGAGUUUGACUUGUUUGCUCUUGUAAGACCUCAUCAUCCUUUGCCCAUUUGUUUUUCAUUUCUGCAGCCUUGCUCUUUGACAUUCAUGAUUUAUCGUUGGCUGCUUCUUUCUCUGAAACCCGUGAAGAUUUGUGAAAAGCAAUUAAUUAGCAAGUAAAAUUUUUUGGAUCUUAUCUGGGGCUGCAAAGUUACACUGGAAGCUGUAGGAAAGUUUAUCCUUUCAUAAGGAGCAAUGUAAGCUUUUAUUGAAGAAAAAGAAUGACAAUGCAAGAUGAAGUAAAUAACCUAGAGAAAUAUAUCUUCUACUUUGUCUGUCUACUGGAGCUUUCAUGAAAAUGGUUUGCUUGGUCAGACAGCUCAAACGAGCAUAUUUGUUUUCUCAAAAUUGACUGGUUGGGUGCUUUUGGUUGAAGUGUCAAGUUGUCAACUAUAAAUAUUAAGACAAUACAUCAUUUGGUAUGUGAAUAUUAUGCAAUAUAUAAGGUGUAAGAAGUGUACGACUUACAAGCUAAACAUAUACAUACCUUAAAGAGGUUCUUGUUGGAUUUAUAGAAUAAAAAUAAACAACCAGUAACUCUAAUAUUUCUCUCCAUUUAUGGUUCCUUACAGGGAAAACAGAGAUUGCUUUAUAGUUUACUUGAUGCAAUGCAGUCAGUAACAUCUCAAGCUGUUGUCAUUGGUGUGAGUUUGCGACUGGUAUGUUGGUUUAAAGUUGCUCCUAUUUUUCCCUUGUUAACUUUUGUUGCCAUAACUGUGAUGUGAAUGCCUAGAUAUAAAUUGUUAGCAGAAAUGUGGAUUAGUUGCAUCAAAGUUGAGAAGACUUUCUCAUGCAGGAUGCUGAUAUGCUUUUGGACAAAAGAGUAAGAUCUCGGUUUUCACAUAGAAAGCCUUUGUUUCUUCCUCCUGCUUAUGAAGACAUACAACGGUAAAGUUACUAGCUUAUGACUUGGGUGCUACUAUUGCUUCUUCCCAAAUAUGGACACUUCCAGUAUAAUAAUUGCGUUUCUGAUUUUCUUAAUUUCCAAACGAGGCAGAUUGUUGGAGCACAUUUUACUAUUGCCAACAGACUCGAGCUUUCCUCCAGACUAUGCUAUUGUAUUCAAUGCAAAACUUAAAGUAUCGUUUCCUCACUAUGUCUUUUAAUGAGAUAAUAUUGAAUAUUCAUGUUAACAAAAAACAAAAAUUCAUUUUACAGUAUUCUACCAGAUAAAAUCGUUCAGCUUGUAAAGUCCUUGACAUUUUACAGACUAUAUUGGCUGACGAGAGAUUUAAAGAGAUUGUUAAUACAUACCUGAAUCUUGAUUCAACUGUCAAACAUUUGUUGAGAUAUCUGUAAGUUUUUCUUUUGAAUCUGAAAGAAUUGAAUGAUCCUAUUGCUUUUCGUAUUCAUCAUUCAUAAUAUACUGAAUUUACUGGUCGUGGACCAUGGUACUAGAUUCCCCGCUGUUUCUGAUAUGGAUUUAGAAUCUGGAAUGCUGUCGCUAGAAAACUUCAAAACCACACUUUCUAAUAUCCAAUUGCAACCAAAGUUGGAAUGCAUAAAAGGUCUGAGAAUUUUUAUCUUGCUUUGUUGGACUUCAUCGUCUGUAUUCUUUGUUCCUCCCAUAUCCAUCAUUUCUGCCCGCCAAAAACUUGUGUAUAUAACCACAAGGGAAGGAAAGCAAUGACCUCUUGUUUCCUGUCUUCUUCUUCGCUCUUUUUUUCUUAUGAAAAUCAAUGGUUUCAUGCAGAUUGCUCAGUAUUGGAACUUUACAUUCUGGUAUGCAUGAAGAGGUUGGAAGUUAAAGAGUAGAACUCUUAUAUUUCAACGCUGUAAUGAAAGGUGAAUGUCUGAGUCUUCCUUUCCAAGUCCUAUUAAGUUUUCACUUACAUGUUUGGCAUAUGUGGCAGAGUACAAAAGCAUACAUGAUUCCGUCAAGACUGCUUACCAUUUCGCAAGAAAUGUUUGCUUACGGGUAUGCAUAGCUCCUUGCUAAAAUUGUGUCAUAACAAAUCUUAGUGCGAUGUUCCAUCUUAGCUGAAUAUUUUCACUUUUCACUUCGGCAGGGAUUCGAACACCUCCUACAACGUGAGCUAAUUGGAUUUGCAGACAACAGAGGACAGAAUCAACCUGUUGAAUUCAAUCCUGUUAAACUUUUAAUCUCAUCCCCUGAUGUAAUGAACUACAUCAGGGGAUGAAAUCAUACAGAUCAUGUCCCGUAAGUCACUACAAGAUUUUUUUCUUUUCUUUUUUCCUGCAUAUGCAGUGGAUAAAAUGCACCAUAAGAUCAACUGAAACCGAUCAUACGAAGAAUUUAAUCAUAAUAUAGGAAAAGGUUUAGCAUGUAUCAGAACUUUAUGUUAGGUUUUAUGUCAUCGUCAUCGAUCUUAAUGUCGAAGAUAACGUGUAGCAAACCACUUGGAUUUCAUGAGCUGUUGGUUUGUGUUGUUGACAGGCAAUUCUUCAACAAUUAAUGGAUCGUCAAAAGUAGAGUGCAUGGCGCAAGGGAGCUGCUUCAUGUCUAUCAUAAUCGCAAGGCGUGUAAUCUCUACCAUUGUUUCACAUCAAACACAAACAAGCAAGACUUGCUUUGUUUUCUUUCUUUUUUCUGUUUUUUUUUUUUUUGUCAAACAAUAUAUUUUGUUAGAUUAACCACGAAAGAAUUCGAAUCCAUGUCGUCAUGCAAAGACUCAACUUGUUUUGAUGCCGACAUGCAAGACUUGCUUUUUAAUACCCAUUUUUUGGAGGAGCUAUCGAUGUAGGGCAUACUACAACCAUACAAUCUUAUGGUGUAUAUUAAGGGUGCGUGUACCUCAGUGUAUCACAUCACAUGCAAACAAUCAUCUUUUCAACUCGUUGAAUUUGACGGUAUCACUUUUACCUUUUAGAGUGUAGAAUGUUUAUCACCGUCAGAUGUGUGACAUAUAUGAUCAAAUAAAGGAGGACACUUGGGGGUUAGUUUGUCGUAAUUCAUAAAAUUCUGAAUAGUACAAUUACAGUAUUUGUUUGGUGAGGUAUAAAUACAAUCUAAUGAGAUGUUACUGAUAUUCUCAGUCACCUCGUUUUAUUUUUUGAGCCUUCAUUCUCAUCAUUAGGUUGCGUGGUAGUCUUAUUUUCGAUUACCGGUGUUAAAAUAUGAGUCUUUAACUAAAGUAGUUUCAUAAAAUAAUUGGAUAACAUGGUUCGUCUAAACAAUUAUGAAUUUAGUUGAUUUUAAAUCGAGUUAAUUUUUGAAGUGUGAAAUAUAAAAUAAACUGAUUUGUUUUUGUUUUUUAAGUCAAGCGAUAUCGUUAGUAAGUUAAAUGUUAGAUUAGUCACCGACAAGAUUUAAACCUACGUUAUUAUGUAAAGACCAAUACUUUUCACCACUGUAGUAAAAGACCACUUGCAAAAUAAAUAAAUGGAUUAUUAAAUAACGAAAGUGUGUAAAUGAGAAGUUGCUAACAUUCCCUUUGCAUGUGGAUAACGGAAAGGGAUCCUCUUCGGAUCCCUUCCACUAAGGUCUUGGGAUCCAUCAAUUCGAAUUCUUAAAAUUUGAUCAAAUAGCUACAAAUAAGGACCUACGUUAAAAGUUAUAAAUUUUUUAACUGUUUAAUCAAAGAAACUUAGUGGAAGGGAUCCGGAUCCCCCGUGGAUAACGGGAGAAUCGGUGAAGUGUAAAACCCAACAGUAAACUUGAAAUUCAGAUUACCAAGUCGGCAAGUCCUCUGUUUUGGGUUUGGGCUCGGGUCCGCAAUACACUAGCCACCAUGGCUGCUUCCACCGCUUUCCCCAAGCUCACUUCGAUCUGAGCCGCCCAAUAAACCUCCACCAACGUCGAGCUCACUCAAAACCCAAAACCCAAACCCCCCUCCCCCACCCCCUCUCUCCGAUCCUCCGCCUCCGGAUGAGUCGCCUCUCCACUCAAUGACCCUCUGCGCCAGAGCUUCAAAAGCUUUAGCCGCCACUGCCUCAGCCGUACACCACCGUCCUCUCAAGGUACGCCGUUUCUCCCCCCUCUCUGGGUCUUUCCGCAACUGCUCCUCCACUACUUCCCUACCCACCGCAGCUUUCUCCGAGACUCAAUACCGGGACCUUAUUUUCGACACCAUUGACGAAAAGCCCUGGGCUUUUUGCAACUCCAAGUGGGUCUCCGAUCGUUUCCAAGCUGUUAUUGUCGACCCCGACUUGUUUAUUCGAGUCCUCGUCGAGAUUAGGACCCGACCCAGGAUCGCUCUGAGGUUCUUCCGAUGGGUCGAGGGCCAACCGGGUCUUAAAAGAUCCGAGUUUGCCUUCUGUGUGAUUCUUGAGAUUCUGGCUCACAACAAUUUGAUGAGGCCGGCGUAUUGGGUUAUGGAGAGGGUGAUUAGUGUAAAUAUGCAUGGGAUUGUGGAUAUUUUGAUUAAUGAGUAUAUGUUUUCGAAAGUUUCGUUGAAGCUUCUCGAUCUCUUGUUCUGGGUUUAUACGAAAAAAUUGAUGCUUGAGCAAUGUCUGUCGAUUUUCGAUAAGAUGAUUCGAAACCGGUUGUUGCCGGACGUGAAGAACUGCAAUAGGGUUCUUAGGAUACUUAGAAAUAAACACCUUGUGACUAGAGCUAAAGAGGUUUACAGAAUGAUGGGUGAGGCUGGGAUUAAGCCGACGAUUGUUACCUAUAAUACUAUGUUGGAUUCCUUCUGCAAGGAAGGGGAAGUGCAACAAGCACUUGAACUUUUGUCAGAAAUGCAAAAGAGAGGAUGUUUUCCGAACGAUGUAACGUAUAAUGUGUUGAUCAAUGGGCUGUCAAAGAAAGGGGAGCUGGAGCAGGCCAAGGGACUGAUCAAGGAAAUGAUGAAAGCAGGGUUAAGGAUUACAGCAUUCACUUAUAACCCUUUGAUUUGCGGGUAUUGUAACAAAGGUCUGCUUGAAGAGGCAUUAUCUCUUGAGAAAGAGAUGGUAAUUAAAGGAGCGAAUCCCACCGUGGCUACUUAUAAUUCGUUAAUGUAUGGCCUCUGCAAGUGGGGAAGAAUGACUGAUGCCAGGGAUCAGUUUUCCAAUAUGUUAAAUAGAAAUAUAGUGCCGGAUAUAGUUUCAUACAACACUCUAAUCUACGGGUACUGUAGAUUAGGGAACUUGGGGGAUGCUUUCAUAUUGUUUGAUGAGUUGAGGCAUAGGACUUUCACUCCUACUAUCGUCACCUAUAACACACUUAUGGAUGGCCUUUGCAGAUCUGGAGACUUGGCUGUUGCUGGGCAGCUUAAAAAAGAAAUGACCAAUCAAGGAAUUUGCCCUGAUGUUUUUACAUAUACCAUCUUGGUAAAUGGGUCUUGCAAUGCGGGAAAUUUAUCGAUGGCUAAAGAGUUAUUUGAUGAGAUGUUGCGUAAAGGAGUGGAGCCAGAUCGAUUUGCAUACAAUACUCGAAUAGUGGGGGAAUUGAGGCUUGGUGACCCGUCCAAGGCAUUUAGCAUGCAAGAAGAAAUACAAGCAAGGGGUUUCCCUCCUGAUUUGUUCACAUACAAUAUUUUUGUGAAUGGGAUAUGUAAAUUGGGCAAUUUAGAUGAAGCAUAUACGUUGUUGCAGAAAAUGGUACGUGAUGGUAUUGUUCCAGAUCAUAUAACAUAUACUAGCAUGAUUCAUGCUCACCUGGAAAGUGGCCAGCUCAUGAAGGCGAGAGAGGUGUUCUAUGAGAUGCUAAACAAAGGUUUGUCUCCUUCGGUGAUAACUUACACGGUAUUGAUUCAUGCACAUGCGGCUAAGGGGAGACUAGAACUGGCAUAUAUGUACUUCUCAGAGAUGCAAGAGAAGCGUAUUUGGCCAAAUGUGGUCACCUAUAAUGCUCUGAUAAAUGGUCUCUGUAAAGUGAUGAGAAUGGAUCAGGCUUACGAGUAUUUUACUGAGAUGGAGGAGAAAGGAAUAGCUCCAAAUAAGUAUACAUACACUAUUUUAAUAAAUGAGAACUGCAACAUGGGCAAUUGGAAGGAGGCUUUGAGGUUGUAUAAGCAGAUGCUUGACAGAGUGAUCGAGCCUGAUUCUUGUACACACAGUGCACUUUUUAAGCAUCUAGACAAAGACUUUCAACUGCAUGCAGUUCGAUACCUUGAGAGUUUAAUUUCAAGCUAGUGAAGGAACUGCUCGUUUUUAAGAAUUGAUGAGGCUAUUGGUGGUGUUCAAGGUUUCUCAGCUGAUUAUUCAAAGAGUGGCAUGAGAUAUUAAGAGGGAUUUCUCAACUCUGAGAGAAAGCUAUUGUGUUAAACCACUUGGCAAAUUCUCUUGAGUUAUAGUGCAAGUAAGAUAUCUUCUUUCAAUGUUUGCUUCCGAAUAGCACAUUCUCAAACUUUUAAUAUUCUUCUUGGCUUGACAGCUUUCCUGGUUUAAUGUUACAGGUGACUUGCUAAAUAGGGUUGCUGAUGGUGAUUGGUGAGUUUGGCAAACCUGUAACUUGAAAGGUUGAGUCCAUAUUUACCUCAUUUUUGUGCCGUUUCUAACUUUAGAAGAAUAUACUCGAAACCAGUUGAAUUGGAUUAUUGAUUUUUUUAACUAUCAGAAACCAUUUUUUUCGGAAGAGUCAACAUCCGAGUGUACAGAUAAACUCUCAAGUGUAUCAUAUUGUUCCAAAUAAAAUAUCUGACAAGAUUAUUGGUUCAUUCUUUUGCUCCUUAUUUUGUUUCAUGAGGUAAUAGGGAAGAUCGAAGUGCUGCCAUGUUCUGUAUUGUUGUAACGAAUAUGGGUUUUGUCCAGUUUAAAAUCAGAUGUAUUACUUUUUGUUUUUAAAAUAAGAGUUUCAUUUGGUACUGAGCAGAUAGUGAAAAUUUAACUUCUUCUAGUUUAUCCAAUUCAGCUUGAAAUAUCGGUUAGUGUUCCUGUAGUGUUAUCUUGGACAGCCUUCCUGUAACCAUUAUUUGUUUCUCAGCCAGUCUCAAAUGAUCUUGUUCACGCUUCAUCUUCUGUGAGCAUCACAGCCUCCGUUGAUCUUCUUUCAAAAAAACCCAAUGGAUGCUGUGAUGUUGUUGGAGGUUUUACGCACAUCAUGUUUGCCCUGUCUUUUCGAUUAUUUCCGACAUGCACAAUAUGUGUCAAGUAGAACUUCAACUUGAAACAAAACAGCCACCACUUUUGGUUACCUUUCCGGGCAGAAAUGAAUACAGGAUUGUUGGUCUGCAUCUCCUUGGUUGCUGCACUUGUAUGCAGCGUGAACAAGAUGUUGGCAAAGGUACAUGAUGCCGAAGAGUUUCACUUGGCACACACUCACUUUCUAAUUUAUAAUCGCCUCUUUUGUUCUUUUUUAUGAGUAUUUUGGUUUAGCAAUGUUGUAUAGAGGAAUGUUGUUUAUAUGCUAAUUGGUUAUUAAUUAUGCACUUAACGUUGAACAGCAACGUGCGAAAAGUCCAAAUUCGAAUCGUUCAAUCCGAUGCCUAUCGUAAUCCGACAAGGGGAAAGCGAUUGGAUAAUCGACAUGGUAAACACCGGUCGUGCUUAGGUUUACUAAUUGUUUCAACUGAAGAGUGUUUAGUUUAAGAGAAGUAGUUCUUGUCUCACUAUGUUUGACGGACACAUUUCAUAACUCUCCCUCUGGAUUUGCUUGUUUGUUGCCUUUUGUAUGCGGAGCAUCCAUCACUAACCUCCAGUUCCUCUCUCCUGCUACUUCAGCCGUUUCUUGACUGCGCUGAUGUAGAAAUCCCGACGUUGGCCGACGCCGCCAGCGGGUUAGAUUUGUCCGGCACUUGGAUGCAGAAGAAUACUGAUGAGAGUUUGAGUUCACGCUGUAACUUGGCACUGGAGAAUACUUGGACCCCAAGAAUUUACUUCAGGAUGCAGUGGAAAAUUGACCACUGCUCGUCUUGUGGUAAUUCACCUUCUGCGAGGCAAUUCCAUAUUUGUAGAUGACGAGAUGUGUUGCCAAUAAAAAAUGAGUACAUUAAUACUUAUUUAAUAAUCCAAUCAUCAGUCACGUCAUAUAGUUUACAAAAUAUAAAUGAUCUCCCUAAUAUUAGCCUUUGUACUAAACAUAUGCAAUUUUGUUUGAUUUUUGUAAUUAGACGCUUCUUGGACUUCAAAGUCCAUAUACAACACCCUGCCCGUCUUAUGAUGCUGAUCAUAUCAGAUUGUGGAAAAUGGCUACAAUACUCAUAAGUUUUACGUUUACGUACUUUCACCAUCUGACGUCAAAUAUGAUAUUGGAUUGGCAUUUGACCGUACAAAUGGUACAAGUUUGUGGUAUUUGCAAGCAAAUUGUGAAAUAAUUUCCCCGCACGCCUAUUUCCUUCUUUGCACACUUCCUUUUUAGGCGUCAUCUAGGGAAUCCUUUCCACCAAAUCACUUAAUAUGGACCCUUGAAAUUUAAUCAAACGGUUAAAGUUAUUAUAACUUUUAAAGGGACCUCCUGUUUUUAACCGUUUGAUCAAAUUUCAAAAGUCCGGAUUGAUUGAUUGGGUAGAUUUGCUAGAAGGGAUCUGUAGAUGAUCCAUUUCCAUCAUCUAGAAUUAUUUCAAAGUAAAAUCAAUGGCCAAAAAUAAAAUGACGGUGUGCAAAGAAUAUCAGUGUGGGGUCAGAUAUAGAAGUGGGCCUCUCAAAGUGUAGAAAAAAACAAAGGAAUACUAAUGAAAAUGGUUUGAAAACUUUGAAUUUUACAAUAAGGACAAAAUAAAGGGUAAAAUGAAUAGUAUCAAGAUUGACUUUUUAGUGUAAAAAUGUGGUUUUUCAUUAAAGUGAACAAUAUCGGGAGUUUUUCAUUAAAGUUCCAAAAAAAACAAAGGUAACUAAAAACAAGAAUCAAACCUAUUGGUUAAUGUUGGUUUAGGUUACAGAAAGUUUAGAAAGAAUUGUUUGUUUUUAUUAAUAAUGCAUUAAAAUCAAAGCAUGAUUAACCGGAGACUACGAAUAUCAAAUCCUACAUUAAUGCAAGCCACUCGCUCCUGUCAUCCCUUAAAACCACCACAUCCAGCUCACUUUGUAUUUACACGGUUUUUUUGUGUUGAAUUUGAAACAUAGGGUAUGUAAAUUAUAAUGGGCAAAACUUGUUUGAUAUGGUUUUUGAAAUGAUUAAAAGUGUUUUAUGACGUUAUAAGUACCUCUAACUUCGUAUAGCAAAAAAAGUUAAAACUGCUUAUUGGGUCAUAAAAGUGUUUUAUGAAGACAUACCGAGUGUCUUUAAAAAUUAAAAUUUAAUGUGUUUCUAAUUAAAACGCUUAUAACAAAAAGACACUUGUGUGUUUCUUAUAAAAGCAAUUCAAAAUGAGCUAGCAUCAAACUCAAAAUAAAAUAUAUCGUGUUCACGCAUUCAUGUGGGUGGAACAUCAAUCCCAUUUAACCAAGUAGAAAUAAAACACUUAUGUUUGCAUUUUCAAUCUACCCAAGGGAUUGUCAAGUGGAAAGAAAGCAAAGGUUUGGAAAUCCUAACCCAAGCUUGAACUCUCAUGGUUACAUUUUUUGGACCACCAGCUUUACUUUGGCGUGUUGUUUGACCCGAAGGCUGAAAAUAUGUUGCCAUUCCAUGUAAGAUCGGAGUUGCAUGAUUAUAAAAAUUAGUCGAUCAUCGAUGUGUAGCAGGAUACUUCCUACAUUAAAAAACAUAAAAUAAGACAAAAUAAAAACAUGAGAAGAACAAAAGAAAAGUGUAUGACAAAGCAUUUAUACCCUAACCCUUUUGUCUGCUUUGUGAAAUCGAUCAAACCUAUGUGUUGUUUAGCACUCAAAAUUUUGGGGAAUCAAAAACUUAACCUUCAACAAAUACAAGGCAGAUCUUUGAGAUGUACAAUUACGACUCCUAAUAACAAGGUUUCCUUCCUCUUUUUUUCCUCUCACUUUUCCUAACUUUUUCCGUCCACAAACAAUUAUUUAAACAUCUCCUUCCCCAUUUCCAAAUUUCAACUUUUCUUCCAACCAAAACAAAAAAAAUAAAAAAUAAAGAAUAAAAAAUUUAUGCCAUGGCCACCUUCUCUCAUCCUGCCUACUUCCCUGUAAGGCGUUCUUCCUGCAGAGAUAGCUAUGAACCCAUUAAGCAAAACCUGAGCAAUAUCAAGAUCGAUGGAACUUCCAAGAAACCCGCAAACAAAGUUGAAAUGGCCGGUGUGGCAACCACUUCCAUUUCCAUGACUUUAUUAGGAAAUGGCUACGUGACUGAGCAGCAAGCCCGACAGAACAUUCCGACAACCAAGCAGUCCGUUGAUCAUUUCCGACAAGGGUUCAGCAUCGAAGGUGGCGUGGGGUACAGGCAGAGGGUUGUCAUCAGGUCCUAUGAGGUCGGGCCGGAUAAAACUGCGACACUUGAGAGCGUCCUCAAUCUGCUGCAGGUGAUAUAAUUAAUCAAUCCAAGUUAUGUGAAGAUUGUGUUGCAUUGUUUGGAAAGUACGGAUUUUUUUUUUUCCUCCGGUAUGAUGCAGGAAACUGCAUUGAAUCAUGUGUGGAUGUCUGGACUCCUGAGUGAUGGAUUUGGAGCAACACAUGAAAUGAUGAGGAAUGAUCUUAUUUGGGUUGUGUCCAGAAUGCAAGUUCAAGUUGACCAGUAUCCAAUUUGGUAUGUCCAAUCAUCGCCUUUUCUUUUGAUUCGAGCAAUAUUCUAAACUAAUCUAACGCAAACCCGGAGUUGUUCUCUUUUUGCUAUAAUCUUUAAAGCUAGGAAGUAGGACUCUUUGCAGCAUGAAACAAAUUUCAAGCAAAAAAAUGUGACAAUCACAUCCUGCAGGGGAGAGGUACUGGAAAUCGACACUUGGGUUCAAGCAUCAGGGAAGAAUGGUAUGAAGCGAGACUGGUUGAUCCGAAGCCAAGCCACGGGCCAUGUUUUCGCUCGUGCGACCAGGUGUUGUAGAAUUUCUUCAAACUUCCAAUCACUUUCAUGAUCUCCUCACGAAUGAUUUAUUUCAGUCUUGUCAUUGAUUAAUCAUGGUUGUACAAAACGUGGAACAGCACCUGGGUGAUGAUGAACCGGAAAACUAGGCGUCUUUCGAAAAUGCCAGAGGGAGUGAGGGGUGAGAUUGCACCUUGGUUCAUAGAGAAGCAGGCAAUCACAGACGAUGUCCCUGAGAAAAUCAUCAAGUUGGACAACAACGCUAAGUAUGUCAACAGCGAUCUGAAGGUAAUGUUUCGUGUCCAAAUUACUCCAACGUCUCAAAGCUACAUCCAUAUACAGUUAAGAGAAUCGAGAAUAUGCUGAAUAUGGAAUUUCUUAUUACUUGGUAGCCCAAGAGAAGUGAUUUGGACAUGAACCGCCAUGUCAACAAUGUCAAGUAUGUAAAAUGGAUGCUUGAGGUAAAUAUUGUCUUUCUCCCCUCUCUAAUUAAAGGCAUGUUUGGCACUGCUUCUGAAAGGGUUAAAAGCGUUUUCUAACCAUGUUUGACAGAAAAACUUUAAGUGCUUCCUACAGAAGUAGUUCUAAACGGUCACUUGUGUUUUCUUACCAUAAUUAAAUCUUAAUUAACUGACUUAAUCUUUGUUUUCGACAGACGAUUCCUGACGAUAUUUUGGAGUCUCACCAACUGACUGGAAUCACACUAGAAUACAGAAGGGAAUGUGGGAGUUCAGAUAUAGUUCAAUCGCUUUGCAAUCCAGAAGAUGGAAUGUUCAUAGAGAGACCGAAACAAGAGAAUCAAAGUUUGCUGGAUGGAUUUUCUGGCAGCUGGAAUUCUUGAGAACGGCGGGUUUUUGGGCUCCUUUGAGAAGCAACAAUUGAGAUAUACACAUCUCCUCCAAACAAAUGGGAACCUUAAAGAUGAAGAGAUUGUUCGAGGACGGACUGUUUGGAAGAAAAAACCAGAGCCCUCCCCAUUUGCUUCUAUGUAGAAAAUUUGAAUUAGAAAAAGGGGUUUAGAAGCUUGUCCUCUAAGAAAUGGGAUGGCCUGAAUACUAAAGGGCCUGUUGUGGAUAAGGGUAACAGAAAACAAGCAACAUCAUGGAUUCUAAGGAGAGUGAAGAAGAAAAAAAAAAGACAAAAACAGAGCCAAGGAUCUUUCAUUGUUUCCGAUCUUGCUAGCUUCAUCGAGGCUGAAUGACAAUCCUAAUAAACGAGCCAGAUGUGUAAAUGACGAGUCAUCGAAAAAAGGUAACAGAAAACCAGCAGCAUCAUGGAUUCUACGGAGAGAGAAAUAAAUGUAAUGUGUGGUCAUGAAAGUAAGAACGUUCACCUUAAGCCUAACAGGGGUACAUUGAUUUUGAUUAAAAGGAGUCGUUUCAUUUCAUUUGGGUCUGUAAUUUGUAUAGCCAUUGUCGUAAUACUAUUUGGUAAAGAAUAAUUGUAAUUUGUAAAUUCCAUCAUUGAAAUUGUUUACAGAACAUACUUUUACGGUUACCAUUUUCAAUUUCCACUCGAGGGACGGGCUAGUUAAGAGAAUUCUCAAGCCGGAUAUAACCAAUAUGGAGUCGGGUGGUAAAAAAUAUAAAUCUUCCAUAAUAUAGGCUUUUUAUAUUAGCACCCUACAAAAUGUUGAAUGCACCCCACAUUAAAAUUUAAUAUUAAAUGACAUAUUUACCUCACUAUGCAAUAACAAUUUUAACCUUAUUAGGUUUAAAAAAAAAAUUCUAAAUACACCCUGUUUAUGCAUAAAAUCAGUGAGGACUUUGGUACAACAGAAAGUGUUAAGUUUGUGACCUUCGCUAGAUUGCUCCGGUCACUAGUGUGGAUAAGUAUGUAAAUGGAUAGAGACAGGGAAGCAAACACAAGAUGUACGUGGUUCACCCAGAUUGGCUACGUCCACGGAGUAGAGGAGUUCUCAUUAAUUGUGAAGGGUUUACAGAAGUACAUAGGUUCAAGCUCUUCUUUAGUGAGUACUAGUGAAUGAUUUAGCAUUCAGGACAAGAUCCUCGAUGUUUCUCUUCCCGGAAAGCUUGGCGAAGAGGCCAGGCCAGUAAGACUCGACAGGGACAUUGGCAACUUUCACCAAGGUUGCAAUCUUCUCGGCAGUGACGGGGAUGCCUUCGUCAUGGAGGAUCAGAGUGGCGUAGGUGCAAGCAAGCUCUGAAGCCGACAUCGUUUUUUAUCGAACUGAGGGAGAUAAGGUAUAUAAGAUUGAGGGCUCUCUUUUGCUAAGGUUUUCUGGAAAAGAUUGAGGGCUCUCUUUUGCUAAGGUUUUCUGGAAAAGCCCAAAGAUGGAGGUUUUGGGUUCUUGCAGAUUCACGGCGAGGGUGAAAAUUGAGAGAGAAUUGACACAACUUUUCGUAUCGAUUCCCACAGAUGGCGCCAAAUGUUGAUGCACAAAACCGGAGGUCUUGGAACAACGUAAAUCCGACCGUGAAUCUGCAAGAAAGUAAAUAACACAAGAUCUAUCGUGGUUCACCCCAAGGUUUGGGCUACGUCCACACUGAUUAUUGUAUUUCUGAGGGAGAAAGAGCUUUGAAUAUGAGAGUGAGAGCUUUGAGAGAGCUUAGAGCUUAGGGGAUGUGAGGAGGCUUUUAAGGCUUAGGGUUUGUGAGGGUGAGAGGGCCCUUUUAUAGAAUAAGGGCUCCUCCCCUUUUUACAUAUUUGUCUCUUUAUUACAUAAUUAUAUUUGAAUUCCCCGAGUAUUUAUACGAGGUCUAAAUACGGAGGCCCUAAGUAUGGUAUAAACAGUAGUCCCCCAAGUCUUCAAUCAAGAGAGUCUUUUGGUUGGAGACUUGAAAUUCAGUCCAUGUGUGGGCCGAAAUAACUAGAUGUCGUCUAGAACUGAUACUCGAUAUGAGGCAGUGCCCAAUCUGAAAUGAUUCUCAACUAGAAGUAGCACAUGUUGCGAGGCUGCUCUACUUGUGUUGCCUUGGUUGGCUCGGCUUGUGGCGUUGAAAGUGAGGGAGUCCCUUUUAUAGAAUAAGGGCUCGCUCUUCAAUACAUAAAUUAUGGGCUAGAGUUAAUGCUCGCGGCGAGGCGGUUGCUCAGUAGGCGGCGAUGUUCUCUAAUGAUGGUGAGGGAGUCCCUUUUAUAGAAUAUCGUUCCUCAAUACAUAAAUGAUGGGUUAUGAGUGAUGUUCACAGCGAGGUGGUUGCUCAACAUACGGUAAUGCUCUCUAAUGAUGGUGAAGGAGUCCCUUUUAUAAAAUAAGGGAUCGCUCCUCAGUACAUGAAUAAUGGACUAUGUCCUCCAAGUAUUUUUCAUGAGGCCUAGUUAAGGCCCAAUAUAUGGUACAUAGUGUAGUCCCCCAAGUCUUCGGUCAAUAGAGUCUGUUGGCUGGAGACUUCAAAUUGAAUCCAUGUAUGGGCCGAAGUGGCGGUUGUUCGGAGGCGGUAUUUGUAUACCCUGCACUGAAGCUUUAUAGGUGAAGCUUUGCAAGUGAAGCUUUGAAGCUAAAGCUCUAUAAAUGAAGCUUUCAAAGCUGGAGCUUUGUAAAUGAAGCUUUCAAAGCUAGAGCUUUGUAAAUGAAGCUUUUGAAGCUGGAGCUUAGUAAAUGAAGCUUUUAAAGCUAGAGCUUUUGUAAAUGAACCUUUUGAAGAUAGAGCUCUGUAAAUGAAGCUUUUGAAGCUAGAGCUUUUGUAAAUGAAGCUUUUGAAGCUAGAGCUCUAGUUACUUCGACUCACACAUGGACUGAAUUUCAAGUCUCCAGCCAAAAGACUCUCUUGACUGAAGACUUGGGGGACUACUGUUUAUACCAUAAUUAGGGCCUCCGUAUUUAGACCUCGUAUAAAUACUCGGAGGACUCAAAUGUAAUUAUGAAAUAAAGGAAUGGGCAAAUAUGUAAAAAGAGGAUGAGCCCUUAUUCUAUAAAAAGACCUCUCACCCUCACAAACCCUAAGCCUCAGAAGCCUCCUCACAUCCCCUAAGCUCUAAGCUCUCUCAAAGCUUUAAGCUCUCUCAAAACUCUCACUCUCAUAUUCAGAGCUCUCUCUCCCUUAGAAAUACAAUAAUCAGUGUGGACGUAGCCCAAACUUUGGGGUGAACCACGAUACAUCUUGUUUUAUUUACUUUCUUGCAGAUUCACAGUCGGAUUUACGUUGUUCCAAGACCUCCAGUUUUGUGCAUUAACACACCCCAAAUCUCUUUUAGCGUAUUAUUUAUCUUCUCAACUAUCAAAACCCUCUCAUUCUCCAUUGUUGAACAAAACCCUAACCAAUGAAACUACAAACAUGUUGAUUGAGAAAAAUUGUUUUUGAAGAAUGGAACAUGAAAUCGAUGUUUCGGAAGCUUCAUAUGAGGUAAGAAUUCAUAUUUUUCAUUGUUUUAAUCAUUUUGAUGACAUCGAUAAUUAUUUAUCUUGUGUUUGUUACGUUACUUAAACUUCUAUAUUCAUAUUCAUCUUUUAGGAUUCAUAUUAAUCUUGCGUACCCAAUAACAUGAAGCAUAUUAGUGCUAGAGUCAUAUACUAUUACAAAGUAGGUAACCCGCUCGGCCUCAAAUAACGAGUUCAAAGCGCAAUUGUUAGGUGAUAUGGAAGUGAAAAGAAACCUAAAAGCUUGGAGGAAGUGGGGUGUAUAGAAAAUUAAAAAUGGGUGUUAUAAGAUUUGAGAAAUGUGAGAUGUAUGUAUAAAAUAUAAGGUGUAUAUUGAGAAUAUAGGAUGUGGGGGUAUUAUGAGAAAGUAUGUGGGAUGUAUUAAGAUAAUUUUUAAGUGAAAAGUAAAUGUGGGGUGUUUUAAGUGUGGAAUUUAUUUAACAAUUUGUGAGGUGUUAAUAUAAUAAGCCAUAAUAAAUUCAUAACCCAUAAAAAGUAAAUUAUAUAACAAUAAAAAUUAGGAAACUUUAACAAAAAACUCCAAGUACUGUUCAUUUUAACAAAAAAUCACAGUUUUACACUAAAAAGUCAAUCCUGGUAUUACCCUUUAUUUUGUCAUUAUCGUUAAAACUUAAAUUUUCAAGCCUUUUUCAUUAAUUUUCCUUAAAAAUUAAAGAAAUAUAGCAUUACAACAUGAAGAAAUCGGUCGAAAAAGGCUCAUCCUUGAAAAUUUUCUGCCAGGAAUGGGGGCAAACCAGUAAUUUUACGAGCUGCCUAGGAAAUGAAUACAAUUCUCUACUCAAGGAACUGUGAUCCGCUAAUCUAUAAGAAUUAACAAAAAGCUGAUAAAUAUUUACAAUGCCGAUCGAUAUCGAAACCCUUUUGAGACGAAGAAGCAAGUCAAAGAAUGAUGUACACAAAUUGUAAAUUCAUUGCCUCUUUCGCCGUAAACUUUGAUGCAGUUGCCAUGACCAAAUUAUCAAAAAUAUUACGAGGACCGCUCCGGUAGAUGCCCAUAACGUAACAAGCCAAUAUGGCAUUGGCUUAGGAUAUAAUCCUGAUCAAAAGCAACAAAAACAAAUCACGUAGAUUAUUAGCAUCUGACAGUCAAUGGACGAAGAAAUUUCACAAAACAAAGGAACGCGAAGAAAAGGAGGACAUACCAUGUCCAAACUUGAUGCAAAUGAGAAGUUCAAUGAUGCAAAUAGCUACGGAAAGCCAACAAAAUGCCCCAACCUUCUUCGCUGGUUUUCUGCAACGGUAAUUGAGCAAGCGUAAACUACAUCACUACAAAUAAGUAUAUGAUGAAAUGUGGGGGGUGGAUGGGUGUGUGUGUGUGUGUGUGUGUGAGAGAGAGAGAGAGAGAGAGAGAGAGAGAGAGAGAGAGAGAGAGAGAGAGAGUACCGAUCUUGAAGGUAUGAAUUGUACUCGCGAAUUGUCGGAAUUGCAAUUAGCCACCACAGGAUCAACCUAUACACUAUCAAGGGGUUCCGGGGAGGAAUCCAUAAACAGAACUUAAGAAAGAAUGUAUUAAGCUCUACUGUCAUGAAUACAAUGCAAAGAGUGAGGACUUGAAUGAAACGCCAUGGACCAAGCAAGGGAUGCCAUUCGUCCUUGUCCCACUGAGCUGGUGUAAAUUGCCCCAGUGUUCUUUUGACCUGAAACAAUAAAGAUUGCGUCUCCCAAAUCACAAAUUAUAUAAUGAUGCUGAAUGACCCGAAAACCAAUUUCAAAUAAUGUUGUCGAAAUCACAGUAACUAUUUAUUAUGAUUGCAGUGGCUAGAGAAACAUCCCAUGUCAUAUGAUUACUUUCAGUUUAUUAUAACCGCUUCAGUGAAAGGAAAAAAAUAAAAAUCAUCAAGCCAAUUGGCAAAAUUAGCACAUUCAUGGUCAACCAAAAUGUGUAAUUGAAAUUCCAAACAUACUUUUCCAAUAAUAUUCGGCUGACGGCUUAGACCAACCCACUUGUAUGUUUUUCCAUCAAAGUACCUAACCGUAUGCAUUCCUGCCCAGAUACCUGCAAAGCACCCAAUCAGAAAGCUUAGGAGGCUGCAACCAUCAUUUGUAGAUAUACUGAUGUUAGAUACGAUCAAGAACAGUCUGAAUUGUCAACAGGAAGAAGCAUGCUAUUUGCUACAACUUAACAAAAGAAGCACGUUAUAAAGUAAGAGAGUUCUCACCAAACCAGUUGCAGAUCAAAAUGUCAAGAAUGAUACUGUCCCACCAGCAUUCAUUGAAGUUCGGUAACAUAUGGCGGAAGGUAAGCUGAACGUGCCAAAUAAGCUUUCAAUUAAAAUCAAGUAAACCACUCGAGCAUACAUCAAAUUAGGUAUAAGGUCAAGAAACUAACCUCCAUCAGCUCAAAUCCGAUGGAAAGCACCCACAGAAGGGGCUGAUUGCGGAUCAAUAUAGCUUUUCCCCACCACCCAACUAUAUGAGCCACAACAAAUUCAUCAAAAAGUGUUUCCUAGGGAGAAAAGAGAAAGAUAUAUUAUAAGCUGGUAUGUAGAUUGAGAACAUAACGAUACAUGAGAAACAAUUACAAUGGAUGGUGUGAAAGAAGAAAUCAUACAUAAACAUUCUUAAACCUGUUAGUAGGAUUUUCAGGCAAAUAUAUGCGACAAUCAGCACCAUAAGAUUUUUCUGGAAGUUCUGCAUGAAAUCAAGAAAUACAAACAAAGAAUGAAUACCUUGAUCAUGCAGCCUACCCAAGGCAUCCAAAAUAAUUUGAGUAUAAAAUGUUUCCCGAAUCUCAUCCACAUAACAAAUUGAAUAAUAAAGCAUAUCCCUUGUAGCUAAAAUACCAUAUUAAAAGUUUAGAAAAAGGAAUUGCAUGACACAUAAUGAGAUCAGAAAGUUUAAUCUUAGAAACUUAUCAGCUAAAGUUCCAUGUUAAUGGUAUUUGAAAGAAAAAUUUAAACUGCAUUACCAACACCAAGAUCUGGAUGGAGAAACUUCAUAAACUGCCGAGCAUGGUCACGUUUCUGUAAAGCGAGAAACCAAAAAUAACUAUCACAAAACUGAAGACAUUAGAACUUCCAACAAACAAACUUCCAGGUUUUUAUACAUGCAUAUACCAACAUACAUACAUGUAUACACAAACACAGAAAAAUCGCAUAUAUAAUAAUACAAAAAUAACAAUAAUAAAGAGAAAAAUUUACCUGGAAAAGCAAAAAUGUGAGAGAAAUAAGGUAAACAACAGCCAUUCCAUGAACCAAGCGCCAAAUUGCAGGAUGUGGUCUGAUAAGAACCCUGUAUGAAACAUAAUAGAGCAUAAAGCUAACAAUUCCUCACCAGUAUACUACUGUGAAUGCUAGUAGCAAAAGCAGUACUUGCAUAUAGGAAAAACAAACAAGGAAAAGUAAAACCAAACAAACAUUUAUCUCCAUAUAAACACUUUUAUUCCCAUUCAUUACCAAAACAACCAUCCAGUAGAAUAUUAGCAGAACCAUUAUACAACUAGAUCAAUCCAAGAACUUACGUAGACGGGGCUUGCAGCAAGCAAUAAGCAAGAAAAACUGCAAUCAUCGCCCAUACACCCCUGCAGGAAAAGAGUGGGCAUGGGAUUUGUAAAAGGUAAGUAAGAGAACACUGUCACCAAAUGUCAAGAUGAGCUAACCUUUUUACGGAUGUAACAACAUCUCCAGAUGCACUGCUUUCUGGGUCUAGGGCUCCACUUACCCAACUGGUACAUUUAAACAAACAACAAGAUACAGAAACCAAUUAACCAAUUGUGUAAGACGAACAUAGAUCACAAUUGCUUCAAUAAUGCAUAACUGUAUAUGAGACCUAAGGUCUGGGAUGUGGGGGGUAAAUGCUCUACCACUGGAGGCUACAAGCAGUCCCCCCCCCCCCCCCCCCCAAAAACAAAAAAAAACACAAUUAAGAUAGGGGUAAGGCAUGCUAAUUUUUAACCGUUGCUAUAAUCGUAUGUUGUGCGUGAACGAAAAUUCAUCAUGUGAGGGGGUAAAUGCUCUAACACUGGAGGCUACAAGCAGUUCCCCCCCCCCCAAAAAACAAAAAAAACACAAUUAGGGGUAAGGCAUGCUAAUUUUUAACCGUUGCUAUAAUCGUAUGUUGUGCGUGAACGAAAAUUCAUCAAAUAACCAGAGAGGUGCAAUGUUAAACCUAAAAAAUAGAGUACAGAAACAUAAAAUAACUCAAUUACGAUAGAAAAAUAAAUUCUGUAAGCCUAAUAGAGGGACCUAACAGCACCAUGGCAUCACCUAUGUCAGUGGAUAGACAAUUUGACAUGCUAAUGCUAAUGCAAUCACAUAAACUUGAAAUCUAACAAUUCAACUAUUUCUAUUUGACAACUGCAAGAAGAAGAAAAUAAAGGCCAUGAGAAUACUACUCAACAGUGAGAAAAACCAUCUGAUGCCAAUAGCUUUGGCAGGAAUUGUAGUAAAUAAUGCAGAAUGCCAGAAGCAUUUAGUUUGCAAUCCAUAAAAACAAAGGUAAACCUACAAUUGUUAUAGAGAAUCUACUUAGUGGAAGGAGCACUCACAUAAGGAAACAUGCGCCAAUAAGCAGCAUCGAAAUGGUCCGAGGCUUGUAUGCCCAUGCAGUCCAUGGAUCCAGUUCAUCGCCUGUAUUUGACUGACCCAUGUCACCAUUUUCUAGAACAUCCUUUCUCCUCACUCUCCUGUGACCAUUAGGCUCCAUCAGCCUCGAAUACAAAGACGCCAACUUGUUCGCUACACAUGUAACAUUAUUAAGGUUAUUAUAUUUGCAUGAUAAGUACAUUAUUCAUGACCCAAUUUUAAUAAAUAUGCAUGUGGUAGUUCUUAAACACAUAAGCUAUCACAGUAUCACUAAGUUCCACAAUAUCUCAGCUGUAAAAAGAUUUAAGUUUUUUUUUUCUUGAAAAGAACUCAACUUUAAAAAGAACAUGUCAUAUCGAAUCCCCAUCCUCCCGAAUAGGUUCCUAACUCUUAACACAAGAUUACUGCCAUUGAUGUAACAUAAAUUUCCAAGAUAGAAAGAUUAGUGGCGAUUGAUGAAAAUCUAAAGCAAAGGCCAAAAGCGAAAGUUAUUGUCCCGUUUCAUAAAGGCUCCAUUCAAAAUAAGAAUGUGAUUCCGUGUAAUGUUUUGAAUGUUACAAAGCAGAUAUUCGAUUCCCACUGAGUCCUACAUGUUUGGGACACAGAUUUGAGAAAGAAAUGGAAAAUCUAGUCAGACACAAUUUGAUGCAUCUUGCCCUACAUAAAGGUACAGUCCCUACAGGUUGUCCUACAGUUUAAACAUCCAGCACCCUUAUACAGUAACUAUCCUCUUCCACACAAAAUUUCCCCCAUAAAAUUCCACCUAUCCUUACUAGAUAUUUACACAUUCAGCAGCAGAAACUUUCAGAAACAAAAUAUACAACAAUCGCUCAAUUAAUCAAGUAUAUAGACCACUUCCACCUACAAACACCAUCUAAAGUUCAAACACACCCGAUUUGCCCGCAGUUUCAGACUUCCGAGGGUAUUUGAUUUGGACAAGCGAAGAUCUGUUUAUAUCUAAUAUUUCAAACUAAAGCAAGAUCAUCAACAAUUCUUCCCCACUCUUAACCCAUGUGUGCAUAGGGAACAAGAUCCUCAGACCUAAUCCCUACAAUAAGCAUCUAUACUCAAAAUUCUUAACCUAGUUUUGUAACCCCAGUAAACAAAAUAAGUUCUACACAUCCUAGAAUAAACGCAUUAACAAUUCUGCACACUGAAAGGAACUAACUAAGCUUAAUAGUUAACCAAACCGUGCCACCGGAACCUAAAAAAAUCUGAUAAGGUAUACAAGCAGACACACACAUACAUAUACAAGAUCAAAUUUAGCUGCAGACAACAGUAACGAAAAAUACCCAUCAAGCAAUUUUCGAAAUUUACGGUUUCAAAAGCUAUAAAACACUGCUUUGAUCAUGUGCUUAACAAGCAGCAAACACACUCACUAAACGAAAUGCAGAAACACAGAUACUCUGAGCGGAUUUAAACAGAAUAAGUAAAUCGGAUACCAGCUGUUGAAAUCGAAAAUCCCCAUAUCAGCUAACAAGUCAUAUAAUUCGUUAAGUUCGAAUGAACAAAAGCUAUAAAUCAUUGCAAUCGAAAUUUACGGUUUCAAAAGCUAUAAAUCAUUGCAUGUUGGAAAUAAUCAAAGAUUAAGUGUCAGAUUCAACAAAGAAAACAUGGGUUUUUUUAAUAAAUGAAAAUUCGUUCAAGUUCGAAUGAACAAAAGCAUAAAAAACGUAAGAUUAUGCAGAUACAAGAUAAAAACAAAUGAAAAGAACACAGUAAGUGUGUAUAUAUAGUGAUAUAAAAAUACCCAAGUACGUACAUCAGCGUAGAAAGAGUGAAGAGAGAAAGGUCGGUGAAAAAGGCUACGUAUUUGAAGAGGGAGAAGUACUUACGUAGAGAAAUAAAGGGGAGGUGGCCGUACGAAUGGAGGACGAGAAGAUCCUGGCCGUCGGAUCAGAGCUUUUUGGAACUUUGAAUAGACCGAAAGCGUGACCGCACAGAGAGAGAGGGUGUUAAAUUAUGGAGAGGGAGAUAAGUGAUGUACUUAAACAGAAAAAGAUUUGCAUUUAAUCAAUCCAAUCCACGAUGUGCCAAGCUUCUGCAGUGCCAGAGAGAAACAAAAGUGAGAGAUAAGAAAAGGAUCAGUCUUUCUCUCACUCUCUCUCUCUCUCUCCCCUCCUACUCUCUCUCUUCUUUUUCUCACAACACAGAGGAGGUUUUCUCUGCAACAGCGGCGAAAAGACGAUGGGAGAAAACCCAAAAAAAUAAAAAAUCUGGAAAACCGAUAUAUAAAUAUUUAUAUAUUUAUUUUACAGAGGAGAGAGAGAGAGAGUACGACGGUCAAAGGAGAUUCGAAGACGUGUCAGCAGAGAAAAUAAAAGGGGAAGAGAUUUUGAAAAUGUUUUUUUGUUUUUCAGAUGCGGUUGGAUUUUGAGAAGGGGUGUGAUAUCUAGACAUUUUAUUUUACUUUUCACAUAUUUUUUUUAUUUUUGACCGUCGGAUUGGAUGAAUUGAAGAAGAUCAACGGAUAUAAAUUAUCAAAGGGUGUGUGAAAAGUAAAAUAAGGUGUGUGGAUAACACAUCCCAUUGAGAAUUGAUAACUUGAGAGAAAAAGGAUGCGUUAUGCCGAAAGUACCCCUGGGGAUCUUCUUUAAUUGCGGUAUAUUACCAUUGAUGAUCCAUUGAUUUUUUUUUCUUUUUCGUAUGCUAGGGGCUGUUCCUCUAUUCUAUUCGAGAGAUAAUACAAAUAAAUAAUAAAUGCAGUAUUACGCUUCUCAUCAAGCUUUGCUUUAAUUUUGACUCCCUUUAAUAUUUUUUUUUAACGUAUGAUGGAAAUCUUUUUGAUAUUGGCUUUCGAGUUUUGAAUCCUUUAUUCUGAUUACGUUUGAAAAAAUCAAAUGUUCGAAUAAUAUUAUUUAUUUGUUACAUUUUAAUUUUAAGUUAACUCUAAACAGUGUUAGAUUAUAUUGGUGGAUUUAUGUUGCGUCAACAAAAACAUGGCAAUGUCGGAUGUAGCCGUUACUCUUUUGUGGGAGCAUGAAUGGUCAGAAUCUAUCUACACGUGUAGUCAAUUGAUCCUAACAUGUGUGACAUUGAUUGUUGGAUUACAUUGGGAAUUAACUCCAAACAUCGACAAUGCUAAUUUUGAUUGUUUCUAUUUUGUGGGUGUAUGAUCUGCUAGCACGUGUAGUCAAUUGAUUAUGAUAGUCGUUAAGAAAUAUUUGUGACAUUAAUAGUUGAUUACAUUGGGAUCCAACAUUAUACUGGUUUUGGUCGAUCCUAUUUUAUGGAUGCAUGAUUCGUCCGCAAGUGUUCAAUUGACAAAUAGCAUUCAUUUUGAAAACAUUGUGCUUCAACCUUGUAAAUGAAAACAUCAACAACGUUGAUUUUGACGGUUCUUAUUUGCUGAACCUGCAAUUCAUUUGAGUGUAAUGUUAGGAAGACUAAAUUGUAAACAAAAUUGUGUAGACUGAAUGACAUGUGAGUUAGUAAUUGAAUUAUUACUUAAACGUUGAUAAAUGUGCUUAUUUGUAUUGGUGACACAUCAUUUAAUUUGUAAAUUUUAUCUUUAAAUUUAGUCUUUUUCGCAUUACCCUUCACUUAAAUGUAUAAGUGAUUGAUCAUAACACUCGUGAUGGAAACAUUUGACACAUUGGGGGUUGUGUAUAAAUCAAUUGCUUCAAAUAAAACAAUGAAUAAUUAAAACUUUGGACUGAAAUUUGACUAAAAGAAGAUAAGACGAGUAGCACACGGGUUGCUCUCAAUUGCCCAUGUGAUGAUGAGAAGGGCCUCCGGGCCACGACACUGCAAAAGAGUCAUCGACGAGAGAAAGCAGAAGCACUCGUGACUCGUGAUUAAUUGAAUUCACUAGUCGAAUAACCAACACCAUGUAACCAUCUCUCUGAAAACGAAGUCUAGCAGAAACAACAAACUUUAAACCCUUUCGCCACCGGCCUCCAGCUCCUGGUUGGGGCCGGUGGCAGCCACCCUUUCAAUUUUUGUUUUCAUCUUCCUCCCUCUUUCUUUCUCGUACUGCGAUGGUCUCGGUUCCUGACGUGGAUGGAGAUUUAUCCCCAAGCGUUUUGUCCCUCCCCGCAACUGCGAUCACCUCGAUCCCCUUCAUGGAUCGGCGGAGCAACCUGCCACCUACAUGUGGUAUGGACGGAACUUUGUUUCCGGGUUUUGUGCCCAUGUUUCAAGGUCCUAAUCCUUUGAUUUGGGGUUUUUGGGAUUAGAUUUGGGGUUCUUGGGGCUAUGAGCUCAAACAGCUCCAAUACUUUGAAUCUGCUCUCCAAUUCCUCAUACCCGCCAUUGCCUUCCACUCCAGUUUUGGGGGAUUUCAUCUCAUCUCUUGUAUGUUGCUCCUGGUCAGAGACAACUACAUGUUGUCACCCCUACAAAGGUCUGGUAUCUCUUUAUAAUGGUGUUUACACCACCUGACCAUUUUUGUUACAGCUUGGUUCUGGGCAUUCGCUUGCGUUUGUGUUCGUCUGAGGACUGGAUUUGUGGCGUUCAGGAUGGGUUUGGUUCUUCCUGAUCUGCAAGUUGGGCUUCUUUUCACCAACUUUGAAGCAUUGAUGGGUUCUUGUAUUGCACUAUGCGGUGGUAUCUCUCAGUUUUUCUGUUCGCCGGUCGUCUCCAUCUUUUCUGCGGCGGGUGAUCUUCGUUUUAGGGUGGUCAUAUUUUUUAGAAGGGCCACUUUUGUGCCUCUUCGGGUGGACUCUAGCUUUUGGGCCGAGCCACAUCUCUUGUAAUUUUAGGUAUAUUUGAGAACCGUUACUCAUGCGAUGAAUGCAUAAGUGACGUAUUAGUUGUACCUACCUCAAUUAUGGGGAUAUUGUCUUUGUACGGUGUCCGUUUGGACUUUGUUAUAAAAUUCCUCCUUGACCAAAAAGAAAAAUCAAACUACCAAACCCCACUGAAAAGGGUAGCCUUACAUUCUAUCCAUGUGUUAUUAUGUUUGUAUAUAUUUGAAUAAGUUGGUGAAGGAGAUUUGGAUUUAGUGACUAUCUCUUGGUUCAGCAUUUCUGAUUGACAAAAUUUGGUUAUGGUGUGUUUUUGGUCGAGGGUUUGUAAUUUUUAUGUUGCAAUGUCUUGGUCGAAUCGAUCAGUCGGUUGUUUUCUAUACUGUUGUUGCCUUGGUGGCUGUUGGAAAUACGUUUGUGGUGACGGCAGUAGGUGCUGCUUUCUGCACUUGGAAAAUAGAGAUUAGGGUUUUGGUUUUUGUUUGUUUGGUUAUUGGACUGGCUUUUGUGUAUUUGAAUUCUCUUACUGUGUGUUGAGUUAUAUUGUCUUCUUUUGAGUUGGCCUGUAAUAUUUUUUCUCCUUAAUAAAUAUUACUUUUCAAGAGGAAAAAAAAAACCUACUCAGAAAGAAAACGACAAAAAAAAAAUAGAAACCCAUGUGACUUAAAAAAAGAAUGCAUUUUCCAAGAUGUAAGUAGAGACCAUUCGCCGCACGUAAUUAACUUCGAAAAUCCAUCUCCCCACAGUGUUGUGUACAGUCAAAGCAUAUUAUUAACUCUUUAGAACAAGUUGGUGCUUGUUCAAAAGUUGGUCUAGGACUCUAGGUUAGUAGCUGAAGACUGAAGUGGACCACUUGUUUGAGAAUUUGACAACUGAGGGGCCGUUCUAAACUUCUAAACCAUCAAAAGCAUUUUAUAAUACUGAUUAAAAAACACUUAUACUCGUAAACGGUUGUAUUAGAAGGAAAAGACAUGGAUCUUCAAGGAUUUAGGAGGAAUUCUUCUUCAAGAUAUCUGUUUAUGGAACUUCGUGACCGUUAACGAAACCGUUCGUAUUCAAAAAUUAAUAUUUAAAGAUAAUUUCUACAAAAAAGAAAACAAAAAGAUCUUGUAAUCAUUGAAUAGUAUAAAAGUAAAUGUUUGGUAUUGAUAAAAAUAUUAUGAAUCGUCUAUUUAUAUAUUAUAUUUGAUUUACUAAACAACUUUAAUUUCAAUUGAUUGUUUGCACAUAUGAUCUUUAUAUAUUAAUUUUUAAUAUAAACAGUUAUGAUUAUUAGCACGAAGUUCUGUGAAUCGAUCACAAAGUAUCUUGAGGAGAAAAUCCUCCUCAAAUUAAGGAGUUAAGCUUUUUUAUUAUUAAACACUGUUUAAGUGUUUCUUUUUCAAAAAGUGCUUUUAUGACACUAAAAGCAUGUGUUGGUUGCCAUAAAACACUUUGAACCCUACUAUAAGCAUUCACAAACAGACCAUUAGCAAAAGUUCAAGCAUUGCAUAAAGAAUCACUUGUCUCGUGUAGCAAGUAAAUAAUUUUAAGUUUUUUUUAUUAACGUAAUUAGAAACACUUUCAGUUAUGUUUUUAAUCAUUAUGGACGAAACAUGAGAUAAUCCCACAUGCUUUAGGUGAUUUUGUGCGAAAUGAUUAAUGAAAUUAAUCAAGAUUAUGCAUCAAUCAGUGACAAGAUAUUUCAUCAAUACUAAAGUACUUUCUUGGAAUGUUGUGGGGCUACUUGAUUAGUGUGAGUGGAUGUGGUCCGUGUCCAUUGAUUUGAUGAUGAUGAAGAAUCGCGUGGGUUCGGGAUUUCUCUACCGAAUCGAUAAGAGAACGGGAUAAUUGAGAUUAUAAUAAUAAUCAUAAUAUUAUUAUAAUAAUAAUAAUUAGUAGUUGAUGUUCUAUUCGUAACAAAAAGUACGAUAUUCAGUGAUACGAAAAAGAAUACGUACAUAUAGGAGGGUAGGGGUCAUUUAAUAUGGACCUCAAUAAAAAUUGUUGAAAUGUCCCACAUCGACCGUAUCAAUGACAAAAAGAAGAGUUUAAAUAUCAUAAUCCUACUCCAACUAAUACCGACGCAUUUUGUAUUAAAAUCUCACACCUGACUGAUUGAGCAGGUGGCCAAGUGGGGACAGUAUCGGUAUUGUUGGAGUGGGCACAUGGCCCGUCUACCUGAAAUUUAAGAUGGUAUCAGAGCCAGGGAGCGAGCCCGUACCGUAUUGCCAAGUGAUGGGUGGGUCCCCUUGGCCCCGCACGAUGAUGGUGGGUCCCUUGGCUCUACGUGAUUGUCGAUGUGUGGAUCUCUCACGUGUGACCUGCUAAUUGGGUCCCACGUGAGGGGGCGUGUUGAAAUGUCUCAUAUCGACCAUAUCAAUGACAAAAAGAAGAGUUUAAAUACCCUAAUCCCACUCCAACUAAUACCGAGGCCUUUUGUGAUAAAACCUCACACCUGACGGAUUGUGCAUGUGGUAAAGUUGGGGAUAAUAUUGGUGUUGUUAGAAGUGGACCGUAUGACCCGUCUCUCUGAUAUUUCUACAAAAAUUUUGUCAAGAAUUUCAACGUGAUCAAAGAGAAAAAGAACUUUUCAUGCUACCAAAUUACAAAAUUGUACUAUCCUCAAAAGUAAGAUAUGUGAUUGCAUCGGAGUUCCUCAAACCAAAUCAUUUGUUGCUCUAAACCAAAUAAUUUGAUGAUCUAAAAUGACAGUCCCAAUCGUGCCAGCCUAUGAGCGACCUUGUUUGCCUCCCGUCGAGUACGAGAGAGCUUGGUUUGAAUGAAAAUAGGAAGAAUAAUCCAGCUGGUGGUACUGCUACAAAAUAAUACUGCGUUUUUGGGAAUAUUUGCUUUUGAGUUCUUCCACAUCAACUAUGAAACUACAGCGUUUUGGGACAUUUCAUUAUCAAGACAUGGCUCCACCUGUGACUUCGUCCAACCCAUCCCUUUGUUGUACACUACAUACCCCUACAUGGAACAUGGUGCAUGUAUUUCUAUUGUUUUGUUUAUUGAUACGAGAUAUUUGACUUCCGAAUUCCCUUCAAAAUAAUCGAGAUUGUUGACUUCAAAACUUCCUCCACCAGCCCCUUCCUUUGUUGUACGCACCUCCAUCGUACAUGCAUUUCUUUGUUUCGUUUCUUUUCUAUCGAUCAACGACGGAGUGUGUGUAAAAUUUAACUUUAGAACCUCCUCUAACAUGAGGGUAAUUUCAGCAAGGUCACAUGAUUAAGAAACUCUUACACCAGAUGAGAAUGUCAAGUGAUACCAAAAUACAAAAAAAGUCAUAUGCUUUUGCGAGAGUUGUUUCACAAAUGGCGUGAUCGGAUAUUCCUCGACAGUUUUAUACAUCAAACAGUAUCAAGACCUUGUUUAAUAGGCUCCUCCUUUUUCUUAGUAUAUAUUUUUUUCUACCCCAAAAGUUUAGGCUUUGUUAAAUUAACGUCACGGGAUUCACAAACCUGUGAUGUGCGAUCGGACGAAGUGGCCCAAGGUUGUGCUCCCCUUGCACAUAAUCCACCCACGCACUUGCAUUCUUGAUUUGUAUUUUUAUUCGAGUUCAUGAACAUAUAAGGGCCAACGGGGUCCGCCAACCUUACUUCCUUCGACUUCGGUUUGCUACCGGCUCCAACAACCGAACAGCGUAACGACGACGAAUGCGCUCCCUCCUCCCUCACAUGUUUCUAUCGUUACGAAAUUAUCACAUCAAUUUGUUAUGAAAUGAGUGCACGAUGUGAUUGAUGUUUUAAGAAUAAAAUAUUAUAUAUAUAUAUAUAUAUAUACAUAAUUUAACGUGUUACAACAUAAAUAAAAUAUUAAAAUCAGUACAACCGUUGGGGACAUUAUGAUUUGAGACUUCAAGGAGACUUGAGAGCUUCAUUUGGGCAAAAGAAAGAACCAGUCGUUGUCGCCUCUCUAAAUAUUUACCCAAAAAGCAACACGCUUCAUUUUUUAUGUGCCCUAACGUUCUAUAUAUAUAUAUAUAUAUAUAUAUAUAUAUAUAUAUUAUUAUUAUUAUUAUUAUUAUUAUUAUUUUUCUUAGGAACAUGAUGGUCGCAUAGACAAUUUGGACAUGAAAAGGGCAGAGAUUUCCCAGCCUGUCCCAUGCUCGUACCAUAUGGUUCAGAUUUCAUAUUCUUUCAACCUAAUCAAUAACAGCCUAGAUCCCCGACAGCCAUAUCGAUGUCGCAUUUCGAGGAAGAAGUGGGAUCGAAAUUUGCCUUCUGUGGUUUUCAUAUUUUAAACAAUUAAUUUAAUUUUAUCAUCACAAAAUGCAAAUGAUGCUUCGAUUGCCUGUGGCUGGGAAGAACAAGGCUUCCGUUUGUUAGGUCAAGAUUUGUUGUAAGAUCACAUACAGACCGACUACACUGUCACGGUUGUGUUAUAUUGCUCCUGAUCAUGAACGGCAUUGCAACAAUGUAUCUGGUCCAUCUAAGUUGCUUACAAGAUUUUUGCCGAGAAGUUAUUUUAAUUGGAAGGAAUUGUGGUCCCUUUUCUUUCUUUUUUCUUCAAAAAAGAAAUAGAAUAUGUUUUAAUAACCGAAAUCAAAGACCCAUCAGCGGUUUUAUCUCCUAUGUUAAUUUAAUUUUCAGUCACAUGCAGGAAGUCGUCAUGGGCAAUUGGGUAUGGAUAGGUUCCCACAUGCAAACAUGUAAAUUUGUAACACUCUUUGCUUACUCAAGUUUGACAGCACUACGAGAAAAAACUCACCUAUCUCAUGUUGCAUGCCGCUUUCUGUUUCAUGCAAGUUUCUCUCUGCCAUUGGUGCGCUUGACCAAUUAGGGAGUCCAAAUAUAACCGGGUUAAAUCCAACCGGAGCAAUUUCACCGCAGUUAUACUAUGAAUAUACUGGGAGCCAUUAGGGUUUUUUUUUUUUUUUUUUUUUUUUUUACAAGGAGCUGGUUAUUAACAAGAGGGAUGAAAAGAAAGUUACGAUUACAGUACAAUAGCCUUGCAAGCUAUCCAGAAGAAUAAUAUGUUACAGCAAAGUGAAAAUCCGAUCCGGCGAUGGCGUGCGAAAUCACCUUUUUUUACUUGUGUGAAAGCGUUGUGUAUAUUUCUCCUUGACACUUUCUAAGUACUGUUCAACUACAAUUGCACCCAUCUUUGAUAAGCUCUCCUGGUCACCAUCAGUGUCUUGAUCCAAAUGCAACAACUGAAAUGGCCAAAACAUGUCGAUUUCCGUGUCGUCAACUUUAGCUCGAUGUAGCUUUGUGUCCCGAGGCAGAUGAUCCACCAAGCCAAAACCAACCACAAGUUUGGCACCUCGGAUACUAUUUGUUGGUGAUGUCUGAUCAAAUGUGGGUGUAAAAGAAUGUAGAUAAAAGGCCAGAUCCGCUGGCUUUUAUAUGGUGAUAAUGCUGCCCGACCUUUACUGUUUUCUGCGGCAGGUAGCAAGUCGGACAUUGCGACCACAUUAAUUCUAAGUCUCUCCGAAGCAAGCGCCACAAGUUGUGCUCACCGCUCUCUCAUACAGUCCUUUUUCGAGAGGGAAAAUCGGCAAAUAGUUGAUUUAAUUGUGGUCCUUUUUGCUUCUCUUUAACAUCAUUGACAUGUGAUUGAUGUCCUCAUGGCCCAUUUGUGUUCCACUCACCAGCCACUGAAUGGCCUCCGCUGCCGCAUCUUUUUCUGCACUCUUCUUGUUGUUACAUGGGUGGCCCAUAAUUUGCAUUCCGUUAAACUCCACUGUAGCUCGGAACUGGCUGUUCUUCAGUUGCAUAGUUUUGUAGGUAGGAGCGUUGUAUCCUGCUCGUGUGAGCAAUGUCUGGAGCUGACUCUUAGAAUUGUCACCCCCGGGUCCACUUUCAGUUCUUGAAACCAAGGCUGGCUGUGCUGCCACCACAGAUGGCUUUGACUUUGAGAGUGCAAGGACCUGGCGGCCAAAUACAAAUCUACCUUCGCCUUGAUCCUCCGAAAGCAGGAACCGCAUUGCAGAAAGAAGUUCAUGGUAACUGUGUGUGUCCAUCCUGGGGUUCAGUAGCUGUUCAGGAUUCACAAUAUUCGACAUUAGCCAGAGGUAACAUGCAGAGAAAAUAUAUUCAAACCUCACAUCAACUGCAACUGGGAAAGUAAAUUAGAAAGAGACCCGAAAUAAUAAAAUAUAUAUUUAUACAUAAUAAAUAAGUAAACUAUAAGAACAGAAACAAGGUCAAAACUUAGGAGAAACUAAGUUCGUAAUAGCUUCACUUACUUUGAUUUGAAUUAACUGGUCAAGUUCCCCUUUUAAGCAUUGAUACAUUUCUGCUACAGCAGGCUUCAUGAAGAAUUCCAAAUAUCCUCCCAGCAUUUUCAAGUGUCCAUCCUACAAGAACAGGAAAUAAAUCACACUAUAUCACUAAAUAAGGAGCAAUAACGAUAACAGAAAACAGACAUAAUCGAGCAUGCAUAAGUAUGUCCCCACUCCCACAAUCAGAAAAUAAGUUACUUGACACAUCCAGAAAACAACAGAAACGAAAUACGUACGGUAUCCCCUUUCGAAAAACUUCCACCAAAUAGGAGGAGCACUGAGUCAGACACAGCUGUUGAAUCCCGUAGGAAAACAGAGUUCACCUUUAUCUUCUCAUUGAAAACCAGCCACGGAUAUGGAAUUUUGGAAUCCCUAGCAUUGACAGAGUUCUAAACAAAUGAAAAAGAACAUGAGAUUAAAUAGAAACAGAAUUGGGGCCAUAUUUUUCUUAAAUCUAAUGCACAAGAAUGCUUACCGAGUAUAGCAGCACCUGCCCAUCCUCCAUUGUUUUCAGUGAAAAUGACUUCUCAUUGUGCUGCAUAUCAAAUUAUGCAAGUCCUCAAGAAAAUUAUACAAGAAUUCAAUCAUGCUUAUGUGUAUCGGAGAAAUCAUACACAUGAACUCACCAACAAACACUGAAACUGAUAAAGCAAUUUCAGUUACAUUCGUAUGGCUAACUUAACUUUCUUCCCAAUUUGAUUAGUAAGACAUGGGUUAAUCAUGAGAUAACCAUCAUGAAUCCAACAGAGGGAGGAGAGUGACAGCAUAAAUUUUUUAGAGAAGUGAACAGCUUAUAUCUUGCUUAAUUAUAAUCGGAAGGAAAAGAAAAUGGAUCUGUGCUUACCACAACAGAGCAGAUUCCAGGAUACAGGCCACAGCAAAUAACUGCACGGACGAGAUGCUCAUCAUAACUCCAUGCGUUAUGAGUGGUGGUGUUGGCAUCAACAAGAUCAGUAUCCCUAAGCAAAGAGAAGAACUCCUUCCUAAGGGAAUCAAUAGCUUUCAUCGAUUGUGCUGAAAGAAAAUUCUUCCAGCAAUAGUCAUAUCCAGCAAAGUCUCUUUCAGCAACCUUCCAGCCCUCAUAGGCCCGCACAAGUGCAAGGUGAUCACUAUUAUCUCGGGAAAACUGAGAUUUUGCAGCCUCAGCAAGCUACAAAGACAAACAAAUACAAUAACCUUAAAUUGUUUCCAAUGAUAAUGACACAGUGGCAAAUUAUAAAUCUGAUGCAACUUUACGAUCUUGCACCUCCACCCAAAAAGACUAAAACAAACUUCAGCCAACAAAGCAUUUAUCUCAAUUUGCCUCCACUCCAGUUCUGUCCAAGAAAUAAAGAGCAUGAUAGAUAUAAUGAGAAUGGAGAGUGGCUUACGUCUUUCUUGUCAAAUGGUGUUAGGAAAGGAUCUCUGACACUAAGCCCAGAAACAAUAGUCAAAACUGGAUCCAGGCAGUUGAAAAUGGCGCCUAGCAAGAGCAUCUUUCCAAGUUUUGGCUCCACAGGAAGCAUAGUUAGAUAGCGUCCUGUCAAGUGAUUUCGACUUUAUGACUUUCAAAUUUAAUCUCUCAGCCAUUACAAAGAGUUGCAAGCAUCACAGUGCAUAAUUGAAAUAAUACAUAUCUUCCCACCUAAAACAGUCAGAUUCUCUUUCUCAUCCAAGGCCCCAGUGAUCUUUAAAUACUCUAUGGCGUUUUGCACCUGUAAAAGAUAUCAAGAGACAAAAUGUGAAUUGCAGACAAGCAGCAAAAUGUGAGUGAGAAUAAGCACAACAUAAUUUCAGGAGGAACAAUUUGGGGUAAGCCUUGAGCUGCACGUGUGCAGGGUGCAACUAAAACACCAUAUGCCACUAAGAUAUCAUGACAGACAUUAAUAAGCAUCUGCACUAAAUGCUAAGGAAUUAACAAGCUUAAUUAGCGCAAGAAAGUAGAGCUACAAUGAAAAGCAAAUUACAGCUAUUCUCAAUAAGCUUUUCAGCAACAAAAAAUUGUGCAACUGAAGAUUUAAGUUAAAAUAAUAUUAGGUAGAUAAAUAUAAGAUAGACUUUUACCGCAAGUAACUCUGGUGACUGCAGAGCCCUAGAUAAGAACUCAGAAAUGCUUCCGAGGUUUAAACUUUUUAUUUGCAGACACAGAGACUGCAGAGGUGUCCUCAAAAUCUCUGGUAACUGAUACUCUGCAAAUGCGUCAUACACACAUCUAGGAUAGAGAUGAUAACAUUCCCCGGGCUGGACACGUCCUGCUCUUCCUCUUCUCUAUAAUAUAUAAGCAGAGAGGAGCGUAAUUAAUCAAGGUAACAGACUGAAACUUGAAAUGUACUGAACAUUAAGGAAAAUCAAAGUGGCCCACAUGAAAUCACAUAAGCAUGCACACACAUAUAGAAAGAACAACAUGUAAAUAAGCGUUUAUAGCCUGUCGCCCCUGUUGGGUGUUUAGUGUUUACACAGAAACUCUAAUGAUCUCAAGAGAAUUAUAAAGUAAAAAUGUUAAUUUAAUGGAAAUUGUAAUUACAAAAAUAAUUUCUGCUACUCAUUCUACCACACAUGCAUGCACACAAUGAUGUAGGUCAACAACCGAGGAAUAGAUUUCAUCUAAGAGACAAAAAUCUUCAGCCAGAACACAUCCUUACUUGUUGGGCAGAAACCUUGGAAAUCCAGGAAGGAAGUAAACAAGGAGUAUUAUUCAGUGCGUCAUAUGAAGUCUCUUUUGCCUUUCCACAAUCAAGUACAAAAACAACAUCAUUAAUCGUGAUGCUUGUCUCAGCAAUAUUAGUAGCCAGCACUAUUUUCCUCACUCCAUCCUCAGGCUCAUCAAAUAUUAACCUCUGCAUGCAGUCAACAUGGAAAUGAUAAAAAAAAAGAAGAGAAACCACCAUAUGAAACUGGCCUAGAAAGUAGAUUUGGUAGUAAUUCUUUCAUUCAAUAAAGGUGAAGACAAAUUAUGGCAGUAGUAAUUAAUUAAUUACCAUUAACUAAAAUAAAUGCCUGAACAGCAUACUACAAGCAUACGCAAAUAAAUUAUGCUAGAGAUAGUACAAUUAUCAGGGCAUUAAAAAAUUACCUGCUCAGUACUCGCCAUAGAACCAUGGCAUGCUAGUAACAAGACUCGGCUUGGAUCACCUAAUAGAGGAUUGGCAUGUAACUUUUCCUUCAGAGAAUUGAUGUCAUCCCACCCAGUCAUAAAAACUAGAAUGGCACCUGGCUUUUCACUCUCACAGAUAUUGCACAAGAGAUACUCGAUGAGAUAAAAACCAAUACCAUCAGGAUUCCAACAUGCUAGAGACUCCUGAGUCUGUAGACUAUACCCCUUAAAAUUGGCUGCUUUAAGUGCAUCCUGAAUACAUUACAUGAGGGCAAAAAUGAGAAGACAGAAAAUGAAAAAGAACAAAACCAUUUAUGCAGUAACUUGUAUACCUCAACAACAAAAGCAAUUUGGCUUUUCCUCUUUCUUGGUGCCUGUUUGCUCAUUUUCCACAUCUUAUCUUGACCAUAAUCAUCAAUCUGAUUGUAUGGAGUUAAUUUGCAGCCCGUAAUUUCCAGAACAUCCUCCAGAAAAUGAGUUUGAACUGGAUAUGUAAAACCCUAGUUUAGAGGGAAAGCAACAAAGAUAGACAAACCAUAUCAAACAUUAAUAUCUAUCUCCACAAUCGUCAUUAAGACUUCCCUCAUGAAACAAACAGAAAUAUGCAUUAAUGCAUAACACCCCUCAAAUAUAAAAGGUAAUACACAUUGUUAACGGAAAUGCACUGGAAUUUUAAACUUACUGGAACAUGAAUUAUCUGAGCUCUACCAAAGUAGGAUGAGAAAAGCUCAGAAUCUAGGGUUGCACUCAUCAAAAUCAGCCUCAGUUCUGGUCGCCGAGGAAGGAGAUCCUUGAGAACAAUAAGCAGAAAAUCUGGCAUCAAAUUAUUACAGUGAGAAAUCACCCUUCAUAUUGAAAACUUGAAGCCUUGAUCUAGCUCUAAUUUACCUUCAUUCAUUCCACGUUCAUGAAUUUCAUCAACAAUCACAUGAGUUACACCUUUCAAAUUUCUAUCAACUAGCAAUCUUCUCAACAAAAUGCCAGUGGUGCAAAAGAGAAGGCGAGUGUCCCUCCCCUUCAUACCUUCUAAGCGAACCUUAUACCCAACCUAAGACCAAAGGAAUGCAAGGAAAAGGUUAAAAGAAAAAGAAAACAUCAGAGGUUCUUUUUAUCUGAAGGGUAAUAAUUUGAUCAAGUAUCUGAGGAAACUCACCGAGUCACCCAAUUUCUCCCCUCUCUCUGAAGCAACUCUUUCAGAAACAGACAUAGCAGAUAUUCGUCUAGGCUGUGUACAUAUAAUACUACAAACAGCUCCACGAACAGCUUCUAUCUCAGAUUCUAAAAUGAAUUGUGGAAUUUGAGUAGUCUUGCCACAGCCAGUUUCACCUGAUAUGAUAACAACCUACAAGUACAAAAGUGCCAAAAAAUUAUUAUAUUGCCAUGUUACAGACCACCUUUGCAUAAUUGAACUAAAAUAAUUGCGUGAUUCAGCAUGUAUCCAUAUCUACUACCUUACCUUUGAAAACAACCCAAAAGAAAGACAACGACUUAAGAGAGAAAAAAGCUGACCAUCAACACAGGCCAACUACCGAAUUGUAAAACUACGACCAAAGUCAGAACAAACGUCUCACAUGAAUUUUCCUGAAAAUUUAAUUACUAACCUGAUCUCGUGAAAUUGCUGCCAAUAAUGCAUCCUUCUCUUUAUAAGCAGGAAGACUUCUGCGAAGUUCAAGCAUUUUUCUACCUUGAGGAGAUUCCUGAAAGAAAAAAAAUAUUACAAAUACAUAGAACAAAACACAUGAGUCAUCGUAUGAGUUAUAACUGAAUGCAGUCAAUCAUGCAGAGCAAUAUGCCAAGGUAAGACAAACCUGCCAAGCUUGUUGCUUAUCACGCAUCUGCGUACUUGUCCGCCAAAGAAGCUUUUCCAUAACACCCUUACUUGACGCGAAUGAUUCUGGUUGCUCAAAAAGCCCUUCAUCAGUAGCAAUGCUGCCACUACUGUUUGAUAUCGAAAAGGAAAGAUCUUCCUUUGUCCUAGACUUCUGGGAAAGGAACUCUCCAAGAUAUCCCUCAACUCUCCUCAGCAACCCAUGAGGCAAGGUCACCUUUCAAAUUUAAAAACCUUCACUUAAGAACCGUGUAGAAAGAAGUACAAAGAACUCACACAUUAAAAACAUCAUGAGGUGGAGGGAAGCUGUCCUAAACUCCUAGCUAAUCCAUUGUUACAUUUUCAUAUAAGUAAACUAAUCCGUUGGGACAAAUUAAAAUAAGAAACAUGAAGUCAAGAAAUAAGGGUUAUCAACAAAGGGAAUCACCAUUAGCACUGGAACUCAGUAAAUUAAAGGCAGUAUAGAUGGCUGUCAACUUCAAGAGUACAAUAAACAGAAACUUCAACUUUAAGGAAAACAAAACGAUCAGAAUUACCUCUCUCUGAGGGCGCCUAUCAUCCAGAUCAAAUCUGUAGUUUGGCAGUGGGACCUUACUAAAAACAGCAACUUUCGAAUAUAGAUGGCUGUCAAAAAUGCGUACGGUCAGACUUCUAUAAAGUUAUCGAAACACUUACAUGCUGACAAAAACCAAAGAUACCUAUAAAGCCCCAUUCUGCUUGCCAAAGCAGCUAUUUUCUCAAAGUCGCAUCUAUCUUUUUUCUCCCUCGUAACCAAUUCUUGCUUCUCCUUGUCACGUAACAGCGUGGUAAAUUUCCGUUCCCACUCAUUAUCAGAUGAGUAAGGACUCUGUGUCUGCAAUAUUCAGAUAAACAAAUACCAUAAGCAUUUAUAUAUGUUACACCUUUCAACUGGAUAGAAAUCUCCGUAAACAUCAUGCCUUGAUGCCUUAAUAAACAGUCAUAAUGGUACGCCUUGGAUUAACUUAAGAGGUAAGGGCUUGAAAAGGCUAAAUUAGACACAGUAUGCAUUUCGAGCCAUUAGCAGUUGAUAAGAACUUCAUACAGGGUAAAGGAAGACACUCCAUCAUAUACUGUUUCCAUAAUGAGAGGAAAAUGAGGUUGCAAAACUCCUCAUUCCAACCGGCUAAAAUGACUUGCUUAUCGGUAAAUGCGGACUUGAAAUGCCUUUGAGUAUGCAACGGGAAGCAGUAAAAAUGAAAUUGAUAGACUGAAGCAGCUUCGCAUUGAGCUGCUAACCUGAACUCCACAAAAUCUCUCCACUACUUUCCAAUCACCAUCCGCAACCUAAUCGCAUUAAGCUUCUCAUAAACUGCCAGCAAUGCAUAUCGAAAAUCGACAUAGCAUUUCACAUCACACUAAGUAAACGACUCAAUCAACAACCAAAUUAAAAGCUAACAUUGAAACACUCAACUACUACCACUUCAGAACUUCAGAGUCUGAGGCCUAAUUGAAACCAAAUUACCAAUUCACACUCAGUAAACGCGCGGAUUCCCCAAUUAACAACUCUAAGCGCGCACACAAUUCACAUAUAAAAACCUCACCGGAUACGACGGCAACUGAACUUCGCGAUCGGAGCCUUCCUCGGAAACGCCGUCGUCGUAAGCAGAAGAGUGCUGAAGCUUGGGCUUCUGAAAAUGCUGCUGCUGCUGCUGCUGAUUCUGGUAGUACGCCAGAGCACCAAUGGUGCUGCUCCUCUGGUUAAGAGCAGCAGCAGUCUGGUUGUCGCGGAGCUUGGAGCCGACUGAAGUAGGGGAGGUGUAAUUGGGGGUGGUGAUGGCGGAGCGGGGGCGGUGGUGGGGAGGGACGUAGACGGAGCCGUACGAGGAAGGAGGCCGGUCCUUCAUCGCCAGGAGUGAGGUUUUGGAGGAGGAGGCAAUCGGUUUGGGAGGUGAAGGCGACGGCGACGACGCGUAUGGGAAUUGCAGAGACGGAGGAGAUGGGUGGAGGAGGAGGAGGAAAGCAGAGGGAAUGCAAGGUGAGGCAGAAAAGUGGCGUCGUUCGAGAUCAGAGAAAUGUCCGAAUGAGUCUCCCCUCCGGAAGCGAAGAGUUGAGUGUACUUCGAGUUCGCACGUCAGCGCUGCACUUUCGGCUUUAAACUGCAUCUUUUCAAGAUAAACGCUUUCCGUAUUCUGGUAUUUACAGUUUUCUUAUUUUUAUUUAAAAACAAAAAACAAAAUUAAAUUCCCUCUGUGCCCGAAUUUUUUCAAGAAAAUGUACAUGCGUUUUCAGUUUUCCUAAUAAAAAUAAUUUUAGAUGACAAAUUAUGUGCAAGGUAAAGAUGGGUAUGCUGUCUUUAGGUACUCGCGUAGUUUUUAUUUGUGCGUAAGAAAAUUGAUAAAUUUAGAGUAAUUAUGAUAUUCGCGUCGGUUUUAAGAAAAUAAGUUGCUAAUGUCGUCGAAAAAUGUAAUCGUGGGAGAGAAGUGCAUGACGACUUUUUAAGUGUCGAUAAUAAUUCUCUUGAGAGAAAUGUCAAAAAAUAAGUUACGUUCGGCAAAACAUAUCCUUUUAUCACCGGUCUUAUUCAAGCCCUCGAGUCUUCUAACGGGAAAAAAAAGAAAUCAAAAACUUUUACUCAGCAUACAUGAGCUAAUACCGAAAAAGAAACUGCUGUAAAUUACACCCGUCUCGAGUUUCAAACUCCAAGGAGAGGAAUGAGUUGCCUCAGACUCCGGCUUCUGGAGGCUUAGUACGUAUAGCCCUUGACGAACAUUCCUUUCUUGGCUUCCUCGUCCUCGCCUGCAGCAGAGUACUUUCCUAGCUGAGCCAAGGAGUUUGCCUUUGCUCGCACCAGAAGUGCCUUUUGUGCAGCGUCCACGUUCUCAGGAUGUCCUUGCCAUGCCUUAAGGACAGAGUUCUGCAGGGCACGUGCGUACGAGAAGGAUACGUGCCAAGGGUUGGGGCUUUGGUUCAUUGCAUUUAGGUUGAGGGUCGCUUCUGCUUCGGAUUGUCCUCCUGACAAAAACUGUUAAGUGAAAGGAGCAAAUAUGAAUCAGCCUUCAUAGGUCAAUGGUAACAAAUAUCAUGAGUAUUACGUUCUUGAACUAAUAUUUAAGGCCGUGUGAAGCUAAUAGGCACAGGAGGAAUAGCGCAUCAGUUUACAGCUAUUGCAAAAGUGAUCGAGCAAUUUUACCAUGAUUCCGGGUACCGCAGGAGGAACUCUCCUUUUAAGAACUGUGAGGGUAGCCUUUGCAAUGGCUUCUGGAGUAGCCUUUUCCUUGUGUUCAGCCCCUGGGGUAACCAUGCUGGGCUUAAGCAGGAUUCCUUCGAACAUCACAUUGUUUUCAGCCAAGUAAUAGAAGACUUCGGACCAGACCUUCUCUGCCACUUCAAGUGUCCUUUCGAUUGGGUGGUCCCCGUCGAGAAGAAUCUCAGGCUCUACAAUGGGUACAAGACCAUUGUCCUGCAAAUAAUUUUAAAGCAAUGAAUCACACAGGAUCAAAAAUACAUACCAAUUCAUUGUUAACGACUUUUUAAACAAAAAGAAAAAACUAAUUUUUAUGUUUCAGAUAACAAUAGAAAUUUCACUCUUACAACAGAAAAUGUUUUGCAAAAUCCAACUAGCUAUCUAAAAGUGAACAUACCUGAGAAAUGGCAGCAUAACGAGCAAGUCCCCAUGCAGCUUCCUUAACUGCUAGAGCAGAAGGACCACAAGGAAUGCUAACAACUGUACGCCUGCACAUUUCAACCCGAGGACACUUGGAUAAAUUUAUCUGUCAAAUAGAAUUAUACCAACUGGACAGAACAAUAAUAGGACCUCUAUGGAGCAGAUGUCCACAAGAGAUUAAAUGACUUACCAUUUAGCAAAACGAGCACCUUGCUUGUAGUACUCAGCAGAUCGUGAAGCCAAUCCAUCUAAGCCUUGGCACCAAGAUUCAUUGUUUGAUCCCGGCAGGGGAACCAAACCCUGAACCACGGAAAAAGUAUGCAAAUAACAAUUAGGGAUCUAAUUCCAAGUAUUUCAAGAAAUUAAUCAAGCUAUAGAACACAUAUGUCCUAGUGGCCACAUACCUUGUCAACUUUGAUUCCAGGUACAAUUUUCUGGUCACACAACACAUCCACAAAUUUCUUCCCAUCGGUUGUAGACUGGUAAAGUGUUUCCUCAAAAAGAAUGGCACCAGAAAUGUAUUCGCCGAGGCCAGGGGUGGUCAACAAAAGCUGCCUGUAAGCCUGUCGGUUAACCUCGGUAUUGUCCAACCCAAUAGAGUCUAACCUCUUUCCACAAGUUGCAUUUGAUUCAUCAAUGGCAAGUAUACCACGACCAGGGGAUGCAAUGGUUUUCUGUACCAUCCAAAAAGAAGCAAAAACAAGUUAAAGGAUAUAAUAAUAAAGCUGCGACGGAGAAAUCAAUUAAACCCAAAUACAAGAAGUCUUAUAUCAAACUACAUAGGGAAGCAGAAACACAAAUUUCCAAUUUGUGGUAACCAAAAUCUUCCAAAUACAAGCAGUGUUAUAUCAAACUACACAGGGAAGCAGAAACACAAAUUUCCAAUUCGUAGUAACCAAAAUCUUUCAACGGUUACCAAAUACUUUUCUUCUAUUUAGAAAAUCCAUAAGAAACAAGAACAAAUAUAUUAAUCAAUCAAAGAGGAAUAGCACUGGACCACACGACGGGCCAUAAUAAUUAGGUAGGAAAGUCACCAUCUGAGGGAGUCGAACAUGAGACACUUCCAAGUGAAGCGGAAUACGACUAGAACUUACUAGUUACUACUUAGUGAUAGUGACCUAUUAAUAAAUUGAAUUAAGCAAAUCAAUCAUAGUGGAGAAACAGUUCAUUUCAAUCUUGAGUUCGAAUUCACAAAAGUCUAAUUCAACAAAGCAGUGAAAAUUAAAAUCAAUACUGAAACAAACAAAUCAAAUCAAAUCACAGAAAAUAAAUAAAUAGUAAUUCAAAAAAAAAAUUCAGUCUAAUAUAGAUUCAAGCACUCAGCCACCGAUGAAAUCAACAAACAAAAAUUUCAUUUUGUGCAUAAAUAUCAGCAAAUUGAAACUAAGUUAAAGAGAUGCGCACAGCGGUUAGGACGAGUUCGUCGGUGUAGGCCUUGGCUCGGAUCGGGACGGCGACUCGGCGAGUAGCGAGGCUAGUCGAUGAUCCUGGGCGCUGAGUGAAGGACUGCUGUCCGAUCCACUGAGAUGACGACGCAUUAAGCUUCGCGAAGCUGGAACAGGCCAUGGCUUCGAGCAAAGACGAUCGAAAUUACUUUGGAGAUGUCGACUGGUUGUUUGUUUCCCGAGAAAAUGUGGGUUUUCUUGCUGCUUUAAGUCUGACGGGGGUAGGUGGCUGCGAAGAGAAAGAGAGAGUGAUAAAAAAACAAGACGUCGUUAAUCUUUGGAGAGUCCGCGGUUGGCGUUACGGGUUGUAAUGGGACAACAAGCAACGUGCGAGGCUAAGUGCCAGUGAGUGAUUUACCAGAUUACCCUCUCUUAGAGCAACUCCACCCAUGAAGCCCUCCUCCUGGCAAUCUACUAUUCAAUCCACCCUAUUUGAACAGUAACUGCCUUAAAUGAAUAGUAAUUACCAUUAAUGAACAGUAAUUGCCAUUUACAUCUCCACCUUUGGAACCCUCCCCCUGACAAUAAGCAAUAAAAAUAAUAGUUUUUUAUGUUUGUUUAAAUAAUAAAAAAUUACAAAAACUAUCUCUCUCUCUCUCUCUGACACAAAAAAAAUAAAAAAUUACAAAACCCUCGGGCCACAGGCCCGUCGACUCCCCCACCCCCCCUUCGCUCGACCUCCCACCCUCACUCGGGCCCUUCCCCGCUGGAUUUGCUCCCACCGGCCCAAGGGCCCUUUCUCCUCACCUGACGCCCGAGCAACCAGCAAGGCUGGAGUUGCUCUUAUAUGACUACAUUGUCCUUGCACGCUGCCGAGGAAAAGAAACUGGGGGCAUCAAGGUCAUCUUCAACCGAGCCGAUUAAAGGGUUAUAGGGUUAAAAAUAACUCGGAAUAACAUGAAAAUCGUCUUCAACCAAGAGUUAGGUCAAAAGGCUAGUGGGCCCCACCUAGCUAAAACCCCUAAUCAGGCCAGCGAGCUGGCCAUUUCUAGCUAGCGCCAGCUCUCCAGCUCAACCCAUUUGAAUGUCAACGGUUACCUGGUGUUAGCAUGAUGCCAGCUAGCUGAUGUCAUGCUACCGUCAGGUUACCGUUGGAAUUUGAUUUUUUUUUUUUUUGACGAAUUGAAGAAAAAAAAAUCUAAUUUUUUUUCCUAUAAAUACCUUAGGCAUUCAUACAUCAUUUCUCAAAUAAUUUUCAUCAUUUCAUACUAUCUUACCUCAUUUUAUUUUAAUUCUUCACAUUAUAUUCUCUUACCUCUUCUAAUAAUCUUUCCUUUAAUUUUUUCAAUAAUUUUCAAGUAGCCACAUCUGCAAUGAAAGAAAGGGUUUAGACCCGAAAAGAAAAUGAAACUUUUUGCAAGGCUUAUAGAUUGGUCUCAAAAGAUAGUGUCAAGGGUAGUUCUCAAACAAGUGAAGGUGUUUGGACUUGAACGUCCAAAAAGUACUUUGAGUUCUACGAAUGCACCACUCCACCGAAUCCCCAUAACCACGAGAGUUGUUCUUCAAGAUGGAAAACAACACAAUCUCCAUCCUAGUACUACUUAGGGGAGUUAUGCAAACUUAAACAACAUUAAACAAAACAUUUAACAAACAUAAAACUUAAACGCCUACUCCAUUGUUCUUUUGGCCCAAAUAUGUGGAAUAAGAUCCUGUUGUAGGUACUUGUUUGUGACACGCGAACGUAUCAUCCUAUGACGUCUCAUGUACUUAUUUAAAGAGGUAUUACCAAUUAUUAGAUCCAAAGGCAAAUUAGGUCCAUCAUAUAUUUUCGCAUCAGCUGGGGAGACAUAGGCCAUCAUUCGAAGUGCAAUAGUAACAUUUUGAUGAGGUGAGAAACCAGAGCGGCCCGCUCUAUCUAUCUUCUGUCGAAGGUAUGGAUUGACAUUUUAGACAUCAUGAAGUAAACGCUCAAAGACACGAUGCCUCAUCUGGAAGCGACGUCUGAAAUCCUCUUAUGUGUACACCGAGUCACCGAGUUGGAGUUAAACUAGUUGUUCAUCAGAGUAUGCGAUCUCUCUAUUUCGUGGUUUGUAAGAGUGACCACCAACAGAGCCACCCCAUUGAGGUUGUUUUUCAGUUUCCUCACACGUCAUGACCCCAGCCAUUGCUGCCACAUAUAUUGUGUUGCGCCAUGCUUCAUCUUAUUCAUCGGACUCCUCAUCUUCUCGUCUCAUCUGCGCCCAUUUAUCUUUCUAUCUGAAAAUUUAUUAAGAUUACAUAAAGAUAAGAAAUUUGGAGAGUUACUCACUCAAGCGACACAUGUUAUUCAAAAUUAUAUCCGAAAAAUUAUUAAGAUUACAUAAAUAUAAGAAAUCUAGAGAGUUACUCACAUUAGCGACACAUGUGACUUUAAAUCCUGUCCAACAAAUUAUUGAGAUUAUAUAAAGAUAAGAAAUCUAGAAGCUUAUUCAUUUGGAGACAAAUGGCACUUAAAAUAUGUCAAAAAACCUUAUUUUAAUAUGGUGGUUUAAUUUAAGGGGUAAAUGAAUUUUAAUCCUUGUAUUGGAUUAAUUUUUUAUUAAAACCUGGUGUAGGAUUAGAUAUCUGAUCUUAGUCCUCCAUGUCAUCAUAAUUAUUAUAACUCAUAUUUUGUUAUUUUUAAACUCUUUAAUAGCUCUUUUUGUUCCUAUUGUGCCCCUGUAAUUAAUUAUUCGACCUUCUUGGUAUGUUCUAAAUUAUUAGGAACUAAUUUUGACUUUGAUUAAUUUAUGCUUGAUUUCUUCCAUGAUUAUGGUGCCUAAAAAGAUUUUUCAUACCAUCAUGCCUAAAUUACAAGAUGAAAAAAGUUAAGGUAUCACAUGCAUAAUACAUCAAAAAAGUGUAUGCAUCUAAAUAUUAGUACCUAACUAAACACACCCAAUUAUAGUACAUAGUUGAAAACACCUAAUCAUAGUACCUAAUUGAAUGCACCUAAAUCAUAGUACCUAAUUGAACGCUAAAUCAUAGUACCUAAUCGAAUGCAUCUACAUUAUAGUACCUAAUCAAAUGUGUCUAACUUAUCGUACCUAAUUGAGUAUAGAUGCAAUAGAUCAAACCCAACUCCAAACUCAACAAUUCAUACACUGACAAAAUGAUCAAAACCCGAUAAUAAAAUCAACCAACAUAAAAUAACAACAAAAACUAAUAAAAUAAGAAAUAUUACAAGCACAAUGCCACAAAAAAGUUACUGACCCCAUUCUCUUCGUUGCAAAUCAUUGGAAUCCACAUAGAUACACAAGCCAUAUACCAUUCAAAACCAACAGAAAGAAAAUAGAGAGAGACCUACUACAAAUGAUGAGAAAAAGGGGAAAAUCAUAAUUAGAAGAUGUGUGUGAAUAAAUCAGCCAAUACAUGAAUGGUUUGCCUAAUCCCGUUUUCAAUUGCAAAAGCCUAAUCUUUUUUUUCAAAGAAGCCUAAUCUCUAAUUCCUUUGAUGUUGCAUCUUUAAAUGCCGGAUGCUCAUUUUGAAUUAAAAAAAAUAUCAUUCAAUUGUGAACCAUUUAAUAGCAAUAUUUAGGGGUAAUAUAGGAAGACAAAACAUAGUAAAAUUACAUAAAAGAAAUUAAUUAUGACGUGGAAUAUAAAUGAUGAUUUGGACACGAGUCAAAGGACUAAAAUUAGUUUUUAAUCUUACUUAUGGUAUUUAUCUAAAAGUAAUCAUUUUUAAGGACUAAAAUCUAGUUUUCUAUUAAUUGGGUUAAUUCAAUUAAAAUAAUAAAUUAGUCGGAGAUGAUUUUUUGUCAAAGCGUUAUGUUUGCCCUUUGGCCCCCUUUAUUGAAGAUGAUAUAAAAUAUGACAUGAUAAUGUUUAUUAAAAUAUAAUUUCUUUCAGGGCUAUAGGGUUAAAAAAAAAGUCAUUUGACCCCAUUCGAUUCGAGAUGACCUAAAUGGGUCGGGUCAUGUUUACCCUUACCUAACAAUUGACAACUUGCAAAUGCGGCUUGCUUUAGGUUGGCGGAGAAAAAAAAAACAAAAGAGAAAUGUUGCGCAAUCUCUUUACAUUUUGAUUUUUUUAUUUCAAAAAUAAGAAAUUUGCUUUUGUCUAAGAAUUAAAGAUAAGUAAUUCAGUAUUGGGAUCUGGUGGUAUUCCUCUUCACUUAUGAAUGAGAGAUCUUAAGUUUAAAUCUCGUGAAUGAUGAAUUUGAUACUAAAUUAGGCUGCCCAUUAUGUGGCUUAACUGUAGUAUAAAAAAAUAAUAUCAAUGUACUAAAAAAAAAGAAUUAAAGAUAAAAAAUAAAAAAAUUAUACGUAAAAGUUAUUGUUUAUGUGUUAUUUUUAUUUUGCACGUUGCUUUAGCGCGCAAUGGCACUAUGGCAGAAAGCAAUUAUCUGCCCUUUUGCGAGUUUCAUUUAUUUUGGCUCUCCUCUCUUUAAUAAUUAUUGUUUAAACUAUUACCGCUAUCACGCUAAUAAAAAAAAGCUCUAUUUUUAUUUAUUUAUUUGUUAUAGAAAUGUAUGUAUGAUAUUUUUACUUUUAGAAUGACAAUUACAUCUCUAAAUUUGGUUAAAAAAAUGUUGCAAGUAUUGUUAAUUAUGUGUUUGUCCACUUGAGGCGAACAUAUAAUAUCCCAAUACUUUUGCACCUUUUUAUGUAAAUCAUAAGUCUAUAAAUAAGUACUCUAAUGAAAAUGAAAGAUGACCUUGAUUUCUCCUUCACUUUCUCUCUUGUAUGUCCUAUUUUCUCCGACUCUACACUUUAUUUUUAAUACAUUAUCACCACAAUUGCUUAUCGAUUUUUCUUUCUGUAUUAAAAUAGAAUUAAACACCACAAUAACAAUGCAAUGAAGAGGAAAAGAAAGCGAUCUCCCAUCUCUUUCGUGAUUAGGGGUGCAACUUGAGCGAGUUGGGCAGGUUGGAAGGUCAACUCAAUCCUAACUCAACUUUUACAAUUCGACUUGGAUUCGGGUUGGGUUUCAUUCGGGUUCAUUUGUACUCAAGUUUAAUUGGGUUGCCCAACUUUUUCAAGUUUAAUCUUGUAACAACUUAGUUUACAAGAAUUCCUAACAAAAUUAAGCCCAGUAGCAUCAAAGCUAGCUAACUCUAAUUUCAUAAAUCAAUCUACUAUAAAGCUUUGAUUUAUAGAUUACGAAUAUAGGCUAACUAAUCAAAGUCUUUUAUUCCCUAAAAGCUUAAGUAAUUAUAAAGGGUAAUUUAUUAAAAAAAUAUUAGAAAGGGCGUUGGUUUUUGGACUUGGCACACUUGGGUGUAGUAUGAUCAUUAAUUGAUAUGAGUUACAAUAUGGUUAGAUUAGAUUUGGUUAGUCGGGGCUAGGUUGGGUUGGGGAUAGACGGGCUGAUCAACCCAACUCAACCCAAUCAAUGAACGGGUUGAAAUUGGGUUGGGUUCGGGCGGGUUAUAACUAAAAAAUACUCGUUUGUUUGGGUUUAAAGUCAGGUUGGACAUGGACGGGUUCAAAUUGACCUAACCCAAAUUGCACUCCUAUUCGUAAUUCACGAUUCUGAUGCUUGCACGACAAAUUUGACAUAGGCCAAAUGAGGCUUUAUUUUAUUUUUUUGGUAAAGGCCAACGAAAAUCCUUGUUAUGAAAAUAGUGAAUUAAGUAAAACAUGAUAAUUUCCGUAAAAAAAAAAGGUGGCAUUUACUUUUUAUAUGAUGUUUUCAUUCAAUCAGCUAUAUUAGUUCAGUUAAAGUUACUUCAUACUGAUACAUGUGGUCUCAUCUUUAUUAGAGAAGUCAUCCAAAUGUAUAACAAUUUUUGUUAAUUAACCGGGUUCGGAUCAUAAGAUUGCAAGUACAAUUUUCAAAAGAAAACAAAAUGUUUGACGAAUUAUUGUGGAAAAAAAGUGUGGGAAAAAGAAGUAAUGCACUAUUUGAAAAUUUGUGGAUAAGUUUCCAACACUCCACGUCAGAGCGUCCCCACAACUAAAAAAAUAAAACCACCCCACGUCAUCACAGUGGACCCUACUUUUAGAUCCAGCUGGCGCUUUCACUGUUAAGCGGUUAACCAACAAACCACACCACAGGGGAACCCCAAACCCUAACCUGCAGCUCAAACUUCAUGUUGUUCAUUUUUCAAUUAUUCAACAUCUAUCUCUCUGAAAAUCCCCAAAUCUCUCUCACGAAGAGUCGAAGGCCAUGGCUACGGACGGCGCGGCGGACCGACGGAGGCCACCGCCGCAAAUGCUGAGCGCAGGCAACAACGGGAACUGCGUGAUGAGCUUGUCGAACAGGUUGAGGCUGAUGCCGAACAAGGAGCACAAGGCGGAGAGCUACGAGGACCUACAGCAUUUGGAGUUCAGUCCCUUGCUUUUCAGCUCGCUGGAGCGCUACUUGCCUCCCACCAUGCUCAAUGCCUCACGUGACCUCAAGCUCCAGUACAUGAGGGACAUCCUCCUCCGGUACUCGCCCGAGAGCGAACGCACUCGUGUAAGUCAUGAGACUCUAUCUCUUUAGGAGUGGAAUUUGGCAAAUGCGGAAACUGAAAAUGACUUUGAAGUUUGGAAGUUUUGGAUUUCUUGUUAUGUGAAUUUUAAUUUAUGGAUAAAUGUGUGAAAUGUGUUUGCUUCAGUUGCGAUUGCGGAAGAAUGUGUAAUUUCUUUGAAUUCUCCAGAAAUGAUUGAUGUGGAUUUUCAAUUCCUGUGUUAAAUUUUGAUGCAUAGACGAGGGAGAUAAGGUUGAGUAGGAAUAACAUAUAGUCAGAACAGGCAGGGGCAAUGUGCUCUGGUUAAUUAGUCAAUGCGGCGUUAUUGUGCUCCUGAAAAGCUCAUAUGUUUCUCUGUUUGAAUAAACAGGUUCAACGACAUCGAGAAUACAGGCAGAAGAUCAUUGCACACUAUCAGGUGCGUUUAAUGGGUAAUAUGCUGUUGACGUUUAGACACUUGCUGUAAUAUGUAAACAACACAUUUAUGAAUUGCCGUCGAGUGUUGCAGUCAUUAAAGCUAAGUCCCUUCUUUUGGUACUCCUGGAGUUGAGGGCUUGAGUUUUGUGCAUAAGACAUUUAGUCACAAUUGCAUGUCAACAAACUGAAAUAAUUUCCUUCUUAAUCGGUCCUUCCUCUUUGCAGCCUCUACAAAGGGAGUUAUACACGCUGCAAGCUGCAAAGUUCUUUGUCCCCUCAUUUCUCAGAGCAAUCAGUGAGAACACAGAGGCUAGCUUUAGAAAUAUACUGUCUGAACCCUCUCCUGGAGUUUAUACCUUUGAAAUGCUUCAGCCGGAUUUCUGUGAAUUGUUAUUAACUGAGGUAUCAUUUUGGAUAUAAGUUAAUUUUCGCUUAAGCUACUUUUUUCUAUUUUCUUAUCAAAUUCUGAUUUCUUAGGUGGAAAAUUUUGAAGGGUGGGUCCAUGAGACAAAUUUCAGAAUCAUGCGACCAAAUACAAUGAAUAGAUACGGUUGUGUUCUUGAUGACUUUGGUCUUGAAACCAUGCUUGACAAGUUGAUGGAGGACUUUAUACGUCCUUUGUCUAAAUGUAUUUCAUCUCUAAUAUUGUGAAAUUGUAAUUAGAAAAAGUUCUUAUGUGUGAAAGAUUAGAACUAAUGUUAUACUCGUUUUUUUGUUUGUCUGGGUUUAUGUAGUUUUCUUCCCAGAAGUUGGCGGAUCCACACUGGAUACUCAUCACGGUUUUGUUGUUGAAUAUGGAAGCGAUAGGGGAUGUAGAGCUUGGUAGGUGCUCAUCCAUCUGGAAGUUUUGGAUUUAGUUUUUUGAAAAAAAAGUAUUUGUACUGAAACUAAAAAAAAGCAUUUGUACUGAAGCCUCUCUCUCUCGGACAAGGAUUGUCUACCCUCCCACUUCCGGUGCCCUCCCGUGCCCUCCUGUUUUGUGUGGUCACGGUUAAGCCACGUCAACAUUUUAUAUUGUUUUUUUUUAUAGAGAAAUAAGACAAAAAUGAAUAGUAAUAUAAAAUGUUGACGUGGCUUAACCGUGACCAUACAAACAAGAGGGCACGGGAGGGCACCGGAAGUGGGAGGGAAGACAAUCCUUGUCCCUCUCUCUGCGCCAUUUCCACUCUAUAUUUCUGCCGGUUAUAAUUAUUUUCUCAGAACAGUUUUUGAUUGUUGGUCUAGCUGAUAUGAUAUGAUUUCUCCUUAUUUAUGUUUUCAUAAUCGUGUCCAAUUUAUUUAUGUUUUCAUAAUUGUGUCCAAUUUGUUCAAUAAUGUAUGUCUGUCUUCGUCUUAAACAUCUGUGCGCUAGAUUUAUAGCUUGUUAAGCUUUUAUGAAUCCACAACAGCUUUAUAUUGCAGGUUUUCAUGUGGAUGAUUCAGAAGUCACCUUGAAUGUUUGCUUGGGAAAGCAAUUUUCUGGUGGAGAUUUGUUCUUUCGAGGUGUUCGAUGUGAUAAACAUGUUAAUUCAGAGACACAAUCUGAGGUAUGCUGUUCUUUAUGAUCAAUUUUAGGUACAAUUUUUUAUUUAGGGUCACACUUUUCAUCUUUUAGUAAUACAAAUGCUUUGGAGUAUCAUAUUUGAUAUCAUAUUUUUUAUUUAGGGUCACACUUUUCAUCUUUUAGUAAGUUGCAUGUUUACUUUUUUUAGUUAUAUUUUCUUCAUUAUAAUAUAUCUUUUUAUUUUUGUACAGUUUACCAUGUAUGUAUUGAACUUUUUCCUUGGAAUUUUUAUAAUUCUACUUAUAGGAAAUCUUUGAUUAUACUCAUGUUCCGGGACGUGCCAUUCUUCAUCAUGGUCGCCAUCGGCAUGGUGCUAGAGCCACAACAUCGGGGCAUCGAGUCAACUUACUAUUAUGGUGCAGAAGGUACCUUUCUCCACCUUUAGUCCCCCACACAAGAAAUUCAAGAAACCUAAACUAAUGAUUUUAUGGAUAUCACAAUCUCCCUAACUUUUUAGUACCUGCUCUGUGUGGAAUAAGUAUCCAAUGAAUGCAACUUACCAAUUCAUUCAUGGUUUGAUAUCAAUUAAUGUUGGUUGCGUACACAAUAAAGCAUGUGCAAAAUCAACAUUAAGAGUACUGGUCUUUAAGUAGAGUUAAGUGAAAUGUUGGAAUAUGCGGGUUUCACACAGUUGAUUUCUCCUAAACAUUAGUUCUCGAUUGUUUUCUCAAUUGAUUGCGCACAUUGUAAUCACACUGAAUGGCCUUGUAAACAUACAUUACGGAAAAUAUCAUCUAAGAAAUUAAUGGAAUUAUUUAAGGCUAACCUUUGGAUCUUGGUCUCAUUAGGUUCUAGGAGUUUUUUUGCCUGUAUGCUGGUUGAUGUAAUGACAAUUAGUUUUGCAGAAGCUUUUCUAGGUAGGCUUACAGUAAAAUUGUCAAAACAUAGGGUUUUACUGCAAGGAUUAUCUCAAUUAUGCAUUCUUGUUUACCAAUUUACUUGCUUUGUAUCCCCAAUCUUCUUGUAGUUCGGUGUUUAGAGAGCUGAAGAAAUAUCAGAAAGAUUUUUCCAAAUGGUGUGGAGAGUGCAAACGUGAAAAAAAAGAGAGGCAGCGUCAAUCAAUUGCUGCAACCAAACUGGUACGGUACAUUUGAUAUGAGACAGAGAAAAAUCAGCGUAUUCGUAUAUUUAACAUUAGUUAAUCUUUUCACAUCUGAUUGUAUUUUUCAGGAAAUACUCAAGAGAGAUGGACAAACCGCCUCUUGAGCUGCUUGUUUUGUAUGUUUUUACUACCGAUACUUCUUGAUCUGUUCAUCAUGCAACUUUUGCUUGUGAAGUUGUAAAUUUACUCAUCCUUGUCAGCACAUAGAAGUUUUUCGUGUCUGUUUUCAAAUUCGUACUCCAUCCAUUUAUAGAGACUACGGUUGGGCUAUUUGUUAGUAAUAUGAAAGGGGCCGGUGUUGUUGUGUUUUUACGGUGUGCUUCAAUGCUUUUGCGUACACAGCUCGACAAGUAACUGUGAUGUGUUGUAUUGAUUAUAUUUUAAGUCAUGCAUGCAUUGAUAUAUAGGAAAGUUAAGGUAUUUGACAUUGCAUGAUUGAGUUGGAUACCCCCCGACAACGGCAUUUCUGUUGUAAGUUUCUCUCCCACCGUCCACAUACAAAUCUCGAGAAUUUCAAAAUUCAGAAAACCUGCUCUGAUACCAAGAAAGACCAUCUAACCGUCUAUUGGAUCGUCCACAUACAAAUCUCGAGAAUUUCAAAAUUCAGAAAAUCUGCUGUGAUACCAAGAAAGAUCAUCUAACUGUCUAUUGGAUCUUAUUCAACGGCGUCUUUAGUUUGACCAAAGUAGUAAAGUCAAACAUGCUUUCUCUGUUUCUCUAGGUCUUUUUCUCUUAAGGAAUUGGUUUAAGAAAGCAAGCGAGUAAAAGAGUUUUGAAACCAAAUGUGGAUUGGUGCUGAAAUCCACAUCCCAAAGGUCGUUAUGCGUGCAUGAACCUUUCAACAUUCUUCACACAUUACCGCACAAAUGGAACAAUGUCAUCCAUCCGAUCACAAUCUCCCACCUGAAUAUGAGAGGCGGUGAUACUUUUGACUCUUUGAGAAACAUAGUGACUUAGGUAAAGUAGUGUUCAAUUCCUGAAAUGAGUAAAAUGAUACUUUUUAAGUCACACAUUAUAACCGGAGAAAUUUUUUCAAGUGGCCGGUAUUUAAGCGGAUAUUUUACGUGAUAUAAAAUAGGUGAAAGUAUAUGAAAAAAUAUAUCAUUUAUCUCACAUAUAUUAUGAUACGUAAAGUACUACUUAAACACCAACACCUAGAAAAAUCUCUCACAUGAUAGGUCAAGGUCAAAAUAAAAGUAGUUUUAGUGCUAUUGAUAGGGUGAAGUUAUAAGGAUGGAUUAAUUAAUUAAACACAAUUGUUAGACACCUACAAUUAGAGAAACGGAAAGGGAUUCUCUCCGGAUCCCUUCCACCUAAUCCUCCUCAUCAAAUAAUUCAGGCCCUUGAAAUUUGAUCUAACGGUUAAAAUUAUUAUAAUUUUUAAAGUAGACCCAUGUUUUUAGUUGUUAGAUCAAAUUUUAAGAUCCCAGAUUAUUUAAUAAGGAGAAUUAGAUGAAGGGGAUCCGGAGAGGAUCCCUUUCCUAGAGAAACAUAAACAUAUUUUAGUCAUAUGUAUUAAUAAAUUUUCUACUUCAGGUGGCCGCUGUCAAGUCAUACCUAAGUAGGGAAUGAUCUUCCAAGUCAUCUUCUUUUACCUAAUAAAUUUCGUUGGGAUUCUUGUCGACUCUCGAAGGAUCUACAAAGAAUGCAUCCGAAAGGGAUUCCUGCUAAUAAAUAUAUCAUUUUCCUUCUCGACUGUUCCUCCGGGGAUGUGAUCGUACAAUUAUAAUAUGAUUUCAAAGCCCCUUCUUGAAGUAAUUGUGAUUAAUUUACUUUAAUUCAUUGCUACGGUGUCCAAUAUACCGUCCUACUUGUCGUCGUUCUCAUUGUCGCUGUCGAUAUCAUUAUUUCUCGUCAAUCAUAUAUUGUCUCGAUCCUUCUACUAGGAACAUCUUUUGACUAAAUUAUAAUAUGUGUGUGAUUGGCACUUUUUGGUCAAUUAGACGAUAGAUCGGGCACCCCUAUGCACCUUUUGUUUAUGAUAAGGUUUUGAUUUGAUACAAUAGGAGUGUCGAUUAUUUUCGCUUAAAACAAGUACAACUUGUUGGAUUAAUAUUAGAAAAUAGAAUGUUUUAAUGAAAAUUCUAUAAUACUGUUCACUUUAAGGAAAAAUCAUAUUUUUACAUUAAAAAGUUAAACUUGGUACUAUUUAUUUUACUCUUUAUUUUGUCCUUAUCAUUAAAACUCAAAGUUUUCAAACCAUUUUCAUAAGUUUUCUUUAGAAAAUAUGAAAUAUAACAAUAUAAUUCUAAUGAUAAUAAUUACAAAGAAAUUCACAACAUCAAUUAUAUAUGAGAUUAAUAUAAACAACUAGAGAGAAAUUUAGAAAAAUUGACAAACUUGGAGAUUGAGGCUUGCAUAAAUACAAUGUCCUAAAACAGAAUUUCGCCUCUACUUUUGUGCUUGUAAUUCAGUAGGCGUCUGUCUCCCAAUAUUCAAUAAUUUAUAAAUCCGAAGUUUAAACACUUCAAUAUUCGAACUCAGACGAACUUUAUAUAUUUCGUACUCUUAAGAUACGACUCGGAAUUUGACAAACGAAGAAUGAGAGAAAUAAAAUGGAGAAACCUUAUUUCUCAAGAGUAAAAAUUAACUCUAAUUUUGUGUAUUUAAUGAUAAUGGAUUUAUGGGUUUAUAUAGAACCCAUUGUGUUGUUUGGUGUAAAGAUGCAACUUUGCAUCUAUGUAACCUACACCACUCAUCAAACUACACGUCCCAAAUUACAAAUAAUAUGAUGCAAUUCUUUGCAUUAGACGCAACACUUAAAGAAUAAACAAGAUUAAUUUUUUCAUUCAAUAUUUUGAAAUUAAAUACUAUAAUAUCUAAUAAAUAUUAUAAUAUAAAUUUCCAACACAACUUAGAGAGCAAGUUGGUUUAGCUCUUCCUUUGCACACUUGAUGUGAAUAGUAGAGUUCCCUCACUUCAAGAUGAACUUGCCUUUUGCACGUGUUUUCUCGUGUGUGAAAUGUUUUUUUUUUUUUAUUAAAAAAAAUAUAAUUGAGCAACACGCGACUUACAUAUUUUUUAGCAAUUCUAUAUCAAGUUUGCACCAAUUGUUUAUCUAUGUUGUGAAAAACUUAUAUGCAACUGGAAAGUCAAAAUGACAGUAUUCUACACCUAUUAUAUAUUAUAUAUUUUAAUUACUAACAUGAUAUCGCGUAAUUAAUUUGUAAUACAGUUACCUUCACAUGUAAAUUCUCUUUCUAAAUGCUUAAAAAGAAAGUGAUAAAAAGUGAUGGUAGUUCAACAUUGCACCCAAAUACUAAAAAGGCUCUUACUUUUGAAUUAAAUUGCCCACAUUUCUUUUUUAGGUAAAUUACAUAGUAACCCCUUAUGUUUGAGGUCUAUUACAACUCCAUACAACAUUUUUAAAACAUUUUACUUUUAUACCUCACGUACUAUUUUAUUUCAAAAUAAUACCUCCGUUAGAUUUUUCAUCCAUUAACUACCAUAUUUGUGCCACGUGGCUGCCAAAUGUGUGCCACGUGGCCAAAAACUCACUCACCUUCCCCCGUUGCUCUUUCCAACUCUCAUAUGCGAUAUCUAUCUCUCUCUCUCUCUCUCUCUCUCUCUCUCUCUUUUUCUCUCUUCAAUCCUUCUCCUUCUUCCUUUCAUCUUUCUUGCUCAUCUUUCAUUUCCCAAAACGCCUAUCUCUCUCCCCAAAAUUCCCUCAAAGUCUGCCUAGCAGACUUCCCCAUAUCCCUCAACUAUGGUUUCCUCGAAAAGUAUUAGGCUUUCGACCUCGAUUCAUGCCUCCAAACGGACACCGACCACCAAAUCUCUGAUGCGGCUGCUGCUAAAGCUGGACUCGAUGCCCGGGGUGGACCUCGCUGUGAGGCAAACGAGGAGAAAUGUGAGUCGUCGGAUCGUGGGGCUGCAGGAGAUCGUGGACCUUCCCUUGGAGUCGAUCUCGUCGAAUCUUGUCAUUGUUGAGGAUGAGCAUGAUGGGCGGUGAUGAAGAGGUGGGGGAUGAUCUCGACGGAUCCGAAACGAGGAAAGUCAAAUCUGAAUCGGAGAAAUGUGGGGGAGAAUGAGAUUUGGGCGUUUGUUUGGAUGGGAUGAGAGGUGAAAAGAGUGAAGGAGAGGGAGGUGGGCUGGGGUUGGGGGGCUGGCGGGGGAGGUGGGGUUAGGGUGGAAAGGGGUGUUUAGGUUACAAGGAAGGGGGAUGGGGAGGGGAAGAAGAUGGGUGGGGAUGGGUUGUGGGGAAGGUGGGGUGUUGGGUUCUGCGUUUUUCAUUUUUUUUAAUUAAAAAUAAAUAGAAAAUUGCCAUGUGGCACAAAUGCGGCAACCACGUCAGUAUUUAACAGAUUAAUGGAUGGAAAAUCUAACGGAGGUAUUAUUUUGAAAUAAAAUAGUACGUGAGGUAUGAAAGUGAAAUGUUUUUAAAAUAUUGUAUGAGGUUAUAAUAGACCUCAAACCUGAGGGGUUACUAUGUAAUUUACCCUUCUUUUUUAAAGAGAUUAUUAGUAUUAUUCCGUAGUAUUUUGGACCAUCGUUUGGAGUCUGCCAUCAACGUUGAAGGGACAAUGCCUAUUCUGUUGAAAAAAGGAAAUGGUGAUCGGACUUGGAUUGUCUGCUCUCCCCAUUCCAUAUCCUCUCCAUGCCCUCCUAUUUUUGUGGUCACGGUUAAGUCACGUUAAUAUUUCAUAUUCUCAUUACUUUUUGUCUUAUUAUUUCUAUAAAAAAAAUCAAUAUAAAAUGUUGAUAUGGCUUAACCGUGAUCAUAAAAUAUAGGAGGGCAUGUGAAAUACAUGGAAUGAGGAGGGUAGACAAUCCAAGUCCAUGGUGAUCGACCUCGUGGACCUAUGAAUACGUCCAAAGCUAAAAGAAAGUUGACCAAGUAAGCAACAAAAUAAGGUGGACGUACGGGUACGGGGGCAAAAACAAUAAUGAGAAUUGAGACUACAUACAUAGGAGAUCAACGGCUUGCCUACUGUGCCGACGUUUUGAACCGAUAACGCAAUAUUAUGUCGACAACAAAAAAUUUUACAUGACAUUAUGUAUUUAGAGUGAAACGUCACGCUAACAGCGAAUUCAUUUUAUAAAAAUCUUUCCUCCAUUCUUAGGGUUAAAACUUAUAAGAGGGAAGUUGACAAGCCAACAUAAACCCAAAAUUUACACUUGAUCAUUUUUAAUUGCAUAAUAAUUAUUAAGGUUCUAAAAGACGUUAGGAGCUAGUCAGACGGAGGAUUGGGCCUAGCGCCUAGAAGGGUGCCUAGGCAGACUAGAUGAAUUUAAUUAAAUAUAUUAUAUUUCGUGUAAAUAAGUGUUUAUUUAUACUUAAAAUAUAUAUAAUUUCAUCAUAAACUACAAAAUAGAAUGACAUAUAUAUUAUGAGCUAUUGAAACAUAAUGAAAACAUGGGAAACAAGCAUAUAAUGUUUGUUCAUUUAAAUAUUCAACAAGUCUCUUACAAUUUAUUGAAAAAAUAAAUAAACUGCAAAAUGAAAAUUGUCUAUUUUCUGUCUAAAUGAGUCGCAACCUAGGCAGGUGCUUAUGCGGGCUUUGGUGGGUUAGGCCAGUGCCUAAGCGGGUUAGGCGGGCGCUUGCAACCUAGGCAGGUGCCUAGGCGGGCUAGAUGGCUGCCUAGGCUGAUCUUGGCGGGUGCCUAGGUGGUCUAGGUGCCAUUUUUUAAUUUUCAAACACCUAGGCAAUAAUCGGGGCGUGACUAACCGCCUAACGCCUAGACAGAACCUAGACGACGCUAGGCAGAAAUUUUUAAAACAGUGAUAAUUAUUCUCAACAGCAAAACAGCUUCUGCCUUUGGGGUAUCUUGGAAUAUUAAAAAUGGCAAAUUGGCAACUAGGAGCCAACGGUAUGGUCGGCGGAUACGUGGAUCUUCGUGGACCCUAAUUAUAUUAUUUCUCUCUUUCUGAUCAAUUAAUAAACACACACGGGGGUUACUAAUUAUAAUUAUAAUUUAUAUGUAGGUUUAGUCCUCAAUUUUUAAUACAUAUACUUGAUUAAUUAGUCGGCGGAGAUCAGGAAAAAUCUUACUCCAUGUCUUUGAUUAUUUGUCUAAUCCCACCGCCCAACGCUUGUCAUUAGUUGAUCACUAAUUAUCGUUGGAAUCACACACGUCUGUUUAUAUACAAGUUGGAUAUCUUACCGACAAUUAUUUUUCAUUUUCAACCGAUUUUCCUACCACCCAAUGCAGCUGCUGUGCUGGAUAUGUUCUUGUUUCUACUUUUUUUUAUAUAUCAUUUUUAUAAUUUUAUUAUUAUAAAAGGGAUAGAAGAGUUUAAAAUUAUUACAAUAAUUUAGGAGAAGAUGGAUUUUCAAACCUAAAACGCAUAAGUGAAAACCAACACCUUGUUUACUAGGAUAUUUGACCACAUGUUCUUGUUUCUACCAAAUCUAUCAGAAAGAAACAAAUAUUCUUGUGGUUAAGGGUGAGAAAAUUUUAGUUCAUACACAUAAUGUCGUGGAUAUGGAUAGUUAUUAAUGCUUUUAAAUUUUUAUAAAAGCGUAUUUUAUAUUAAUUUAUUUAAAUUAAAGGGAGAAGAUGUUCAAAAGUUAAGUGUGACAAGACAAGUGGAGCAUUCUGUCGCACCUCUAAUCAACUUAAUUAAGUUCAUAACAGUUGGUCACUAUUUCUUAAUGUGGUUAAUUCCAACUAAAAUUAGAAGAAGAUUUGACUUUUGUUAUCAUGCUUAUUUUUAAUUGUUAGUUUUUUCCUUAUCAACUUGCUAUCAUCUCUUUUCAAGGUAUGUAAAUGUGACCUUUACCUGUUGAAUAAUUUUAUAUUGAUUACCACCUAUAACGCAGCAUGGCUUUACCAACAGUACAUAUAAUUAUUUUGAGAUAAAUGCUAGGAAGACACUUUUAAAGUGAAUUUUUUUGUAUAUUUUAUGUCACCUUAUAGUUUAGUGUCAAUUCUGAUGACAACAUUAUAAAAUAUUGUGCCAAAAACAUGAGGUGAAGAAAGUUCAUAGAAAGUUUCACUUUUGAGAGAGUCCCCUUAACAUUCUCUUAUUUUAAACUUAAUUUAACUAAUAAAUUACUCAAACCAUAGUGUUUUGCCAAGGAAUCAAUUUAUUUUUUUAAUGCGAAUAAAAGAAAUUAAAUGGAAAUUAAGUAAAACAAUCCACCGCUUACCAAGAAAUCAAUUUAUUCUACACUAAUCUAUAUAGAAAAGAAAGAGUUUAAACCCCGAAAUUUAGCGAGUUAAAAAAAAAGAUAUUAUAAUUAUCAGGAUAUUUCACCACUUACAUAUAUAUAUAUAUAUAUAUAUAUAGGAGCUUAAGUUAAAUAAACGAUGAAGAGAUAUAUAUAUAUUCCUUUAAUAAUAUCUUAUAAAUAUCAAAUGUACAAUCACACAUUAAUGUUAGGAAAAAUAGGUUUUCUUAACUCAAAAGAAUAAAAUGGUGACUAUGCGAAACUAGCUAGUGGCGAUAUGGGCCAUGCAUGGCCAUAUUCAGACUAAGACAGGCUGAGCUACCGUGUGAUGCGUGCAUCGAAAUUUCAAAAAGAUUAAAGAAACUUUCAUGUUCAUUAGGAUUAUGAUUGGGAUUUGGUUAGAUUUUAGAUAGAGUAUAUUGGAUGGACGGCAACUCGUAAUUUCGUACACAAGCUACAUUCAUUGGUAGUGGCGGAUCCAGGAAUCUUACCCCAAGGGGUCGCAGUGUAAAAGUUCAAAUAAAAAUUUAGGAUGGAAAAACAUAUUGAAAAUGAAAUCAUAGUACUUUCAUUCAUAAUUCAUAAUGGAAACAAUAUUACAAACUAUAAUUGUCCACGACGAGGUUUCAUAUUUUGAAAACAAAGCAUUAUAGCUUCAUUUUCAAUACAAGCAAAAAUAUCUCUCUCAAUAUAAACAAGUGAGCUAUCACUCAACCAUUGAUCUCCCAUUUUGUUCCUAAGUGGACCCUUAACAAUAUUCAUGACAGAAAAUGUUCUCUCCACUGAAGCAGUUGCAACUGGUAAAACUAAAGACAAUGUAAUGAGCAAAUAUACAUAAUUGAAUACUUGAUGCAUCCUUGUCUCCACCAUUUUUUUUGCAAGAUCACCAAUCCCUUCCAAUUGAGAGAAAUCACUACUGGAACACACAUAAUGAAUAUAAAUCUCAAGUUGAUCUUCAAGUGCCAAACGAUCUUCAUCCGAAAAGUCUUGAGGAUAAAAUUGAGCAAGACGAAGUAACUUUGGUUUAUCAAAAGCUACAAAUGAAUCUUUCGGACUCAAACAUGCCAUACAAAUAAGCAACUCGGUAUUUACCUCAUUAAAGCGAUCCUCUAACUCCGUAAUUUGCUCAUCAAUGACAUAAAUAAAGAGCUCCACACGAUAAUGAUGACGAUUUGUCUUUAUUGGAGCAUAACGCCUUGACCUCCCUGGAAGUAUAAAUGCCUCUUCCAUGUUAGGAAUCAUCAAUAUGAUGUGUUUUUCACAAAAAGAAGAUACUUCAUCAACCAAUGCAUCGAACCCAUUAUUCCUCAUCCAAUAUAGCUUUUCCUUGCAUGAUUUCACUAAAGCCAUUGCAUUCACAAUUUCUUGAUCUUUCUUUUGCAAUGCUUGUGACAAAUCAUUUGUGAAGUCCCCAAUAUGACUUUCAAAUCAAAAAAGGUGAAACACAAACUCAAAAAGUAUCACUCUCAUUAACUUAUUUGCUUCACCCGCACUUUCAUUGGGAUUAUCAUCAAUAAACCAUUUGAAGCACAUGAACCACGGAUGAAAACAUAGAAAUGAUGCUAAUCAAGGUACCAUAGUGUGAGUUUUCAUCGUGUGUGUCACCGGCACGUUUGAGACUUGUUGAUUUAUUUAAGCCUCACCCCGUUAUAAGACAAUCAUUUUCAAAAGCUAUCACAAGCUCUUCUUGAAGUUGCCCUCUAAGUGAAUCACGCCGCUUACAAGAUGCUCCAACAUGAUUAACCACACUAUUAGCCGUUGCAAAUGCAAAAAAGAGGCGGCAAUGUCUAUAUUCUUCUUUGCUACGGCAACAAGAGCUAGUUGAAGUUGAUGAGCAAAGCAAUGAACAUAAUAUGCACAAGGUUGUUCUCUCAAUAUCUUUGUUUUAAGGCCAUUCAACUCACCUCUCAUAUUUGCUAGCACCAUCAUAACCUUGUCCUCCUCAUAAAUGCUCAAACCGUUGCAGAAGAAAACAAUGUGUCAAUAGCAAAUUAAUCUUGUCUUUAGUGAACUUUGAAUUACAAUGUAGAACUUGUAGUGGUCGGUAACAUGUUGGAUACCCACAAAUCUUUCAAUUACAUGCCCGUUGUCAUCCACAUAACGCAACACCAUAGCCAUUUGCUCUUUCACAGACACACAUCACGUGCUUCAUCCACCAAUAUUGAAAAGAAUCUAUCUUUUAGACCAUCCAUGAUAGCAUCAAGUGUUUUCAAGGGCACAUGAAUUCACAAUUUCUUUUUUUAAUGGAAGGAGCUAGUAAUUUGAGAUUCCCCGGAGCAUUUUCCAUCACAACUUCUCUAACUUUAUCAUUAUUAUCUGCAAGGAAUUGCAAUAACUCUAAGUAAUUUCCCCUAUUGCUUGAAGUGGCACUUUCAUCAUGGCCACGAAAAGGAAGACCUUGUCGCAAUAAAAAAACUUAGUGCACUUGAUUGAAGCAAUAAAGCAUGUGCGAUAAGCCUUACGAGCUUGGUCAGAGUGUUUGCUCACUGCCGUUCCGUUUCAAUAUGUGUAGCUUGAUUCAUCAAAUUUGUAGCAGCUUCUCUAGCCUUAUUAUGAACACUCCCAACCGGUCCAACAUGCAUCUUAAAUCUUUCUCUCCCUUUCUUCCAAUUCUUAAAUCCAUCUCCAGUGAAAGCUUCACUACCCACUUGUUCAAAAUUGGUUUUUUAAAGAGAUAGCAAUAGAGACAAAAUGCCGCAUCUUUAGAUACACUAUACUCCAACCAAUCAAACUUAUCAAACCAUUGGGGAAUGAAGCGUCGAUUAAUUCCCGACACAUAUUAGUUAUUGGGAAAUUAUGACCUCUAGGUUGACAAGGUCCUUUUUGUAGAUAUAAUCUUUCGGACCUCAUCUCUCAUAUUAGCAUCAUAAUCUAUUAUUCGAGUUCUUAAUCCAGGAUCCGCUUGAAGAUUACCCCAAAACAUCAUCUAACUGACUUUGUCUUGAACUUGGAGUUUUUGAAACUACCAACAGUAUUUGAACUAUCAACAUUAUUCGAACUACCCGAACCCGAUGAUGACUUUCUCUUAAAAAACCGUUCCAUUAAUAAUGCUACAUAUACAAAAUAAAAAAUAACAUUCUACUUUACAAUAUAAAUACAUAUACAAACAUAAAUAAUCAAAUAAAUAUGAAUUGAUUUCAUUAAAUUAAAUAUCUCAUCUUCAUUCAUACAUAAAUAAUAAUAAAAUAAAUACUCACAUAAUAAACAUCAACCAUUCAUAUAUACAAAAAUAAAUAUGAAUUGGAAUUUCAAUUAAAAAAUUUUUCAAUUAAAUACAUAAAUAUCAAUAAAUAAUUCAAAUAUAUAUAACACAAAAUAUUCAAUAAUGAAUAAAUAUAAUUGAACUUCAACCAUUCAAAAUAUUUCACAAUACCAAAAUAAUUAAAAUAAAAAUCUCACAUAUAAACAUAUACAACAAAAUAAAAAAUCACAAUAUAAAAAACCAUCAAUAUCAAAAAAAACAUAUAAAUAAAAACUCAAUAUCAAAUAAUUAAAAUAUCAACAAUAAUAAAAACUCACAAUAUAAACUAACAAUAAAUAAUUAAAUUGGCAUCUUCAAUUCAGUAUAUUCAAUAUAAAACAAGGCUCCAAUAAACAAAAAAAACUCACAAUAUAAAGCAAUAAAAGCAGCAGCAAGGGAGGAGAGGAGUGGGUUUGGGGCAGCAGCAGCAAGGGAGGAGAGGAGUUGAGGGUUUGGGGAUUGAGUUAGGGUUGGAGGAUGAGAAAAACAAAAGAAAUUGGGGCUUUUGAUUGUAUAGGAGUCGGGUAGGAAGGCUGGGACUGGGGGGGGACACGGUGGGAAUUUCCUUUCUUUUUUUGUUUGUUCGGCCUGGCCCAAAACGACGCCGUUUUGGCCAGGUCAUUUAAAAAAAUUUCCUGGGCCAAAACGACGCGGUUUUGCCCGUCUGUUUUGAAAAAAAAGAAGCGCGCGCGAGCGCUGCUUCUUCUUCCUCUUCCUGCCGAGUCUUCGUUCAGGCUUUUUGUCGAACAGUUGGCGUGCGAGUCCGACCCCGACGACCCCAGCUCCAAGAGGUCGCAUAUGGGAGCUUCAAGGUUGUUUCCAUGGUUUCCAAGGGGUCGUGCGACCCCGACGACCCCACUGUGGAUCCGCCACUGUUCAUUGGUUAAUCGUUUCUUUUUGGAGAGCAACUUACAUGAUAUUAAGUUGCUCUCUACAAAAGAAAUCAUUAGAGGGUUAGCCUUCGUGCAAAAGAAAGGGUGCUCUUUUGUGAUUAAAGGAUCACAGGUUCAAAUCGUGGAAACAAGUUAUUUACAGUAAACUAAAGAUAAGACUGUGCACGAUAACGUUCCUCCCCCGAACUUCACAAAAAAAAAAGAAAUGUUGUUGGCUUGAGGUCGCUCUUUAAUAAUAGAUUAGCGCAUGGUGUCACAAUACUCAUUAUAAAAAUCCUUCUCGUAUUGUCAGGAAUCAUUCAAGAAGACCCGGAGUAGAUAUGAUGAGAAACCACAUGGAUGGACAUGCAUGAUUAGGCUUGGCAGUUGGCAAUUUGGCAUGCACACCUGCAGUUUCCCUUUAUUUUUCAUGUGGAGCGCGGAUGAAAUUAACAUCAAUCUAAUUAGCUAGGGUUUCGUGUGGUGGUUUUCAUGUACCCUAGAUAUUUUAUUCACAACUUGGAUUAUACAUAAGUACCAACUAGCUGCCAAUCAAUAGGACGGUAGGGCACAUGGUCAUACCUAAUUACAUGAUAAAACGGCAUUAUUUCUGCAUGCAAACGUCAUAACUCAGACCAUUUAUUAAUGUGGACAUUUGAUAUAUGUCUUUGUUUGAUUUUGAACACUGAGCAAGAAAGAAAUACUAAGAAGAUACCAAACGCUUGCAAGAACUUACCAUUAAAUAGUCUCUCGUAUACGAAUAUUAGUUGGUCGAUCGAUCAGUUUUAUGUGGAGUUAAACUUUAAGUAAAUUAGGGUUCCAAACUCUUGUUUCUUUCUUUUAAAUCCAUUGUAUCUCGUACACAUCUGACAAUGAAAGUAGGACGCGCGUAAUCGGAAGUUUCUUUCUUCUUUAAUUUGAUUAAUUUUCUCGUAAAGUGGUGCAAUGGAGGUCCAGAAAAGGAUUGAUCUAUCAGAACUGAAGUAGCCUGUCAAAGUACAUAAGUUUUAGUUCUUACUCAUACGCACUUCAGCUCGCUUGGUAGCCGAUUGAGAUAUCGAUGUCCAAAUAUCUGGAGGAAAUGUUGAGAACAUGAUCAUAUAGUACUUAUGUAGGGCUGAGGAAUGCCUUGUUUGUAGCACACGAUUAUAUAUAGAUUCCUCCACCAAAAUUGCUCCAAAAGAUAUUUUCUAUACUUGGUGUACCUUUUCAUAUGUAGAGUUAAAUGACGGCUCACGGUGGGAUAAUUAUGCGAUUUUGAUUAUGUGAAACUUUUAAUAGAAAAUUUCAUUUUAAUCUUUGGUAAAUAUGAUUUUUAGAUUAAAACUAUGAGUAAGAUCAAAAUCUAAUUUUGAUCAUAUAUUAAUAACCUCAUUUAUUAAUUAUAUUUUUCUUUUUUAAUUAAUUUUCUUUUUCUUCCUAAUUUUUAAUGUAUUAAUUUUAUUUCAUUUUCAUUUUCAUUUUCGCUUCAUUUAAUGUAAUAUAUGUUGUUGUAAACAUUUGGAUAAACUAAUUUUUGUUAUACAAUAUAUUUCGAUGUACUUUGUUUUCUUCAUUCAGGUACAUUAAAUUCAUUAUAAUACAUUUCGGUGCAUAUAUUUAGGUACACAUAUUUCGGUACAUACAUUUCGAUACAAACAUUUAGGUAUAUUAAUUAAAUAUAAUACAUUUCGGUACUAAUAUUUCAGUGCAUACAUUUCGGUACACACAUUUAAGUACAUUAAUUUAAUAUAAUACAUUCCGGUGCAUAUAUUUCGAUACUAACAUUUAAAUACAUUAGUUCAAUAUAAUACAUUUUGGUACACAUAUUUUGAUACUAACAUUUGGGUACAUUAAUUGAGUCUUUUAAGUUUGAAGAAUGUUAAAUAAAAUUAAUAAAUUAAAAAAAUUCUUUUUUAGUCAACAAAAAAUAAAUUAAAAUUUGUGUAUUAAUAAAUUUAAAUAUUUAAUGAAAACAUUAAUAAAAUGCACAUUAAUUAUUUUGAAUUAAUGACACAUCAAUGGAUUAUAAUCAAUAUGUAAAUUAACAUCAGGUUUAUUUUAAAUUUCAAUCUUUUUGAAUGAUUAAAGUUAAAAAAAAACCCCAAAUUUUAAAUUACUUGUAAUGUUUGGGACUCCAGUAUUUUGAUAUUUUCGUUCCAUGUAGCUCUCCCUUGUUAGAUAAAGUUAUCUAUGAAGCUGCUCUCUCUCAGAAGGAAAAUUUACGAUAAAAGGUUCACGUGCGGAGUUCACUCAAUGUGAAAGGAUUGCUUUAUACAACGAUCAGACAUAAGAAGAAAAUGAUUUAUACACAUAUUUGUUCUCACACUAAUCUUUAAUCUUCUUCUUUUGAGAUGUUAAAAAUGAAAAGGUGAAAAAUCACUAUCGAAAAAUGGUGAUGCGAGGAACAAGGAAGAAAACAAAUAAGAGGUGGGCAGUGGGCACCAACCUAACCCACAUGGUGACGGUGCAAAUAGGAUAAUGCUUGUGUCCUUUUUAUGGAAAAUAAUUAUUCUUUUAGGGAAAAUAAUUAUUUUAUCAAUUGCGAUUACACAAAUAUUUAUCAUCUAAUUAUUAUAAUUUGACUUGUUAAUUUUUUUAUCAUCUAAAAAUUAUAGGGAAGUAUUAUUGGUACUCCAAAAAUCUCAUUCUAUACUCCUCACAAGUGUAUUUUUUUUUCUAAAUAUAGAAAGUUUGGACUGUAGGAUGAGAAUUUUGGAAUGCCAAUAACAAUUCCCAAAUUAUAUAUGUAAAAUAUUAUUUAAUUUGGCUAUUUUUUAGCCAUUAAUAUGCAUAAAAUAAAUAGAUGGUUCAUCAUGAUGAUGUUACUUGAUAUUGCAAUUAUUUGUUAGUUUAACAUGUAUGGAUGACCAAACCAUGUCCAAAUUGAAUGAUUUUUUGUAUAUGAUCUUCAACAUAAUAAAGAAAAUGAAUGAUUCGAAUUAUAAUGUUAGAAUAAUAAAGAUUAGUUUUUUUAUAAGUAAAAGAAAAAUUAAGUUACAGAGGAGACACAAGCAUUAUGUGUGUGUGUAUGUAUAUGCACCCGAUUUUUCCUACUCACAGAACUUGGUUCCUAACCUCCUCCAAUCAUAUCUCCUGUUUCACACUCGGCCUUCUUUCCUUCCUUCCUUCCUCCUUCCUACUCCAAUCACAAAACUCAAACAAAACAAAAGAAAUCGAAGAAACCUUUGAGAAUUUGAGAGGCCUGAAAGUUGCAAUCGUAACAUCACACCUUCACAGACACCUACCUCUUCCUGCUGCCUGCUGUCCUCCCCUUCUUCCCCCCACGUACUACGCAGUACCCUCACUGUGUACUCUCUUUUUUCUCUACUUUUUAGCUUUCCCCCACCUGUCGCCUUUGCCCUUUUGGUUUCCUUCCCAUUUUUCCCUAUUUAUUUACCAAAUUGCCAUCCCCUCCGGCCUCUGCCUAGUAUUUCUCUUAUAUAUAUAUAUAUGUACAUUUAGCUGUAUAUAUUAUCCCACCUUCACAACAUAAUCAACUACUUUUCCUCUCACUCCAAAUAUAUAUAUACACACACACAUCCACCAAAGGAAAAAUGUAUGGCCCUUGAGAGUUAACAUAAUAUUACCACAUUUUUUAUUACAUAUAUGUGUGUAUCUAUAGACUAUAUAUAUUGUUGUUAUAUAUAGAGAUACAAAGAGAGAGAUAACAGAUUCAUACUUCGUUAAUUUAUUAUGGGGUUACAAAGCCAGCUCAACGACGUCUCUUCCGACUCCAUCCCGCUCUUACUCAUCGCACUCAUCGCCAGCUCCAUCAACCACCUCCGCUCCUCCCUCCUCGCCCUCCUCCAUUUUCUGGGCCUCAGCCCCCAUCCCAAUCCUGGCUCAGACUACGACGAAGGCCUUGCUGCCGGCCCGGCCGUGGGCUCGGGACUCGCGGGUCUCGUUAUCUUGUCCGACCAGCUCGCCCUCAACCGUCACUUAUCCUAUCCAUACGACCGCGACGACGCCGUUGCCACCGCACGGGAUUGCAAUUGCGUGGUGUGCUUGUGCACCUUGGGGGAUGGUGAGCAGGUCCGCAUGCUCCAGUGCCGCCAUGUGUUCCACAAGCACUGCUUCGACUCCUGGCUCGACCACCUCAACUUCAAUUGCCCUCUCUGCCGCUCUCCCGUGGUACACCGGGAUGGCGUCGCGCUCACGCGCCGCCGACUCUCCCGCGACCUCCUCCACUGGUUUUCCAUCAGCUGAGAAUCAAUGGAUGUUAACGUCAUAAAUAUGUUCACAUGGUAUCCAGUAUCCACCACUGAUAUCCACUCUAAUCUGCCCAUGGAUUGUGAGUCGUGACGAUUGCCGGUGGUUUCUUACGUUUUUUCCAUUUUUCUUUCUUUUUUUUUUAUAUUUUAGAGGGUUGUUGGCCAUAGACUUUCUUUUUUAUUGUUUGGUCCCUCUAAUUAUUUUUCCUGCGGCUGUAAAUAUUUCGUGUUGCUAAUUAAAUAAGGAAGAGGGAUUUCUUUGUGUUUACCGCCAUUUUUUUAUAUAUUCUGUGAUGAAAAUUAAGAUUAGAAACGUUACUAAAUGGUAAAUAAAAAUUAGGGAAGCUUACUAUAGGAGCAUAAUUCAAGCUUGUUUGAAAAAGUUUUUAAAAUGACUAGAAACUUAUUAUUGGAACAUAAUUCAAGCUCGUUUGGAAGAGCCUUUAAAAAAAAUUAAAAAUUCAUUUAAAGAAAAUGUUUAGUGUUUCAAAACAAUUAAAGAACUUUUUGUACCAAAAACAAUUUCAAUUAUUUUAAAAACACUUCCAAACAAACUCUCAUCUCUUACGGAAGCAAAAAUGAUGAGCGUCUUUUCAGCUAAGAAAAAUGGGUCUAAUGUGCAAUAUGUAAAAACAUAGGAAAAUAUAUCUUUUUGUCCUCUUUGUAUAUAUUCUUUAUUUAUUAUUCUUUUAUUUUUCGUAAAUAAAAGUGUGCACGCACAUAAAAAUGCAUGUUGAAAUCUCUCCCAAAACCUGCACUCUUUUCUAUCCCACUGACGUUUUUAAAGAGGGUAUGAAAUCCCUAGGAGAAGGUUAAAAAUGGAAAAUAAAAGAAAGUCAAAAAGUAUAAACUACGAAAGGAUUGGCCCCUAAGAAAGCGGAAAUUUUAUUUAAACUCAUAUAACCUAUUUCUACACAUAACUUACUUUUUGCACCAAUUUGAUUUUUAAUUACACUAUUAAUAUCUCUUUAAACCCAAAUUUGAUACCUAAUAUGCCCCCAUAAAUCCAAUUCAAUAUAUGGAUUUAUUAUAAUGUUUGGGUUUAUUGAUAAAUUUAAUUAUAAUGUUUAAGCUUUUGUAAAGAGAGCUAUUAGGAUUUAAUUAUAAUAUUUGGGUUUAUUGAUAAAUUUAAUUAUAAUGUUUAAGCUUUUGUAAAGAGAGCUAUUAGGAUUUAAUUAUAAUGUUUGGGGUUUAUUGAUAAAUUUGACUUUUAUUAUUAAUUUCAUUUUGUACUUAAUAGUAAUUAUGCAAUAGGAUAAAAUAGACAAUUAACAUUUAAAAUUUAAAAUUGGGUGUAAAAAGAGGUUGAAUGGGUUUAAAUAAAAUUUCCUUAAAGAAAACAUGUGUUGGGCCAGUCAUUAAAUAAUGCAAAGCCCAAUAUAUAAUGGUAAAUCCAUAAUAUUGCAAAGCCCAAAACAUUGUCAAAAAAACUAUACUCCUACCAACGUCCUAACGAACUACAUGCAAUUAUUAGCGAACUACACAUACCAGUUGAUUAAGUAUUCAGCACAUCAAAGAUAAGCAAACCAAAACUUUCAAACGUACCACAUGUCUUUUUUUUGCCGUUUACUCUUGAACUUCUUCUCUAAAUCCAAAUUCGAAUCCAAUUUAACAAUGUAUACAAAGAUGGUCUACGUCUUGUAAAAGUCAUCUCGUACAUGUAGGAAUGCAUGAUGACAUUUUUGUAGUACUGAUAACAUUUCUUAUCUUUUAUUUGAGACGAUAUAUCUAAUUAGAUGGUUUCGAGAGGCAAAAUGUACGGCCGUACUGUAAUCUUCAAUAGUACUAAAAAUGAAUUUGGAUGUUAGUUUGGUAUAUAUCAUGAGGACUGAGCAGGGUUCAAUCUUAAUUUACCAGUACCUCAACUACUACCAUUCUCUUUUCUGCGCUGAUUUUUCUAGCUUUCAUUCAUCUAACUGAGGACUGAGGAGGACUCGAGCAAGAGAUCUUAAGCCCGUCAAUUGUUCUACUUCGUGCCGAGAGAUCCAAAAUAUCAAAUACCCUUUUCGUCUAAAGGGCGAUCCAUCCGGCUGCGGAGAUCCUGACGAUGAAUUUGCUUGCGUGAACGGAAAAACCAUCUUAGAAAUUUUCCCGGGAAAGUACUACGUGCACAACAUUUCAUAUGAUGAUCAAAUCCUCGUUUGGUGCACGUCAACUUCGCCAACGGAAGCAGCCUUCCGUCAACGGAAGUGAAUGUCAGGGAUUAUCGGUUCCAAGGAUAUGACACCAGCUCUACUAGUUUUAUCGAUUCGUCAAGCAAUACGAUGCAAAGAAUAAUUCCUGCCUAAGCGGCGGUAGGCUAGACCUCAACCAUUGAAGGCUAUUUCAUCCCAUGGCCAUACACUUGCCAUUGAAAUUAUGAGUAUAAUAAGCUUAUUAUCUAACUCUAGAUGUUUGGUUGUAGUUUGUAAUAUAGUUGUUGUGUGUAUUAAAUACGGGUAAAAAAAAUUUGUGCAUGACGUUUGUUCUUUGUUAAAGAAUGGAUUUUAUAUCAAUAAUGUAAUUUACAGCUUAUGAAAACUAAUCGUGUCUACCAAUGUUAUCGACAGCUUAUCAACAGUUGUCUGGUCUAUAACGUCACGUCCAGAAAAUAACUUUUAGUAGGGGCUUAAGAGAGCCUAGGAGGAAAUAGGGCAUAUUGUGGAAGACAAGCAGCAUGUGCAGGUGGACAAGGGCACUGGCAAGUGUAUGCCUAUGGGAUGAAAUAGCUUUCAACAGUAGUCUUAUUGUGCUCGUAAUUUGGUAGUGUCCUAUUAAGGGGUUUCGUAAACGCCAUGUUCGGGCCAAACACGAGCAUGUUUGAAACUGCAUAUGAUAGGGUUUGAAACAUUGUUCGAUAGUUAUAAGCGCUGGUGAUUACAUUUUACAAAAAAUCUUAAAUUGCUUAUAAGAUCUUAAAAAACGUUUUCUAAAGGUACUUUUCUAGAAUAUACCCAAACUUUUAAUAAAAGUUUUAGCAUGUUCAUAUGAAAAAUCAUCCCAAAUGAAUCAUGGCUAAAUCAAGAGUGCCUAUGAUGCUAAACCCAAGUAUGUUGCACAUUGAAAACUGCCAGCUAGAAAUUUUUAACUUGCGGCAUGUCCUAUUCUCACCUUUUACCCUGGACUUCUACAGACUUCUACUCUAAAUCCAAAUAUUUGGAAGAGAAUUCUCUCUCCUCCUAAUAUUUGAAUGCAACUUAGCAAAUCUAUGUAUUUGAGAAGCAAUCAUAUAUAUUUGGAUAGUGAUUUUUGCACUCAUAAUUUCUUUAUCUAUACUGCUCCUUAGUUUGUGACUUGUAAUUUGAUUAUCUUUUUUUUUUUUUGUUCAAUUCACUGGAUUAAAAAGUUAGGAGUAUGAAGGUAGAAAACAGGAGUGCGAGGGUAGAAAAUAGACUGACACCUGUAAGGCUGCACUACUACAAUCUUCAAUAGUAUAAAAAGGGAAUUUUUUUUCUUUAAAAAAUUGAUCAGUUGGCUUCACCAUGAUAGUUUAUUUUUUCGGUGCUCAGAAGACUCACAGAAGCAUUUCAUAAUUUCUUGACUAGCAUCUGUAAUUCACAUAGUGUCAGAACGUGUCGUGUGACAUGGAAUUGGUUUCUAACCAUUGGUGACUCUGUGGUGAGUACAAAAAAGAAUUUUGAUGUUGGUUUUGUUAGACUAAGUCAGACUUCCCAUUUUCAUUCAAACUAUCAAGUCUUCUUCCUUAUCUCAAAGAGAGUGUUAAGUCUAGGAAGAUUAUGAAUGUUUCUUAGUUAAGUUUACUAUGCUGUUAUAAAGUUUGAAUUUCACACUAGCGUGUAAAUAGCUUGUUUUAAACCCACUGACGUAAAUCUCUAUGAUCUUAUAAAUACAAGCAACCCUAGAUUGAAAAGGGUAUGCAAAAACAACUAAAAACCUAGCCUACUAAAGUUUUAUAUGGUAUCAGGUUGUUCCAUGUGUAAAGUCAAACAGUCAUACGUGCUCCACACUACUCUGUUGUGUUGUCCACGUGUUAGACUUAAAAAUUUGUCACACGUGAGGUGGCGUGUUGAGAAUGAGUCUCACAUUGAUGGGAGGAAGAACUUUCAUGAGCUUAUAAAUAAGUUGAAUUGCUUCUUAUAUUACCAAUUAAUUUUAUAGUGGAACCUCAACUUUAUUCAGGUUUGUUGUGCAUCUCUGGACUCGUAAAAAGAUACUUCAUCGCUGACUCUGAAAUUUGGCAUAUUCAUGAAAACUUAUACUCGGUUGUGUAUUGGCAAAGGAAUGAGCCAAUUAAGGGAGCUUAAUUGUCGUCGAUCUUUGAAUUCUAUUAGAAUAAUAUGGACAUUGUUUUAUUUAUUUGAAGAUCAUCCAAAUUGCUUUAUUUUUAUUAACUCGAUCGAUCUCGACUUAAGACUUUUUGAAUCAACAACUUUCACAUAACGCGUUUCUGCACUAACUUCCUUGAUUCUAAAAUCAUUACGUUAUUAUUUCAUAUAAAUAUAAUAUUAUUAAUUAAAAAAAAACUGAAGAAAUAAAAAAACCCUAGCAUGGAUGGAGCUCAAAACGUACUUUGGGUGUUUGACACUUUCAGUGGUUGACUAUCUGGGAAAUAUAAAUGUAUUAGCUGCUUGUUCCGGGAUUACUAUGAUAUUUUCCAAUUUUGAAGUUCAUAGUUAUUCUGCUAAGACAUACGUAUAUAAUAUACCAUGAGGAGGGUUCAAUGUUCAUUUACCACUUCAACUAUUAUAUUCCCUUUUCGUCUAAAGGGCGAUCCAUCUGGCUGCGGGGAUCCUGACUAUGAAUUUUCUUGCGUGUACGGAAAAACCAUCUUAGAAAUUUUCCCAGGAAAAAUACUACGUGCACAACAUUUCAUAUGAUGAUCAAAACCUCCGUUUGGUCGACGUCAACUUUGCCAACGGAUCCUGCAGCCUUCCGCCUGGAUCUGUCAAAACAGCGGACGGGAAAGUCAUGGAUUUUCGGUUCCAAGGAGCUGUGAUCUAUUAUGCUAGUCGUUUUCGAUUCAUCAAGUGCUCCAAAAACAUCAGCAGCCUGCCAACAGCUGCUAAUUAUACAAGGGUUCCAUGUUUGGCCGCAACAAACGGGAGCUAUUUCUAUGCUGUUUAUGUCCCCGAGUACUAUUAUCCCCCUCAACCGUCAUGCUCGCUUGUUGCAGUGGCUCCGGUAGAUUUUCAUCCGGACAUGAAGUUCACUUCUUACGAAGCCGUCAUGAAACUAUUGCAGGCCGGGUUUGAUAUUGGAUGGUCGGUUAAGUGCAGGGACUGCUCUUUGGCUGGUAAGGGAUGCGCAGUAAGUUCAUGGGUUAAGCCACUCACCUACGAAUGCUACACAGGUUAGUAUCCGAUCCCGAACUACUACAACAACACGUGAAAGUACGUGUGACAGUCACGUAAUAGUUCAUCACGGAUCAAUAUACAACUAAUUAUGUGUAUGCCUUAAGUUUAUGACCGCGAUUAGUUUUAUCUCUUGCUUAUGUAAAGUCAUUGUUUGAGGUUGCUUUUGAAUUAGUUAAAAAUGUUCUCUAACAGUCGAAAACGUUUUUUUCACUUGAACUUUUAAAUAUUUUAACGUUUAGUAUUGUGAUUUUUGUAGAUGCAGAGUACAAAGAACCCACAGAACUUCAAAUAAUCUUAAUAUAUGUAGCAAUGGGUGUGGGAGGUAUUCUAUUUAUUCCAUUGUAAUUUUUCUUGCAAUUUUAUUAUGCCAUAGCAGUCUGCAACUGAUAGAAAUCUUCUCUCUGCAUUUUCAGCUCUAAUUGGUCUGUUGUGUAUAAUUCUUAUACUGGUGGUCGUAAUCCGAAGAUGUCGUAGAACUAGAAACGAAGCCAAGAGAAAUCUCCAGAAUCAAAAUCAGCAGUCCUUGACGCCAUAAAUCAACAGUUCUUGAGCUUAACAUUUGUAUGUUGAUGUGUGUAAAUUCAAAUGCUUUUGCGGUGUUUGUUGAUGUGUAUAAUUCGGAUAUUUGGUCUUGUUCAUUAGUUAUUGGCCAUUGAGCCAUGUAUAUAUUUCCAAAUGGGCCUCAUUUCAUUGGGCCACUUGUUAUAAACUGGUUCUUAAAGAGUGAUCUCUUACCGACUUUAAAACCGUUUUUUAUUAUAUUUCGUAGGAAAACUUAAAAACGCUUUGGGAUAUAGAAACAACGAAAAUGCUUUUCCAUGAUACUUUUUAGGUUUUCGUUAAAAUGUGUUUACAAUUAAACAAAUUUAACCAAAAAAAAAAACACUUGUUAGCAUAAAUACUUUCUACAAAAAGCGUUUUUAGGAAGUGCUUUGAGGAACUUAGGUCAUCUCCAACAGAUCCAGCCAAGGGGUUAUAGGGCUAAAAAUAACCCGUUUUACAACUGUCUCCAACCGAGAGCUAGACCAAAUGGCUCGUGGUCCCCACUCGGCCAAAAAUGGGAGAACCGGCCAAAGGGCUAGUCAAGAGCAGCUAGCCUACCAACCCUAUAGCCUAGCCCUCCAUCGCCAAAAUGUUAAGCUUGACAUAUGCCAAUUUAUUAACAUUUGAAGGUGUUUGGAGGUGUGUGAAUUCUACCCCAAUAUCUAGCCAAUUUAUUAACAUUUGAAGCUGAAUAUAAAAAGUGUCACAUAAAUAAGAAUCAUAUAUAAAAUUUUCACAAUUAAUUAUAUAUCGGCACUCGAAAUCUUAUCCAAAAAAUUAUUAAGAUUACAUAAAGAUAAGAAAUCUAGAGAGUUACUCACUUUAGCGACGUGUCACUCAAAAUCUUAUUCGAAAAAUUAUUGAGAUUACUUAAACAUAAGAAAUCUGGAGAGUUGCUUACGUUAGCGACACGUGUCACUCGAACUCCUAUCCAAAAAGUUAUUGAGAUCAUAUAAAAAUAAAAAAUCCGGAGGCUUAUUCAUUUGGCGACAAGUGGCACUCAAAGCAUGUCCGAAAACCUUAUUUUAAUAUGAUAGUUUAAUUUAAGUAAUCAUAUUAAUUCAAUUAAAAUAAUAAAUUAUGUUUGGCCUAUCUCCUUUGGUCCCCUCGGUUGGAAAUGAUUUUUUAUCUAAGGGUUAUGUUUGGCCUAUGGCCUUUUGACCCCCUCGAUUGGAGAUGGUAUAAAAUAUGGUCUAUCACUAUUCAUUAAAAUAUAAUUUCUUACAAAACUGUAAGAUUAAAAUGAAUCUUUUAGCCCUCCUUCAGUUGGAGAUGAACUUAGCUUUUGGCUUUGGUAUUCUUUGGAAGAGGGAAUGACUGAAAUUCAGCUUUGAUUGAUGAGUGGCGUCUUUGGAUACGGACUAUGGAAAAUGAAGAAUUGACUUUGACCUUUGAAAUUCUCAAUCCUAGGGUGGAGGGGAUAGUUGCAUAUUAAAAAAAACCGAGGAUAAGCUAAUAAAUUAAAAAACUGGGCAGACAAAUGACAAAAAGUGUGCUUAUCCAUUCCAAGACACCGAUCUUCAGUCUUCCAACUUCCAAAUGACGCGUUUGUGACAUAAAUAUGAGUUAACGAGCUGCACUCAAGUUUAAAUUUUACGUACUCUUUUAUCGAGGGAUUUUUGACGCUGCACGAGCAUAAAAAGGAUAUCAACGUAAGUCUUUAAAGAAUAAUGUUCUGAAAUUCAUCAGAUUUUGAAAAAUACUAUUUGAAUAAUUCUUAAAUGUUUAUAACAUUAGUUAUAAGACUUAAACAGAGUUAACUCGACUCUUGAGAAGUUUAGAAGAGUCUUAGGGAAUGUAAAAGAAGUAACCGGACAUAAAACAAAACGUCCGAUUUUAUUAGAAACUUUAAAAUUUGGUUUUGGAAGUCUAAACGACGUCGGAUGGCUUUAAUUCAUUGUGCUUCAUAGCAAAGCAGUGUGGUCAAUCUAGGACGUCGUGAGAAAGUAUUAUGCACGUAAAACGGAGUCGGACUCUAAAUCUGUAAGUAUAUAGAUUCCUGCUGCCGGUGCUGCGUCUUUUUGUCUUCCUUUAGUCUAUUUCAGUUUCAAUCCACUUGGUCAUUUGUUUUACCUCAAUUUUGCAAAUAAAAUUAUGUUUGUGGCACACCUUAUAAUGUCUAUUAUGUAACUAUUUUAAUUAUUUGAACGGUUUAUAUGUCAAUUCAUUAUUUAUACAUCAUUCAAACAAAUCCAUAACAACCAAGAUAUUCAACAGUAUUGUAGUGAGCAAAAAUAGAAGAAUGUUGUGUUUUAUACAAACACUAAAAUGACUAUCAUUUAGUUCAACAAUCAUAUUAACUUCGAUUUGAUUGUUUUUUGUGUAAAUAACUUAAAGGAAAAUCUAAAAAAUAAAUGGUUAAAUUAUUAAAAUAUAAUGUGGGUGUGGACUUUACAAAGAUGUCACUCAACAAUUUUAACAGUUAUUGUAGGCAACUAGUUACAGUCAUUAGGAACCGGAUCCUCUCCGAAUCCCAAUAAUAUGAGCCUAAGGAUCAAAUGAUUUAGAUUGUUGAAAUUUGAUCAAACGGUUACAAACAGAAACCCCUCUAAAGUUAUAAUAAUUGUAACCGUUGGAUCAAAUUCAACAGCCUGGAUCAAAUGAUCAUUCGGCUCAGAUUAUUGAGUUCCGGAGAGGAUCCAGUUCCCAGUCAUUACUAUCUUUAGAAAAAAGACAAAAACCCACAACACGGAGCUGGAAGUUUUGACCCUCUCCCUUUCGUUGACUAACAGAGGAACAUCAAUGGAGAUUUCCUUUAAGAAGAAGAUGGGCCAUGGCGUUCCAAACUUUGGAUAAAAAUCAACACGCCUAAACAAUUUUGAGGCGUUCCAGAAGACUAUAUAUAUAAUCUACGCAGAGCGUCAUCCGAAAUUAUUUACCCAAAGUUCUGAGAUUCAUAAUUUUUCUGCAAAAACAUAUAAUAUAAUCAUGAGGACGGUCCAAUAUACAUCUUCUCUUUUCUGUUCUCUGCUGAUUCUGCUAUUUUUCGUUCAAAUUCAAGCACAAACCAACUGUUGGUCUUCCUGCGGAGAAAUAAAAAACAUCAGCUACCCUUUUCGCCUCAAGGGCGAUCCAUCCGGCUGCGGCGACUCCGAUUACGAGCUCUCUUGUGUCGACAACAAACCCAUCCUAGAGAUUUUCCCCGGGAAAUACUACGUGCGCAACAUUUCCUACUAUGAUCACACACUCCGUUUGGUCGACGUCAACUUCGCCAACGGAACCUGCGGCCUUCCGUCUGGUCCUGUCGAAACAACGAACGGGUUUGUCCGGGAUGCUCGAUUCAUGGGAUAUGGGUGGAACCCAGGAAGUCGUUUCCGGUUCGUCAAGUGCUCAACAAACAUCAGCAGCAUGCCGGAAGCUGCUAAUCACACAGUGGUUCCUUGCCUGACAAGAAACGGGACUUACGUCUAUGCUGUUUAUGAUGGCGAUUACUCGUAUUAUGAGCCUCAAAAAUCAUGCUCUGUCAUUUCGUUGGCUCCUGUCGAUCUUCGUAAAGAUGUUACGAAGUUCAAUUCUUAUGAGGCCGUCAUGGAACUAUUGAAAGCUGGCUUUGAAGUUGAAUGGUCAGUUACGUGCAGAGAUUGCUCUUUGGCUAGUAAACAGUGCGUAGUAAAAUCAAUGGAUAAGCCAUUCACCUAUAUCUGCAAAAAAGGUCAGUUCCUAUAUUGCGUUUGAAGUUGUUUAGAUUCAUCUGUUAAAUUUUCUAGAAUAUUUAACCGUUAAAUUACGCAAUUCGCUUCAUGAUUAUGUUUUCGUUUCUCUAAUGUUAUACUUUUUUUUUUGACAUGCAGAGUACAAAGAACUGACAAGAGCUGAAGGAAACUGGAUAAUUGCUGCAAUCGUUGUGGGAGGUAAUAUUACUGUCGCAUUUGUACAAACAUUGACAAACUUGUUAUUUUCUUUCAAUUUUUCGAUCUCUUUCCCGAGUCAGCUGAUAGAAAUCUUGUUUCUACAUUUUCAGGUCUGAUUGCUCUGGGAAUUAUCAUUGGUAUAAUUGUAUUCGUCAUACGAAGAUGUCGGAGAAGACGAAAUGCAGCUGAUAACACGAACAAGAAUCCGCAGAAUCGAAUUAGUGCUUGAGCCAACAACCACCAAUUCUUGGAUACAUGAAUUCCAUGAAAAAAAAAUUUAUUUCGUUCUUUCUUUUUUGUAAGUCAGUUAAAAGAAAUUAACUCCAUUUUUUCCUUCUUUCUUUUUGGAUGUAUAAUUCAGUUAAAAUACUCUGUAUUUAAUACCACGUGAAUUACAUCACUUAUUACGGAUAAAUUGCAAAAACACAAUUAACAUAAUAUUUUGAUUGACAUAUUUGCUAUAGAGCAUAACACGUGAAAUAUCUCAAAUUCCUUUAUAAAAUUAUCACGCAAAACAUCACAACCAACACAAAAUGUAACACGCGAAAUGUUUUACAUGCCCAUGUGUAUAUACCAUAUAAACAACACAAUUGACAACAAAAAGUUUGAACAUGGAAGUCUACACGCUUGAUACAUAACGUCUGUAAUGUCAAUCACGUUGAUUAUGUUUUUUUUUUUUUUUAAAGAAAAUCAGUUGAUGGCUUCGCUACGAUAUAUCAAUCAUGUUGACUGUGUAUUUUUAUGUUUUCUUUUUUAAAAAGAGAUUAGUUAGUGGUUUUGCCACGAUCGUCUACUGUUCCGAGAAUUUGAAGUAUUUCAACCUCUUCUUGAGAACCAUAAUGUGAUUCAUCAUCACCAAAAAUUGAAACAAAACACAUCGUUUAAAAUACGGGUCACUUCGUCUCAAUUACUAAGUUACGUUGAUUGUAUAGUUUAAAGUGAGACAUGAGACCAUUUAAAGCAUUAAACUUGUGGACUGAUUGAUCCAAGUCCUUUUCUAUUGGGCUGACCCUCUUAAUGACAUAAAGACUUUUAGACCGUUUGAUUUUUCAAACGUUUGUGUCUAUGCUGAUUGGCGAAAAAGAAUAAGGAGGGAGAAUUGUCUUAAACACAUUAUUUUAACAUAACGCGUAACCUUUCAAACUCUGGCGUUUUUAUAGACGCCUUAACAGUUCAAAGUUCAUGAUUCAAUUAUUAACAUGUGAAGAAACACACAGAGCUAGCAGGGAAACUCUGACUAAAUCCCAAUAUCUCAUCAGUUAAUUGCAGGGGAACAUGUAUAAAUACAUAUCCUUUCAACACUUACUAACCUCGGCUGUACGAAAAAGUUUAUUUGAUAUAAACAAAAAAUUGAGACAGUCACGAGAACAUAACUUUACCUCUCACAACAGAAGAAAACCAAAAUACAAAAAAAAAAAAAAGAAAAAAAAAAGAACAUAAACCUUAUUCCUGACAGAGCAAAACAAAAUGGAAAUUUCCGAAAGGAUAAUGAGAGGAUUGAGUUAGGAUUUCAAUUAACAUCUUGUUAAUAAGUUUUUCAAUUUUAAAAUCGUCAUAUGCUAACAUGUAAUAAUUUAAUAUUAAAAUAAUGAUACUAAUAUCUGGAUAUUUUAAAAUCAGGCGGCUACAAUAUUUGAUAAAAUAAAAGUUGGUGAUGGUAGAAUGUCAUCUAAUUAAUUAAUUUGUGAAAUGUUGAAAAUUCAGUAGGAUUCAGGUUCAGAGAUACGGACAAAGAGAAGCACAAACGAAAAAUGAAAUCUUUGGGAGGCCUAGAGAUCAUUCUUUCAAGCCUUCUGUGUCUGCUCCUUCUCUUUGCUCUCCUCAAGAUCUUUCACAAUCUAUGGUGGUCUCCCAUUCGACUACAGAAUCUGGUGGCUCUGCAGGGAAUCAAGGGCCCUUCUUACCGAUUCGUCCACGGAAACACCAAAGAGAUCUCCAGCAUGCAAGAGGAAGCCAUGAGCAGGCCCAAAAGCUUAUCACAUGACAUAUUUUCUCGAGUUCAACCUCACAUCCACUUGUGGACCAAGAAAUAUGGUAAACAAACUUUUACCCGUUGAUGGUUUUCAAAUCUUUGUUCUAAACAAAACUUUUACCUGUUUGAGUUAACAGAAGACUCGAUGCAAAAUCGAGUACAGUGGCGUUUUAGAAUUUAUGUAGCUAGUCCUACUUAGUGGGAAUUGUUGCUGUUGUAAUCUAAAUUUAUUUCGUCUUUGGCAACAGGAGCAAAUUUUCUUCAAUGGUAUGGUUCUCAAGCCCAGUUGGUCAUCACAGAGCCAGAACUGUGCAAAGAGAUACUUACUAACAAGAUAGAGCUUAUCCCAAAAGCGAGCCGAAAAGCUAUCUGAGAAGGCUAUUAGGAGAUGGACUUGUGGUAAGUGAUGGUGAAAAAUGGGCUAAGAUGAGAAAGUUAGCCAACUAUGCCUUCCACGGAGAGAUCUUAAAGGUAAUGUUACUUAUAUAUAUGGAUUAAAUUAGUUGGUCGAGGCAGUGUGCCGUUCUCUUUCACUUGAUUCUGAAUUCUUGUCGUACAAUAAACUAAGAGCAAAUAGGGAACAAAUACGUUAAUUGCUUUUGCUAGGGUAUGGCUCCAACAGUGAUAGCUAGUGCUGAGACGAUGCUAGAAACUUGGAAAGAACACGACGGCCAAGAGAUCGAUGUGUUUGAAGAAUUUAGGUUGUACACCUCAGAAGUGAUUUCCAAGACGGCCUUUGGCAGCAGCUACUUAGAAGGGAAGAAAAUUUUCGAUAUUCUGGAGAAGUUAGGCUACUUAUCAUUCAAAAAUGCGUUCAAGCUCAGGUUUCCCGGCAUUAGGUAAUUGCUUCCUUUUAACUAAUUCAUCAUGAAUUGGAACAUUGCAUUACUUAGGUUCUGAUGUUUAAUCUGUCGUUGAUCAAUGCUGCAGUAAGUUUAUUAAAUCCAAUGAUGAGAUCGAAUCAGCAAAGCUCGAGAAAAGUAUACGCGACUCCAUCAUGGAGAUGAUCAAGAACAGAGAAAAUAAGGCAAUGGCUGGAGAAGAAGACAGUUUUGGGAAUGAUUUUCUUGGGGUACUUUUAAAAGCUCAUCACGACACCGACGAGAAAAAGAGGAUUUCGAUUGAUGAAAUUGUUGACGAGUGCAAGACAUUUUACUUUGCUGGACAAGAAACCACUAAUAGUGCACUUGCUUGGACUGUGUUUCUUCUAGCAAUCCAUACCGAUUGGCAAGAGGAAGCAAGAAAGGAGGUGAUCCAAAUAUUUGGGAAACAAAAUCCGAAUCUUGAUGGCAUUGCCAAGCUAAAAACUGUAAGAAUGUCAACAGCUCAAUCAAUUUUUGUCUUUGUUACGGCAUAUAUGUUCUCUCGCACUCAAGCUUAUGUGUUCGAUUAUUCAUUUUCAUGCAGAUGAGCAUGAUCUUCAACGAGUCGCUAAGGUUAUAUCCACCGGUAGUUACCAUUGAGAGGAAAAUUCGAAGGGAAGUUAAGCUGGGAAAACAUGUUCUUCCUGCUAAUGUUGAAGUAACCAUUCCAUGCUUAGCCCUUCAGCACGAGCCUCAAAUUUGGGGAGAAGAUGUGCUACUUUUCAAACCGGAGCGAUUCUCAGAAGGGGUUGCUAAAGCUACAAAGAACAACAUAGCCGCAUUCUUACCAUGGGGAUUGGGACCUCGGAGUUGUGUGGGAUCAAAUUUUGCAGCCAUUGAAACAAAGAUUGUUCUGUCGAUGAUUCUACAACGCUUCUCGUUCACACUUUCCCCAGCCUACAUCCACUCCCCCUAUCGGCUUCUUACAGUUCGGCCGCAACAUGGAGUUCAAGUAAUGCUGCACUCGCUUACAUGAUGAUCAAUGUAUCAGCACUGCGGUUUAGGUUACAAAAAUGCAAGCGCUGCUUUGAGCUUCGGUUAAAAGGGAAAAAUGAGUAAUCUUAUUCAUAUCAUGUUUUUAUACCAUAUUUUUAUACCUUCUUAGGUGGUAUCUAAUGUGGACAGUCACAUCAUUUGAAUUAAUCAGAUUUUUUAAUUUAGUUAAACAUGGUAUGAAAAUGAUUAAUUCUUGGUUUUAUGCCCAAUAAAAAAUUUGCAAAACCAAGGAAAAAAAAAGAUAAAGACUCCUGGCAUACCACAAUCAUCAUUUAAUUAACUAAUUUUCUUAAUUAUUAGUUUAUUAAAUAAUAAACUAAAUUUAAAAAUAUGAUUAAUUCAAAUGAUGUAACUAUUCACAUUAAAUGCCACAUAAGAUGAUAUGAAAAUAUGGUACAAAAACAUGGUACGAAUAGCAUUACUCGAGAAAAAUAAGAGUUGCAAUGGUAAAUAGCCACAAUAUUUUUCUUUUCCUCUUGGUUUUUGGAGAAUGUGGAGAUUAACGAUAAUGACUCUUUUGGAACAACUUCUGUAAAAGUACUUUUGUUUAGAAGUACGAUUUCUAGAAGUGAUUUUACUAAAAUACGUUGAAAUGUUUACUAAAAAUCUAAGUGGUCUAUAAAAAAAAUACUUAAAAGUGAAACAUCUAACGUUUACACGCUUUUAUUUAUGACCCCAUAAUAUCGAUGUGGGUUUUUGUUCUGUUGAUGUCAACCAACAUUUCGUUGACUUUCAGUACAUAUAGAGGGCCUAACGCGUUUAAUCCUUCACUGCUGAAAAAAUGAAGUCAGUUCUAGCCCAAACAUAGUGGGCCUAUAUCAAAGUUUCCCUCCGAACCAGGGAACGUGUGGUCCAGAUCGAGGCACAGAGACAGAUGUUGUAUUUGGUUUUUGAUUCUUUCAAGUUUAUGAAUAUUAUCAAAGAAAAUCCUUUUGACCUUCUUCCUCCUUCCAAUAAUAAUGCGAUGCAAAAGUUUAACUAUAUCUGGGGAAACAGGAACUCUGUAAAUAAUAUAUAAUUACACAAAUAAUAGUAUAUUUUGAUAUACAAUUCACGUUUUGGUAAAUUGGUAAGUUGGUAACGUCAAAAGCAAGUCACCAUUAGACAUAAGAGAUUGCUUCGUGUUUAGACACACUGAAAAUUUUCUUUAAUUACGGAUUUGUUAUUAUAUUAUAAUAAACCAUGAAUACAUGAAUUAUGAAGGUCGGGAACAAUGGUCGAUUUUUUGCCCUUUAUGUAUAAGAUACUUUUUUCUGUUUUUAGGAUGGACAAAAAUUCGCUUCUAGCGAUCUCGUAAUUUUCGCCCAAGAUCUGGAUUAUCAUUAUAUUUGGUAAAAUUACAUAAAGUAAUUAACGAAUAAUUAUCAAAGUAUCAAAGUGCAGAAAAGGGAAAAGGAAAGCAUGGAAUUUCCGUGCUGUCAUGCUUUCACAGAAAUCAGAUUCUACUUUGAAUCAGCAUCUAGCUAGAACAAGAGAGACAACACCAGAAACAAAAAGGAAAAGAAGGUUAAAGAGGGAGAGAGACAAAAGAUCGAGAAGAAAAUUAAAGUUCUUAAUUCUUGAUAACAAACCAAAUUACAUGAUAGGUGUAAGUGAUGCAUGCCCAGCAGCUUUACAAACAAACAAGAACAACUUAAUUAAACAGACUGGCUACCUCGUAUGCAUCUCUUACAUCCCAUGUUUUACAACAUUAAGCAUGCAAAAAAGAGAAAAAUAAAAGGAGAACUAAUCGAGAGCAAAGACUUACAUAUUCAAGCACAAACAGGCCAAAGUUAAGUAAGUAAUAAAAGAAAAAUUAAAGACCUAAGUUGUUAAGGUAAACUCGGACCGCUACCCUCAAUUCCCCGCAAUGCAAUAAUACACGCUCUCCCGACUCUGCCCGACACUUUUGUGGUAGCAGGCUAGAGAUUCAGGACAGCGCGCAAUUGCAAAGCCUGUUUUGUAUGUUGUUCUUUCGUCAUUUUUUAUUUAUAUUUACAACACAACCCUUCUCCUCCACGCUGCUGCCGCUGCCAACCGGCACCAUCUUCACGCACUUCACCCAUGUAGACGAAAUCCCACUGGUGGCAGCUGGCCAUCAUGGUGGAUUUUGCGUCGUAAUUGCCAACGAGGCGAAAUUUUAUGGGUAGAAAGAAAGGAGGACUAGAAAAAGAGGGUGAUGAGUAUAGAGCUGAGGGGACAUGAUAGGUCGUAUAUAAAGACGAGACUGUAAGCUUUUUGUUGAAAUAUGAGUGUCACAGUUUUUUUUUUUUUUUUUUUG